CCGCAACAACCGAAGUCAGAACAGCUUGAAAAGCUGAAGGUAUUCAAGGUCAUGUUGGAGCGCUUGAUAACAUUCUUACAGGUCUCUAAAAACAACAUCACACCUAAUUUCAAGGAGAAAUUGGGUUUCUAUGAGAAGCAGAUUGUAGGUUUUCUAAACCCAAGCAGAUACAGGAAGCCUAUUCCUAAUCUACAGCAAGGACAACCUCCCCAACCUCGUAUUCAACCUAUGCAGCAACCCCAAUCUCAAGUUCCUCAAUUGCAGUCCCAUGAAAAUCAACUGAUUCCCCAGUUGCAAUCAAUGAAUACGCAAGGUUCUGUACCACAGAUGCAGCAGAACAAUAUGUCAAGCUUGCUGCAUAAUUCCCUUUCAACUUUAUCUGGGGAUUCGACGUCACAAUCAAACAUGAUGAAUCCAAUACAACCAGGCUCCAAUUUAGAUUCUGGACAAGGAAAUGCACUGAGCUCAUUGCAGCAGACACCUGUAGGAUCUGUACAACAGAAUCUCGUGAGCAUUUCCCAACCAACCAAAGUUAACACAUUGUCAACACAAAGUGGGGGGAGUAUGCUGCAGCCAAAUAUUCCCCUUCAGUCGAAUUCCAAUAUGAUUCAACACCAGCAUCUAAAACAGCAGCAGCAGCAGCAGCAUGAACAACAGAUGCUACAAACACAACAGCUUAAACGAUUCCAGCAACACCAGAAUUUAAUGCAGAAUCAACAGAUGCAGCAGCAGCAAUUACACCAGCAAGCUCCGUCUCCUAUGCCAGGAGAUUCUGACAAACCAGUUUCUGGUAUUUCCUCACUCUUAGAUACUGGAAAUAUUGUACACCAACCAUCUGUUGCACAAGCACUGGCUCCAUCCCUUGCAAUUGGCACUCCUGGGAUAUCUGCAUCACCUUUGCUUGCAGAGUUUACCAGUCCUGAUGGUGCUCAUGGCGGUGCUUUGACAACUGUUUCUGGCAAGUCAAAUGUUACAGAGCAAUCACUUGAGUGCUUGAUUAAAGCGGUUAGUGAUGCUCUCCUUUUGGUUUUACUCCACCCCACCCUUAUUUUGGAGGUUUCUGAAAAAGAAAGAAACUUCUUUGUGAAUGAGAUGGUGAUGCUGCAAUUUUUUUUCCCAGGUGAAAUCUCUGUCUCCCAAAGCACUUAGUGCAUCUGUCGGUGACAUUGGCUCCGUUGUCAGUAUGAUUGACAGAAUUGCUGGUUCUGCAGCUGGUAAUGGAUCUAGAGCUGCAGCUGGUGAGGAUUUGGUAGCAAUGACAGGAUGUCAUCUUCUUUCGUUUUUGUCUUUUUUAUUUUUCACGUGUUUCUCACAAGAUGGGAACUCGAGGGAAUAAAAAGUGCUGGGAAGUAAUUUUUGUUGGAACGUCUUGUGUAACAUCUUCUUUCGAUGAUGACCUUUUGGAUGGCUGCAUGAAGCUUGUUCCGCUUUAAAUUUCAAGGUUAAUCUAUUUCAAUUUGAAACUUGAGUUGCAACUGAACUUAAAUGAAAAGUGUUGGAUUUGGGCCUCUAUUUGUUUUAACUUGUACAGGGUUGAAGUGAUAGUGAUCUUAAAAGUACAAAAGCAGCAGACAAAAAUCAAUUAGCCACAAUAUAUAGUGUAUGGUUUCCUACUUUCUCAGUAUAAAGUUGAAUGUUUUGGUGAUAUAAUCUCUACAUCCAAAAUCAUAUAGACAGCUACUGCUGGCACUUGCAGUAGCCAAUGUUAACCAAAAUCAUAUAAUCUUAAAGUUGAAUGUUGUAUUUUCAUAAAUUAAAGGGAUUUCUCUUCUUUUCUUUGUCAAUUACAGUGCAUCAUAAUAAGUUUUCUUACUCAGUAAAUGCUAUUGUAAUUUUUUCACAGAGACUCCCCUGUUUUGCAACUAAUUCACUUCUGAAUAAAUCUGGGAAACAGAAAGGCAAUCAACAAAGAGUAAGGCAUCUUCUGAAGAAACAAAGAAAUUUAAUACCAUAAACUAAGCAGCACGUAGAAGGCAAAAACUGAGCACAAAUUUUCAGGAAGGGACAAACGAAAAAAACCAAAAAGAAAGCAAAGAAAAAUACAGACUCAAAUUCACAACACCCAUUUUCUUUCCAUUGGAACACUUUAAAUAGUUUAUUAAAUUUAUAAUGAUCUGAUUUCUACGCAUAUAAAAAAAUCAACUAAAUGAUCAAUUCUCUAUAAUUUCGGCAUUACUAAAAACAUCCAAACUAAUAAACAAUUAGUUAUUUUACUCAUUUUAAUAAACAUUUUAGUUAUGAAUUCACCAAACAUUUUGAACAAUUCAUAUUGAUGAAUUAACAUUUAAAUUUUAGAUUUUUUGAUUUAUUAUUUCCUUCGUGAGUUACUUCUAAAGUAUGCUAUAUAUCUUUAAGCAUUUUUAUAGAAUAUAAUUCUAUCAAAUUCACUUUUACCCAAUGCAUAAUAUAAAGUAUUCAUGGCUUUAACAUCCAUAAAAAAUAACUUUUUAUCAUUGUCCGUAUAUUCCCUUUUAGUUUUAGAAAUCUCAAUACCAUUUUUAAUUUGAUAGGUCUAGGAGAUCUAUUUUGUAUGGAUAGCCACAAAUUAAAAUCAAUAAAUUGAUAAUAAAUUAUCAUUAAACAAUUUAUUACUUGCUCUUUGGUAAUAAGAAUGUGAUUGUAAUAUUAUUUUGUAUGGAUAGUUUUAUCUAUCUAUUAUCUCAAUAACAAGAUUAACUUUGCAAUUAUAUAUCACACUUAUAUAAUCUCAAAUAAUAUUAAUUAAAAUGAAUCACAAAAAUUUAACACAGUAAUUCUGCAAAAAAAAUAAAAACAAUUUAAUAAACAAUUUAACUUUGCAAUUAUGUUUUUAUUUGUUUGUUUUUCUAUGAGACACAAUGGAAUUUUCAAUAGAAACUACAACAAUACAAAUAAUUACAAAUAUUUUUCUUUCAACAUCAACAUAAAAAAACAUUAUGCACUUUUCGAUACUUACGUAAUUCUAGGAUUAAAGAAACAAUAACAUCUAAGGGGGGUGAAUUGGGUGUUGCACUAAUUAUAUCAAAUAAUGGUGUUGCACUAAUUAUAUCAAAUAAUGCAAUAAUUAACAAUAUAAUUAAAGUGUUUAAAGUAAAUAGAUAAGGAAAUAGAUAUUACAAACUCGGUUUUUAAUGUGAUUCGGUAAGCCUACAUCUACACCUCAAGUACUAACCGUACUUGAGUAUUGUACUCUUUUACCAAUCCAAGUGAAAUAUACAAAUGCCCUUGAUAAAUCCACACCGAGAAAUUAUACCACUUGAAGUUUUUUCUCUUGGUGACAAUACAUCACUAAUGCUAGGAGUUUAUCCAAACUCACAAAUGUUUACAAUUAUAAUUUGUUUGCAACAAGAUUCACUCUCUCAUAAAGUAAAUUGUACAAUUGAAAACUAUAAUCUUUAUAACUCACUCGAUAGCACUCAAGAUGAUUGAAAGUGUGUAAAUAUAAUGAGUGUGAGACAUUAUACUCAUGUGUUAGAAUAUAAAGAUUUAAUUUAGCACAACUUAAAAGCAUGUUAUGAUUGAUGAUUUCUAAUUGAUUUUUUUUUAAAAUAACUUCUAUGUUAUAUAUGUUUGGAAUCUCUCUUUUAUUUGUUAUAUAUAUAUAUAUAAACUAAUUGUUUAUAGUUGUUGAGAUGUCUCUAACAGCUAAAGUAAUCUAUAUGCAACUUAAACAAAAGAAUUCCAAUUAAAUGGAAUUGCACUUAACAUGUAUUAUUUCAAAUGCAACAAUUGCAUAGAUAACAGACAACAAGGAAUUUAACAGAAGAUAUAUACACUUUACUUUUCCUACUAAAAUUAAACUAUUGGAAUUUAACAUAGUCAUAAUCAAUUUGUUCUUGUGAGAUUAUCUAUUACAUGUAUAACAAAUAUAUUAGAAAAUAAAUUGUUUUAAGAUUGUUAGAACACCUUAAAUAGUUCAUAAAAUUAUUGUUCCAUUUUACUAUAAUAAUCAAGUUUCCACAUAAUAUAAAUCAUGCAUAUAAAUUAAUAAUCAAAAUAAAAAUUAAAUUAAGAUAACAAUCAAUUUUUUAACUUUAAAAUAAUUUAUCAUCUAUUUUCUAAUACUAAUAGUAUGAUUGUAAUAUUAUUUUUUAAUUUAUUUAAUAAUUUAAUUUUGAUAGCACAACCAAAAAUAAAUAAUGAACCAAAAUUUAUAUGAUAUUUUUUAUAAAAAAUUUGAUAAAAAAAAUAUAAAAACAAAAAUAAUGUCUCAAUUAGAAUAAUUUUUUCAUUAAUGAGAAGGCCCACCACAGACCAAGAGGACAGCUUCAAUGAAGCCAAUGCAGGUGAUUACCCGUCGGCUAACAUCUCCUCGCGCGCCUAGCACCAGCUAAACCGCCUCAAUCUGAACAUGCACCAGACAAAGUCUAUGAAAAGACGCCAGGGAGCCUCAGCAGCCGAGAAGAAAGCACGGGAACACCCACCGCGCGAGAAGAAACGCGAAAAACAGGAGACGGAGCGCGGUAAAGACUGAAGCCACAGGAUUCACAUACAGUGAAGCACUCUUAGUUUUAUAUAUAUAUAAUUCUUUUAGUUUGUUAGUUAUGAACAGUGAAGCAGCACAAGAAUACAAUUCUCCUGUUUGUUUGCUGGAAAAUAGUUUUUUUUAGAAAGUGAAUUAUUUUCCGAUGUUUGGUAGUGUAAUGGAAAAUAAGUUAGAAAACAUUUUUCAGUGUUUGGUUAUGUCAUGGAAAAUGAGUUGGAAAAUAACUUAUUAAUAUUUUAUUUUUUUCAAUUUUAUUAAAAUAAUAAAGAAUAAAUCUUACAAAUUAAAAAGUUGAAUGAAAAUAAAAUUGAAAAAAAAUAUAAUUUCAUAAAUUAUCUUAAAUAAAAUAAAUAAUAAUCAAAAUAAUAAAAAUCAAAUCUAAAAAAUAAAAAAUUUGAUCGCUUCAUUAAUUUCUCGUUAGGAAAAUGUUGAGCUUCUCAGCAAUAUUUCCUUACCUUGUGCCGCUAACUUGACGGUAAAAUGUGAUUAAAGGAUCAAUUAAUUAUUUAAAUCAACUUGAGGGAUUAAUCUGUUUGUUUAACAAAAAUACAGACACUAGUUAAAUAGAAUUUAACUCAAAUUUUAAUCAUCAUAUGCGUGCGUGUGCGUGUGCGCACGCGUGCGAGCGAGGGUUUACUCGUUAAUUUUUUUAGAAGGAAUCUGGAAAAGAAUAAAGUCAUCUAUUUCACUUUGGUCCAACAUCCCUCAAAGGCGCAGCUGUGCAUCUAGUUAGGAAGAACAUUUUAUAACUCACCUCAAGGUCGAGCAUGGUCAGGGUUAUUGUGUUGUCUAUUCCGAGGAAGAUGUGGCGUUCAAUCCAUGUGAAUCGCACGACUUGUCCAUAUCUUUCUUAUUGAUUACAAAUAGCAUUGAGAAUUAAAGAAUAUUAUCUUAAUAAGUUCCAAUUUAUUCUACAAAACUAUAUAUAAAGAUGUGACAAAAAGAUGUAUACAAAUUAGUUAUUUAUUGUUUGUAAGUAUUAUUGUAUUGCAAAGACAAAAAUAAGAUGCAACUUAUGGCGUGGUCGUCCAACCUGGUUCUGGUUUUGAUCCUGUUCAAAAUCUAUUUUGUUGAAUUGUUGAUCUACUUGUGAGUUAUUGGGUUAACUAGAUCAAUUUUUUAAACAAAACAAUGCCAUUUUAAAAAAAAAAUUGGUUCUGACAUAGAAAUAUAAUAUUAGAAACUUAAACCUUAUUGAUUAGCAAAAACUCAAUGGGAAAUUUAGUUUUGAAAUAGAUUGUUGUAAAAUCAAAUAUGAAUUGAUAACCAGAAAGUUUGCUUAAAAUUGCAAUAACCUUAUAGAAGAAAGCAAACAUAAAUAGAAUUAUUAAAUUCAAUGGAGUUCAUAUAACCAGGAUCACGAGUUUAGCGAGUUAAGCCAUGAAACCCUAAUCGAUCAAAUAUGUCGCCGUUUCAAUUAAAAAAAAUACAUCUUAAAAAGAAUUAAGCUAAACCACGUUUCUACCUAUUAUCUGGGUUGUCUUUAGACUUGUCAAGUCGACUGAGCCAUAUUAGGACAACUUCCAUAUAAUUAAAUUUGAAACUCGAGCUAGAUAAGAAAUCAGGUCAGGAAAUUUUAAUAUUGAUUUGUUGAAUCGGAUUUAAUAACAAUGCCAAAGAUCUGAAUAUUUAUUUUUUACUCAAUUUUUUUUAGGUCCUGUUUGUUUGAUGGAAACAGUUUUUUUUUAGAAAGUGAAUUCCUGUAAAGUGAAUUAUUUUCUGAUGUUUGGUAGUGUGAUGGAAAAUAAAUUAGAAAAUAUUUUCCAGUGUUUGGUUAUGUUAUGAAAAAUGAGUUGAAAAAUAGCUUAUUAAUAUUUUAUUUUUUUUCAAGUUUAUUAAAAAAACGAGGAAUAAAUCUUACAAAUUAAAAAGUUGAAUGAGAAUGAAAUUGAAAAAAAUAAUCUAAUUUUAUAAAUUAUUUCAAAUAAAAUAAAUAAUAAUCAAAAUAAUAGAGAUCAAAUCUAACAAAUAAAAAAAUUGAAAGAUGAUGAAAUUAAAAUAAUAAUAAUUACAAUUUCAUAAAUUAUUUCAAAUAAAAUAAAUAACAAUUAAAAGAAUAAGGACCAAAUUUGAUAGAUAAAAAAUUUCAAUUAAAAAAAUGAUAAGACAAAAGCAAAUAACAAUCAUAAAAAUAAGGACCACAGUUAAUAUAAAAAUCAAAUUAAAUCAAAUUUUAAGGAAGGAAAUUAAAAAAAAAGAUUCAAACAAAAUAUAUAUCAAUUAAAAGUUUGAAGACUAAAUUUGAUAUAAUCAGCAAAUAAUAUGAUAUUUCUAAAUUUUUCACAACUUCUGGAAAAUGUUUUCCGUCCAAAAUAAAAGGAAAAUACUUUCCUGAAAAUCGAGUUAAAUUUUUCUUUGACUGUAAAGUGUUUUCCAUUGACCAACUUUUUUAAUGACAAACAAACACAUGAAUGUUUGGAAAGUGGUUUCUAGAAAAUUAUUUUCCAGGCAAACAAACACCCCCUUAAUUCAAUCACUAAAGAGUUAUCCAAGAAUAAUUAUUCUCCACUAGCAGUUGUUGCAUACUAAAUUUUUUUUGUCAAAACAUACAUGAUAGGUGGCUUCAAUAUCAAUCCACCAUUUUUUAGGAUUUUCCAUGAAGUUUACUUCUAAUAUAACUACAACAAGCUUAGUAGCUUUCUCAUCAACAUUCUCAAUCAUAUGCUAAGAAAUCAUGGUUUUGUUGAGCUUUGUUAUCAUCAUAGGCUUGAUGAUGGAAGGAUUAUUGCUUCAUCAUGCUUUAUAUUUAAGUUCACGCCACUCAAAUUAUUUUGGUUUUUUCCCCACAUGAAGAAUGUUUAGGAAUCGGGUUUGCCAUCUAAACCACAAAGAUUACUAGGUUAACAAGUACAUCGAAAUCAUUAACAAUAGUUUUAUCCAUCUAUUAUCUCAAUAAUAAAAUUAACUUUGCAAUUAUAUAUCACGCUUAUAUAAUCUCAAAUAAUAUUAAUUAAAAUGAAUCACAAAAAUUUAACACACUAAUUGUGCAAAAAAACAAUUUAAUAAACAAUUUAACUUUGCAAUUGUGUAUUUAUUUAUUUGUUUUUCUAUAAGACACAAUGUAAUUUUCAAUAGAAACUAUAACAAUACAAAUAAUUAUAAAUAUUUGUCUUUUGACAUCAACAUAAGAAAACAUUAUGCACUUUUUUAAAGUUACGAUAAAAACAAAUCUGAUUGAUACUUAUGAUAUUCUAGGAUUAAAGCAAUAAUAACAUCUAAUAGAGAUAAAUUAGGUGUCAAACUAAUUAUGUCAAAUAAUACAAAUAAACAUGCUAAACACAUAUAAUAUAAUAAUCAACAAUAUAAUUAAAAUGCUUAAAAUAAAUAGAUAAGAAAAGAGAGAUUACAAACUCGGUUUUUAACAUGGUUCAGUAAGUCUACAACCACAUCUCAAGUACUAAUCGUAAUUGAGUAUUGUAUUCUUUUACUAACCAAUAAUAUAUUAUUUCACCAGUAAUUAUUAUCCAAUAUGCAACUUUUUUUUCCAAUCUUCUGUUUUUUUUUUCCAUAUCAAUCCAACAAUAAAGAAAAUAACAUGUAACAUAAAAUUUCUUUCCCCGUAGAAUCAAUGCAACAAGUAUACAGAUACCACACAACAAACAAUUUAACAAGUCAUGUAAUUUAACAGAAGAUAUAUUUACUUUGCUUUUCCUACUAAAUUUAAACAACUUUUUUGUAAUCUAUGUCAACAUAUAAAACAUAUAUAUAAAUCAAUAAAAAAAAUAAAAAAUAGGUAGAGGUAAUGAUUAAUUUUUUAGCUUUAAAAUUUUUUAUCAUCGCCUCUUUAUGCUAGUAAUGUAAUUGCAAUAUUAUUUUAAAUUAAUUUAAUAUUUUAUUUUUGAUAACAUAACCAAAAAUAAACAGCGAACCAGAAUUUAUAUAGAGUUUCCUAUAAAAAUUUUGAUAAAAAAAAAUAUAAUAGAAAUAAGUUUAUAAAAACAAAAACAAUGUCUCAGUUAGAAUAAUUUUUUCAUUAAUGAGAAGGCCUGCCACAGACCAAGAGGAGAGCUUCAAUGAAGCCAUCCCAGCCGAUGCAGGUGAUUACUCAUCGGCUGACAUCUCCUCGCAUGCCUAGCACCAGCCAAACCGCCUCAAUCUGACAUGCACCAGACAAAGUCGAUGAAAAGACGCCAGGGAGCCUCAGCAGGCGAGAAGAAAGCGCGGGAACACCCACCGCGCGAGAAGAAACACGAAAAACAGAGACGGAGCGCGGUAAAGAUUGUGAAGCCACAGGAUUCACACAUAGUGCACCGUGUUUUAAUGAGUUAUAUGUAUAUAUAUAUAUAUAAUUAUUUUAGUUUAGUUUUAGUUUGUUAGUUAUGAACAGUGAAGCAGCACCAGAAUACAAUUCUUUUAGUUUGUUAGCGAAUUUGGAAAGAAUAAAGUCAUCUGUCAAGCUCUGUUCACUUUGGUCCGACAUUCUUCACCUCUCCCCACCUGAGCUCUCUCUCUUUCCCUCCUCCGCUCUAGGAAGCCGCCACCACCUCAACCAAUAAGGCUUCAAAUCUCCACCAGGUGCUUCCUUUUCUAUCAUGUUUUUUAUUUUUAAAAUUUACAUCUGUGUUUUCAUUUAUUUAACUGAAAUUCUUAUCCAGAGAGAUAAAUUCGAUUUUAAUAAGUAAAUUAAAAAGAUAUAUAAUCGGAUCGAUGAAAUCGUUGUUCGUGAACGCAACUCGAAGAAAGGCGUAAUCAGCCGAUUCUACUGUGGGUGGAGCAUUUAGUAUGGUCAGGGUUAUUGUGUUGUUUAUUCAAAGAAAGACAUGCCUGUAAAUUUGUUAAGUUGAUUCUUAUCAGUCUGCUCUUUAGAGUUAAUGAUAACAUGAAAUAUUCAUUGUUAAUGCUCGUUGUUUUCUUCGUCUUUUUCCUAGACUAAAACAUCCUAGACAGUCUCUUUGGGAUGGGUUAGUGUUUCUGGCCUCUUCAUCUUCAAUUUGUGCUGUGGUGAAAGGCCUCGUUUUAUGACUUUGUUUUGUAUUCUUCUUAUUUCUUUAUUCUUUUGGGGAUGUGGUGUUUUCCUCUUUCUAUUACACUAUUUACUCCCUACAAUAUUUAUUUUUUCAGAGAAGUAAAUAUAUGCAUAAAUAACAAAAACAGGAGGGGAAGGGGAAUGGGGUUUGAUAGUAAGUAUUUGCUUAGAAGGGAAUGCUUCUUCGGUUUAGAAGCACCAUGAAGAUUCUUUGCUUUGAAUGGCCGAAUACCCAGGAUCCUAGCACCUAGGCCUGAAUGUUUGUGUAUAUUUGUUAUGCAUCCAUAUUUGGCUGAAUUCUUUAAUAAAGUACAUGAUAUUAGACGGAAGUUCUUUUUAAAUCUAUUCAAGUCUGAAUAAACUGAUAUUCCAUUUUUCAUGUUCUUGAUGUGCUUUUGCUCUUCUUGUCGUUCCUGACUUUCUUUUAAGGGUCUAUUCUAACAUGCAAUAUGAUUUUUUUUUUCUUUUUGGUUGGCCAACUGUCCUAGGCGGAGAACCUAUCAUAGACACGGGUGAUUGGAGAAUUCAAUUGCAGCCUGACUCAUGGAAAAGAAUAAGCGACAAAAUGUAUGUGCAAGUGCUGCAAAAUAGUAAAUUUUUUUAUUUAUAUGAAAGAAAAGGAGAAUGGCAAAGGGUUAAUUAAAAUCAACAAGAUAGCCAUGAGGCAACCUCAAGUAUCACACACCUUUUUUUUUUUUCAUCUUUUAAUGUGUUUCUCACGAGAAGAAAACUUGAGGGAACAUAAAGUGAUGGGAAGUAAUUUUUGUUGGAAUUUCUUGUGUAAUCUCUUCUUUUGAUGAUGACCUCUUGGAUGGCUGCAUGAAGCUUGUUCCGCUUUUAAUUUCAAUUUAAAACUCGAGUUGCAAUUGAACUUAAAUGAAUGGUGUUGGAUUUAGGCCUUCUAUUUGUUUUAACUUCUACAGGGUUGAAAUGAUAGUGAUCUUAAAGUUGAAAAGCAACAGACAAAAAUCAAUUAGCCACAGUGGUGCAUGGUUUCGUAGUUUCUCAGCAUAAAGUUGAAUGUUUUGUUGACCUCUCUACAUCCAAAAUCAUAUAGACAGCUACUUCUGGCACUUGCAUUGGUCAAUGAAUACUGUAAAGUAUAUAUUGCAGUGUGAGAUAAGGUUAACUCGUUGCAUUUUCAUAUAUUGAAAAGAUUUGUCUUCUUUUCUUUGUCAAUUACAGCAAAUGUGUAGAAGUUACUCAGAGUAAAUGCUAUUGUAAUGUUUUCACAUACUCCCCUGCUUUGCAACUAAGUCACUAAUAUAUGAAGCUCGUAGCUAGAAUUUUUAGAUAGAAGGGUGGCCAAGUAAACUCCUAUAAUAUGUACCUCUGGAAUAAUACAGGGAAAAGAUGUCUAUGUAUUUUGAUGUCUUAUAAUACUUGACCAACUCUUGCUUAUCUUGUUGUUACCCAUUUUUUAGUUCACAUAAAAAUGAGAAAAUACAAAAAACAAAUAUCAAAAGAAAUCCAAAAAAUAAUAGGAGCGAGAAAAGGAUUGCUGGAAUGCCGAAAAAAAAAUGCCAAAAUUGGUUGAGGAGAUUCAAAAAUGCAAAAGGUUGAAAUUUGACAGUGAGAGUCCUGUUGAUGAGGAAAAUUCAAUUUGAGAAAGAAAAGUCCAAAAUCAGAUGUUUAUGGACUCAAUUAAAUUUUAUCCAAGGUUUAAUUGAAUUUAUAGAGGGUUUGAUUGCAAGAAAAUUGAUUUUGUAAGUCAAUUUAGGCUUUUAUCGGAAGAAAUUAAAGUUCUGGGGUCCAAUUAUAAUUUUAAAGAGUUGAUUUGGUCAAAUCAGGGGCUUAAUUGCAUAAUUAUUGAAGUUUGAUGGCCAAUUAGGGACUUAAUUGAAAUAAUUUGAGACCAAGGAUCAAACCAGAAAAGGCGCUAACAUUAAGGGAUCCAAUUACAAUUUUGUCAGGGGGGUUUGAUUAUAAAACAGCGAAAACUUCAAGGGCCAAAUUAGAAGAACCCAAGCGGCGCCGUUUCCACCAUUAAUGGUCUUCAAACAGCUGUGAAUCGGUGACGAUAAUGGAAGGAGACGUUAGCAGCAAUUAUGGAAAAUAUUCUCAAUUCAAUGGGGCUGGUAUCGCGGCUGACAUCCCUCGUCACCGUGAUGGGCGCCGGCUUACCAAUAUUGCUGGCGUCCUCUGGCUAUAAAAGCCAGAGGAAGAGCUGCACCAAAAAUAAAAGGAGGUGAGAGAGAGGAGAGGCUACAGUGAAGAAAAAAAAAGGGGAGUGAGACAGUUUAUGAGAACGUAAGAAAAGUGAGAGGGUGGAGAAAUAGCGAGCAAGCAUAAGGGAGAGAAGAGGAAGGAGAGAAAGAAGCAAACCGAACGGGAACAGAGGACACGGUGAAGCAGAGAACCCAGCACCACCAUCGUCUUCGUCUUCUCAAAAUCAGGUAUGUUCGAUGCCCUUCUCCGUUUCCUUGCAAAAUGAGAUGAUGCAUGUUAGUAUGUAAAAUACAGAAAGAAAAUAUAAGGAAACCGACACCAGAAAUCGCCAGUUACAAUGCUCUGUUUUGUUUUCCUUUUUCAUUCUCGCACUGCAACAAAGAUGGUUAACAGAGCGAAGGUAAUUUAAUUACCUUCGCCCUGUUCAUACAAGCCUAAAUAUAUUAUGGUGCCAUUAGAUAAAAAUAUGCCUUGCAGUCUAGAUGGUCAGCUUACCUGGCUCUCAUCCGAGAGACCCGGUUUCAAGUCCCAACAAGGGAAUUCCUUUUUGAAGGUGGUCACUGGCAUGGGCCAGUGACCAUGCUGGGCUAGCUGAAUCCAGCCCAGCUACGCAGGUUGGCUGGGGUCCAGCCCAGCCAUAUGGGCCGGGUUGGGCCCAGCAAUAAAAAAUAAAAGAAUAAAAAUAAAUAAAAAUUCAAAAAAAUUAUUUAAAUAUCUGUGAUUUUCCGUCAAUUUUUACUGCAUUUUAAUUAAUACGGUUUGUAUUUUUAUACUGUAAAGAUACAAAUCCGGUAUUAAAAUACCAUAUUUUGGUCCAAACAUUAAAAAAGAAGUUUUGUUUUCAUACAUACGGCUAAGUCUCUCAAAAAUAAAAAAUCAUAUUGUAUUUUCAUACAACAAAGAAAAUUUCAAAAAAUAUGUAUUAGCAUGCAUUUUGGCUUUAAUAACCAGUUUAUUAAAGUCACGAGAACUAGGCCAAUAUUUCAAAAAUUCUAAAAAAUUUAUUUUGUUUUCUUUUAAUAUCGGGGGCCGGGUUAUGAUCUUAUACGUAAGACGUGUUCCAGAUAUUAAAUUUUCUUUGUUGGCAUUAGACCGGUUAGGUUUUACCCGAUAAGAUAAGGAUCUCUUUACCGAAGAGAACUUUUCUUAAACCAUAAACGGACCAACAAAUAGAAAGCACAACAUGACCUUAGAUUUUAUCAGACAAUAAAACAAUGCAGCUUACCUUAGGUAGGGCGUAUUUGGGGUGCUAAUACCUUCCCUUUACGCAACCAAUCCUCGUACCCGAUCUCUGAGACCAGUUAGGGUUCCUAGUGACCAAAAUACUAGGUGACGACUUUCAUUCUAUUUUUUCACUGAUAAAAGACAAGAAUACCUUGUCUCCACACAUUUGCCACAUUUUUAGAUAAGAUAAGAUAGAAUUCGAGGGUGGAUGUUUUCGCCGCGACGCCGCACACGUGCGACAUAUCUCAUUAUUUGUUUUUACUUUUUGCUAAUGAUUCCACACAUUUCUGAAAUUGGUGUGGUUUAUGAGUUCAGGGUUCUUGCUUGCUGCUGCUAACUUCUCUAUACUUGCCUGGUCAUUAAAAAUGAAACGUAAUGAUUUGCAUGUGCAGAAUGGAGACAUUAAAGAGGGAUCUUCUGUUUUCUAGUCAGAAGGGAUUACAAGAACUCAAGAAAUAUGCCAUACGUUUUGAGGAAAAGAUUUAUAUUACCGCCACGAAUCAGGGUUCAAUAAUUAUGAUAUUCUCUUGACAUGAAUAUACACAUGCAUUUAUGCAUGUACAAAUGUGUGUGUAGUGUGCCUCCACUUCCUCACCGUGCAUUCUGUAUGCAAGGCUGAUUGGGAGUUCGCAUGUUUUUGUUAAUUCUCUUGACAAGUGUUUUAUCUAGAGUGACCAAGUUCAAGUACAAGGGAAGUGUGCAAAAAGAAAAUAGCAAAUCAAUACAUAAAUAAUUAAAUAAAAAGAGAGGAAACAGAAGUAUAUCCUCACAAACGAUGAAAUGAUAGAGCAUAUAUCCAUUUUCCUCCUCUUGUAACAUGGAUUGCUCUGAGAUCUAAUGUUUUGUUAUUAAUAUAUGAUUUCAGUAUGAUUAUCUGCGUAAAAUAUCUCUGGAGAUGCUUUCAAUGGAGAUCAGGUCUCAAAAUACCAUGCCCACUGCCCCCAUGGAUCCAGCAGGUUAUAAUGCAGCCGAGCAUUGAAUUUGUAAACAUCUUACCUUUUGUUUUGUUUGUCGCAUUGUAAUCAAACUCUUUUACAUUUUAUUGCGGCAUAUUGCUAUGUGUUUAGCAUGCUUUAAUCAAAAAGUUGAGUAAUUGAUGAAUGUUAGGCAAGAAUAUUACAGAUUGUUUUUGUUUUCUGCCUCCUCCUUUUCUUUCCUCCACCUUGAAAAUUGUCAUAUUAUUUUUGUUUUCAGUCGCCUCUUCUUCCCCCAUCCCUGAAAAUUGUCAGAGGACAUUUUUAUGCUUUGAAUCAAAUCCAUCCUAAUUUUUUCGCUCAUAACUUUAUGUGUGAACUGCAUAUGUUUCAUUUGUCUUCCUUGUUCAGUGCCUUCUUUUUUUCUGUGACAUGGUUUUCCCUUUUGCCUUUUAUCUUGAACAGCAUCCCAUAGUAUGCGCCCUGAAGUUCAGAAUCAAGGGCUGUUUCUCCCUAUCCUAUUGUCCACUGAUCAGUCUCAAGCAUGUCAGCAGUUGGUAUCACAGAACAUGCAGAAUUGCAUGGCAUCUAAUGGAGUUCAAAGUUAUGCUGGUUUACAAGCGGCACUGCCUCCUGUCUCUGGUGUAACCCUGACUAACCCCAACACUGUUGUCCAGAAUCCUAACAUGCAGAGUAUCCCUGGUGUUUCACAGAACUCAGUGGGGAAUUCAAUGGGACAAGGGAUUCCCUACACUAUGUUUGCCAAUUCUCAGAGACAAAUGCCAGGUAAUGCUCUUUUUGGUAGCUUUAUGUGCCACUGCUUCCCUUUAUGGCAUUAGAAAUGCCACUGCUAUUGGAACUAUUGCAAUCACACAUGCAUUUGUAACCACACGAUGCCCUACAGUGCGGUGCACCAACUGUUCACCUCUCAUAAUGGUUCAAGUCAGCAAUGCUCUUUUAGGUAGCUUUAUGUGCCACUGCUGCCACUUGUGGCAUUAGUAAUGCCAUUGCUAUUGAAACCAUUGCAAUCACACACGUAUUUGUUACCACAUCAUACCCUCCAGUGCAUUGCACCAGCUAUUCGCCCUCUCAUUCUGCAUUUAUAUGAUCACAUAACAUUUAUAUGAAGUUCUUAAUACAAAAAGGACUUGUAUUCCUAUAUAGGAAAAUACUAAUAGUCCUAUCUAGAAUAGAAAAAACCUAAUGAAGCUCGCUAUACUUUGGGAAUAAUUAAAUACUAAAUGGAAAAUAAAACUGAGACUCGUAAUAUUUCAUAAUUUUCAGCAAGCGUUAAAAUUAUAGAAAUACCCUUGUAUAUGGAAAACACACAAAAAUACAUGAAUUCUAAUAUUUUGUUGUCCGCAUUGAAAUUUUUGUAGCAUCCCUAUAUUCUACAGCACAGACUGGACAUGCAAAAGGCGCUGAUUGGCAAGAGGAGAUCUAUCAGAAGGUAAUUUCUGUGAUUUACUGUUCAUUAGAUGGAGUUCAUGUUUGCCAUAGUCUUGCAAGAUUUCAAUGGAAAAAGGUCUCAAGAAAAUAAGUGGGACUUAUUCCAUUGAAUCAUGACCACAUCCAGUAUUGUUGAAUUUUACAGAAAAUGAGGUUGAAAUUCUGAAUGUCUCAAGUCAUAGCUGCAUGUUUAAUAAGGAGAUUUUUUUUUUGUGCUUAGGAGAGUUUUAAAACGGGAAUAAGAAUGGUUGUUGAUAAGGACAAUUUUUUUUGUGCUGAGGAGACCAAUAUUUGCUGAGCAAUUCUAUAAUGAAAAGUUGGCGACUGAUGUUUUAAAAAUUGGAGUUAAGGAAUGGCUUAGAGUGCAUGGAGAUCAUGUUAAAAGUGAAGCUGUAGAGAAGGCAAUCACUCAAAUUAUGAUGGGUGAAGAAGCAGAGGAAAUGAGUAGCAGAGCAAAGAAACGGCCAGGAAGGCUGUUGAAGAAGGUGGAUCUUCUUGCUCCGAUUUCAAUGCUUUGAUUGAAUAACUGAGGUGGGGUCGCCCUUGAAACAAAGACAUAGAACAUUUUGUUUAUACUUUAGUAGUGGUUGUGGCAAUUUAUUUUCGGACAAGUCUUGAGAGUUGAAAGAGUAAUCACACCCGAGUCAAUGACCAAUCCAAAUCAGUUUCCUUCCUAAUGAUUCAGGAAUGAGAAGUCCAGCUUAUAUAUUUAACCCAAAUAACUAAUCAAAUAGAAAGGCUGAGCUUAGAGAUAGUACACUACAUAUUGCCAAUAACUAGAUAAACAAUCAUCACAAACUAGGAACGACCGUCUCCCCAAUAACAAAUUCACCUUCUGAAGUUAGAGAACUUGCGAAAACUAGCCACCACAAAAUAGUAGCAAGUAUCUAUGCAGUCUUCGAUGAAGUACAACCACCUGCGUCGCCAAUAUGGAUUGAUGUAGAGAACUGCUGCAAUCGUCAUCACCACAACUGUGUAACAUACACCGAAACUGAUGUAGAAAAACUCCAUAUCUAUGAAACCAUCAUCUCCUUGUUCAUCAUUAGGCACUGGCUGUGACACCACUGCCUUCUCACUACAAUUGUUUGGCAAUGGAGGUCCACACAAGAAAGGAUUUCCUUCGUAACAGCUUUCAUCGAAGGUCCCAAACUGAUAUAUUCUCUCGGGUGUCUUGCCUGACAAGUUAUUGUGCGCCACACUAAAAACUUCCAGUGUGGUAACUUCAGUAAAUUGUGGAGGGAUGGCACCAUUCAAGUUGUUGUAAGAAAGAUCCAAACUCUCAAUAUGCAUUAGGUUUGAGAAUGUUGCAGGGAUAGAUCCAGUGAGAUUGUUGUGUGAUAAGUUUACUGACAGUAUCUUACUUAAGUUUCCAAAUUCUGGUGGGAUUGCUCCGAUGAAGUUGUUAUUGGAGAGAUCAAUACCAAACAUGUAGUUGAGAACUUUCCCCUUGUACCCAUAAUACAUAUUUUUAGUUGUAAAUUCUGUCACUUCUUCUGUAAAGUUAAACAAAAAAAAAUUUCUCAAGUUGUCCACACUAUCCACUAGUGGUGGGCCCAUUAUUUCAUAAUAAGCUUUUUCUAUGGACUCUGAUAUAAAACCAUAUGCGACUUCCAAUAUCGCUUUCUUGUCACUUUUCUUGAAAGUAAGAUUGCCUAAACAGGAGGGUAGUGGACCAGAGAGCUGGUUGUGUGAAACAUCCAAAAUGCUUAAUUGUUCUAACAAGCAUAACUGAAUAGGGAGCUCACCAUCAAAGUGAUUAGCCCUCAGAAGAAGAACACUCAAUGAUGAAAGAUUGCCAAUCCAAUUUGGAAUGGAGCCGGUGAAGCUGUUUUCUCGAAGAUCCAUCGUAACCAGGUAAGAGCUGUUAAAAAAUGCAUAUGUUAAUGGACCGCUCAGUCUAUUUUUCGAUAGAUGCACAUGGGUUAUUUGUGGUGGACUAAAACAAGAUGGUAUAUAUCCAGACAAGUUGUUCUCAGAAAGGUCCAAAUAUUCAAGCUGGUCAAACUUACAAAAAUCUCUUGGGAUCGGACCCUUAAAAUGGUUUCCGGACAAAUCAAUUACUCCAAGGAUCGAAAAAUUAACGAAGCUCCUUGGAAGCAUGCCCGAAAAUUGAUUGUUACUCAAAUCUAAUACAUUCCAUACAUUCCACCUAUAUAAUGGAAAAUCUGAUAUCUGACCCCAAAAGUUGUUACCAUUUAGGUAAAGAAAAUUCAGGCGAGAAGAAUUGAACACCGAGGUCGGUAUUUUCCCACCCAAAUUGUUGUUUGACAGCUUGAGAACCCAUAUUGUUGUUAGUUGUUCUAGUUUUACUGUAGACAAUUGAUUGUUGGAUAAAUCUAAAAAUGAAAGAGAGCUAAUAUUUCCUAAACAGGAAGGAAUACAACCUGUGAAUCCAUUCUUAGCCAUCCUUAAGGUGUGUAGAUUUGGAAAGAUCAAACAAAUAUCUUUUGGAAUUUGACCGUUCAUGUUGUUGUUGGAUAUAUCUAAAUUGGUCAUAUUCGGAUGGAGGUGAUCUUGCAACUGCAAAGCACCAAUAAAGGAGUUGUCGCUCAGAUAUAGUUGUUCCAAUCGUGUAUUGUUCUUAAGCAACCACGAUGGAAACAUUCCAGUGAUGUUGUUGUGGGAGAGAUCAAGGGCUCUUAAGUCUAAUUGGUAAUAGAGGAAGUCGGGAAUUACAUUGAGUGCUUCCGAUGUUGGACUACUUGACAAGCGGAAAAAGACUAGUUGGAACUUUGGAAUCAAAUUAUCAAAGGCAGCAGGUUCUGUUACUAGCUUGUUGUUCUCACUGGAGAAGAACUUGAGGCUUGAGUGGUUCAUAAAAGGCUUUAUUGAAAUGGGAACUUCAAAGAGGUUAUUUGAUAGUGAGAGGAAUUCAAGGGAUAUGAGGUUGGUAAGAGGACCGAAAGCAAUAUUUCCAGUAAACUGGUUUUCAGAAACAUCUAAUAGUUGUAAAGAUGACAUGUUCCCCAAACAAUCUGGGAGUGAACCUCCUAAAUUAUUUCUAGAGAGAUGUAACUGCUUCAGAUUCUUCAAUUCACACCAACCUGUACAAUUUAUCUUGAAAUAGUCAAAAUAGUGUUGGAAGAAUCUUUUGUUGAUGAUGUAAUUAUAGGCGGAUGGAGAGUUGUUAAUUUACCUUGAGCAGGUAGGGUGCCAUGGAGGUCACAUUCACCAACAGACAAAACUUUAAGAGCAGGCAAUGCUCCAAUGUUCUGGAGAAAGUUUAUUGGGAGAGAAGUAUUAUCUAGAUGCAAUUCUUCAAGGGUGCUCGAAUUGAACAAAGUCCCUAUGAAAAAGAAAGAAGAAGAGAUAUGAUGAAAAUAGUGGUGGUACAGAAUAUAUAGCCAUUCCAUUCAAUAUUAUUAAUUAAGAUUUUAAGAAACUAAACUAUUAACCUUGACUUAAAUUAGUAUCCUUGAGAGAAAGGGUCUUCAGGGAUGGCAAUGAACACAAUGACUGUAGGAAGUCCAGCUUCCUUGAACCUAUGAUGUGUAGAAUUGAAAACAGGCAAUCAAGUAAGUAGUGAAAUUAAGUGUUAUCUUGAUCGAGUUCUUAAAGCUAUGAUAAAGAACUGGUACUUUUGUAGUGAGAUGAUUUUUUGAUAGAAACAACAAAUUGCCCAAAUAAUAGAAGAUGCCAAGAGAUAUUCACAACUUUACCAUUGACAGCCGUCGAUCCUAGCAACAUAUUGCCUGAUAAAUUUAAAGACUUGAGGGAUGAAAGUCCACUCGGAUGUGAUAAAAUGCUGUCGUUGAAUAUAUUAUAGCUCAGGUCCAGGUUCUCGAGUUUCCCCAAAUGUGAUGAUAUGAUCUCAAAACCUGCAAGGAGUUGUUUCUAAGAGUAAGUCAUAAUUAUGAGCUCACGAUAUGCAUAAUAUAUAGAAACUAAAGAUAAUUAGAAUUGAUGAGAUGUUGUUCAAUUGAUAUAUGAUUCUCAAAUUAUACAUAAAAAGAAUGAUAUAUGAACGCAUAUUUAAUUAUAUAAUAGAUUAAGAAAUAAUUUAUGGAUAAGAUCAAAGCUCCAUAGAUAUUAAUCUUCAUAGAUGAAAUUAAAGCGCAAUCAAACAUGAUGAAAUGCUAUCGUUGAUUUUUAAAUAUAUAUAAAGUCCUCAAUUUUCUUGAUAAACAGAAUGCAACUUACUAUUGAUAGAUCCUGUCAGCUGAUUGUUUGACAGAUCCAAAGACUUGAGAGAUGAAAACCCAGUUAGAGAUGGAAAAAUGCUAUCGUUGUAUUGAUUCCGUCUUAGAUGAAGGUUCUCAAGCUUUUUCAACCUUGAUGACAAGACUUUGAGACCUGCAUGAUGUUCCUCAAAAGCAUAGAAAUGAUACAUGAACGCAUAUUUAAUUAUAAAAUAGGUUGUGCACGCUUCUAAGAUUAAGAUACAAUUUUUAAAUAUCAUUCUAAUUUUGAUCAUUGGAAAAAAAAAAACAAUUUACGGUUAUAAAGUCGCUAAAGAUGGAAGCUAAGUUAUGAUAGACUUACAAAACAAAAUAAAGAAACUUAUAAUUAAGAUCUCAUCGGUAAUUAAAACAAGAAUAAUAAUCGAUCCAUGUAAGUUCAAAUAUUGCCUAAUUUUGAAAAACUAAUUAAUUAGUUAUGAUAGUUUCAAAAACUAACUGCCUCUGUAAGAUGCUAAAUGCCUCUCUCGUUGGCUGUCUAGUGAUUUGUAUUGGAUAGUUUUUUUUUGAAUUGAUGUUAAGAUCCAAGUUUUAAUAAUUACAAUUUUCUUAAUUAUAUAUAAUAUUAUAGGAGAGAGCUUCUUAUUAUGUUAUUCAAAACCCAUUCAAACUCAAAUUCAUAAAAAAAAAUACUUAGAGUUGUGUUCGACUAAGGAUCUCAAGACAGAAAAAACAUAUAUAAAAAUAUAUUUAUUUAAAAAGAUAAAUAUAAAAUAUAUAUUUAUAGGAGAGUUUUGAAGUGAACUUCUGAUUGCUAAUUUAAUCUAAAUAUUACAACACUUUUGGCAUAAAAGGGCCAAAAUAAGAAUAAAAUAUAUGCCUCUUUACGUAGAUAUAAAGUUCUCAUUUUUGUUGAUAAAGAAACAAUAUAAUUAAGAGAAUGUCAUGUGAAGCAUUUAGGUAGAAACUGUGUAUUAUACCUGAUCCUGUCAACUCAUUGUACGACAGAUCCAAAGACUUGAGGGAUGAAAAUCCAGUAAGAGAUGGAAAAAUGCUAUCGUUGCAAUGAUUCCAACUUAGAAGAAGGUUCUCCAGCUUUUUCAACCUUGAGGACAAGACUUUGAGACCUAAAUAGCAGCUACCUCCUGAUCAUUUAAAUGCGUAGAAAAAAAUGAUAUGAGAAGGAGAAAAGAAAAGGUUUCGAAGCUAAAUAAUUAAAAGGUUACCAUAGAAGCUACCUCCUGAUCCAGCUGUCAACCCAUUCUCUGAUAGAUCCAAAGACUUGAGAGUGGAAAGGUUACCAUUGAAACAUGACAAAAUGCUUUUAUCAUUAUUAAAUCCGUUAUAACUUAGGUCAAGUUUCCUCAGUUUUGAUGAUAGGACUUCGAAGCCUGGAAAGAGCAAGAUAAUUGACAUUAAACACCAACCAACCUUCAUUUAUUUUAUGAUUAUAUUUAAGUGCACAAACAUUGAACUAACCUUCAUUCUCCAAGCAACCAACCAAUCCAUUACCUUCCAAUUCAAGACUUUGCAAUUCUUUAAAAGGCUGAAACAAAGAUGCGUUGAGAACCCAAUCGCCCAAGCUCUCGUCCCUUGAUCCUCUAAGAGAGAGUUGGAUCACUCGCCUUGUAGUGUUAUCACACUCGAUCCUAUGCCACUCACAACAAUUACUACCGUCCACCCAAUCUCUCAAGGAAACGCCAUCUGGGUCGAUCGAAGAUUGGAUCUCCAAGAGACCAAUCCUCUCUUCCUCCAAACACCCAUAACAACGACCAUACCAUUCGCCAACCAAAGUCAAUAAUGCUAGCAACAUCCAACUCCCCAUUCUUUUCAUCAUCAUCUACGUAGAAUAUUGUUGUUUGUUAUGUGUCUUUGGGCAACCAUAGAGGUCCUAUUUAUACUACAAUUUUGGCCAUUUCCAUGAUUUUAUCUGCAUAUCUUAUGCAGGUUCUAUGUUUUGAGAUUUGAAUAUUAUUUUAUUUCCUUUUGGAAUAUUCUUGGAUUCGAAUAUUAUUUUAUUUUACUGUUUAGCACUUAGUCUAUUUGCAUUUAAUUAUAUUUUGGUUACUAAUUAUCCAAUUUUAAAAAAAUAAAAAAUAAAAAUUGUUGCAACAUUUCAAUUUUUUUAUCGACAUUCAUGUGUGAUUUCACGUAAGAUCUUUUUAAAUUUAUAAUUGUACUUUUCUCGUUAUAAUUUAGAAUUAUUUAGGAGCCUACUUGCAUGGUGUCAUCACUAUUAUAUAUAAUUAAAUACAUAAAUUAUCAAUAAUAAUAAAUUCGGAAUAAUUAUAAAUCUUAUCCCUGUGGAUUGUGUGGCUACAGUAUGAUAUACAAAAACUUCAAAUAUAUAUAAAUAAAAGAAUGCUAAAAGUGACAUUCUCUUGGGUGACCACCACAAGCCCAUCUAAAACACACAAGCCAUAUAAAAAUCACACGACAGCCAAUUACCUUAUCUUGUGAGAAAAAAGAUUAAAAAAAAAAAAAGCAUUUUCUUGGGUGUGCAAUGACUGCCAAUCUUUCUCGUUAUGACAUUCAAUGCUCUGUAAGAAGUUGCAUGAUGCUCUUCUCAUGGGGAGCAAAAAUCAGUAGCCUCCCAUGGAAUCCUCAUAAACCUUUCUCUAUGCUCUUCUAAGAUAUUAAAAAUGUCAAACAUACAUAAAUAAUAAGAAAAACAAUAAAAAAAGAAAGCUAUACAAAUAGAGCUUCCAACAAAAAGACUAGGAAGUUGUUUACUGAAAAUUGAGAUUCAUAAUUUGUUUUGAUUUGUUUUGAUUUGUUUUGAGUUAUUAUGGUCUCAUGACCCGGGUCACAGAUUUAAAGGUUAAUCUAGAUUGACCCGGGUCGAUUAAUCCAAUAUGUUGUUGUUUCGAUAUACUUUUUUUAAAAAAAUAUGUCAUCUUGAUUUUUUUCAAGUGAAACUAUAUUUUUACCAGUCGUCCAGACAAUCUUUGAGCCCAUCGAAUCGAUCGGGUUAUAUCAAUUUAACUCUUAUUUUUUUAUUUAUAUUUGAAAUUUAAAUUGCAUAAUUUUUUACUUAUUUUUUUAUAUAGGUGGUUAUGAGUUACAAAAAUUAAGCAAUUUCGAGUAUAUUGACAUGAGAAUUAAUGGUUUCGAUAACAAUAUUCUAUCAUUUGUAGAGGGAUUUUCAUCUUUUAAAUCACUAUAUUUAGAUUAUAAUAGACUGGAAGGGUUAAUAGAUUUAAAAUGUUAGUUUUUUUAUAUACUUAUUUUUUCUCUAUUAAAUUUAAUUUCAAAAGAACACAAUUUUCGAUAACAGUAUUCUAUCAUGCAAUUUUUGUUUUGUUUCAAAAGAACACAAUCGCCCAAGCGGAAAUCCCUUGCAUAGAAAAGAGAGAGUUGGAUCACUCGCCUUGUACGUAGUGUUAUCACACUCGAUCCUAGGCCACUCACAACAAUUACUACUGUCCACCCAAUCUCUCAAGAAAAAGCCAUCUGGGUCGAUCAAAGCUUUGAUCUCCAAGAGACCAAUCCUCUCUUCCUCCAAACACCCAUAACAACGACCAUGCCAUUCGCCAACCAAAGUCAAUAAUGCUAGCAACAUCCAACCCCCCAUUCUUUUCAUCAUCAUCUACGUAAAAUAUUGUUGUUUGUUAUGUGCUUUUGGGCAACCAUAGAGGUCCUAUUUAGACUACAAUUUUGGCCAUUUCCAUGAUUUUAUCUGCAUAUCUUAUGCAGGUUCUAUGUUUUGAGAUUUGAAUAUUAUUUUAUUUCUUUUUGGAAUAUUCUUGGAUUUGAAUAUUAUUAUUAUUUUAUUGUUUAGCACUUAGUCUAUUUGUAUUUAAUUAUAUUUUGGUUACUAAUUAUCCAAUUUAUAAAAAAAAAUAAAAAAUAAAAUAAUUGUUGCAGUACUUCAGCAUUGUUAUCGACAUUCGUGUGUGAUUCCGUAUAAGAUCUUUUUAAUUUAAUUGUACUUCUCUCGUCAUAAUUUAGAAUCAUUUAGAACCCUAUUUGUGUUAUGACUAUCAUAUAUAUAAUUAAAUACAUAAAUUAUCAAUAAUAGUAAACUCAGAAUAAUUAUAAAUCUUAUCCCAGUGGAUUGUGUGGCUACAGUAUUUUAUACUUCAAAAUAUAUAUAUAUAUAUAAAAGUUAGAGCUGCUUUUGUUUUUAUGUUCGGAAAGGUAUUCUUGACUUGUUUUUAUUACAUUUCAAUAUUAUUAUUUUUUUUCAAUCGAGUCAAAGAUAUACCAUUUAUAUUAGAAUGAGAAGACUAAUCAAUUUCUCUAGUUUUCUCCCUAUUUAUAAAAUACAUCUGGUUUUUGAAGUCCAGAUUUUAGGAUAAAAGGAAUUUAUUUCUUGAAAUUAAUGCAUUAAACAAUAUAAAGAUAUUUUUUAAAAAUUAAAAUAGUAGUAAAAGUAAAUUUAGUUUUUGAUUGAAGUGUAAACUAGUGGUAAAUGAACAAAAAAAAAAAACUUUCUUGAUUAUCUAAUGGAAACUCCGCCUAAUAUAUAUAUAAUAGCAAUCAUUUUCUUAUCUCUUGUAUCAUUCAUAUCUUCCACAAAUCUUAAGUAAUUGAUGAGAAAGUGGAUAUUGCCAAGAAAGGUCGUGAACGCGGAUGCUUGACUUGCUGCGUGGCAUUUUGAUUUUUAAACACAACACUACUUUCUUUGUGGAAAUAACGCUACUUUGCAUGAAGAUGAUGGAUAUAGAAGACUUGCUACUUGUUUUAUGGAAAUAACGUAUGGAAAAUUAUGCUUUAAUUUUAAUGAUGAUAGCAAAAUCAAACAGUAUUGUUGAUAAAAUGAGCCAUAAAUAAUAUUAUUUCUAUUGUCAUGACAAUAAGUUUUUUUUUUUUUUUUUCUAAAGAGUCUAUUUUUCCUCUAGGAGAGGCCGCGAGACGUCCUCUUCCAACCAUCAUGCAUUUUUUCUACGAGAUGGGUUCAUGGAAAUACUUUGGUUUAAUUGGGAAUGCUGUUAUUGAUUGAAAUAUUUUUAAUUAAAAUAAAUUUGAUUAUUUGAUUGGAAAAAAAAUAUUGUAACCAAGUAAUUUAUUUAUUUAUUUUAAUGAAAUAUAAAAUAGUUUUAAAUCUUGUGGUAUAUUUCUUGUCUUUAAGAGCUAUGAACUUAUAUCUCAAAACUUGAAAACUAAUAUAAAGAUAUUAAGUGAUCAUUGAGUGUGUGUGUGUGUAUAAUCCUUUUCAAAACAAAAAGGAUUUUGAUGGAGAUUAGGACAUUGCAACAAAUUAUCCACCACUAGAUGGGUCAAUGAUACCAUUGUCAUCAUGCAAUUUUUCCCACGAGAUGGGGCCGUACGCUUGGGGCUCUAAAAGCUAUGGUUUUAAUUUCAUUAUGUCACAUCUAGAAUGGCAGGUAUAUUUUAUUUCAAUUUAAACAAUGGAAUAAAUUAGAAGAUAUUUCAUCUCGCUUAAAAUCUUAUCUUCUUAUAUGAUUUCACCUAAAUUCUGGCUGGAAUGUUUAAGUUAUAUUCUAGCUAUUCUGUUAUGGCCAAAUGAUAUUUUGUUUUACUUUUAUAAAAAAUUAAAAUAUAGUUUAGUUUUUGUAUUUAUUUUCUGGUUAUAUUUAAUUUGUCAUCAAUAUUCAUAACGUAAAUUGCUAUGCAUUUCGAAUCUUGAAAGGAUUGAAAGAUGGAAAACAGAAAAGAAAGAGAGACCCCCAGUUCAAAAGAAAAAGAAAAAAAAACAAUAGUAAAAGAAAGAGAAGAGAACAAAAGUGAAGCAGUUUUUACUAACUAUAUAAAUUUUAUAAUUAUUAAUAUUAAAUUCAAAAUAUGUACAUAAUGCAAAUAUGUAAACAUAUCAUGUGGUUUAAAGAAAUGAUUUUUAUAAAGAUAUAUGUCUUAACAAUAUUAAUCAACUCUUAAUAUUUUUCAUUUUAUAAAUAUUAAAAGUAAAUAUUAAAACCUAUUAUAUUAAUUUGUGAAGGUAUUUACUCGGAUGCGAAUUAUAUUUCUAAUUUUUUAUUAAAAAAAAAUUCUACAUACUACAACUAGCCUAAGAAAGUCAUUUUCAUCUAAAAAAAAGUAGAAAAAAUUGAAUUGCAUAAAAGCAUCACUAUAAAUGUUAUACUCCGAAAAUAUCUUCUUUCCUUGAUAAAAUUCCCUAAACUACUGUAUGUCUCUAACAGUGAAAAUAUCACUAUAAUUUACAGUCACCUUAUUUAAUCGAAAGAAAACUUUAAAGAUGCACCUCCAUCUAGUGUAUUUAAAAAGAUUUAACAAAUUACUUUACACGUGCUAUGCUACAAGUUACAUAUUUUUUCAAUGUAAACAAAAAUUAUAUAGGUAUUUUUAACAUUUUUCUAUUAAAAAAAACUAAAACAUAUAAAAAUUAACCAAUUUAUAAUUAAUUAAUUAAUUGAGAAUUUGAGCUCCUUAGAAAAGUUGUUUAUGGACUUUUGUUUUCCGGAGAAAGCUCCUUUAAAACCCUUGAGCACCACCUUCUUUAAAACUUCUAUCUUUGCCAUAACUGAGGGGCUCUGUAUUUUUUUUAAGGUGAAUUAACAAGUUACAACUCAACUCUGUAUUUUUUUUUUUAGUUUAAUGUGGGUGUCUGGGUCAACUUACGCGUACCUCGACUAAUUCCACGGGCCCUGAAAUUAAUGACCAUAUAAACCUACAGUGGCCAUCAUAUGAACAAUCACAGGACUAGGGCUCGAACUUGAGACAAAAAAAAAAAGCAAAUUUUUUAAUCUUAAAUUCUUACCACUGGAUCACUAUCUAAAUUGUUACCUUGUAUCUAAUCUAGAUGUGUCUGUGACUGUGCUUGAUGUUCUCAUAACCAUUAAGAUGGUUCGAACCCAAAUAAAUAGAAACAAAUUUAUUUUCUGUUAUUCUCCGAAUUCCUAGAUAGAAUUUGCUUGGAAAUGAUGAGCUACCACUCCCUUUUGACUUUGCUGGCCUCCCAAAUAAAUAAAGAAUUCCGCUUGAUAGAAUUUUCUUGGAAAUGAUGAGAAUAUUUUAUAAUUUUCUGGUUGACGCCAGCUGUCAACAACUGUCUUACAUUCCCUUGGCAUCGUGUUCCAUGCCCUUGCAAAAUAUUAAAGGCUCCAAUGCCUCUCUCGCAAUAAGAUUAUUUUUUUUAUUUGUCCCCGAAUACAUGUGUCAUUUAUCGAAAUAAUUAAUUUAAUCACACACAUAAAAAAAAAAAAAAAUUUAAAUAGGCGGCUUUAGAAUCAGCAAGCAGUGAAUCACACGGGAAGAUUGAAAGAAUAAUUAAAGUGAUUUUACUAACAUUGUAAAAAAAAUUGAAUUGCAUAAGAGUAAUUAACCGACAGGUUGACCCAAAGUCAAAGUCUUCUGUGGAAAAACAUGAAUAGAAGAUUGAUGGGCGUUGCGUGAUAGCAAAAGAUUUGAGAUCUGCACAGCAGGUUUUGAAUUCGAGUCAGGGCGUGCAUCUCUUGUAAAAGCUUGGGAUAGCCGGGAUUUUACUGUCUCAUCUGGGCCCAUAAAGUGCGCUUUCCAAGGAAAUGAGGUUCCCUCGAAUCCAUAAAAAAAAAAAAAGUAAUACCAUUGCUAUCAAGCGUUUUUUCUACGAGAUGGUCCGUUCCCCCAUUUCCCCUCAAGCUUGAGAAGGGAUGAUAUAUAUAUGCUUUAAUUUCAACUUGUAUAAAAAAUAAAUCUUAAUGUAGUGUGUUAGAAUGCAACCACCGAUUCAUUAUUUUUAAUGGCUGGUCAUUUAAACUUGGGUGUUUUUUCGGUAUUAAUAUAUAUAUUCCUCAAUUAUCAUAAAAAAAUUAAGAAAAAACUAAUAAUAAGAUUAAAAAUAAAUGUUUUAUUUAUCGAAAUAAUUAUUAAAAGUAAGGUAUACUCAAGGUAUAUGUGGGACGAUAAAAAAAUAACAAAAAAAUCAAUUUACAAAAAAAAUCAUAGAUUUAGUUUUCCUAAAUUUUAAAUGUAGUGCAACAUUAGCCUUUCAAGAAAUAGAUAAUCUUCCUCUUUGAAGGAAUUAAUUAGUGGGUUGGAAAAAUGUCGUCUUUUGCUCUAAUAUUUUCUUCGCUUUCUCUAUAGUUUUACCAUACACUAAUAUUGUCAGAAAAUGAUACAUACUUCUUGUGUUAUCCUUCAAGAAUUCAAUUGAAAAGGAGGGUUGUAAAAAAUUUAAUUUUUAUAAACAUACCCUUAACUUAAUUUGGAUGUGGAUAAUUGUUUGCAAUAUAUUUACAUCCAAUAUAAACAAUUCAUCAAUGAUCAAGUAGGCAGUGGUUAGCUAAAAUAUUGAAAAUACUUACUCUCUUUGUUUUUUAGUCAUGCAGUUCCACUAUUGUAUGUUAUUUUUGUUUAGCUAAAAAUAUCAAAAAAUAUUAAUUUGGAGUAAAAAAAAAAAAAAAAUUUAAUUUUUUUAAAAAUAUUUUUGAAACAUAAAAACAAACAGUGCUAAAAGACAUAGAAACAGUUACCCAAAUCAAUUUAUUUUUUUAAAAAAUAAAAAUAGAAUACUAUACAAAUGGAGCUUCCAACAAAAAGAUAUGGGAAGUUCGAGGGAAAAAAUGAUUAGUUAAUUCAAAACACCAGGAGUAAGUAAUAAUUACAAAACACGAUACCGAAACCAAAUUGAAAAGUGAGCAAAAUACAAAACUGGUUACAUGUAUCGAAAGGAACUGGAACCAAUUUCUCCACCACUGGAUGUCCCUUUUGUUCAGUCUAUGUUUGGUGCAAUCACCUAAAGCUAGAAACAAAAACAGCGCCUUAGUCUAUGUUUGGUGCAUUUUUUCCACGAGAUGGGUUCGUGGAAAAACUUUGGUUUAAUUGGGAAUGCUGUUAUUGGUUAGAAACUUUUUAAUUAAAAUAAAUUUGAUUAUUUGAUUGGAAAAAUCCUUAAAUGUUAUUAACACAUGAAAUCAAUUUAUUCUCUUAAGAAAAAAAUAGUUUUACAUCUUGUGGUAUAUAUGUCAAGCAUUUUUUUUCCCUCAAGAUGGGUUCGACAGACAAUCACCAUCAUGCAUUUAUGAGUCCAUGAGACCAUUGUCAUCUGCACAUUGGUCCCCUAUAGCGUUGCUUUUCCUCAAGACCAUUUCCAUCAUGCAUUUAUGAGUUAGUGAGACCAUUUCCAACUGCACAUUGGUCCCUGAAACCGUUGCCAUCAUGCAUUUUUCCUCGAUGAGAGGUCGUGAGACGUCCACUUCCAACCAUCAUGCAUUUUUUUCACGAGAUGAGGCCGUACGUUUGGGGCUCUAAAAGCUAUAUAUAUUAGAAAUAUUAUUUGAAAAUAAAUUAUUUUUUAUUUUUAAAAAUAAAAUUCUUCUAUACAAAAGAUUUUUAUAAGUAUAAUUUAAUUUAUUCAGUUUUUUAAAUAAAGUUAAUCUAUCGCAAGAGUACACGAAAUAAGUAUUUUUCCGUCAUGCAUUUUUUUUCCUCAAGACCAUUUCCAUCAUGCAUUUAUGAGUCUGGGAGACCAUUUCCAUCAUGCAUUUAUGAGUUGCUGAGACCAUUUCCAUCUGCACAUUAGUCUCUGAGACCGUUGCCAUCAUGCAUUUUUCCUCGAGGAGAGGCCGUGAGACUUCCUCUUCCAACCAUCAUGCAUUUUUUCCACGAGAUGGGUUCGUGGAAAAACUUUGGUUUAAUUAGGAAUGCUGUUAUUGAUUGGAAACUUUUUAAUUAAAAUAAAUUUGAUUAUUUGAUUGGAAAAAUCCUUAAAUGUUAUUAACACAUGAAAUCAACUUAUUCUCUUAAGAAAAAAACAGUUUUAAAUCUUGUUGCCGUCAUGCAUUUUUUUUUCCUCAAGAUGGGUUCGACAGACAAUCACCAUCAUGCAUUUAUAAGUCCAUGAGACCAUUGUCAUCUGCACUUUGGUCCCCUAUAGCGUUGCUUUUCCUCAAGACCAUUUCCAUCAUGCAUUUAUGAGUCCAGGAGACCAUUUCCAACUGCACAUUGGUCCCUGAGACCGUUGCCAUCAUGCAUUUUUUCCACGAGAUGGGUUCGUGGAAAUAAUUUGGUUUAAUUGGGAAUGCUUUACUGUAUUUGUUUUCUGGUUAUAUUUAAUUUUUCAUCAAUAUUCCUAAGCACGUAUUUUGAAUCAUGAAAAGCACGUGGAAAAGAGAGGGAUGGUGAAAAUGACAUGUAAAGGGACUGUUUGGCAGUGCGCAUAGAAAAGGGAAAGUGUCAUUGCCAUUUUGAGUGGUGUGUUUGCAUUUGAUUUGUUAAUUUCGAGUUUUGUCAAAGAGUGAUUACUAGUCAUCAAGCAUUUUAUUAAUUUAAUUUAUCCUGUCAAGUGAAGGGCCAAACCUGUCAUUCAUUGCCAGUCACAGUCACAAGUCUUGGUCUUACCAUUUUACUAUCUAUUAAUUAAUUAAUUGUUUGAUUAAUCAACGAAACUGUGCGUUUCUCUUGUGAUUUCUCGAAGACGGCCAUGAAUAUAUAUAUAUAUAUAUACAACUUUUCAAAACAAAAAGGAUUUUGAUGGAGAGGACAUUGAAACAAAUUAUCCUCGUGAUACCAUUGUCAUCAUUCAAUUUUUUCCACGAGAUCAGGCCGUAUGCUUGGGGCUCUAAAAGAUAUUAUUUCUAAUUUUAUUAUAUCACAUCUAGAAUAACAAGUAUAUUUUAUUUCAAUUUAAAAAAUAGAAUAAAUUAAAAGAUAUUUCAUUUUUAAAAUUUUAUUUUGUUUUAUGAAUUUCACCUAAAUUCUGACUAGAAUAUUUUGAUUAUAUUCCAGCCAUUUUAUUAUGAUAAAAUAAUAUUUUGUUUUGCUUUUAUAAAAAAAAUAUAAUCUAAUUUUACAGUAUCAAUCAUAUCUUUCAAUUCGACUGCUGGAUUGGACUAAAAUUUUACGAGGAAUCUCCUAACAUAUAUUUAUAUCGCAAAUUAAAAUUUUAAGGCAAUCAGAGUUUAGAAAAAUUUUGCGAAAUUACCGAUGAUAUUUUCAUAAUUUUAUUUAAAUUCAUAAUUUUGUUAGGAAAUAUUAUUUUUUGUUUCUUUUUUAGAUUGAAUUAUUUCUAAAGUACUUCUUGUCAUUGUCAUGACAAUAAAUCUUCUUCUUUUUCUUUUUAAAAAGUCUAUUUUUUGUAACACAACCAACAUGUAAGAUGGAUGGGAAUUUGCAGUGUGAGAUGGGUUUGUGAGACUUUGGCCAUCUCCAAUUUUUUCCACGCCAUUGAGAUGGUCUAUAAGACCAUUGCCCCGUAAGCAUUUAUGAGUUCGUGAGACCAUUUCCAUUUGCACAUUGGUCCCUGAGACCGUUGCCAUCAUGCAUUUUUUACACGAGAUGGGUUCGUGGAAAUACUUUGGUUCAAUUGGGAAUGUUGUUAUUGAUUGGAAACUUUUUAAUUAAAAUAAAUUUGAUUAUUUGAUUGGAAGAAAUCCUUAAAUGUUAUUAACAAUAGAAAUCAAUUUAUUUUCUUAAGAAAAAAAUAUUGUAACCAUAUAAGUAAUUUAUUUAUUUAUUUUAAUGAAAAAUAAAAUAGUUUUAAAUCUUGUGGUAUAUUUCUUGUCUUUAAGAGCUAUGAACUUAUAUCUCAAAACUUGAAAACUAAUAUAAAGAUAUUAAGUGAUCAUUAAGCGUGUGUGUGUGUAUAAUGCUUUUCAAAACAAGAAGGAUUUUGAUGGAGAGGACAUUGCAACAAAUUAUCCACCACGAGAUGGGGCUGUACGCUUGGGGCUCUAAAAAACUAUGGUUUUUAAUUUUAUUAUGUCACAUCUAGAAUGGCAGGUAUAUUUUAUUUCAAUUUAAACAAUGAAAUAAAUUAGAAGAUAUUUCAUCUCGUUUAGAAUGUUAUCUCAUUUCAUGAAUUUCACCUAAAUUCUGGCCGGAAUAUUUUGGUUCUAUUCCAGCCAUUCUAUUAUGAUCAAAUAAUGUUUUGUUUUGCUUUUAUAAAAAAAAAAUAUAUAGUUUAGUUUUAUGGUAUUAAUUAUAUCUCUCAAUGCAAUUAUUGGAUUAGACUAAAAUUUUACAAGGAAUCUCUUAACAUAUAUUUAUAUCGCAAGUUAAAAUUUUAGAACAAUUAGAGUUUAAAAAGACUUUGUGAGAUUGCCGAUGACAUUUUUAUAAUUUUAUUUAAAUUCAUAAUUUUGUUUCAUAAGGUCAUUUUUUGUGUCUUUUUUUAGAUUGAUUUUUUUUUUUCAAUUUCAUAAUUCAACAAUAGAUUUAUUAAAAAUUAAGAUUCAUAAUUUGUUUUUAUUUGGGAUUAUUAUGGUCUCAUAAUCUGGGUUACGGAUUUAAAAGAUUAACCUAGAUUAACCUGGUUCGAUCUAAUAUGUUGUUGUUUCAAUAUUUUUAACAAAUAUAAUUUUAAUUGAUAUUUAAAAAUAAACUAACUUGAAAUUAUAUAAUUUAAAUUUCAAAUAUAAGUAAAAAUAAAGAGUUAAAUCAAUAUGACCCAAUUGAUUUGAUGAGUCCAAAAUAUAUAUAAAACAAUCCAAACGACACGUCAAAAUACUCAAAAAUCAAAAUAUAUUGUUACAAUUAAAAAAAUAAAACACCAAUUAAAAUGGAAUUGACGACCUUGCUUGAUAUAAGCCUAAACUCCUCGCUGCCAUUUGCAAGAGAUAGUUACUUAUACCAGUAGCAAUUUAAUAAUGAUUGGUCAAAUUUUAUAUUAAGAUGGGGCUAUUAAUUCAAAUGUUGAUGGCGUUAGUAGCAAUGAUUUUCUUGGAAGCAUGGUUGCCUCUUGGCUGCUUGAAAAUAUAUGGUUUUUUUAAUGUCGCAUGUGUGCUGCGUCAUGAAAAAAAAAUUCACUCUCAAAUCCUAAAUAUUGGUAUCCUGGAAAAAUUGGGAAAAAUAAGGAGACAAGAAAUUCUUGUCUUUUAUUAGUGGAAAAAUAAAAUGGGAGUCGCCACUUAGUAUUUUAAUCACUAGGAACCCUGAUUGGUCUCAGAGAUUGGGUACGGAGACUGGUUGCGUAAAGGGAAGGUAUUAGCACCCCAAAUACGCCCUACCUAAGGUAAGUUGCAUUGUUUUAUUGUUUGAUAAAAUCUAAGGUCUUGUCGUGUUUUCUAGUUAUUGGUCCGUCUAUGAUUUAAGAAAAGUCUUCAUCGAUAAAGAGAUCCUUAUCUUUUCGGGUAAAACCUAACCGUUCUAACGUAAACAAAAGAAUUUAAUAUCCGGAAUACAUCUUACGUAUAAGGUCGUAACCCCAGAUACUAAAAGAAAAUUUUUUUUUUGGAAUUUUUUAAAUAUUGGCCUAGUUCUUGUGACUUUAAUAAACUGGUUUUUAAAACCAAAAUGCAUGUUAAUACAUAUUUUUGUUGUAUGAAAAUAUGAUAUGAUUUUUUUCUUUGAGAUACUUGGCCGUAUGCAUGAAAAUAAUUUUUUUUUUAAUUUUUCAAUGUUUUGACGAAAACUAGGUAUUUUAAUACCAGAUUUGUAUCUUUACAGUAUAAAAAUACAAACCAAUACUAAGAAAAAUUUAGUAGAAAAAUAUAUGGGAAAAUUAUAGAUUUUUUGAAAUGAUUAUUUUUGAAGAAUUGUUUUUUACUGGGCCGGACCCGACCCAACCAUUUUGGGCGGGCCGGCACUGUCCGGGCUGGAAAACUAAAACAAACAAUGGAGAGACUCUCCACUGUUCACAUGCAACGUGAACAGUGGAGCGGCCUGGAGAAGACAAAGAAGAAGAGGAGGAAGAGGAAGAAGCAGACCUGCGGCCUAGCGGUGCUGCUAGUGGCGGUGGACGGUGUUGCGGUUGCGGAGUGUUAGAAAUAAUGUUCAGGACUGCUGAGCUGGAAUUUUAUUCUUUCUUAAUUUUUGAUUUAGUCAAUUCUGUUCCUAUUCUCUUGUUCUUGUUGCUACUUCGCAGCUCUGUUAUUUCCAUUAUCAAUUGAUCAUGGCUUGAAUGUAGUACCAUGAUCGUAGGAGUUUGUUAUGUAUCAGCUCUAUAAAUUGAGCUGCAGUUAUGAAUAAAGUAUUCAAGCUUUUCAUUCAUCAAUCUCUUCUUAAACACAAGCAUUAUCCUUUGUUAUUUUUGUUGUUCAGAAUCACUGCAACAACGACAAUUGGUAUCAGAGCAUCUUGAUUUAAAGGGAUCUGUGUUGUAACCCAUGGAGACAGAAGUAAGAUUCUCAUCAAUUGCUCCACCAGUGUUCAAUGGUGACAAUUACCAGUUUUGGGCAGUACGGAUGGAGACAUACUUAGAGGCUCUGGAUUUGUGGGAGGCAGUGAAAGAAGAUUAUGAAAUCCCUGCACUUCCAAAUAAUCCCACCAUGGCGCAGGUCAAAUCACAGAAGGAGAAGAAGACAAAAAAAUCAAAGGCAAAGGCGUGCUUGUUUGCUGCAGUAGCAUCCACCAUUUUCACUCGAAUCAUGUCUCUGAAAACAGCAAAGGAGAUAUGGGAGUUUAUCAAGACUGAGUAUGAAGGGGAUGAAAGAAUUCAAGGUAUGCAAGUGUUGAACUUGAUGCGUGAUUUCGAGUUGCAGAAGAUGAAGAAAACUGAAUCCAUCAAAGAGUACUCUGACAGGCUGCUUAAUAUUGCAAGCCGAAUCAGUUUACUUGGCUCGUCCCUGCCUGAGUCAAGAAUUGUUCAAAAAAUUCUUGUAACAAUUCCUGAAAUCUUUGAGGCUACAAUUACAUCCUUGGAAAAUACCAAGGAUAUGUCAAAAAUUACUUUGACAGAAAUGCUAAAUGCAUUACAAGCUCAGGAGCAAAGGAGGAUCAUGAGACAAGAAGAUGAGAUUGAAGGAGCUCUAUUCGUCAAGCAUAGAGAAAAAGGAAAGAAUUACAAGAAGAAUGGAAGCAGUCAAGCAUCAUCAGGUGAUUCCAGGAAUUUCAACAGGAGCAACACUGGAAACAAAAAAGGACCUUUUCCUCCAUGCCAGCAUUGUAAAAGGAGAUCACAUCCACAUUUUAAGUGUUGGAGAAGACCAGAAGCUAAGUGCAACAAAUGCAAUCAAAUGGGCCACGAGGCUGUCAUCUGCAAAAACAAAAUUCAACAGCAUGGUGAAGAAGCUCAAAUUGCUGAUCAAGAAGAAGAAGAUCAAUUGUUUGUGGCCACUUGCAUUUCCAGAAAUGACUCAAGUGAAAGCUGGCUCAUUGAUAGUGGUUGCACCAACCACAUGACACAUGACAGAAACAUAUUCAAGGAGCUGAAACAAACAACUUCAAAGGUUCGAAUUGGAAAUGGAGAAUACCUUGCUGUUGAAGGAAAGGGAACCGUGGCAAUCUUGACUUGCUCAGGUACUAAGUUCAUCUCUGAUGUAUUGUAUGUCCCUGGUAUAAAUCAAAAUUUAUUCAGUGUUGGUCAGCUUAUUGAGAAGGGUUAUAAAGUAGUGUUUGAAAACAAUUGCUGCUUGAUCAAAGAUGUGAAUGGUCAUGAUAUUUUCAAAAUAAUCAUGAAAGGGAAGAGUUUUGCUUUAAAUCCAUUAGAGGAGGAGCAUAUUGCUUUCCCAAUUAAAGAAAAUAUCACAGAUAUUUGGCACAAGAGGCUCGGGCACUAUCAUCAUAGAGGGCUGAUGCUUAUGAAAUCCAAGAUGAUGGCUAAGGAUUUCCCAGCACUUGAUGAUCACAUAUCCAGCUGCAGAACUUGUCACACUGGCAAGCUAAACAGGAAGCCCUUUCCAGAAGCCACAUGGAGAGCAACAAGGAAGCUGCAAUUGAUUCAUACUGACAUUGCAGGACCAUAAAGGACACCCUCUCUAAAUGGGAGUCUGUAUUAUGCUGUCUUCAUUGACGAUUACAGCCGAAUGUGCUGGAUUUUCUUCUUGAAGCACAAGUCAGAGGUAGCACAGGUGUUCUGGAAUUUCAAGGCCAAAGUUGAAAAUGAAAGUGGCUGCAAAAUUCAAGCCCUCAGAUCAGACAAUGGCAAGGAAUACACUUCCAAUGCCUUCAACAUUUUUUGUGAGGAGGCAGGCAUUCAUCAUCAGCUAACAACUCCGUAUACUCCUCAACAAAACGGAGUUAGUGAGAGGCGAAACAAGUUCAUAUUGGAAAUGACAAGAUGCUUGCUACAUGAGAAGAAUUUACCAAAGAAAUUCUGGGCAGAGGCUGCAAACACUGCUGUGUUCUUGCAAAACCGACUGCAUACAAGAGCCUUGAAGGAUCAAACACCCUUUGAGGCAUGGUAUGGUUACAAACCAUCUCUGAAUUUUCUUAAGGUAUUUGGAUGUUUGUGCUUCACCCUUGUUCCACAGGUCAAGAGGGAUAAACUUGACAAGAAAGCACUUCCAGGCAUUUUUGUUGGCUACAGCUUAGUUUCAAAGGCUUAUAAGAUUUUCCAACCACAAACUGGAAAAAUCAUUAUAAGCAGAGAUGUCCAAUUCCUGGAAGAUGAAGAAUGGGACUGGAACGAUGCAAUCAAAGAAGAUUCAACCUCUCCAAAAGGCAAUUAUCUUGUUUCAGACACAGAUGAUCAAAGCAUGGAAGAUUGGGACAUCAACAUGACAGAUGACACUCCUGUUACAGGCACACGGUCACUCCUUGAUGUGUAUCAAAGGCGCAACAUUGCUGUGUGUGAACCAGCAGACUUUGAAGAAGCCAAGCUAGAUCAAAAUUGGCUUGCUGCGAUGAAGGAGAAGCUUCUCAUGAUCAAGAGAAACAACACGUGGGAGUUGGUUGACAGACCUCAAAACAGAAAUGUAAUCGGUGUAAAAUGGGUGUAUCGAACAAAACUCAACGCUGAUGGCUCAAUCAAUAAGCUCAAAGCCAGGCUAGUGGUGAAGGGUUAUGCACAAAUCUUUGGCGUGGACUACUCAGACACGUUUGCACCGGUAGCAAGACUUGACACUAUCAGGCUGCUACUUGCCAUUGCAGCACAACUGAAUUGGAAGGUGUAUCAAAUGGACGUCAAGUCAGCAUUUUUAAAUGGUGUUUUGCAGGAGGAGAUCUAUACUGAGCAACCAGAAGGCUUUGCAAAUGAAGGAGAGGAGGACAAAGUCUGUCUUCUUAAGAAGGCACUAUAUGGAUUGAAGCAAGCUCCAAGAGCUUGGUACAGCCGAAUCGAUGAACAUUUGCAGCACUUGGGAUUCACUAAAAGCCUCUCUGAAUCGACUCUUUACAUCAAGCAAAAUGGUGAUAACAUCCUUAUCAUCUCACUUUACGUUGAUGAUUUGCUUGUAACAGGAAAUAACAACAAUAAUGUGGAGAUAUUCAAGCAAGAGAUGAUGAGUGUAUUUGAGAUGACAAAUUUGGGUUUGAUGUCCUUUUUUCUUGGAAUGGAAGUUAAGCAAGUUGAACAUGAAGUGUUCAUAUGUCAGAAGAAGUAUGCCAAAGAAAUCCUCAAAAAGUUCAAACUUGAAGAUUGCAAAGCAGUAAGCACUCCUAUGAAUCAAAAGGAGAAGCUAUGUAAAGAAGAUGGAGCCGAGAAGGUUGAUCAAGCACAAUUCAGAAAAAUUGUUGGAUGCUUGAUGUAUCUCACUGCAACUAGGCCUGAUAUUUUGAAUGCUGUGAGUAUCUUGUCUAGAUUCAUGCAUUGUGCUAGUGAAUUGCAUUUCAAGGCUGCUAAAAGAGUGAUAAGAUAUGUCAAAGGAACCUGCAAUUUUGGCAUAAGAUACACAAGAAGUAGAGAGUUCAAACUGGUCGGGUACUCUGACAGUGAUUGGGGAGGCUCAAUUGAUGACUUGAAGAGCACAUCAGGCUACUGUUUCUCUUUAGGUUCUGGUGUGUUUUCAUGGAAUUCAAAAAAGCAAGAAACCGUAGCCCAAUCCACUGCUGAAGCUGAGUUUGUGGCUGCAACAGCUGCUGUCAAUCAAGCUUUGUGGCUGAGGAAAAUUUUAUCUGAUCUUAACCUGGAGCAAAAGGAAAGCACAGAAAUUCUAGUUGACAAUCAAGCUGCCAUUUCCAUCUCUAAUAAUCCUGUGUUUCACGGGAAAACCAAGCACUUCAACAUCAAAUUAUUCUUUUUGAGAGAGGUGCAGAAAGAUGGGAGUAUCAUUCUUAUUUACUGCAAAACUGAAGAACAAGCAGCUGAUAUUUUCACCAAACCACUGCCAGUCAACAAAUUCGAAUUUCUGAGAACAAAGUUGGGAGUUUGCAGCUCCUAAACAAGGAGGAGUGUUAGAAAUAAUGUUCAGGACUGCUGAGCUGGAAUUUUAUUCUUUCUUAAUUUUUGAUUUAGUCAAUUUUGUUCCUAUUCUCUUGUUCUUGCUGCUACUUCGCAGCUCUGUUAUUUCCAUUAUCAAUUGAUCAUGGCUUGAAUGUAGGACCAUGAUCGUAGGAGUUUGUUAUGUAUCAGCUCUAUAAAUUGAGCUACAGUUAUGAAUAAAGUAUUCAAGCUUUUCAUUCAUCAAUCUCUUCUUAAACACAAGCAUUAUCCUUUGUUAUUUUUGUUGUUCAGAAUCACUGCAACAACGACACGGACCGUGGCGCUGACUGGCGGGUGGUUCUUCUUUCUUUCUCUGCGUUUCCCUUCUGCUUUUUUUCUAUUCUGCUCUGUUCUUCCUCUUGUUCCCUGUUUUAUUCUUUCUCUCCCUCUCUGGUCCUCUCAAACGUCCCUUGGAGCUGCUGCCUGAAGAUGAAGACGAAGUUGAGGGUGAUCAGUGCUCUGAUCGGGCGACGUUUCUUUCUUUCUUCUGCUACUGUUUUCGUUUCUGAUUCUCCUCGUUCAAUUCUUAUUUGCACUCUUCUUCUUCUUCGUCUCUGGUUUUUGAAAUGACGAAGACGAUGGCAACGCUGGUUCUAAUCUCAACGAUUUCCUCUUCUUACAUUCUUUCCUUUUGCUCGUUUCUGUCUCCCUCUCGUGCUGCUCCCCACUUUCUCUCUUGUCCUGCUCGCUCUCCCUCCCUGUCUCCUCUUCUUUUUUUUUUGUUGUCCGUCUCUCCUCUAGCUUUUUAUAGCCAGAGGAUGCAUGCUUUUCGGGAUUUAUUGCAGGAAGGUUGUAACGGCCGGCGUGCAUCAUGGUGGAGAGGGAUAUCAGCCGUGAGACGUGCUCCCCUGAUUGAAGCAGCUCCACCACUAACGUCUUCACUUCCUUUUACUGUAGAAACCGUUGUUGAUGAAGAAGGUAAUGAACAGUUGUCAAGGAAAUGGUACCGUUUUAAAAUUCAAAAUGAAUAUUUCCGAUUUGGUCAUUGGAUUUUUUGCAAUUUUGUAAUCAAGCCCCCGAAUAAAUUGUAAUUGGAUCUCUGGAUUUUAGCCCCAUUUACAAGACAAUCUUUGGUUCUGGAUUCAUGCGAUUUGACUCUCAAUUGAUCAAUAAACUUCUAAUUUCUUUAAUUUAGCCCCUGACUUGGUCAAUUGCAGCCCUUAUAUUUACACGCCUUUUCCGGUUUGAUCCUUGGUUUCGGAUUUUUUCAAUCAAGUCCCUAAUUGCCCAUAAAACUUUAAUAAUUAUGCAAUUAAGCCCCUGAUUUGACCAAAUCAACUCUUCAAAAUUAUAAUUGGACCUUAGAACUUUAAUUUCUUCGAAUAAAAGCCUAAAUAGACAUAAAACUCAAUUUUUCUUUCAAUCAAACCCUCCAUAAAUUCAAUUAAACCUUUAAUAAAAUUUAAUUGAGUCCAUAAACAUCUGAUUUUAGAUAUAUUUUUUUAAAAUUGAAUUUUCUUUGUCAACAGGGCUCUCAUUAGUCAACGAUAUACUGUCAAAUUUCAAUCUUUAUAUUUUUUAACCUCCUCAACCAAUUUUUGGCCAUUUUGAGCAGUCCGACAGCUUUCACUGUGACAUAUAUAUUUUUUUAUUUAUAUUAUUUAAUUAAUUUAUUAUUAUUUAUUUAUUUAAUUUUUUUCAACUCUUACUUUUUGUAUUUUCUUCUUUUUUGUGUGGGGUCCCAAAAAUGGAUAACAACACUUAAGUUCAAAUCUAUUAAUAAAAAUAUAGUUUUAUUGACUUUUUUAUAUACUUUUAUUAGAGAAAUCAAUGUAAACAAAUUUAUGGACAAACAUUAGUUUAUCAAGUACUUAAAUAGAAAAAUAAAAUCAAUUAGAGUACUUGAAUAAAAAAAAUAUAAAUUAUAAGCAUUUUAUAUAUCUUUAUUGUUCAUAAAUUAAAAAUAAAAUAAAAUCAAUCCAGACUAAUCUAAAAAGAGUUAACUAUGACAUCAUCAUUUUGAUAGUAAAACUAAUGAAGAUAUUUUAUUGAUUAAAUUCCGUGAAUAUAAGUAUUCAAAUUGAAAAAAAAAAACAUUGAUACAAGAUUUUAAAUAAAAAAAUUAUAAAAUACAUAUAAUUUGUACUUCUCAUUGUCUCUUUUGCAUUGCUAACACUUAACAAAUUGAAUAUAUAAUUCUCAUGUCAAUAACGUCAGAAUAAAUUUAGCUACAUGACAUAAUAAUACCUGUUUAUUUUUGUAUUUUAAAAAUAUUUUAAAAACAUUAAAUUGUUUUAAAUAGAUAACUUUUGAAUCAUCAAGUAGUGAAACACAGGAAAAGCGAAGAAAGUGAAGAAUAAUCAAAGUGGUGCGUGUCCACAUCAAUUUUUGUCCAUGUUUUUGGUAUUAAUCUCUUCAUCUAUUUACAGCUGGAGAAAAGAACAUCACCUACUACUUUUCUUGUCUCUUCUUACUUGGAAGAUCAGGUAUGUGAAUCUUUGAGUGCCACUUAUUUUAGUACAUAGACUUAGUUAUUUGACCACAACUUCACCACAAGUUAAAUUGUUUUAAUUAAAAAAAUUUAUAUAAAGAUUUCUUCAAUAAAUUUUUUAUUUAAAAAAUUUCUAAGUGAAAAUUAAAAAACUUAUACACAAAUAUAGUUAAAUAAAUCAAGAAUUAUGUGUGUUAAUAAGUGAAAAAAACCAUAAAUGAUGACUCAAAAUAAAAACUGAAAAAAUCAACUGAUAAAUGUAGAUCAAAAUAUUUAAUUUCACAAGACGUGAUAUUAAUGCAGUUGUGUUUUCUAAAAUUUUUAAUUAAAAUAAUUUUUUAAUUUGAUCAAACGAUAAUAAAAAUAGACACACAUAUUAUAAAUUGAUUGAAUAAAAUAAAAAAUAAUAAUAAUAUGCUAGGCUUUAUAUAUUGGAAAUAUUAUUUAAAAAUAAUUUUUUUUAUUUUAAAAAAUAAAAUUUAUCUAUUAAAAAAAUUUAUAUAUUAAAUUCAAAAUAAAUAAACUUUAAAAUAAUUUGCAAGGCUGCACAUAACCCCUUUAAAAGGAAAGUGAUAUAACAAACGUGGAACAAUUUUUAUUAACUAAAUAAACUUAAUAACUAUUAAUAUUAAAUUCGAAAUAUAUAUUAAAACCUAUUAUAUUAAUUUUUGAAUUUAUCAAUUCAGAUGUGAAUUAUAUUUCUAAAAUGUUAUAAGAAAUUUCUAUAUACGACAACUAGCUUAAGAAAGUGAUGUUCAUCAAAACCAUAGAGUACAGAAAAAGAAUUGAAUUGCAUAAAAUUAAGUAAUUAACGGAAACUUAUAUUCCUUCUUAAAACGUUGACCCCAAGUCAAGUUUAUUUAUUAUUAUUUUUUUUGAAAAAAACAUGAAUAAAAGUUAAUGCUAGGCACAUGGGAUAUAGAAGACUUGCAACUUUCUUUAUAGAAAUUACGUGUGUAAAAUUUAGGCCUUGAAAAAAAAUUAAAAAUAAAAUACUAUUAAUCGUGUUGAUAAAAAUUAAUAUAGAGACUUUAUUGAUAAAAAUUCAUAAGAGCAAGUAUUCAAAUUACAAAAAAUAAAAAUAUUUCUUCAAAUUUUCAAUAAAAUUUAUUUCUUGAAAUUAAUGCAUUAAACAAAAUUAAAAUAGUAGUAAAAGUAAAUUUAGUUUUUGAUUGAAGUGUAAACUAGUGGUAAAUGAACAAAAAGAAACUUUAUUGAUUUCUCCAAAAACAAUAUAUAUAUUAUUGAAUAUCUAAUGGAAAGGAUUAUGAAACUCCGCCUAAUAUAUAUAUAUAUAUAACAGAGAAAUUGUCGAUAAUAGCUAUGAUCUAAGUAACUGGACCACGACGAAGACAUAUACAAGAAACAAAAAAAAGAUACUUCACUAACAAUUGGGGUUCUUCAUAAGCUUCAAUAGAAUUGAUAGAGGGUCGAAACAAAAAAGAGAUGAAGAGAGAGGAGGGAAUGGAAAGAAGGGAAAAGAGAACUCUUGCGAUCUGUUGAAUAAGACUCAGUAUAUAUAUAUAUAUAUAAAAUAAAAAAAACUCAAGUUAGCGCAUCAAAUCUUCGACUUGGAUUAUGAGAUCGGGAUAAGAAAACUUAAUAUUUAAAAAUAAAAUUAAAGAAAAAAACUAUAAAAACAUAUAUGGUUUAACAAUAUUAAUCAAUUAUUAAAAUCUUUCAUUUUAUAUAUAUUAAAAAUAAAUAUUAAUAACUAUUAUAUCAAUUUGUGAAUGUUUCAAUUAGGAUGCGAAUAAAUGUUUUAUAUAUGACAUUUUUCUUAAGAAACCAAAGUUAUUAAGCAUGUUUAGAUUUAAUUACCAAAUGAGAGUGAGGGUUGAGGUUAUAGAUUGACCUAAUUAAUACUCAGAUCAAGAUUUAGGUCCUAGAUCGGACAAAUUAGCUUAUUGACUAGUGUUAAUAAAAAAUUGUAUCAUUUUAUGAUUUUUGUUAUAGAAAAAAUCAAAAUGGUGUUGUUAAAAAAAGUAAAACUAGGUUUUAACUGAGUUGACUAGGUUGUGGGUUGAUUUAUCUGGUCAACUAGGCUCAAUUGAGUCAACUCUCACUUGGUUUUUUCUAAACCUAAAUAGGGUUAGGUUCCAGAUUAAAAUGUAAGGCUUGAAUUAAAUUUAAUAACAUUGAUUAAAACCACAAUGUAGGAAAAAAAAUUGAAUUCAUAAAAGUAAUUAACCGAAAACUUGAAUUCCUUCUUAUAAAGUUGAACCCAUGUCGGUUUUUUUAAAGGAAAAGUAUGAAUCAAAGGUUAACGCUAGGCUGCUCACUUUGCAUCACAAUGACAGAUAUGGAAGGCUUGCUACUUUCUUUAUGGAAAUAACGUGUGGAAAAUCAUGCAUUAAUUUUGAUGUUGAUGGCAAAAUCAAACAAUAUCGUUGAUAAAAUGAAUGACAAAUGAUAUUAUUUUUAAAAUACUUCUUGUCAUUGUCAUGACAACAAGUCUUCUUUUUUUUCUUUCUAAAGUACUUGUCAGUCUAUUUUUAUGUAACCCAAUCAACAAGUAAGAUGGAUAGAAAUUUGCAGUGUAAAAUGGGUCUGUGAGACUAUGUAUCGCCAUCUGCAUUUUUCCACGAUCUAGGCCAGUGGGAUGGUACAUGAGACCAUUGCUAUCAAGCGUUUUUUCUACGAGAUGGGUCCAUGAGACCAUUGCCCUGUAAGCUUGGGAAUGGAUAAUUAAUAUGCUUUAAUGUCUAUUUAGUUUGCAAAAAAAAUAAUUAAAUGCUUAUGAAUAAAAAAUAAAUCUCAAGUGUUAAAAUGCAACCACCGAUUAAUUAAUGGACAAUGGACCUUAGAUUAAUACAUGACGCAACUUUCAAUGGAAUUAUAUUUGUGGAGGUAUUUACUCGGAUGCGAAUUAUAUUUCUAUUUUUUUAUUUAAAAAAAUUCUAUACUACAACGAGCUUAAGAAAGUCAUGUUCAGGGGCGGAGCUAUAAUUAUUUGUUAGGAAGAUCAAAAUUAAUAUAAUAAGAUAUAAAAUUUAUUUUAAUUUAUUAUACAUGAGUUCUAAAACAAAACCUGUAUAAUUUAGUUUUAUUCAAAUAACUUACUACAAACAUAUAAUAACCUUUGUGAAGUAUAUUGGGACUGCUCAACCAUAACUUUAACAUUACACAUUGGAGUUGGUUCACUAGGCUGUGAGUUAUCAAUAUUUUUUAUUUUUCUUUUUCAAAAAAAAAUCAAUUCUUCUUAUUUUGUUCAUGGUUCAACCUAAAAUCAAAACAUAUAUCGUAAGAAAAAAUUGAUAAUUUAGUGACUCUGCUAAAAAUAAAACAUAAAACAAAUCCAAGCAUAAUCAAAACAAAACCAAUAAAAUAUAUCUAAUUAAUUAGAAAAAAAAUCAUUAUAAUAAGAAUUCAAAAAAAAAUGGUAAAACUAGCAGAUCUGAGAAAAAAAAAGAGCAAAAAUGAUAGAAAUAUAAAAAAAAUCUCAUCAAAUUAUUAACAAACAUCUCAAAACAAAACAAAUAUAGAUUUUAAAUUUAAGUUACUUUGUUUUGUUUGAUGAAAGAUAAAUUAAUUGGUGGCUCUGCUUCAAUCUUUUUGUAGAAACAUUUUGCUCACAAUUUGUAUUUUUAUUUCUUUGUUUGAUCGGCUGCAGGAUUUAUAUUAGGGUAAAUUAAUGGUUUUGUUUUUUAUUUCACAAAGUAAUGCCUUAAUAUUGUUUUCUUCCAUCUAGGUCAAGAGUAAAUUAAAAGGAAAUCAAAAGUAAAGUCAAUAAUAACCCAAAGUAAUGCCUUAAUUAUUUGAUGUCACAAAGUAAUGCUUUAAUAACCCAAUAAUAAAAAAACAAAAUGUCUUGAGGGGGGCUCGGGCCCCUGCUUGCCCCCUACUUCCACCCUUGGUCAUGUUCAUCGAAAAAAAAAAUUAUAUUUACUCGGAUGUGUUUUUUCUACGAGAUGGGUCCAUGAGAACAUUUCCAUCUGCAUAUUGGUUCUUGAGACCGUUACCAUCAGGGGCGGAGACAGAGGGGCUGGCAGGGGCCCCGGCCCCGGCAAGGAAAAAGUUUUUCCAGCCCCUCCCUUAACAAUAUUUAUAUUUUUAGUUUAAAUAAUAAAACAAUUAAUAUUUUGAUCCCCUUUAAUUUUAUUUUCUGGUUCUGCCCCUGGUUGCCAUCAUGCAUUUUUCCUCGAGGAGAGGCCAUGAGACGUCCUCUUCCAACCAUCAUGCAUUUUUUCCACGAGAUGGGUUCGUGGAGAAACUUUGGUUUAAUUGGGAAUGCUGUUAUUGAUUGGAAACUUUUUAAUUAAAAUAAAUUUGAUUAUUUGAUUGGAAAAAAUCCUUAAAUGUUAUUAACACAAGAAAUGAAUUUAUUUUCUUAAGAAAAAAAUAUUGUAACCAUAUAAGUAAUUUAUUUAUUUAUUUUAAUGAAAUAUAAAAUAGUUUUAAAUCUUGUGGUAUAUUUCUUGUCUUUAAGAGCUAUGAACUUAUAUCGCAAACCUUGAAAACUAAUAUAAAGAUAUUAAGUGAUCAUUAAGUGUGUGUGUAUGUAUAUAAUCUUUUUCAAAACAAAAAGGAUUUUGAUGGAGAUCAGGACAUUGCAACAAAUUAUCCACCACGAGAUGGGUCACUGAUACCAUUGUCAUCAUGCAAUUUUUUCCCACGAGAUGGGGCCGUACGCUUGGGGCUCUAAAACGCUAUGGUUUUUAAUUUCAUUAUGUCACAUCUAGAAUGGCAGGUAUAUUUUAUUUCAAUUUAAACAAUGGAAUAAAUUAGAAGAUAUUUCAUCUCGUUUGGAAUCUUAUCUCAUUUCAUGAAUUUCACCUAAAUUCUGGCCGGAAUAUUUUGGUUCUAUUCCAGCCAUUCUAUUAUGAUCAAAUAAUGUUUUGUUUUGCUUUUAUAAAAAAAAAAAUAUAGUCUAGUUUUACGGUAUCAAUUAUAUCUCUCAAUUCAACUGUUGAAUUAUACUAAAAUUUUACAAGGAAUCUCCUAACAUAUAUUUAUAUCGCAAGUUAAAAUUUUAGAACAAUUAGAGUUUAGAAAGACUUUGUGAGAUUGCCGAUGACAUUUUCAUAAUUUUAUUUAAAUUCAUAAUUUGGUUUCGUAAGGUCAUUUUUUGUGUCUUCUUUUAGAUUGUUUUGUUUUUCCAAUUUCAUAAUUCAACAAUAAGUUUAUUAAAAAUUGAGAUUCAUAAUUUGUUUUUAUUUUGGAUUAUUAUGGUCUCAUAAUCUGGGUCACGGAUUUAAAAGAUUAACUUAGAUUAACCCGAGUCUAUCCAAUAUGUCGUUGUCUCAAUAUUUUUAACAAACAUAAUUUUAAUUGACAUUUAAAAAUAAACUAACUUAAAAUUAUACAAUUUAAAUUUCAAAUAUAAGUAAAAAUAAAGAGUUAAAUCGAUAUGACCCAUUUGAUUUGAUGAGUCCAAAGUAUAUAUAGAACAAUCCAAAAUGACACAUCAAAAUACUCAAAAACAAAAAUAUAUUGUUACAAUUAAAAAAAUAAAACACCAAUUAAAAUGGAAUUAACAUCCUUGCUUCAUAGAAGCCUAAACUCCUCGCUACCAUUUGCAAGAGAUAGUUAUACCAAUAGCAAUUUAGUAAUGUUGGUCAGAAUUUAAUAUCCUUCUCGAUAAGAAGAUCCUUAUCUUAUCGGAUAAAACCUAAUUGUUCUAACGUCAACAAAAGAAUUUAAUAUUCGGAAUACAUCUUACGUAUAAGGUCGUAACCCAAAUACUAAAAGAAAAAAAAUAAUAUUUUUGGAAUUUUUGAAAUAUUGGUCUAGUUCUCGUGACUUUAAUAAACUGGUUAUUAAAACCAAAAUGCAUGUUAAUACAUAUUUUUGAAUUUUUGUUGUAUGAAAAUAUGAUAUGAUUUUUUUUCUUUGAGAUACUUGGCCAUAUGCAUGAAAAUAAAAACAUGUUUUUUUUUUAAUUUUUCAAUGUUUCGACGAAAACUGGGUAUUUUAAUUCCAGAUUUGUAUCUUUACAGUAUAAAAAUACAAAUCAAUACUAAGAAAAAAUCAAUAGAAAAAUACGCGGUAAAAUCACAGAUUUUUUAAAAUGAUUUUUUUUUGACCGGGUAGGCGUUGUUCGGGUCAGAAAACUAAAACAAACAGUGGAGAGACUCUCUGCUGUUCACAUGCAACGUGAACAGUGGAGCGGCCUGGAGAAGACUAAGAAGAGGAGGAGGAAGAGGAAGAAGCAGACCUGCAGCCUAGCGGUGCUGCCAGUGGCGGUGGACGGUGUUGCGGUUGCGGACCGUGGUGCUGACUGGUUGGUGGUUCUUCUUUCUUUCUCUGCGUUUCCCUUCUGCUUUUUUUCUGUUCUACUCUAUUCUUCCUCUUGUUCCCUGUUUUAUUCUCUCUCCCUCUCUGGUCCUCUCAAACGUCCCCUGGAGCUGCUGCCUGAAGAUGAAGAUGAAGUUGAGGGUGAUCAGUGCUCUGAUCGAGCAACGUUUCUUUCUUUCCUUCUGCUACUGUUUUCGUUUCUGAUUCUCCUUUUUGUUCAAUUCUUAUUUGCACUCUUCUUCUUCUUCGUCGUCUCUGGUUUUUGAAAUGACGAAGACGAUGGCAACGCUGGUUCUGGUCUCAACGAUUUCCUCUCCUUACAUUCUUUCCUUCUGCUCAUUUCCGUCUCCCUCUCGUGCUACUCCCCACUUUCUCUCUUGUCCUGCUGGCUCUCCCUCCUUGUCUCCUCCUUUUUUUUUUUCCUGUCCGUCUCUCCUCUGGCUUUAUAUAGCGAGAGGAUGCAUGCUUUUCGGGAUUUAUUGCAGGAAGGUUGUAACAGCCGGAGUGUAUCAUGGUGGAGAAGGAUAUCAGCCGUGAGACAUGCUCCCCUGAUUGAAGCAGCUCCACCGCUAACAUCUUCACUACCUUUUACUGUAGAAACCGUUGUUGAUGAAGAAGGUAAUGAACAGUUGUCAAGGAAAUGGUACCGUUUUAAAAUUCAAAAUGAAUAUUUCCGAUUUGGUCAUUGGAUUUUUUGCAAUUUUGUAAUCAAGCCCCCGAAUAAAUUGUAAAUGGAUCUCUGGAUUUUAGCCCCAUUUACAAGACAAUUUUUUGUUCUGGAUUCAUGCAAUUUGACCCUCAAUUGAUCAAUAAACUUCUAAUUUCUUCAAUUUAACCCCUGAGUUGGUCAAUUGCAGCCUCUCUAUUUACGUGUCUUUUCCGAUUUGGUCCUUGGUUUCGUAUUUUUUCAAUCAAGUCCCUAAUUGCCCAUAAAACUUUAAUAAUUAUGCAAUUAAGCUCCUGAUUUGACCAAAUCAACUCUUCAAAAUUAUAAUUGUACCCUAGAACUUUAAUUUCUUCCAAUAAAAGCCUAAAUCGACAUAAAACUUAAUUUUUCUUUCAAUCAAACCCUCCAUAAAUUCAAUUAAACCCUCAAUAAAAUUUAAUUUAGUCCAUAAACAUCUGAUUUUGGAUAUAUUUUUUUUAAAAAUGAAUUUUCUUUGUCAACAGGGCUCUCAUUAGUCAACGAUAUACUAUCAAAUUUCAAUCUUUGUAUUUUUUAACCUCCUCAACCAAUUUUUAGCUAUUUUGGGCGGUCCAACAGCUUUCUCACUACGACAUAUAUUUUUAUUUAUUUAUUUAUUAUUAUUAUUUAUUUACUUUUUUUCGACUCUUACUUUUUGUAUUUUCUUCUUUUUUGUGUGAGGUCCUAAAAAUGGGUAACAAUACUUAAGUUCAAAUCUAUUAAUAAAAUAUAGUUUUAUUGAAUUUUUUUAUAUACUUUUAUUAGAGAAAUCAAUGUAAACAAAUUUACGGAAAAACAUUAGUUUAUCAAGUACUUAAAUAGAAAAAUAAAAUCAAUUAGAGUACUUGAAUAAAAAAAAUAUAAAUUAUAAGCAUUUUAUAUAUCUUUAUCGUUCAUACAUUAAGAUAUUUUAUUGAUUAAAUUUUGUGAAUAUAAGUAUUCAAAUUGAAAAAAAAAACAUUGAUGCAAGCUUUUAAAUAAAAAAAAUUAUAAAAUACAUAUAAUUUGCACUUCUCAUUGUCUCUUUCGCAUUGCUAACACUUAACAAAUUGAAUAUAUAAUUCUCGUGUGAAUAACGUCAGAAUAAAUUUAGUUAUAUGACAUUAUAAUACCUUUUUAUUUUUAUAUUUUAAAAAUAUUUUAAAAAAAUUAAAUUGUUUUAAAUAGAUAACUUUUGAAUCAUCAAGUAGUGAAACACAAGAAAAGCGAAGAAAGUGAAGAAUAAUCAAAGUGGUGCGGGUCCACAUCAAUUUUUGUCCAUGUUUUUGGUAUUAAUCUCUUCAUCUAUUUACAGCCGGAGAAAAGAACAUCACCUACUACUUUUCUUGUCUCUUCUUGCUUGGAAGAUAAGGCAUGUGAACCUUUGAGUGCCACUCAUUUUAGUACAUAGACUUGGUUAUUUGACCACAGCUUCACCACAAGUUAAAUUGUUUUAAUUAAAAAAAAUUAUAUAUAGAUUUCUUCAAUAAAUUUUUUAUUUAAAAUUUUUUUAAGUGAAAAUUGAAAAACUUAUACACAAAUAUUGUUAAAUAAAUCAAGAAUUUUGUGUAUUAAUAAGUGAAAAAAACCAUAAAUGAUGACUUAAAAUAAAAACUGGAAAAAUCAAUAAACAAAUGUAGAUCAAAAUAUUUAAUUUCACAAAACGUGAUAUUACAGUUGUGUUUUCUAAAUUUUCUAAUUAAAAUAAUUUUUUAAUUCGAUCAAACGAUAAUAAAAAUAGACACACAUAUUAUAAAUUGAUUGAAUAAAAUAAAAAAUAAUAAUAAUAUGUCAGGCUUCAUAUAUUGGAAAUAUUUUUUGAAAAUAUUUUUUUUAUUUUUAAAAAUAUAGUUUAUCUAUUAAAAAAAUUAUAUAUUAAAUUCAAAAUAAAUAAACUUUAAAAUAAUUUGCAAGGCUGCACAUAAGCCCUUUAAAAGGAAAGUGAUAUAACAAAAGUGGAACAAUUUUUAUUAACUAAAUAAACUCUAUAACUAUUAAUAUUAAAUUCAAAAUAUAUAUUAAAAAUAAAUAUUAAAACCUAUUAUAUUAAUUUGUGAAUUUAUCAAUUGAGAUGUGAAUUAUAUUUCUAAAAUGUUAUAAGAAAUUUCUAUAUACUACAACUAGCUUAAGAAAAUCAAGUUCAUCGAAACCGUAGAGUACAGAAAAAAAAUGAAUUGCAUGAUUAACCAAAACUUAUAUUUCUUCUUAAAACGUUGACCCCAAGUCAAGUUUUUUUUUUUUUUUGAAAAAAACAUGAAUACAAGGUUAAUGCUAGGCACAUGACGAUGAUGGAUAUACAAGACCUGCUCCUUUCUUUAUGGAAAUUACGUGUGGAAAAUUUAGGCCUUGAAAAAAAUUAAAAAAAAAAUACUAUUAAUCAUGUUAUUUGCAUUAUGGCAAAUAUAGAGACUUGAUUGAUAAAAAUUUAUAAGAGCAAGUAUUCAAAUUUUAAAAUAAAUAAAUAAAUCAAUUCAAGUUUUUAAUUAGAAAAAACAAGAUACAAAUACUCUGUGUAAGUGCCACUAACUCUUUGUAUUUUCUAACUAUUAAAGAAUUGAAUAUAUAAUACACGGGUGAUAAACAUCAAAAUAAAUCCAAUUGUAUAAUUUACUAAGAUUUUAAAAACUAACACUACAUAGAAAAAAAAAUCUUAAAAUAAAUAACAGAAAACUUGUAUUCCUUCGAGGGGUGUUUGAGAGUGUGGUAGCGGUUGCUUUUCAAAGUUUUUUCCCUUAAAAAUGCAUCAAAAUAAAUUUUUUUGAUUUUUUAAAAAUUAUUUUUAACAUCAUUAUAUCAAAAUGAUCUAAAAAUAUUAAAAAUAUAUUAAUUUAAAGCAAAAAAUAUAAAAAAAAUUAAAAAAUUUUAAUAAUACUUUUAAAAUACUAAAACAAACAAGAUAUUAAAAAAUAUACUACAAGUCAAAGUCUUUUUGAAAAAAAACAUUAAUAAAAGGUUAAUGGCAGGUAGCUUAUUUUCUGCCCUAAUAAAGCUCAAGGUCUGUUCAGAAAACUAAGUACGUAGGCAUACACCCAAUCCAAGCACCAUCAAAUCAUUUUUUAUACAUAGGGAUAGGAACGCUAGCUUCACAUGAUAGAUAAAAAAAAUUAAAAGAUAAUAAAAUUAAAAAAAUAAUUAUAAUCUUAUAUAUUAUUUUAAAUAAAAUAAAUAUUGAUUAAAAAAACCAAAUAUAAUAAAUUAAAAUAUUUAAUUUAAAAAAGAUAAGAGAAAAGUAAAUGAGAAUUAAAGUUGAUAUAAAAAUUAAAUUAUAAAAUAUAAAAUUCAAAAAAAAAAUAAAACCAAUUUUUUUUUUCUAAAAGAUAAUAUUCAGAUUAAAAGCAUUAUAAAAAGAAUAGCUCCUUGUUUCUUCCUUGUUUCAAUUUCAAGAUAUUAAGAUUAAAACCCAAUCGUAUAGCUGGUUGGGUUGAGAAGAAAGGUUUGCUUUUGUAUUACAAAUUAUUUAGAUUAGUUUUUUUUUAAAAUUAAUCAAAUUAGUAUCAUUUUGGUUCUCCAUCGAAGAAAAUAGAAAACAUAUUUAGUAAUAAGGUGUUGUUUAAUUCCUUAUAUUAUUAAUAUAAUCAUGGCAUCAUCACUGUAACAAUAAGUCCUCUUACUUGUAUUUUCACCGUCCCAACCUCUUUACAUGGCGUCACCGUAGCAAUUAUAUAUCUCUUGAUCAAUCAUAAUUAAAUUACUGUAAUAAUAUCUUUUUUUAUUCUUUUAUAUGAAGUCUUAAUUUAUUUUUUUAUAUAGGUAGUUAUGAAUUACAGAAAUUGAACAAUUUAGAGAUCUUUGACUUAGAAUCUAAUUGUUUCGAUAACAGUAUUAUAUUAUAGAGGGAUUUUUAUCCCUUAAAUUAUUAUAUUUAGAUUAAAAAAUAAAAACUAAUUAGGAGUCAAUUAAAUAAAUAAAUAAAAACCCUCAAAAGAUAAAAGAAGAAAACAUAAAAAGUACACUACCCAACCAAUAAUUGACCUGAAUCACAUGUUGUCCACUGCCAGAACUUAUUAGCAAUCUGCUUACAACAGCAAAUUGAUCAAUAAGAAAGACUUAAAUUCCAAAUUUAAAAACCAACUCAAUUGAGAUCCUUAUUAUUCAUUCAAUUAGUUGCUUCUUGCUAACUCUUUUAUUUCCUUUAUAAUUUUAAUUCAUUUUAAUAUAAUUUCUUGAUUGUGGCAAGCUUCCUUUAUCUCAAGAACUUGGAAUACUUGGAUUUCCCAAGAAAAAAUUAACUUAAGACUUUAGUUAAUGCUAUGAACACGAGUAAAUGAUAUGCUAAAGAAAAAACCAUGUAUUUAAGAACCAUUGCUAAGCUACAGGUUCAGGAGCCAUAAACCACUCACAUUUAGUGGGGUUGAUCUCAAAUUCAGACAAAUCUACUUGUCCAGUUCGGAGAACCUUCAAACAAAAAGAAGAAUGAAACCUUGUAAAAUUGGCUAUCAUCAAAAGGACAAGAAACAGUACAAGAAGGAUCAGCCUCGCAUUUCUUGCAUAAGUAAAAGAAUCCACUUGUUAAUGGAAAGGAGGACUCUGCAACAAGUCUAAAAUAUCCUCUGGAGUUCAGUGACCCUACAACCUUAUAUUUACCUCAGAAUGCACCCACGUAAAGCACACAGGAAAUCCCAACACAUAAGACAACAAAAGAAAACAUAUAAUUAGCAGAAAAAAAAAGGUUGUACAAUUCUUUCAUAGCUUACAGUACGUAUAGAAUAAGCAUUAUCAAAUCAGGCUAACAUACCUCAGGUAAGUGAGAUGUUAAUCCUUCUUCAAGCGGCAAUGUCUCAAUCAAUGACAUUAUCAAAUCAGGCUUCAGUAUAUCCCCUAAUCCCAAGCCUAGGACAACAAAAGAAAACAUCAUGAAAAAAAAUGAUUUUACAGUAAUGCACCCAGUGCCAGAGCAUAUAAUUAGCAGAAAUAAAGGUUGUACAAUUCUUUCACAGCUUACAAUACGUAUAGAAUAGGCAUUAAUAAUUACCUUCAUCUGGAUCGGCCAAACUACCUGCAACAUCUAUCAUCACAUCACGGCGCGGGCCACCCUAAGUACAGCAAACAAGGAUAUGGUCAAUUGCACUAUCUGAGCAUAACACAGAUAUUACUCAGGAUUCUUUGCAAGUCUUCCAAUUUCACUGGUUCUGAUGAAGAGUUUACAUCAUUCAUUACUUCUGCACCAAGGUCUGGGACAACUAAGUUUCCAGUCCUGAGAGCUAUGAGCAAAAAUCUCAUCAGAAUAAAAGAAAAUGGCAACGUAAUACUGGGCCAUUUCUUUUUUGUAAUAAAAGUGCUCCUUAACCUUUUUGAAGUUAUUUUACAAUGAAUUACAAGCAUUAAACUUGUAUAUACAUGGACAAACACCAAGUUAUGAUUCUAAAUUUCCAUAUAAAAGAUGCCCCAAGUUUUAAAAUUUACCCCGAGGGCAAGUCUGUGCAAGAGCAUAAGGGGAUGAAGGAUUUGACAUGGACUAAGGUGGGUGAGAUGUUUUUGUCAAGAAAUGAUUUUGGAAAAUUUCUUGAUAUUUCUUGAAUAAAUAAGAUAGGAGUCUUCAUCAAGGCAAGAACAUAGGCUCUCCAAGAUAAUUGACCAGAAGGAGAGAAGGGAGGCUCAUCCUGCUCCACAGACUCUUAGUCUCAAAGAACAAAAAAUUACUUGGCUCUAUAUCCUUACUCUUACUUGCUAUAUCAACUCUUAGAGUUGAAGUAUCUGAAAGGGUUUAUUUUUAGUAUUUGAAUAAGUCCAUGAGUCCCUAGUCUUCAGGAAGAUAUACAUGGUCAAGAUUAAAUUAAGGAUUUUAGUUGCUUAUUUUUCGUUAUUUCAUGUGCCACGUUACUGUGAACGUGAGCUAUUUUUCAGUCUUAUUAUUAUUCCUGUAAGGCUAUUUAUUAGCCAUUUCCAUUCAGUAAAAGCAAUUCAUUCAAUUCAAAUACUGUGCACUUUUGUUCUUAUUCUUUACAAUUGGUAUCAGAGCUAUUACAUCUGACCUGUUACGAAGAAAUAGAUACAAAAGGAAGACAUAUUUUUGAGUGACUUCAAACUUAGAGUGAGUGAGUGCUUGAGUGCUUUUAAACACAGAGUGAGUGAGUUUGAGUGUUUUUUAAACACAGAGUGAGAAAGAGAGUUCUUGAGGGUCAAUUUCAACAAUGGCAGCAGAGUCCAGCAAUUUUGUAUCACCUUGCAUCCCGAAAUUUGAUGGAGACUACGAGCAUUGGAACAUGCUAAUGGAGAAUCUCUUGCAUUCCAAAGAGUAUUGGAACGUUAUUGAGACAGGAUAUGUCGAGCCUGCAUCAGGGGAAAUUCUGAAUAAUGCACAGAAAAAGACAUUGGAGGAGACAAAGCUGAAAGAUUUAAAGGUUAAAAAUUACCUUUUUCAGUCCAUCGACAAAUCCAUUCUGAAGACUAUUACUCAAAAAGACACAGCAAAACAGUUGUGGGAUUCCAUGAAGAUCAAAUACCAAGGAAAUACAAGGGUUCGGCGUGCUCAACUUCAAAUCUUUCGCAGGAAUUUUGAAGUGCUGGAAAUGAAACAAGGAGAAACUGUCACAAGUUAUUUUGGAAGAGUUAUGCUGGUGGCAAAUGACAUGCGAAAUCUGGGAGAAAGCAUACCUGAUGAGAAGAUUGUAGAGAAGAUUUUACGCACACUUACUGAGAAGUACAAUUACAUAGUGUGCUCCAUUGAGGAGUCUAAAGAUAUUAAUCAUCUUUCAGUUGAUGAGCUGUAGAGUUCAUUACUUGUUCAUGAACAGAAAUUCAAAAGGCAUGACACAGAUGAUCAUGCCCUGAGAAUCUAUGAUGACAGAUUCUGUGGCAGAGGUCGUGGCAGAAACAAUUACAGAAGCCGAGGCCGUGGGGGCAGAACACAAACAUUCAAUAGAGACAUGGUGGAAUGUUUCAGGUGUCACAAACUUGGACACUUCCAAUACGAGUGUCCAACCAUGAACAAGGCAGCUAAUUAUGUGGAGCUAGAUGAUGAAGAUGAGAUGCUGCUAAUGUCCUAUGUUACAUUAGCUAAGACAACACGGAAUGAUGCAUGGUUCCUGGAUUCAGGAUGUUCUAAUCAUAUGUGUGGUUAUAGAGGUAUGUUCUCCUACUUGGAUGAAAAUUUUCAGCAUUCAGUCAAACUUGGAAACAAUAGCAGAAUGGCAGUAGUUAGCAAAGGCAGAGUAAAAUUACUAAUCAAUGGUAUUAAGCAUGUUGUUAAUGAUGUCUAUUAUGUACCAGAGCUUAAAAAUAAUUUACUGAGCAUAGGUCAACUACAAGAAAGGGGCUUAGCAAUUUUAAUUAAGAAUGGAGUUUGUAAGAUUUACCAUCCUGAGAAGGGUUUGAUCAUUCAAACCAAGAUGAGUGCAAAUUGGAUGUUCAUCCUACUUGCACAGACUCAAGCUCCCGUACAUGCACAGACUCAGAAUCAAGAGAAUUGUCUUCUCACCGGUUCUCAAAAUCCCUCAGUGCUAUGGCACAGACGGUUCGGUCACUUAAGCUACAAAGGCUUAAGAACCUUACAAUGGAGACAUAUGGUACAUGGACUGCCCACCUUCUCGACUCCCACCAUCACCUGCACAGAUUGCCUCAAUGGCAAGCAACACAGAGAGGUCAUGCCCAAACACAGCAAAUGGAGAGCAAAUCAGAAAUUGGAAUUAAUUCAUGCAGACAUUUGCGGUCCUAUUUCCCCCGAAUCCAAUAGUGGCAAAAGGUACAUAUUAUGUUUCAUUGAUGAUUUCAGCCGAAACUAUGGGCAUUUCUUUUAGCUACAAAAUCCGAAGCUUUCAUUUAUUUUAAGAAAUUCAAAGCUAUGGUGGAAAAAGAAACCCUAUUGCAUGUGAAGUGUCUAAGGACUGACAGGGGAGGAGAAUUUACCUCAAGUGAAUUCAACGAAUUCUGCAGCCAACAAGGUAUCAAACGGCAGCUCACCACGGCGUACACUCCACAGCAAAAUGGAGUUGCAGAGAGAAAAAAUCGAACCGUGAUGAACAUGGUCCGAUCAAUCCUCUCUGGUAAAGGGAUUCCAAAACCCUUCUGGCCAAAGGUAGUGAACUGGGCCUUCUAUGUGCUCAAUCGGUGCCCAACUUAUGCUUUGACAGACAUCACUCCUCAUGAGGCAUGGAGCGGAACUAAACCAUCAGUAGACCAUUUCAGGGUCUUUGGGUGCUUGGCCCAUGUUCACGUUCCAGAUGUGAAACGGAGUAAGCUUGAUAACAAAAGCUUUGUGUGUGUACUGUUGGGUAUGAGUGAGGAGUCAAAGGGGUACAAGUUGUUUGAUCCUUUAAACAAAAAAAUCGUGGUUAGCAAAGAUGUGAUCUUUGAGGAGGACAAACAGUGGGAUUGGGAUGUUGCUUAUGAAGAACAAAUCUUGACAGAUUUGGUUUGGGGUGACAGAGAAGGAACACGUGAAGAUGGUGAUAAUAGUGAUGACAAUCACGGGGAUGAGAGUGGUGAACGUGAGGCUGAAAUCAAUGGGGAAGAAGGGGAAGAAAACGAAGAACACAGACACAUUGUCUGUGAAGAUGAUGAAAAUGCUGAGAGAGAAGAAGAAGAAGCUGAGUUAAAUGAUCUUACGGUGUGUAUGCUGCCAGUUGGAAGAAUAGGUGAGCAGGUCAAUCCUACGGCAUGAACGCGGCCAAGUGAACAAAGGGAGAUGACAGAUGGCAAAAUAGAUGUUAAUCCAACGGUGAGAAUUCAGUCUGACAGGGAGAGUGAUUAGAUGACAUGUGGCGUACAUCCAACGGCACAAAACAUGGCAGACGGAGAGAAUGAGCUGCUGACAAGUGGAGACAAUCCAACGACUGACAUGCAAUCUGACGGGGAGAGUGGCCUGCUGACAAGUGGAAGAAGAGAAAGGGGUCCUCCGGUGUGGAUGCAAGAUUAUGUUACAGGGGAGGAUUUAUCUGAAUAUGAGUCCAAUAUGGCACUAAUUAUGUCUUCUGAUCCCAUUUAUUUUGAAGAUGCUGUGAAAGUUAACACUGGAGACUUGCUAUGGACAGUGAAAUUAAUGCAAUAGAGAAGAACAAUACCUGGACGCUCAACGAGUUGCCGGAGGGAGCAAAAAAAAUUGGAGUCAAAUGGGUCUACAAAACAAAGUACAACGAACAUGGGGAUGUUGAUAAAUACAAGGCAAGGCUAGUUGCCAAAGGGUACUCGCAACAACACGGAAUUGACUAUACAGAAGUCUUUGCACCAGUGGCAAGGAUGGAUACAGUAAGGAUGAUUAUUGCUCUCGCCGCUCAAAAAAACUGGAUUGUUUAUCAGUUGGAUGUCAAAUCGGCUUUUCUGCAUGGGGAAUUGCAUGAAGAUGUUUAUGUUGAUCAACCAAAAGGGUAUGAAAAGAAGGCUAGCGAACAUCUAGUUUACAAGCUGCAUAAAGCGUUGUACGGGUUAAAACAAGCUCCAAGAGCUUGGUUCAGUCGAAUCGAGGGUCAUUUUUUCAAUGAAGGCUUUCUACGGUGUGAAAGUGAGCAAACUUUAUUCACAAAGAGAAGCAGGGAAGGAAAGAUUAUCAUUGUAAGUGUUUACGUUGAUGAUCUAAUAUUUACUGGCGAUGAUACACAUAUGUUGUCUGAAUUCAAAAACUCCAUGAUGAGGGAGUUUGACAUGUCAGAUUUGGGGAAGAUGCGGUAUUUCUUGGGAAUCAAAGUAUUACAGCAUUCAGGUGGCACCUACAUAUGUCAGAAGAAAUAUGCACUAGAGGUGUUGAAGAGGUUUGGUAUGAUGGAAUGCAAUGCGGUGAAAAAUCCAAUAGUUCCCGGAUGCAGAGUCAACAAAGAUGAAGGCGAAGCUAAAGUAGAUGAAACAUAUUAUAAGCAGUUAGUGGGCAGCCUAAUGUAUCUCAUAGCAACAAGACCAGACAUGAUGUUUGUUACUUGUCUCAUCAGCAGAUACAUGGCCAAACCUACGGAACUUCAUCUACAAGUAGCAAAAAGGGCACUUAGAUAUCUAAGAGGGACAAUAAAUUUUGGAAUUUAUUACAAGAAAGGGGGAAGUGAUGAACUACUCUCAUUUACGGAUAGUGAUUAUGCUGGAGAUAUGGAGGAUAGAAAGAGUACAAGUGGAUAUGUUUUUUUGUUAAGCUCAGGAGCAGUCUCAUGGAGUUCGAAGAAGCAACCAAUAGUGACUCUUUCUACAACUGAAGCAGAAUUUGUAGCAGCCGCAAUGUGUGUAUGUCAAGCUCUUUGGAUAAAAAGAGUCUUGAAGGAAUUGGGACACUCAAAUAAUGAGUGCACACAAGUGAAAUGUGAUAACAGCUCAACUAUUAAAUUGUCCAAAAAUCCAGUGAUGCAUGGACGCAGUAAGCAUAUCGAUGUAAGAUAUCACUUUCUGAGAAAUCUUACUAAAGAAGGUACAAUUGCAUUAGUUCAUUACGGAAGUCAGGAUCAGGUGGCAGAUUUAAUGACCAAGCCUUUAAAGCUUGAUGCAUUUCUGAAACUAAGAACACUGUUGGGAGUCCAAGAAAUUACUGAUGUAAACUAACUGCAUACUGCAGUAAGUUUAAGGGAAGGAAUGAAAGGGUUUAUUUUUAGUAUUUGAAUAAGUCCACGAGUCCCUAGUCUUCAGGAAGAUAUACAUGGUCAAGAUUAAAUUAAGGAUUUUAGUUGCUUAUUUUUCGUUAUUUCAUGUGCCACGUUACUGUGAACGUGAGCUAUUUUUCAGUCUUAUUAUUAUUCCUGUAAGGCUAUUUAUUAGCCAUUUCCAUUCAGUAAAAGCAAUUCAUUCAAUUCAAAUACUGUGCACUUUUGUUCUUAUUCUUUACAGUAUCAUCUUUGAGUAUGCUUAUUUGUUAUAAUAAAUAUACCUUGAUGAGAUAUUAUCUUUAAGCAUGUCUUCAAAAACUUGGAAAGGAGUAGAAGCAUCAGGCUCUUCUUCAUCAAGGAACUCUGCCAGGCAAUAAGAUAAAGUAGCGACGUUGCUGAUGGAAAAACUUCACUCUUGAAUGAGUGCUGAAGUUAUAAGCCAGGUCAUUAGUUUGAAGGAGUAAAACUGGUUAGUAAAAUUUUAGGAAAACCAAUUCACACAUACGGAGUGUGUAACUAAAAUAAAUAAACAGGAAGUAGAAAACAGGAAAUCCAAUUAGUCUAAUAUGAUAUUUCUGUGAAAUAGAGGUUUUCUUUAUGAAAUUGUGGAGAUGAGAGGAGAUAAAUGCAGAUGCAAGAUAAAAAAAAACAAUAAAAAAAAACACAAAAGUAGCAUGGCUAGCAAAGGACUCAAAACACAAAAGUAUUUACCAAAUGGACGAUUAAUAUAAUAGUUGAUAGAGCUACACAAUUGUGAAUCAUCUUUAGCUUUUGGCUCCUGCAAACAUGUUACACAAUUUUCCAAAAUCAUGCAACUAACAGCCGAGUCAAUGUUACACAUAAGAGAGUGAAAAACACAGAAAAUGAACCUGACCUGCAUCCAAAUGAAAAACUUUCAAUCAUCUGUAUUGAAUUUCAAGAUGUAAACUCUUCCCAAAGCUUGAUUAACCUGAAUAACCCAAAGAAUUAUGAAUCUAUGAUAUUACAAUCAAUUAUUAGAGUCAAAUAUCUCCCAUCUAAGAAAAAACUAAGAGAGAAAAGUGUACCUUCUCAAAAACAGCCUCUUCAGAAAAAAAAAUCUGAUCCUGUCAAUCAACACGUCAAGAAAAAGCUACCAAGUUCUUACCUCAAAAGAAUAUUAACAAAACAAACAACAGAAAAAGAAAUAAAAACCAAUGUUGGAAGAGAGAAACAAAAUCCCCAGGCUAAAAAACAUAAUAAUAACUAGGACACAUCUUCCACAGCAUUCAAAUUCCUAUCAAGCCACUGGAAAUGAAGCAAACCCUCGUCACCCUGGAACAAUUCAAAAAUUUCGACUUCAAACAGGAAACAAGAUGCUAGAAACACUCUAUCUAGUACUUAAGAUAAACCAAAACAACAGAAGUAACUAAAAAUCUUUACACAGGUACGAACUCUGUAUAACACAAAAAAACCAAAAGACACCAGUUUACCCUUCCAAUGCGAACAAGUCCUUUUCGAGAAUCAGGAACAAACUUUUUUCCAUCAAAAACCAUUUUACCAGCACGAAACUCCAACAUAAUUUCCUACCAACAAAACAACCACAACAUCAUAACAUAACCCCAUCAAGAAAAACAUACUUAUACAUCCAAAAAAGCAAUUACAGGCUCUAAUUAAUAAGAUACAAGAUUUUAAGCAAAACCCACAAUUUUAAAAGUGAUUUUAUUUACCUGCAUUGCUGAAAUAUCUACAGCUGAUGAAGAACCCAUUUUUCGCAUACUUCCUCUAAAGCUUCCUUUUUUCCAACACUGCAAAAAAAAAAAAAGAAGAACAAAUCAAAUACCCAAAUCAGAAACAAUAACAGAAAAAAAAUAAAAGAAAAUCCAAUGCUGGAAGUUGUAAUCAGGAGGAGAACCAUACAAUUUCUGAUGGAAUGACAUUUUAUCAAGAAUUGAACUAGGCAUUCAGUUAAUUAAAUAGGUUGUAAACUUGUAAUCAGGUGAGAGUAGUGUCAACAUGUUUAGUUUUCCUCUCGGAAGUGUCAUUCUGCACAAAUCAGUGUUUUAAAAAUAUUAAAAAAAAAAUUUAAUUUGUUUUUAAAUUUGUUUUUUAGUGGUUUUCAUUUAUUUUCGUGUAUUAAUAUUAAAAAUAAUUUUUAAAAAAUAAAAAAUAUAUUAUUUCAAUUUAUUUUAAAAUAAAAAAAAAACUUAAAAAAAAUACUGUUAACACAGUAUUAAACAAACUCGAAUCCUAUAACCAGAUGAACAACGUUAAGAUAUUUGUUUUUUGUUUUUUGUUUUUUUUGAUAAUGAGGAUGUCCUAAACAAUCUUGCCUAAUGAUUGUUAAGAAAUGAAAGAGGCAAUGCAUGGCUAAACCAAUGGAAGCUAAAAAGCUAAUGAUGCCCCUAGCUAGUAAGCAAUUGUUGCCGCAAUGACAUAUGCCUCAUUAGAGAUAGAUUUGAAUUUACAUAUUAUUAUUAUCAUAUAUUUUGUAUUCUCGUUUAAAAAAAUAAAUAUUUUCCUUAUAUGGAGUAGAGUGUUUUUAAUUUUAUCAUGUAAAAUUUAUAUAUAUUUUAAAAAUUAAUACAAUAUACAGUUAAACAUCUAUAAAUUAAUAUCAUUGAGACCAUGAAAUUUAUUAAUUAAUCAAGAUAUUAUUUAGUAAAUAAAUUUAUACACUUAUCCAUUAAUCACAAAAAAAUUUCUUUUUCAAAAACAUUGAACUCAAUACAUGCAUUGUGUAUUCUGAUUAUAUGAAUAUUAUCUAAUUAUCAAAUUAUGAAUUAUCAUAGUUCUAUAUAUUUAUUUAAAUAAAACAAGUUUAAGAAUUAAUGUAAUCGAUCUUAUUAAUUAAUAAAAGUCAUGUAUGUAUCUAUUUUUGCAAAUUGGAUGCAUACUUAAUUAAUAUUAAGUCAAGAACAAAACCAAAAAAAGGAAUAUACAAGUGAGCCAAACAACAAUAUUAAAAACGAAUAAGAGGUUGAAUUAAUAUUCAUUAACUAAUAAUAAAAUUAAGAAGAUGAUACCAAAGGACACAAAAUCACAAAAAUUCGUGAAACUACAUAAGGCGGUUUGUUCAAUACCAAGAAAUUAAAUAUUUAAAAAAAAACUAAAUGAAUUGUUUAAAAAGUUAAAAGAAAAUAAAUGCACUUUUGUCCACGUCAACAACAACUAUAACAAAAUGCUGGGCUGUAGAAGAUUUUCCACAGCAACCUGAAAAAAUCAUAUAUGCUCAAGUAACUAUUUGGUAGAGCGUAUUUGGAGUGCUAAUAUCUUUUCUUUAUGGAAUCAGUCCUCGUACUCGAUCUCUGAAACCAGUUAAGGUUCUUAGUGACCAAAAUACUAGGUAGCGACUCUCAUUCCAUUUUUCCACUAAUAAAAGACAAGAAUUCCUUGUCUCCCCAUAGAUGCCUGAUAGAUAAUACAUUUUGAGAGUGGAUAUUUUCACCGCAACAUCGUAUACGUGCGACAUUAUGUAUACAGGUAUUUCACGAGAUGAUGCGGAGUGUUAAAUAUAAGCUUUGUGUUUAAAUCUGUUUUUUUAUGUAAUAUCUUUUGUUUUAUAUGUAAUUUGUAUUAUAUGUAGAUUUUAAUAUAUGAAUCCUAAAGAUAUUUGCUUUUGGUAUUUAUACAUUUAGAAUGUAUGAGUAAGGAACUAAUAUUAGUAAACUAUUUGAAAAGAAUACUUAAUAAUUAUAAUUAUGCAUGUUUAAAAGAUGGAUGCAUGUUAACGUAAUAAUUAGUUCAAUAUGAAUCCUUUGAGUUUAUAUUUGUAUGCAGUUAAUGUUUUAUUUUAAGAGAAUAUAAUUGCUAUGUUUUAUUUUUUUAUGAUGUAAGGUUGAGAAAGCACAACAAAGUAUUGCUAUGUGAAAUAUUGUAUGAUGAGAUGGGAUAUGAUCCAGGAUGGUUGAAUUGAAAUAGAAGAUUGAGUAUUGUGAUUGAAUGAAGUCUAGUCGAUAACUUGGUAACAUAAAAAAACAAAAGAAACUCUGCCGAAUUUUCUGUAGAAAAUUAGAUUUAUAUAAUAACUAUUACUUUGAUGAUAUAACUUUGAGAGUGAUACAUCAAAUGUGAGAUAUGUUAGACAAUAACCGCAAGACAAUAACGGUUCAAGACGUAGACAAUAACAAUUCAAAUUUCGGUAGUCCUCAUAUGAAUACCAUAUAUAUAUAUAUAUAACUUUACUCUGUUUUUCAGUUGCAUGAUAUUGUUAUUUUAUCCCGAUUGAGGGGGUGUUAUAAUUAUGGUCUUAUGAUCCGAGUCACUGAUUUAAAAGGUUAACCUAGAUUGACCCGGGUCGAUCCAAUAUGUUGUUAUCUCAAUAUUUUUUAAAAAAAUAUUAUCUUGAAUUUUUUGAAGUAAAACUAUAUGUUUAUCAGUCGUCCAGACUAUCUUUGGACUCAUUGAAUCGAUUGGGUCAUAUCGAUUCAACUCUUUUUUUUUAGUUAUAUUUGAAAUUUAAAUUGUAUAAUUUCAAAUUGGUUUGUUUUUAAAUGUCAAUUAAUAUAUAUAUAUAUAUAUAUAUAUAUAACAAUCCAAAAUGACAGGUUAAAAUACUAAAAAACCAAAACAUAUUGUUACAAUUAAAAAAAUAAAAUACCAAUUAAAACGGAAUUAAUUGACAACUUGCUUGGUAGAAGCAUGAAACUCCUCGCUGACAUUUGCAAGAGAUAGUUACUUAUACCAGUAGCAAUUUAGUAAUGAUUGAUCAGCAUUUAUAGUAAGAUGGGGCUAUUAAUUCAAAUGUUGAUGGCAUUAGUAACAAUGAUUUUCUUGGAAGGAUUGCUUCCUCUUGGUUGCUUGAAAAUAUACGGUUUUUUUUUAGUUCAAAUCUAUUAAUAUAAAUAUAGUUUUAUUGAAUAUUUUUUAUAUAAUCUUAUUAGAGAAAUCAAUGUAAACAAAUUUAUGGACAAACACUAGAUUAUCAAGUAUUUAAAUAGAAAAAUAAAACAUUGAUACAAGCUUUUAAAUAAAAAACAUUUAUAAUAAAUAUAAUUUGUACUUGUCAUUAUCUCUUUUUCAUUGCUAACACUUAACGAAUUGAAUAUAUAAUUCUCAUGUGAAUAACGUCAAAAUAAAUUUAGUUGCAUGACAUAAUAAUACCUAUUUGUUUUUUGUAUUUUAAAAAUAUUUAAAAAAAUUAAAUUUUUUUAAAUAAAUAACUUUUGAAUCAUCAAGUAGUGAAACACAGGAAAAGUGAAGAAAGUGAAGAAUAAUCAAAGUGGUGUGGGUCCACAUCAACUUUUGUCCAUGUUUUUGGUAUUAAUCUCUUCAUCCAUUUACAGCCGGAGAAAAGAGCAUCACUCAGUGCUUUCCUUGUCUCUUCUUGCUUAGAAGAUAAGGUAUGAGAACCUUCGAGUGCCACUCAUUUUAGUACAUAGACUAGAUAUUUGACCAUAACUUAACUGUUAGUUAAUUGUUUUUUCAAUUAAAAAAAUUUAUAUAUAGAUUUCUUCAACGUAUUGUUUAUUUAAAAAAUCUUAAGUGAAAAUUAAGAAAUUUAUACACAAAUAUAGUCAAAUAAAUUGAGAAUUAUAUGUGUUAAUAAGUGAAAAAAAAACCAUAAACGAUGACUCAAAAUAAAAACUGGAAAAAUUGAGAGACAGGUGCUGAUCAAGAUAUUUAAUUUCACAAGACGUGACAUUUAUGCAGUUGUGUUUUUAAAAUUUUCUAAUUAAAAUAAUUUUUUAUUCAAUCAAACGAUAAUAAAAACAGACACACAUUAUAAAUUGAUUGAAUAAAAUAAAAGGAGAAAAAAUAAUAUGCAAGCCUACACAUAUUAAAAAUAUUAUUUGAAAAUACAUUUAUUUUUAUUUUCAAAAAUAAAAUUCAUCUAUACAAAAGAUUUUUAAAAAAUAUAGAUUAAUCACAAAAACCUCCUCAAAAAUUAAAUGCAUAAUUAAAAAAUAAUUAUCAUUUCAAAUAGGCUUUCUAAAUAAUAUAAAAGAGAGAAGGGAUAUAAAUAUAAAUAUAAAUAAGAUUAAGAUUAAGAUUAAUUUAAAAAAAUACAAACAAAAAAAAAGAAAAUAUUUUUUCUUAAACAAAAAAAAGUGAACAAUGUCGUUCACAGUAAAACUUGUGGGGUGAACUCGAACUCAACCGAGUUUAAUAUUUUUCCUCUUAAAUUUAUAACAAACCUAAAAAAAGUAAACAAUGUCGUCCAUUGUAAAACAUGAGGAGGUGAAUAGUGCAACUACACAGUGUUCACCUUAUAUAUUUUUCCUCUUAAAUUUAUACCAAAACCGUAAUAAAAAAAGGUGACCAAUGUUGUCCAUAGUAAAACGUGAGGGGGUGAACAACGCAUCUUCAUAGUGUUCACCCCGCACACCUUAGCUUAUUUAGGGUGAACCUGAAUCAUGAACUCAAUCGGGUUUAAUAUUUUCCCCUCUUAAAUUUAUAGCAAACCUAAAAAAAAGGUAAACAAUAUAGUCUAUAAUAAAAUAUGAGGGGAUGAACAAUACAGAUGCACAAUGUUCACCUCACAUAUUUUUUUCCUUAAAUUUAUAGCAAAACCUAAUAAAACAAAUAGUGAAUAGUAUAUUCAUUGUAAAACGUGAGAGGGUGAACAAUGUGGCUAUAUAAUAUUCACCCCACAUGCUUUAGAUUAAACGUGAGAUGGUUAUUUUUUAAAAUAAAAAAAAAUUAAUAAGCAGGCUAUUACAAUGCGCUUUUUAAUGAUGACGAUAUUUGUAGCAAAAAUUUCAAAGGAUUUAAUACAAAUCCAAGCCAAAAUAUUUCACUAGAUUACUAUUUUACGAUCUUCUUAAAACUUGGGUUCGAGCUUGUCAUGUUGAAUCAUCUCUUCUAGAAUCCUUUUUACCGUCUAAUGACUGCCGCUUAUGUUUGUGCAAUUUCUUGUUUACUAGUAAAAUUGUACAGACGUGGGCUUGAAGCUGUUAACUUUCCCUGGACUGGUUAUGUAAUAUAUUUAUAGGUCUAACUGUAUACUAUCACUUGGUCCAAGAGGCAAUAUUGCAAGAUUCCAACGAAAUCUACUGUAAUCUACUGUCCUGGGACAAGAGUUCCAAAAACAUCUACUCCAAAUUUUGUUCUUUUUGAAUCUUUAGUUAUUUUUAUUUUUUCUCAUCAUUUUUUAAAAUAAAAAAUAUAAAUAAAUUACUACAAAAUGAAUAAAACAAAACCAGAAUAAAAAAGUAACAUUAAACAGCAGCCAUUUCAUCAGCUUUAAUUUUAGUAUAACACAAUAAUAUGAACCAACCUUGAUUCUCGAAGGCACCCAACUAAUUCAUUAGCCUUCAAAUUGCCAUCACCUAAUUUCACGAUCCAUGACCGACAUAUAAACAAGGGUCCUCUCCAAGUUCCCAUACAUAUACGAAUCCAAAUAUACAUAGAAACUUAUCUUUUAAAUAAGUCAAUUAGAGUUCAACACAAUAUUAAUAACAAAAUUAAUUAAAUAAGUCAAUCAGAGUUCAACAUAACAUUAAUAACAAAAUUAACUUCAUAAUAUAAUUUGAUUGUCUUAAUACAAAAAUUAAUACAAAGUUCGUAGUUGUGGAGCACUAUCUAGACAUAAAAAAAAUCAUAACAAAAACAACAAGGGAGGGGGUUUGAUAGUAUGUAAUACAACAACUAGAAAUAUAUAUAUAAUUAUGGCUUUAGGUUUUUAUAAAAACGUUUUUUAAAUAGAUCAUAUAAGAACAACGGAGGAGGGGGUUUAACGGUAUGUAUUUGCCUGCUAGUAAAAAUUGGUUAGCACCUAAACAAGGUCCUGUGCUAAAUCUAAAUUGGUAAGAUGUGAUAUGCUAAUAUCUAGAAAGAUAACUUAAUCUAUCCAUUGAAGUAAAGCAUUUAAAUGCGUAUACAAUGUUUUUGGAACAUUAAAUAUCUAUUUGAUCAGAAUCUGAUGGGGCAAUAGGUGAUGCAGGCAUAAACUAGAAAGACAACAAACAAACACAAAGAAAAAAGAUUUGUUAAGCAAACAGGGUUGCAAACUUAAACACUAAAUUCGCAAUUUAUUAUUCUGAAAAAAGUCUAAUGAUGUUUGCCUCUCAAAGAGGUUUCUAAAACAUUUAAAUAUGCUAAAAAACCUAUCUCUAUUGGAAAAAAAAAAUUCAGAAUCCAAAAGAAUAAACAAAAACUACAUAAAAUCUGAAAUAAAACAAUAAAUAUGAAAAAAAUCAAGGAAAAAUAGCUAAAUUGGCUCAAAACAGGAUCUUAUGAACCUAAUUUCAGGGGAUCCGAACAUCAAAUGAUCAACAAAGUAUGUUUCCAAUUGAGAUGGGCCUUAGAAAUCUCCUAUAAAAAUUGAGAUCUAAGCAAAUUAAGUGAUAUUUGUUUGAGACUUCGCUAACUACAUAUAAAGGAAUUAAAAAUAAAUUAUGAUGAUCAAUUCAAAAUCAACAAAAUAUUAAAGUGAAAUUGGAAGCAAAAACAGGGCAAAAAUCAUUAAAUCAAAAGAAGAAAAAAUUAGAAGAUAGAAUUUAUUUAUUUUUUUUAAAAAAGGGGGGAGGAUAUGAAUAGUGAAGUAGGAGGGAAAAACCUAAUUUUUUUAGUAUAAUAAAUAAUUUUUAAUUAAAUUAAAAUCUUCAUCUCAUACAAUUAGACCCAAAAAGAGUUAAAUAAAAAAGGGAAGAAAAUUUCUAAAGAUAUAAGGACCAAUUUAAAAAAAUAAAAGGAAAAAAAAAUGAAAAAACACCAAAUCAAGAAACGAAAAAAUAUAAGGACCAAUUUAAAAAAACAAUAAAAAAUAUAAAGAGUGAAGGAGGUAGAGAAACAUAAGUUUUUUAGUAUAGUAGUUUAUUUCUAGUUAAAUUAAAAACUUUAUCUCAUAUAAUUAGGCCAAAAACAAUUUUUUAAAAAAAAUAAGGACUAAUUUGUAAAAAAAGAAGAGAAAAAAACAGAAUCAAAUCAAAAGGGAAAAAAAACUAAUUUAAAAAUAAAAAUAAAAUGCUUCAUUAUUCAUGUAAAAACAAAACAUCAUUAUAGUAUCCAACUAGACAAGUGACCUACACUACGGGCUAUCCUAAUUUUUUUAAAGCAAAAUUUUUUUUUAGCAUUAUUAGAUGUGAGAAAAUAUUUUUUAAAAAACAUACAUGUGUACAAGAUAGGAGAGAUUUGGUUUGAGAAUGCAUGCUAAAAAUCUAAACAUGAACUAAAACAAAGUGGAAUUAAAAAAAAAAAAAAAACUUAAAAGAGAUCAGUGAUUCAUUAUAGACUGUGAGGUAAAACACUGUAGAUUAGCAUAAUAUAUUUAUUUUUUGACCUUCUCUACGUAAAAUAAUUGCCUUGCUAACAGGGUAAAGUUGUUAUUUUCAAUGGAUCUAAAGGUUAUUUGUAAAUUGAUUGGGAAUAAUUUAGUAGGUUAGCUAUUUUAUUUGCGUAGUAAAAUGACGUCAAUACCCUUGAGAGUUCAAAAAUAUUGACCUUGACAAAGGCAUUUUUUAGUCUUUUCCAUGUUUUGUAUACUGUAAAAUGACAAAGUUAACCUUAGAAUAAAAAAAUCUAAAGCUGGUCUGGGAUAGCAUUUUCAUCUUUGCAAUAUAGCUUUUUUGUAAUAUUUAGAUGCUCUUAUGAGCUAUUUAGCAAUUUAAAGUAUUGAAAUAUUAAUAAAUCAAUAAACAAAGGCUGACAUGUGUGUAGCACGUGUCAACACGUGAUAGUCCACCACGUCAUUUGGGAGGCGUGUGAUAGUCCAACAUGUAAUAUGGAGGUGUAGUUGAUGACGUGGCGUGUCGUCAUAUUUGUAGUGGUUUAAUGGUGAUAAAAAAAUUUUCCCGUCCCCCUCUUUUCUCUCUCUAAGGCUUUAGUAUUCACGCCGAUGCUUUAAAAUUUCACUUGUAUCCUUUGGAUUGUAUUUAUAUUAAGUUUGAUUCUUAUUAUUUUAAUUUCUAUUUAUUUUGAUUUUAGUGUUUUUUAAAGAAAAAAAUUUCAAUUUCAUUCCUCAACAUUUUAUUUCAUUUAAUUUUUAUAUUAAACUUGGUCCUCAUUCUUUUAAUUACUAUUUUCUAUCCUUUACUUAAUUUUUUUAAUUUUAUUUCUUAUUAUUUUAUUUUAUUUUAUUUUGUUUGCAAUUGCAGUUCUUUUUUUUUUUUAUCCCUAGUAAGCAAUUGUUGCCGCAAUGACAUAUGCCUAGCAAGAGGAAAAAAAAAAAAAAAAAGAGACGCUUGAAGGUUAGAGAAGGCACCUCUGAGUGGAAGGAGGCUGAGGUGCGCUAUUUUUGAAGUAUGUGAAAAUCAUAUGUUUCAAUGCUACUUCUUGCAAGAGUCUCCUUAACCAACCUAGAGUGUUAUAUUAGACUGCUAACGUAUUUUAUAAAAAUAUUGAUAAAAAUAUUUUUGGAUAAUUUUUUUUAUUUUAUUUGAAUUUAUUUCUUAAAUAAUUUAAAUUAAUAAGAUAAUUACAUAAAAGAUAAUGUUAGUCAAGUUAUCUUUUUACCAACCAUAAAAAGAUUUUUACUAAUCCAAGCCAACAAAAUAACAAUUACAUGUAUAAAUUGUCAUAUGUUGGAAAAAGGAGUUAGCUCAUAUUUUAGGGAUUAUAUUAAAGUGUUAGCAUCUUGCCUGGUUAGAAAUAGAAUUGAAUUUACAUAUUAGUAUUAUCAUAUAUUUUGUAUUGUCGUUUAAAAAAAUAAAUAUUUUCCUUAUAUGGAGUUAAGUGUUUUUAUUUUUAUCAUGUAAAAUUUAUAUAUUUUUUAAAAUUAAUUUUUCUAAUCAUCAAAUUAUUUUUAUUUUUUAAAAUUUAUAUAUUUUUUAAAAUUAUUUCUUAAAAAUAAAUUUAUUUUUCUAAAAAAUUGAACUUAAUACAUGCAUAUUAUCUAAUCAUCAAAUUAUGAACUAUCAUAAUUCUAUAUAUUUAUUUAAAUAAAACAAGUUCAAGAAUUAAUGUAGAUCAAUCUUAUUGAUUAAUAAAAUUCAUGUAUGUAUCUAUUUUUGCAAAUUGGAUGCAUACUUAAUUAAUAUUAAAUCAAGCAAAAAAUCUAUAAAAAGAAUAUACAAGUGAGCCAAACAACAAUAUUAAAAACGAACAAGAGGUCGAAUUAAUAUCCAUUAACUAAUAGUAAAAUUAAGAAGAUGAUACCAAAGGACACAAAAUCACAAAAAAGCAUUUAACAUUCAGAGAAAGAAGCCUGCAACACCCAUUAAGGAAAAGAGAGAAGGGAAAGAAAUGUAGAUUAAUUGAUACAGAGGAUCACCUUGUUCCAGACCAGCGCGAGACUGUAGAAGAAUCCAGACGAACCAAGAGCAAAAAAUGCAGGAGAGAUAAUCAUGAGAGAAACAAAUUCAUAUAUCCACGAAUACGUACAACAUUUGAAACCUAUAAUGCAAGAAUAGCUGCAGAUGUACAUUAAUAUUUUUAAUUUAAAGAAUCAAUUAAUUAUUUAAAAAACUUGAGGGAUUAAUUUGUUUGUUUCACAUAAAACAGACACUAAUUAUAUAAAGUUUUACUCAAAAAACAGACACUAAUAAUCAUAUGCGUGAGUGUUUACUUGUAAAUAUUUUGGAAGGAACUGGUUUAUGUUUUGCGCAUCAUGAAAAAAUCAUAUAUGCUUAAGUAACUAUUUGGCAUCAAUCUAGUAAAUUAAUCUUAAAUUCCUUUUAUCCAACUCUUGCCGUUUUAAAAUUAAUCAAUGUAAAAGUUAACCAAACAUGAUAAAAUCAAUAUAAUGGGUUUACGAAUACAUAUUAAAUUAAUCUUGGUUUUAUAGCUUAAUUUUCUAAACUCACUACUCAAAUAAUGAACUACAUCUAGUUUUAAUUUUUUUUAUUUAAUAUUAUAAUAACAAUACCAUUUCAAAAUUAACCAAAUAUAUAUAUAUAUAUAUAUAUAUAUAUAUAUAUAUAUAUAUAUAUAAUAGAGUUUAAAAACAAAUGAACAAUAUGAUAUUGUUCCAUUUUACUAUAAUGAUGAAGUUUUCACAAAAUAUAAAACUUAAAUUAAAUUAAGGCAACAAUCAAUUCUUUAGCUUUAAAACGAUUUAUUAUUUGCUUUCUAGUGGUAGUAGUAGGAUGAUUGGAAUAAUUUUUUUUCCAUUAACAAUAGAAUUGAGAAGGCCCGCCACAGACCAAGAGGACAGCUUCAAUGAAGCCAUCCCAGCCGAUGCAGGUGAUUACCCGUCGGCUGACAUCUCCUCGCGCGCAUAGCACCAGCCAAACCACCUCAAUCUGAAAAUGCACCAGACAAAGUCAAUGGAAAGACGCCAGGGAGCCUCAGCAGCCGAGAAGAAAGCGAGGGAACACCCACCGCGCGAGAAACACGAAAAACAUAGAGGGAGCGCGGUAAAGACUGUGAAGCCACAGAAUUCACACAUUGUGCACCGUGUUUUAAUGAGCACUCUUAGUUUAUUUUAUAUAUAAUUCUUUUAGUUUUAGUUUUAGUUUGUUGUGUUAUGAACAGUAAAGCAGCACAAGAAUACGUCUGCGUCAAGCUCUGUUCACUUUGGUCCGACAUUCCUCACCUCUCCCCACCUUAGCUCUCUCUCUUUCCCUCCUCUGCUUUUAGAAACCGCCGCUGCCACCUCAACCAAUAAGGCUUCAAAUCUCACCCAGGUGCUUCCUUUUCUAUUAUGUUUUUGUUUUUUAAAAAAGAUUUACGUCCGCGUUUUCAUUUAUUUAAUUGAAGUUACUAUCCAAAGAGAGAAAUUCGAUUUUAAUAAGUAAAUUAAAAAGAUAUAUAAUCGGAUCCAAUGAAAUCGCUGCUCGUGAACGCAACUCGAAGAAAGGCGCAAUCAGUCGAUUCUACUGUGGGUGGAGCAUUUAGUAUGGUCAGGGUUAUUGUGUUGUCUAUUCAAAGAAAGAUGUGCCUGUAAAUUUAUUAAGUUGAUUCUUAUCAGUCUGCUCUUUAGAGUUGAUGAUAACAUGAAAUAUUCAUUGUUGAUGCUUGUCGUUUUCUUCUUCAUUUUCCUAGCUUAAAACAUCCUAGACAAUCUCUUUGGGAUGGUUUAGUGUUUCUGGCCUCUUCAUCUUCUAUUUGUGCUGUGGUAUUUAGUUUGCUGAUAUUCAUUGGGGAUUGAAAGGCCUCGUUUUAUGACUUUGUUUUCUUCUUAUUUCUUUAUUCUUUUGGGGAUGUGAUAUUUUCCUCUUUCUAUUUACACUAUUGGCUCCCUACAAUAUUUUUUCCUUCAGAGAAGUAAAUAUAUACAUAAAUAACAAGAACAGGAGGGGAAGGGGAGGGGGGUUUGACAAUAAGUAUUUGCUUAGAAGGGAAUGCUUCUUUGGUUUAGAAGCACCAUGAAGAUUCAGGCCCAUAUUUGGCUGGUUUCUUUAAUAAAGUACAUGAUAUUCCAUUUUUCAUGUCCUUGAUGUGCUUUUACUCUUCUUGCCGUUCCUGACUUUCUUUUUAGGGUAUAUUCUAACAUGCAAUAUGUUUUUUUUUUGUUGGCCCACUGUCCCAGGCGGAGAACCUGUCAUGGACAUGGGUGAUUGCAGAAUUCAAUUGCAGCCUGACUCACGGAAAAGAAUAGUCAAAAAUUUUUUUUAUUUAUAUGAAAGAAAAGGAGAAGGGCAGAAGGUUAAUUAAAAUCAGCAGGAUUGCCAUGAGGCAACCUCAAGUAUCACGCACCUCUUUUUUUUUUCAUCUUUUCAUGUGUUUCUCACAAGAAGCAAACUUGAGGGAACAUAAAGUGCUGGGAAGUAAUUUUUGUUGGAAUUUCUUGUCUAAUCUCUUCUUUUGAUGAUGACCUCUUGGAUGGCUGCAUGAAGCUUGUUCCGCUUUAAAUUUCAAGGUUAAUCUAUUGCUAUGAGCAUACGUGUUUCAAUUUAAAACUCGAGUUGCAACUGAACUUAAAUAAAUGGUGUUGGAUUUGUGCUUUCUAUUUGUUUUAACUUCUACAGGGUUGAAAUGAUAGUGAUCUUAAACUAGAAAAGCAGCAGACAAAAAUCAAUUAGCCACAAUGGUGUAUGGUUUCUCAGCAUAAAGUUGAAAUGAUAGUGAUCUUAAACUAGAAAAGCAGCAGACAAAAAUCAAUUAGCCACAAUGGUGUAUGGUUUCUCAGCAUAAAGUUGAAUGUUUUGUUGACCUCUUUACAUCCAAAAUCAUAUAGACAGCUACUGCUAGCACUUGCAGUGGUCAAUGAAUACUGUAGAGUAUAUAUUGCAGUGUGAGAUAAGGUUAACUCAUUGCAUUUUCAGAUAUUGAAAGGAUUUCUCUUCUUUUCUUUGUCAAUUACAGGACAUGCAUCGAAGUGUUCUUACUGAGAGUAAAUGCUAUUGUAAUGUUUUCACAGAGACUCCCCUGCUUUGCAACUAAGUCACUAAUAUAUCUUGGAACAUAGCCAUAAAUGAAAGGUUCUUCCAGAUCAAGAAAAUUAACCAUGAAGCUCGUAGCUAGAAUUUUUAGACAGAAAGGUGGCCAAGUACGCUGUACCUCUGGAAUAAUACAGGGAAAGGAUGUCUAUGUAUUUUGAUGUCUUAUAUUACUUGACCAACUCUUGCUUAUCUCAUUAUUUGUUUUUACUUUUUGCUAAUGAUUCCACACAUUUCUGAUAUUGGUGUGGUUUAUGAGUUUAGGGUUCUCGUUGCUGCUAACUUCUCUAUACUUUGCCUGGUCAUUAAAAAUCAAACGUAAUGAUUUGCAUAUGCAGAAUGGAGACAUUAAAAAGACAUCUUCUAUUUUCUGGUGAGGAGGGAUUUCAGGAACUCAAGAAAUUUUCCAUACGUUUUGAGGAAAAGAUUUAUACUACCGCUAACAAUCAGGUAUUUGCCUAAUGCGAGGUUCAAUAAUUAUGAUAUUAUCUAGACAUGAAUAUACACACGCAUUUAUGCUUGUACAAAUGUGUGUGUAGUGUGCCUACACUUCCUCACCGUUCAUUCUGUAUGCAAGGUUGAUUGGGAGUUCACAUCAUUUUGUUAAUUCUCUUGACAAGUGUUUUAUUUAGAGUGACCAAGUUCAAGUACAAGGGAAGAAUGCAAAAAGCAAAUAACGAAUCAAUACAUAAAUAAUUAAAUAAAAAGAGAGGUAACAGAAGUAUAUCCUCAUAGAAGAUGAAAUGAUAGAGUAUAUAUCUAUUUUCCUCCUCUGGUAACAUGGAUUGCUCUGAGAUCUACUGUUUUGUUAUUAAUAUCUGAUUUCAAUCUGAUUAUUUGCAUAAAAUAUCUCUGGAGAUGCUUUCGAUGGAGACCAGGUCUCAAAAUGCCAUGCUCACUACACCUAUGGAUCCAGCAGGUAAUAAUGCAGCCGAGCAUUGAAUUUCUAAAUAUCUUACCUUUUGUUUUUCUUCUCGCAUUGCUAUCAAACUCUUUUACAUUUUAUUGCUGCAUAUUGCUAUGUAUAUCGCCUUGCUGGAAAAAUCUCAUGAUCACCUCCACGAUGAUAAUUUUGUAAUGCAUGUGAAGUGUUUCAUCCUUAACUUGUUAAGGAACAAGGACUGUGAUGCAUGGUAUUUUAUAUUUUAUGAUUGAGAUGGUAGAUUUUAAAGAUUUUCAUGUUAAGGAGAUAAGACGUCACUUUCUUGCUUUUCUUCCGAGAGAGUAUUUGAUCCUUUUUUCAUAUAAAAUAAUGCUGGCAUGCAUUGAAUUUCCAAACAUCUUACCUUUUGUUUUGUUUGUCGCAUUGUUAUCAAACUCUUUUACAUUUUGUUGCGGCAUAUUGCUAUGUGUAUGGCAUGCUUUAAUCAAAAAGUUGAGUAAUUGAUGAAUGUUAGGCAAGAAAAUUACAGAUUAUUUUUAUUUUCUACCUCCUCCUUCUCUUUCCCCCACCCCGAAAAUGGUCAUAUUAUUUUUUUUUUCAGCCACCUCUUCUUCCCCCAACCUUGAAAAUUGUUUAUAUUUGCUUUGGAAGCAUGGCAAACUUCACUGCCUCUCAGCUUAAGGAGAUUGCAGCAGGUCUCGAAGCUUCUGGGCAUCAGUUUAUUUGGGUAGUUAGAAGAAACAAAAAGAGUCAAGAAGACAAGGAAGAUUGUUUACCUCAAGGAUUUGAGGAAAGAAUGGAAGGCAAAAGGCUAUUAUCAGAGGAUGGGCACUCCAAGUUUUGAUUCUUGAUCAUGAAGCAAAAGGUGCAUUUGUGACUCAUUGAGGAUGGAACUCAACUCUUAAAGGCGUAAGGCAAAUAUUUGAUGAGCAAUUCUAUAAUGAAAAGUUGGUGACUGAUGUUUUAAAAACUGGAGUUAAGGAAUGGCUUAGAGUGCAUGGAGAUCAUGUUAAAAGUGAAGCUGUAGAGAACGCAAUCACUCAAAUUAUGAUGGGUGAAGAAGCAGAGGAAAUGAGGAGCAGAGCAAAGAAGCUUUCAGUGCUUUGAUUUAAUAACUGCAAAAAAUGAAAGGUUGUUGAAGAUGGUGGAUCUUCUUGCUCCGAUUUCAAUGCUUUGAUUGAAUAACUGAGGUGGGGUAGCCUUUGAAACAGAGGCAUAGAAUAUAUAUAUAUAUAUAUUUUAGCUUUUUUAGUUUAACGUGGGUGUUCGGGCCAGCUUGCGCGCACCUCGACUAAUCCCACGGGCCCUGAAGUUAACGACCAUGUAAGUCUCCAGUGGCCAUCAUAUGAGCAACCACAGGGCUCGAACCUGAGACCACAGAGGGAGCAAACCUUUUAGUCCCAAGCUCUUACCACUGGGCCACCACCUAGAUGGUUAAGGCAUAGAAUAUUUUGUUUCUACUUAGUAGUGGUUUUGGUAAUUUAUUUUCAGACAAGUCUUGAGAGUUGAAAGAGUAAUCACAGCCGAGUCAAUGACCAAUCCAAAUAAGUUCCCUUCCUAAUGGUUCAGGAAUGACAAGUCCAGCAUAUAUAUUUAGCCCAAAUAACUUUUCAAAUAAAAUGGCUGAGCUUAGAGACAGUACACUACAAAUUAAGCACCCAUUAGCUAGACAUACAGGACAAACAAUCAUCACAAACUAGAAACGACUGUCUUCCCAGUAACAAACUCACCUUCUCAAGUUGGAGAACUUGCGAAAACUAGCUACUACAAUAUAGUAGCAAGUAUCUAUGCAGUCUUCGAUGAAGUACGACCACCUGCGUCGCCAAUAUGGAUUGAUGUAAAGAACUGCUACAAUCAUAAUCACCACGACUGUGUAACUUACACCGAAAUUGAUGUAGAAAAACUCCAUGUCUAUGAAACCAUCAUCUCCUUGUUCAUCAUUAGGCACUGGUUGUGAUGGCAUUGGCUGUGAUGGCACUGGCUGUGAUGGCACUGCUUCUUCACUACAAUUGUUUUGCAAUGGAGGUCCACACAAGAAAGGAUUUCCUUCGUAACAGCUUUCAUCGAAGGUCCCAAACUGAUAUUUUCUCUCGGGUGUCUUACAUGACAAGUUAUUGUACGCCACACUAAAAACUUCCAGUGUGGUAAUUUCAGUAAGUUGUGGAGGGAUGACACCAUUCAAGUUGUUGUAAGAAAGAUCCAAACUCUCAAUCUGUUUUAGGUUUGAGAAUGUUGCUGGGAUAGAUCCAGUGAGAUUGUUGUGUGAUAAGUUUAAUGACAAUAUCUUACUUAAGUUUCCAAAUUCCGGUGGGAUUGCUCCUACGAAGUUGUUAUUGGAGAGAUCAAUACCAGACAUGUAGUUGAGAGUCUUCCCCUUGUAACCAUAAUACAUAUUUUUAGUUGUAAAUUCUAUCACUUCUUCUGUAAAGUUAAGCAGAAAACCCUUUCUCAAGUUGUACAUACUCUCCACUAGUGGUGGACCCAUUGUUUCAUAAUAAGCUUUUUCUAUGGACCUUGAUAGAACACCAGCUCCGAGAUCCGUGAAUGCUUUCUGGGAACUUUCCUUGAAAGUAAGAUUGCCCAAACAGGAGGGUAGUGGACUAGAGAGCUGGUUUUGUGAAACAUCCAAAAUGCUUAAAUGUUCUAACAAGCAUAAUUGAACAGGGAGCUCACCAUCAAAGUGAUUAGCCCUCAGAAGAAGAACACUCAAUGAUGAAAGAUUGCCAAUCCAAUUUGGAAUGGAGCCGGUGAAGCUGUUAUCUUGAAGAUCCAUCGUAACUAAGAAAGAGCUGUUAUAAAAUCUAUAUGUUAAUGGACCGCUCAAUCUAUUUUCGGAUAGAUGCAUAUGGAUUAGAGUUGAUGGACUGAAACAAGAUGGUAUAUAUCCAGACAAGUUGUUCUCUGAAAGGUUCAAAUAUUCAAGUUGAUCAAGCUUACAAAAGUCUCUUGGGAUCGGACCCUUAAAAUGGUUUUUGGACAAAUCAAUUGCUGCAAGAAUCGUAGAAUUAAGAAAGCUCCUUGGAAGCAUGCCUGAAAAUUGAUUGUUACUCAAAUCCAAUACAAUCCACAUUUUCCACCUAUAUAAUGAAAAAUCUGAUAUCUGACCCCAAAAGUUGUUACCACCUAGAUAGAGAUAUUCUAAGGUAGAAGAAUUGAACAACGAGGUCGGUAAUUGCCCACCCAAAUUGUUGUUUGACAGCUUGAGAAACCAUAUUGUUGUUAGUUGUUCUAGUUUUACUGUGGACAAUUGAUUGUUGGAUAAAUCUAAAAUUCCCAAAGAGCUAAUAUUUCCUAAACAAGAAGGAAUACAACCUGUGAAUCCAUUCUUAGCCAUCCUUAAGCUCUUCAGAUUUUGAAAGAUCAAACAAAUAUCCUUUGGAAUUUGACCGCUCAUGUUGUUGUUGGAUAUAUCUAAUUCGGUCAUAUUUAGAUAUGGGUGAUUUGGCAACUGCAAAGUACCAACAAAGGAGUUCUCACUCAAAUAUAGUUGCUCCAAUCGUGUAUUGUUCUUAAGCAACCACGAUGGAAACAUUCCGGUGAUGUUGUUGUGGGAGAGAUCAAGGACUCUUAAGUCGUAUUGGUAAUAGAGGAAGUUGGGAAUCUCUACAUUGACUGCUUCUAUUGUUUUUGACAAACUAAAAAAGACUAGUUGGAACUUUGGAAUCAAAUGAUCAAAGGCAGCAGGUUCUGUUACUAGUCUAUUGUUCUCAUUGCAGAAGAACUUGAGGCUUGAGUGGUUCAUAAAAGGCUUCAUUGAAAUGGGAACUUCAAAGAGGUUAUUUGAUAGUGAGAGGAAUUCAAGAGAUGUGAGGUUGGUAAGAGGACCAGAGGCAAUAUUUCCAGUAAACUGGUUUUUAGAAACAUCUAAUAGUUGUAGAGAUGACAAGUUUCCUAAACAAUCUGGGAGUGAACCUUCUAAAUUAUUUCCAAAGAGAUCUAACUGCUUCAGAUUCUUCAAUUCACACCAACCUGUAUAAUUUAUCUCGAAACAGUCAAAAUAGCUAAAUAAUUAAAAGAUUACCAUAGAAGAGGAUGGAGUGUUGUUAAUUUACCUUGAGCGGGUAGGGUGCCAUGGAGGUCACAUCCACCAACAGACAAAACCUUAAGAGCAGGCAAUGCUCCAAUGUUCUGGAGAAAGUUUACUGGGAGAGAAGUACGAUCUAGAUUCAAUUCUUCAAGAGUGCUAGAAUUGAAGAAAGUCCCUGUGAAAAAGAAAGAAGAAGAGAUAUGAAGAAAAUAAUGGUGGUACAGAAUAGCCAUUCCAUUCAAUAUUAUUAAUUAAUAUUUUAAGAAACUAAACUAUGAUUAACCUUGACUUAAAUUAGUAUCCUUGAGAGAAAGGGUCUUCAGGGAUGGCAAUGACUGCAGGAAGUCCAGCUUCCUUAAACCUAUGAUGUGUAGAAUUGAAAACAGGCAAUCAAGUAAGUAGUGAAAUUAAGCGUUAUCUUGAUCGAGUUUUUAAACCUAUGAUAAAAAACUGAUAUUGAAUAUACUUUUAUAAUGAUAUGAUUUUUGGAUAGAAACAACAAAUUGCCUGAAAAAUCCAGAGAUUUCAAAAGGUAUUGUUAAAAAAUGAAGUAAAUAAUAUUCACAACUUUACCAUUGACAGUCGUCGAUCCUAGCAACAUAUUGCCUGAUAAAUUUAAAGACUUGAGAUAAGAAAAUCCACGCAGAUGUGAUAAAAUGCUGUCGUUGAAUAUAUUAUAGCUCAAGUCCAGGUUCUCGAGUUUCCCUAAAUGUGAUGAUAUGAUCUCAAAACCUGCAAGAGUAAGUCAUCAUGAGCUCACGAUAUGCAUAAUAUAUAGAAACUAAAGAUAAUUAGAAUUGAUGAGAUGCUGUUGUUCAAUUGAUAUAUGAUUCUCAAAUUAUACAUAAAAAUAAUGAUACAUGAACGCAUAUGUCAUUAUAUAACAGGUUGUGCACACUUCAAAGAUUAAGAAACAAUUUUUAAUCAUUCUAAUUUUGAUCUUAUUGGAAAAAAAAAAAAAAUUUAUGGAUAUAAAGUCGUUAAAGAUGGAAACUAAGUCAAACAUGAUAAAUGCUAUCAUUAAAUUGAUCAUUACAUAGAUAUAAAGUACUUAUUUUUUAUGAUAAUGCAUGUAACGAGUAUUAUUGAUUAUUGUUCUUGUUUUAAUUACCGAUGAGAAAUUUUGAACAAUCAUUUGAUUUUAUUAGUUUUGAAUAAUAUAAUAUUUUUGAAGAUUAUAAAAUGUUAUGUAUUUUUAAAUAACUUGUUUUUUUGAUAUGUUUGUUAUGAGGCUUAGCGUAGGUGGGGUGUCCUUUCGAUACAGCUCCUGCGUUGCCAGUAAUAAACUUGAGACUCGAGUGGUGACAAAAUUGAUCUUUACAUGGAUAUAAAGUUCUCAUUUUUGUUGAUAAAGAAACAAUAUAAUUAAGAGAAUGUCAUGUGAAGCAUUUAGGUAGAAACUGUGUAUUAUACCUGAUCCUGUCAGCUGAUUGCCUGAUAGAUCCAAAGACUUGAGGGAUGAAAAUCCAGUUAGAGAUGGAAAAAUGCUGCUGUUCAACUUAUUAAACGAUAGAUCCAAAGACUUGAUCAGGGAUGAAAGCCCACUCAGAAUUGAUAAGAUGCUGCUGUUCAAUUGAUUGAAACUCAGGUCAAGGUUCUCUAACUUUCCCAGCCUCAUCGGUUGGAGUUGAAAACCUACAAGAUAUACAUAAAAAAAAAUAUACAGUGCAUAGAUUAAGGAAGAAGAUAGAUUGCAAGUAUCCAUUCUAUACAUGUAAUUUUUAAUCAUCCUAGUUUUGAUCAAGUUGUGUCUUAUUAGAAAAACAAUUUAUGGAUAAGAUCAAAGCCCCAUAGAUAUAAAUCUUCAUUGAUGAAAGCUAGCGCAAUCAAACAUGAUGAAAUGCUAUCGUUGAUUAAUUAUUAAAUAAAUAUAAAGUCCUCAAUUUUCUUGAUAAAGAAACCGUAUAAAAGAAUGUCACGUAAAGCAGUUAGGUAGAAAUUAUAUAUAACUUACUAUUGAUACCAGCAGAUCCUGUCAACUCAUUAUAUGAUAGAUCCAAAGACUUGAGAGAUGAAAAUCCAGUUAGAGAUAGAAAAAUGCUAUCGUUGUAUUGAUUCCCACUCAGAUAUAGUUUCUCCAGCUUUUUCAACCUUGAUGACAAGACUUUGAAACCUGCAUGAUUUUUCUCAAAAAACAUAGAAAUGAUAUGAGAAGGAGAAAAGAAAAGGUUUUGAAGCUAAAUAAUUAUAAGGUUACCAUAGAAGCUACCUCCUGAUCCAGCUGUCAACCCAUUGUCUGAUAGAUCUAAAGACUUGAGAGCGGAAAGCCCAUUGAAACAUGACAAAAUGCUUUUAUCAUUAUUAAAUCGGUUUUCACUUAGGUCAAGUUUCCUCAGUUUUGAUGAUAGGACUCCGAAGCCUGGAAGAGAAACAUCAAAGCAAGAUAAUUGACAUUAAACACCAACCAACCAACCUUCAUUUAUUUUAUUAUUAUAAUUAAGUGCACAAACAUUGAACUAACCUUCAUUCUCCAAGCAACCAACCAAUCCAUUAUAUCCCAAAUCAAGACUUUGCAAUUCUUUGAAAGGCUGAAACAAAGAUGCGUUGAGAACCCAAUCGCCCAAGCUCUCAUCCCUUUCUCCACUAAGAGAGAGUUGGAUCACUCGCCUUGUAGUGUGAUCACACUCGAUCUCAGGCCACUCACAACAAUUACUACUGUCCACCCAAUGUCUCAAGGAAAUGCCAUCUGGGUCGAUCAAAGAUUGGAUCUCCAAGAGACCAAUUCUCUCUUCCUCCAAACACCCAUAACAACGACCAGACCAUUCGCCAACCAAAGUGAAUAAUGCUAGCAACAUCCAAGCCCCCAUUCUUUUCAACAUCAUCGUAGAUAAUUCUAUGAACUACUACGUAGAAUAUUAUUGUUUGUUAUGUGCCUUUGGGCAACCAUAGAGGUCCUAUUUAUACUACACUGGCCAUUUCCAUGACUUUGAGAUGUUUUCUUUAUUUAAUUUCCACGACUUUAUCUGCAUAUCUUGUGCAGGUUCCGUGUUUUGAGAUUUGAAUAUUAUUUUAUUUCUUUUUGGAAUGUUCUUGGAUUUAAAUAUUAUUUUAUUUUAUUAUUUAGCACUUAUUCUAUUUGCAUUUAAUUAUAUUUUGGUUACUAAUUAUUCAAUUUAUAAAAAAAAUAAAAUAAAAAAAUUGUUGCAGUACUUCAACAUCGACAUUCGUGUGUGAUUCCACAUAAGAUCUUUUCAACUUUAUAAUUGUACUUCUCUCGUUAAAUACAUAAAUUAUCAAUAAUAAUAAACUCGAAAUAAUUAUAAAUCUUAUCCCUGUGGAUUGUGUGGGUACAGUAUUAUAUACAAAAACUUCAAAUACAUAAUAUAUAUAAGUCAGAAAUAUUUUUGUUUUUAUGGACUUGUUUUUAUUACAUUUCAAUAUUAAAUAUAUUUUUUUCAAUCGAGUCAAAGAUAUACCAUUUAUAUUAGAAUGAGAAGACUAAUCAAUUUCUCUAAUUUCUCUAGUUUUCUCCCUAAUUAUAAAAUACAUCUGGUUUUUCAAGUCCAGAUUUUAAGAUAAAAGGAAUUUAUUUCUUGAAAGUAAUGCAUUAAACAAUAUAAAAAAAAUUUAAAAAAUUUAAAAUAGUAGUAAAAGUAGUUUUUGAUUGAAGUGUAAACUAGUGGUAAAUGAACAAAAAGAAACUUUAUUGAUUAUCUAAUGAGUUACUUCUCCAGAAAGAAUAUAUACAAUAUUAUUGAUUAUCUAAUGGAAACUCCGCCUAACACACACACACACACACACACACACACACACACAUAUAUAUAUAUAUAUAUAUAUAUAUAUAUAUAUAUAUAAGUUAGAGACACUUUUUGUUUUUAUGUUCGGAAAAGUGUUCUUUACUUGUUUUUAUUACAUUUCAAUAUUAAAUAUAUUUUUUUCAAUCGAGUCAAAGAUAUACCAUUUAUAUUAGAUUGAGAAGACUAAUCAAUUUCUCUAGUUUUCUCCCUAAUGUAUAAAUUUCUCUAGUUUUCUCCCUAAUUAUAAAAUACAUCUGGUUUUUCAAGUCCAGAUUUUAGGAUAAAAAGAAUUUAUUUCUUGAAAUUAAUGCAUAAAACAAUAUAAAAAUAUUUUUAAUAAAUUAAAAUAGUAGUAAAAGUAAAUUUAGUUUUUGAUUGAAGUGUAAACUAGUGGUAAAUGAACAAAAAGAAACUUUAUUGAUUAUCUAAUGAGUUACUUCUCCAAAAAGAAUAUAUAUAUUAUUGAAUAUCUAAUGGAAAGGAUUCAUGAAACUCCGCCAUAUAUAUAUAUAAAAGAGAAAUUGUCGAUAAUAGCAAUCAUUUUCUUAUCUCUUGUAUCAUUCAUAUCUUCCACAAAUCUUAAGUAAUUGAUGAGACAGUGGAUAUUGCCAAGAAAGGUCGUGAACGCGGAUGCUUGACGAUUAUGAUUUUUAAACACAACCAUAUAGUGAUUUCCUUAUGCAUACUGGUGAUCCUCCAGAAUCUUGUAGGAACACCACAAGCCAAUCUAAAAGAAUGCUAAAAGUCAAAACACACAAGCCAUAUAAAAAUCACACGACAGCCAAUUACCUUAUCUUUUGAAAGAAAGAUAAUAAUAAUAAUAAUAAUAAUAAUAAUAAUAAUAAAAGCAUUCUCCUGGGUGUGCAAUGACCGCCAAUCUUUCUCAUUAUGACAUUCAAUGCUCAGUUAGAAGUUGCACGAUGCUCUUCUCAUGGGGAGCAAAAAUCAGUAGCCUCCCAUGGAAUCCUCAUAAACCUUUCUCUAUGCUCUUCUAAGAUAUUAAAAAUGUCAAACAUACAUCAAUAAUAAAAAGACAUUAAAAAUGUCAAACAUACAUCUAAGAUAUUACGCAAAACGAGGUUUUUUUCUGCAAAAAAAUAAAAAUAGAAUGUUAUACAAAUGGAGCUUCCAACAAAAAAGAUAUGGGAAGUUCGAGGAAAAAAAUGAUUAGUUAAUUCAAAACACCAGCAGUAAGUAAUAAUUACAAAACACGAUACCGAAACCAAAUUGAAAAGUGAGCAAGAAUACAAAAAUGGUUACAUGUAUCAAAAGGAACUGGUACCAAUUUCUCCACCACUGUAUGUCCCUUUUGUUCAGUCUAUGUUUGGUGCAAUCACCUAAAGCUAGAAACAAAAACAGCGCCUUACUCUACAAGUAGCUCAUCAAAGUAUAUGUUGUAAAUUGCAAACACGUGCUAACAAUAAAUUGUGGCCAGAGGAUUUGCUUCGAUCCCAGAGGCCAUUGAGGAUAUUCGUCAAGGAAAGGCUCAUGCACCCUCUUGAUUUGAUGAUUCUUUGCAUUUAGUUAUUGUUGUUGAUGAUGAACAAAUUAAGAGAAAAUGAGGGGGGCCUUAUAAUGGCAGCGUCAAAGGCAACACCAGAAGCUAUGGCAUUUAUUGUCAAGCAUGGGACUGGUAUAGUGUGUGUGAGCUUCCAUUAAUGGUAACUCAUAAGGAGAAUGAGGAAAACUGUGCACUGCAUUUACUGUAUCAGUGGUACGUCAUUAACUUCUCCAUUUAUAUUAUCUAAUGGAUAUGAUCUUUUCAAGAAACCUUUAUCUUGGUUUGAUUUUAAAGUGCUAAUUUAAUUGCGGAUUCUGUCCCAGAUGAGGUCCGGUUUCCUGAAAUCAAAGAUGUCUACACUGUCCCGUGGACUUAUAGUUCAGUUGCUCAAUCAGAACUGAUGACAUCUGCACAUUCGGCGACUCCAGCAUUAAUUGUGGCCUUGACAGAUUGUGAGAGGCCAGAUGGGAUGGAUUAGAUGCGUCUGAGUUUGUUGGAGAGGAAGACUUGCAGAAUAAUUUUGAGGGAGUGGGUGGCAGUUCGAUGGAGCGGUUCCUGUUGGUGCAACGCCGAACACAUGCCACGCAGGAUAUAUAGAAAUGCUAGUCAGCUUAUGAAAUCCGAGGUUGAUACGAUACUUAUCUUCAUAGAUUGUGAAUGUUGUUCUUUUUUCUACAAACGAUCCGUUAUGCAAAGCAAAUUCCAAGACCAGAAAAAUAAUGUUUAGAGUUAAAAGACAAUGUCUUAGCAGCAAGGACCUAUUCCAUCAGGAGAUAUGUGAAUUCUCAAGCCUUUGCAAUGCUUUUAAAUUAAUGAAGGAUCAAAAUGAAAAUGUUAUAUUCAUAACUAUACUGCAAUUUUGCCCAUAAUUCUUCUUUAAUUCUGUCCAGAAUCUUGGAUUAUGCUCCAGGGACCAAUCUGGAAUUUUAGUAGAUUUUUAAGGGUCAAAUUGUAAUUUUAUCAAAUUGAAGGACCAAAAUAAAAAUGUCAUAGAUUCAUAACUAUACUGGAAUUUUGCUUGUAAUUCAUCUUUAGUUCUGUCCAGAAUCUAGGAUUAUGCUUCAGGGAUCAAUCUGUAAUUUUUUCAAAGUUUGGGGAUUAACUUAAAUUUUCACAAAUUGAGGGACCAAAUUGAAAUUUUAUUAUCUUCAACCUCAAACCCAGAUUUUUCAUAGAUCACCUACUGAUAUAUCAAGAUUUCGAACUCAAAUUCAUCAUUUAAACAAACUAUAACUCAAAAUCAUCAUUUUUACCUAAAAUUUUCAAAAAUCAACUAAAUAACUCAUUACCCAUAACAGUCAUUCCGCUAAAUUAUUUCUACUUCUGCUUCUUCUUCUUCUUUUUUAUAAUACUCGAGUAUUAUUAUAGAAAGAUGCUUGAGCCAAAAUUAGAGGCUAUCUAGCAUAAAAGAAAAACAGAGGUAUAUACAGGACAGAGAGGAAGUAAUAACAUUAUAUAUAUAUAUAUAUAUAUAUAUAAAACUUGAGUUAACCCGUCAAGUCUAUGACCUGGAUUAUGAGAUCGGGAUAAGCAAACUCAAUAUUAAAAAAUAAAAUUGAAAAAAAAACAAUAAAAACAUAUAUGGUUUAACAAUAUUAAUCAAUUAUUAAAAUAUUUCAUUUUAUAUAUAUUAAAAAUAUAUAUUAAUAACUAUUAUAUCAGUUUGUGAAUGUUUCAAUUUGGAUGCAAAUAGAUGUUUAAUUAUCUAUGACAUUUUUUUUAAGAAACCAAAGUUAUUAAAUAUGGUUAGAUUUAAUACCUAGAUAAGGGUUUAGGUCAUAGAUUGGCUUAAUACUCGGAUCAAGAUUUGAAUUAUAGAUCGAACAAGUUAGCUUAUUGAUUGAUGUUAAUAAAAAAUUGUAUCAUUUUAAGAUUAUUUUUUAGUAAAAACCAAAAUCAAGUAGUUAAAAAAAGUGAAAGUAGUUUUUGAUAGGGUUGACUAGGUUGUAAGUUGAUUUAUCUAGUCGAUUAGGCUUGAUUGAGUCAACUCUCACUUGGUUUUUUUUAAAUCUAAAUCGGGUCAGGUUCCAGAUUAAAAUGUUAGGCUUGAAUUAAAUUUAAUAACGCUGAUUAAAAUCACAUUGUAGAAAAAAAAUGAAUUGCAUAAAAGUAAUUAACCAAAAACUUGUAUUCCUUCUUAUAAAGUUGAACCCAUGUCAGUUUCUUUUUUGGAAAAAUAUAAAUCAAAGGUUAACGCUACUUUCAUGACGAUGACGGAUAAAGAAGACUUGCUCCUUUCUUUAUGGAAAUAACGUGUGGAAAAUCAUGCCUUAAUUUUGAUGGUGAUGGCCAAAUCAAACAGUAUCGUUGAUAAAAUGAACCACAAAUGAUAUUAUUUCUACAAGACUUCUUGUCAUUGUCAUGACAAUAAGUCUUCUCCUUUUUCUUUCUAAAGAGUCUAUUUUUUGUAACACAAUCAACAAGUAAGAUGGAUAGAAAUUUGCAGUGUGAGAUGGGUCUGUGAGACUAUAUAUUGCCAUUUGUAUUUUUUUCAUGAUAAAGGCUAAUUGGAUGGUCCUAUCAAGCGUUUUUUUUACGAGAUGGGUCCAUAAAAACAUUUCCAUCUACACAUUGAUCCCUGAAACCUUUGCCAUAAUGCAUUUUUUCCACGAGAUGGGUUCGUGGAAAUACUUUGGUUUAAUAGGGAAUGCUGUUAUUGAUUGGAAACUUUUUAAUUAAAAUAAAUUUGAUUAUUUGAUUGGAAGAAAUCCUUAAAUGUUAUUAACACAAAGAAAUCAAUUUAUUUUCUUAAGAAAAAAAUAUUGUAACCAUAUAAGUAAUUUAUUUAUUUAUUUUAAUGAAAUAUAAAAUAGUUUUAAAUCUUGUGGUAUAUUUCUUGUCUUUAAGAGCUAUGAACUUAUAUCUCAAAACUUGAAAACUAAUAUAAAGAUAUUAAGUGAUCAUUGAGUGUAUGUGUGUGUGUAUAAUCUUUUUCAAAACAAAAAGGAUUUUGAUGGAGAGGACAUUGCAGCAAAUUAUCCACGAGAUGGGUCGGUGAUACCAUUGUCAUCAUGUAAUUUUUCCCACGAGAUGGGGCCGUACGCUUGGGGCUCUAAAAGCUAUGGUUUUUAAUUUCAUUAUGUUACAUAUCUAGAAUGGGAGGUAUAUUUUAUUUCAAUUCUAAAAAUGAAAUAAAUUAGAAGAUAUUUCAUCUUGUUUAGAAUAUUAUCUCCUUACAUGCAUGAAUUUCACAUAAAUUUUGACCAGAAUAUUUCGGUUCUAUUCCGGCCAUUCUAUUAUGUCCAAAUAAUGUUUUGUUUUGCUUUUAUAUAUAUAAAAAAUAUAAUUUAUUUUUAUGAUAUCAAUUAUACAUUUCAAUUCGACUAUUGGAUUAAACUGAAAUUUUAUAAUCUCCUAAUAUGUAUUAUAUCACAAGUUAAAAUUUUAGAUCAAUCAGAGUUUAGAAAGACUUUGUGAAAUUACUGUUGAUAUAUUUUCAUAAUUUUAUUUAAAUUCAUAAUUUUAUUUUGAAAUGUUUUAUUUUUUGUGGUUUUUUAGAUUGAUUUUUUUUCAUUUUAUAAUUUAACAAUAAAUUUAUUAAAAAUUAAAAUUCAUAAUUUAUUUUUAUUUAUUUUAUUUAAAAUUAUUAUAUUAUCAUUACUCAGAUCACGAAAAAAAAACCUUUGCUUUAAUUGGGAAUGCUGUUACAAGUAAUUGGACUCCGUGGGAUGGGAGACCGUUGCCAUCAUGCAUGUUUUUUCCACGGCAUGGGUCCGUAAAGUCCUCUAUAAAAGCUUAAACCUCCUUACUAUCCUCUAUAUCAAUUGAUCAGCAUUUAUAAGAUGGGGCUGUCUGUUCCUUCUGAUGUUGAUGGUUUUAGUAAUGAUGGUUUCUUGCAAGGAUGGCUGCCUCUUGGAGUAUAUUGACUUGAGAAUUAAUUGUUUUGAUAACAGUAUUUUAUUAUUUGUGGAGUUAUUUCUAUUUUUUAAAUUAUUAUAUUUAGAUUAUAAUAGAGUGAAAGAGUUAAUAGGUUUAAGAGAUUAGGAAAAAGCUACUAUUAAUUAUAGUUAGGGACCAAACUGGAAUUUUUGCACAUUUUUAAGGGUCAAAUUGUAAUUUUAUUAAAUUGAUGAAGGACCAAAAUGAAAAUAUCAUAUUUAUAACUAUACUGUAAUUUUGCCCAUAUUUCUUCUGUAAUUUUGCCUAGAAUCUCGGAUUAUGCUCUAGGGACCAAUCUGUAAUUUUUUUCAAAGUUUGGGGAUUAAACUGAAAUUUUCAUAAAUUGAGGUACCAAACUGAAAUUUUUUCAUCUUCAACAUCAAACCCAGAUUUUUCACAAAUCACCUAUUGAUAUAUCAAGAUUUUUAACUAGAUGAGGGUUUAGGUCAUAGAUUGGCCUAAUACUCGGAUCAAGAUUUGAGUCAAGUUAGCUUAUUGACUAGUGUUAAUAAAAAAUUAUAUUAUUUUAAGAUUUAAUUUAAUUAAAUAGAUCCAACUACCAUGCAAUUCCACAAUUAAUUUAUUUUAUUAUGAUUUAGUGUUAUGUUAACCAGGCAACAUUUAAUUACCAUGAUAUAAAAUACAAAAAUAGUGGGAACAUAAAAAAACAUGCUUUUAUAUAUUUUUUAUUUUAAAAGUAUAAAUUUUACUUUAAGACUAUUGUAAAAAGAUAUUUAUUUUAAAUUUAUUUAUAUUUUUAUAAUUCAAAAAUUAAAAAUAAAACAGAAUUAAUCCAUACUCAUCUAAAAACAAUUAACUCUAACAUCAUUAUUUUAUAACAAAACUAGCAAAGAUAAUUUAUUAAUCACUAAGUUUUCUGGUUAUAAAUACAUUAGUAAGUGUCUUUGUCUCUUUUGUAUUUCUAACUAUUAACGAAUUGAAAGAAUAAAUUUAGAAUCACCAAUUAAGCAGUGAAUCACACGGGAAGAUUGAAAGAAUAAUUAAAGUGAUUAUACUAACCGACAAGUCGACCCCAAGUCAAAGUCUUCUGUGGAAAAACAUGAAUAAAAGGUGGACGCUGGGCAGCUCACUUUCCAUGAAGAUGAUGGAUACAGAGCCCUCCCUUCUAUCUUUAUGGAAAUCACGUCUAGAAAAUCAUGCUUUAAUUUUAAGCUUGAGAGGGGAUGAUAUAUAUAUAUAUAUAUAUAUAUAUAUAUAUAUAUAUAUAUAUAUAUAUAUAUAUAUGCUUUAAUUUCAACUUGUAUAAAAAAUAAAUCUUAAUGACUGGUGAUUUAAACUUGGGUGUUUUUUCGGUAUUAAUAUAUAUAUUCCUCAAUUAUCAUAAAGAAUUAAGAAAAAACUAAUAAUAAGAUUAAAAUAAAUGUUUUAUAUAUCGAAAUAAUUAAAAGUAAGGUUUACUUAAGGUAUAUAUGGGAUUAAUUUAAAAUAACAAUAAAAUCAAUUUAUUAAAAAAAAUCAUAAAUUUAGUUUUCCUAAAUUUUAAAUGUAGUGUGAAUGCAUUCCGCAAGAAAAAAACAGUGCAAAAUUAGCCUUUCAAGAAAUAGAGAAUCUUCCUCUUUGAAGGAAUUAAUUAGUGGGUUGGAAAAAUGUCGUCUUCUGCUCUAAUAUUUUCUUCACUUUCUCUAUAGUUUUACCUUACACCAAUAUUGUCAGAAAAUGAUACAAUAUACUUCUUGUGUUAUCCUUCAAGAUUUCAAUUGAAAAUUAAGGAGGGUCGUAAAAAAUUUAAUUUUUAUAAACAUAUCCUUAACUCUGUAUCUUCUCUAGAUAUGUCUGUGACUGAGCUCCAUAAAGAAUUCCUAUUUAACAUUAAUCUGUCCAUCAAGUUUUUGAUCCCCGAUUAAGGCCAUCUUGAUAAAUGAGAUUUUACUCUGUAAUUUUAAUGUAUAGCUGUCAAUGACCUGAAACAUGCAAAUUAAAAUUCAAAGUGUGAGCAUUGAAUUUCUUGUCAGUUUACACCCUUCUGUGGUGUUUCCUCUUUCCAUUGAUUGAAGAGCGUCCAAGAGGAAAAACUGAAAAGGCAAAAGUUCUAUUGUACAGUGAAAAAGAGCAUGAGAAAUACACAGAAGCAGAGAUGCAUGAAUCCUUCUCCACUAGCAGCUCUCGUCCAUAGGAUCAUUGUGGUUUCAAGAUUGAUGCCCAAUCAUUUCCCUCUUUGUUCGAUUCCUCAGACCUUUUGGAAACUGUACAUUCCGGGGGAAAGUCUGUGCAAGGGCAAAAGGCGACGGUGGACUUGACAAAGGGCUGAGGGGUGGGUGAGAUGUUAUGUCAAGAAAUGAUUUUGGAAAAUUUCUUCAUAUGUGUUGAAUAACUAAGAUAAGAUAGGAGUCUUGAACAAGGCAAAAGCAUAGGCUCUCCAAGACGAUUGACCAGAAGGAGAGAAGGAAGGCUCUAUAUCCUUAGCACGUCAAACACUCCUUUGCACAUUAGAGAAAUUGUCGAGUUAUUCCUGCUUCUUCUUCUUCUUCCUUUUUUUUUUUUUUAUUUAUAAUAGUCCAGUAUUAUUAUAGAAAGGUGCUCGAGCCAAAAUUAGAGACUAGCUAGCAUAAAAGAAAAACAUAGGACAAUAUAUACAAGACAGGGGAGGAAGUAAUAACAUAACAUAAUAUAUAUAUAUAUAUAUAUAUAUAUAUAUAUAUAUAUAUAUAUAUAUAUAUAUAUUAAAAAAAACUUGAGUUAACGCAUCAACUCAACGACCCGAAUCAUGAGAUCAGGAUAAGCAAACUCAAUAUUAAAAGAUGAAAUUUAAAAAAAAAACCUUAAAAACAUAUAUGGUUUAACAAUAUUAAUUAAUUAUUAAAAUCUUUCAUUUUAUAUAUAUUAAAAAUAAAUAUUAAUAACUAUUAUAUCAAUUUGUGAAUGUUUCAAUUUGAAUGCGAACAAAUGUUUUAUAUAUGACAUUUUUCUUAAGAAUGUCUCUUUCAUUAAAACCAAAAUUAUUUAACAUGAUUAGAUUUAAUACCCUGAGAGUUUAGGUCAUAGAUUGGCCUAAUACUCGGAUAAGAUUGAGAUCAUAUAUCAGACAAGUUAGCUUAUGUUGAAUGGUGUUAAUCUAAAAUUGUAUUAUUUUAAGAUUUUUUUUAGAAAAAAUCAAAAUUGCGUAGUUAAAAAAAAUAAAACUAGUUUUUGACUGAAUUAACUAGGUUGUGGGUUGAUUUAUUUAGUCGAUUAGGCUUGGUUGGGUCAGCUCUCACUUAGUUUUUUCUAAACCUGAAUUGGGUUAGGUUCCAGAUUAAAAUGUUAGGCUUGAAUUAAAUUUAAUAAUGCUGAUUAAAACCACAUUGUAGAAAAAAAAUUAAAUUGCAUAAAAGUAAUUAACCGAAAACUUGUAUUCCUUCUUGUAAAGCUGAACCCGUGUCAGUUUUAUUGAAGGAAAACUAUGAACCAAAGGUUAAUGCUACUUUCAUGACGAGAAGACUUGCUACUUUCUUUAUGGAAAUAACGUGUGGAAAAUCAUGCCUUAAUUUUGAUGGCGAUGGUAAAAUCAAAGAGUAUCGUUGAUAAUUAAAUGCUUAUGCAUAAAAAAUAAAUCUCAAGUGUUAGAAUGCAACCACUGAUUAAUUAAUGGACAACGGACCUUGGAUUAAUACAUGACGCAACUUUCAAUGGAAUUAUAUUUGUGGAGGUAUUUACUCGGAUGUGAAUUAUAUUUUUAUUUUUUUAUUUUAAAAAAAAUUCUAUAUACUACAACUAGCUUAAGAAAGUCAAAAAAAUUUAAGUGAAAAAAAAUAUAUAUAUAUUUAUAUACACUCACGCACACACAAAAAUAUAGUCAAAUAAAUCAAGAACUAUGUGUGUUAAUAAGUGGAAAAAAAAACCUUAAACGAUAACUCAAAAUAAAAACUAGAAAAAUCAAGAGACAAGUGUAUAUCAAGAUAUUUAAUUUCACAUGACGUGACAUUUUUUUUUUUGGAUUCGACGAAACCUCACCCCUCCGAAAAGCACACUUUGUGGGCCCAGGUGAGGGAGUAAAACCCCGGCUGUCCCAGGCUCUUACAAAAGGUGCACGCCCUGACUCGAACUCGAGACCUGCUGUGCAGAUCUCAAACCCUUUGCCAUCACGCUACGCCCCUUGGGGACAACGUGACAUUUACGCAGUAUUGUUUUCUAAAUUUUCUAAUUAAAAUAAUUUUUUAUUUGAUCAAACGAUAAUAUAAACAGACACACACAUUCUAAAUUGAUUGAAUAAAAAAAAAAUAUAUGCAAAGCUGUAUAUAUUAAAAAUAUUAUUUGAAAAUAAUUUGUUUUUCAAAAAUAAAGUUCAUCUAUGUAAAAGAUUUUAAAAAAAUAUAGAUUAAUCAAAAAAACCUCUUUAAAAAUUAAAUUCAUGAUUAAAAAAUAAUCAUCAUUUCAAAUAGGCUUUUUAAAUAACUAAAAAGAGAGAAGGGAUAUUAAUAUAAAUAUAAAUAUAACUAAAAUUAAGAUUAUUUUAAAAAAAUAGAUAAAAAAAAUUUUAAGCGAAAAAAAGUGAACAGACACGGUGAACUUAACUCAUAAACUCAACUGAAUUUAAUAUUUUUUUCGUUAAAUUUAUUAUAAAUAUAAAAAAAAACAAAAUUAAUAUCAUUCACGGUAAAACAUAAAUAAAAAACAGUACAACCGCAUAGUAUUCACCUCAGGCAUUUUCUUUUAAAUUUAUAGCCAAACCUUAAAAAUAAACUUUUGUGCUCAGUAUCUUUUUAAGGUGAAUUAACAAGUUUCAACUCAUCUCUGUAUCUUCUCUAGAUACAGAGAAUUCCUAUUUAACAUUAAUCUGUCCAUCAAGUUUUUGAUUCCCAAUUAAGACCAUCUUGAUAAAUGAGAAUUUACUCCGUAAUUUUAUUGUAUAGCUGUCAAUGACCUGAAACAUGCAAAUUAAAAUUCAAAGUGUGAGCAUUCAAUUUCUUGUCAGUUUACACCUUUCUGUGGUGUUCCCUCUUUCCAUUGAUUGAAGAGCGUCUAAGAGGAAAAACUGAAAAGGCAAAAGUUAUGUUGUACAGUGAAAAAGAGCAUGAUCAGAAAUACACAAAAACAGAGAUGAAUGAAUCCUUCUCCACUAGCGCUCUCGUCCAUCGGAUCAUUGUGGUUUCAAGACCGAUGCCCAAUCAUUGCCCUCUUUGUUCGAUUCCUCAGACCUUUUGGAAACUGUACAUUCCGGGGGAAAGUCUGUGCAAGGGCAAAAGGGGACGGUGGACUUGACAAAGGGCUGAGGGGUGGGUGAGAUGUUAUGUCAAGAAAUGAUUUUGGAAAAUUUCUUCAUAUGUGUUGAAUAACUAAGAUAAGAUAGGAGUCUUGAACAAGGCAAGAACAUAGGCUCUCCAAGACAAUUGACCAGAAGGAGAGAAGGAAGGCUCUAUAUCCUUAGCACGUCAAACACUCCUUUGCACAUUAGGGAAAUUGUCGAGUUAUUUCUGCUUCUGCUUCUGCUUCUUCUUCUUUUUAUAAUAGUCGAGUAUUAUUAUAGAAAGGUGCUAGAGCCAAAAUUAGAGGCUAGCUAGCAUAAAAGAAAAACAAUGAUUAAUUGCAAGAGAUGGUUACUUAUACCAGUAGCAAUUUAGUAAUGAUUAAUUAGCAUUUAUAUUAAGAUGUGGCUAUUAAUUCAAAUGUUAACAAUGAUUUUCUUGGAAGGAUGAUUGCCUCUUGGUUACUUUAAAAUAUACGGUUUUUUUAGUUCAAAUCUAUUAAUAAAAAUAUAGUUUUAUUGAAUUUUUUUAUAUACUUUUAUUAGAGAAAUUAAUUUAAACACAUUUAUAUACAGACACUAGUUUAUCAAGUACUUCAAUAGAAAAAUAAAAUCAAUUAGAGUACUUAAAUAAAAAAAAAUAUAAAUUAUAAGCAUUUUACAUAUCUUUAUUGUUUAUAAAUUAAAAAUAAAAUAAUAUCAAUCCAGACUAAUCUAAAAAAAAAUUAACUAUGACAUCAUCAUUCUAAUAAUAAAACUAAUAAAGAUGUUUUAUUGAUUAAAUUUCGUGAUACAGGGUUGAAACAAAAAAGAGAUGAAGAGAGAGGAGGGAAUGGAAAGAAGGGAAAAAAGAACUCAUGCGAUCUGUUGUUUGUAAGUUUUUUACAUAAUAUAUAGGAAGGUAUUUUAAUUAUUUUGUUCAAAUUAAAAAUUUUCAUUGACUAAAAAGCGUAAUUAUCUAAAACAUAAAAGCAAAGUAAAAAACUCAAAUGCUUCAUUAAAAAACUCAAUUGAUUCGGUGCUUUAUUAGUUUCUAUAGUAUGGUGUCUUAUGCAUUUUGUUCUAAUCAUAUAUGGGAAAGUGUUUGGUUGAUUAACGUAUAUCAUGACUUUGUAUGGGUCCUACCACAAACUCUCUCUUUUGAAAUAUUAAUUAAGAAAAAGCUAUAAUUUAUAGUUUUUUUAAAUUUAUUUUUUCAAAUUACAAUCAUAUAAACUACUAUAAUAUCAAAUACAUAUUUGAAUAAGACUCAGUAAAAAUUUUCUUCUUCUAAAUACAAAGUGGAAAUGAGUUACUUUCUCCAAAAAGAAUAUAUACAAUAUUAUCGAUUAUCUAAUGCAAACUCCGUCUAACAUACACAGAGAAAGAGAGAGAACCUUAACUAUGUUUAUUUUAUGCACUUUAAUUAAAAAUAAAUUUUGGAUUGUACGAGAGACUUUAAUUAAAUUUCAAUAUUAAAUUUAUGCACUUUAAUUAACAUACACAGAUCAACUAUUAAUAUAUCAAGACUUUUAACUCAAAUUCAUUAUUUAAACAAACCAUAACUUAAAAUUAUUAUCUUUAUCUAAAAUCUUUAAAAAUCAAUGAAAUAACUCAUUAUUCAUAAUAAUUAACCUGCUAAGUUAUUUCUGCUUCUUCCUUUUUAUAAUAGUCGAGAAUUAUAUAUUAUAGAAAGGUGCUAGAGUUAAAAUUAGAGGCUAGCUAGCAUAAAAGAAAAACAGAGGUAUAUACAAGACAGGGGAGGAAGUGUGCGUGCGUGCGUGUGUGUGUGUGUGUGUGUGAUCCCUUCUCAAGCUUAAAAGUAAAGCAUGAUUUUCUAGACGUGAUUUCCAUAAAGAUAGAAGGGAGGGCUCUGUAUCCAUCAUCUUCAAGGAAAGUGAGCUGGCCAUCGUCAACCAUUUAUUUAUGUUUUCAACCAUUUAUUUAUGUUUUUCCACAAAAGACUUUGACUUGGGGUCAACUUGUCGGUUAAUUACUUUUAUGCAAUUCAAUUUUUUAAAAAUAUAUAUAUAUAUGCUUUAAUUUCAACUUAAGUUAUAUACGGGACGAUAAAAAAAUAACAAUAAAAUCAAUUUAUAAAAAAAAUCAUAGAUUUAGUUUUCCUAAAUUUUAAAUGUAGUGUGAAAGCAUUCCGCAAGAAAAAAACAGUGCAAAAUUAGCCAUGACAAUAAGUCUUUUUCUUUCUAAAGAGUUUAUUUUUUGUAACACAAUCAAUAAGUAAGAUGGAUGGGAAUUUGCAGUGUGAGAUGGGUUUGUGAGACUAUAUAUUGCCAUCAGCAUUUUUUCCAUGAUAUAGGCUUGUAGGAUGGUCCAUGAGACCAUUGCUAUAUAUCAAGCGUUUUUUCUACGAGAUGGGUCCAUGAGACCAUUACCUCGUAAGCUUGGGAAUGGAUAACAUGAUUUAAUGUUUAUUUAGUUUAAAAAAAAAUUAAAUGCUUAUGCAUAAAAAAUAAAUCUCAAGUGUUAGAAUGCAACCACUGAUUAAUUAAUGGAUAAUGAACCUUGGAUUAAUACAUGACGCAACUUUCAAUGGAAUUAUAUUUGUGGAGGUAUUUACUCGGAUGUGAAUUAUAUAUAUAUAUAUAUAUAUAUAUAUAUAUAUAUAUAUAUAUAUAUAUAUAUAUAGGGGCACACACAAAUAUAGUCAAAUAAAUCAAGAAUUAUAUGUGUUAAUAAGUGAAAAAAAAAAUAUUAAACUAUAACUCAAAAUAAAAACUAGAAAAACCAAGAGACAAAUGUAUAUAAAGAUAUUUAAUUUCACAAGACGUGAUAUUUACGCAGUAUUGUUUUCUAAAUUUUCUAAUUAAAAUAAUUUUUUAUUCGAUCAAACGAUAAUAAAAAUAGACACAUACAUUAUAAAUUGAUUGAAUAAAAUAAAAGGAGAAAAAAUAAUAUGCAAGGCUGUACAUAUUAGAAAUAUUAUUUGAAAAUAAAUUUCUUUUUAUUUUCAAAAAUAAAGUUCAUCCAUGUAAAAUAUUUUUAAAAAAUAUAGAUUAAUCAAAAAAAUCUCUUUAAAAAUUAAAUGCAUGAUUAAAAAAUAAUCAUCAUUUUAAAUAGGCUUUUUAAAUAACUAAAAAGAGAGAAGGGAUAUUAAUAUAAACAUAAAUAUAACUAAAAUUAAGAUUAUUUAAAAAAAAUAGAUAAAAAAAUUUUAAGCAAAAAAAAGUGAACAGACAACUUAUAAACUCAACUGGAUUUAAUAUUUUUCCUGUUAAAUUUAUUAUAAAUAUAAAAAAACAAAAUUAAUAUCAUUCAUGGUAAAACAUAAAUAAAUAAAUAAAUAAAACAGUACAACCGCAUGUUAUUCACCUCAGGCAUUUUCUUUUAAAUUUAUAGCCGAACCUUAAAAACAAACUUUUGUGCUCUGUAUGUUUUUAAGGUGAAUUAACAAUUUUCAACUCAACUCGGUACCUUCUCUAGAUAGAUCUGUGACUAUGCCUUGGAUUUUCUCAAAACUACUAAGUGUGUGCUUGAGAGGGUGAUUAUAGUUGUUUUUUAAAGUGUUUUUCACUCAGAAAAACAUGUCAAUAAUAUUUUUUUAUAUUUUAAAAUUUAUUUUCGAAAUCAGCACAUCAAAAUGAUUUAAAAACAUCAAAAAUAUAUUAAUUUAAAGUAAAAAAAAAAUUCAAAUUUUUGCGGAAGUGCUUUUGAAAAGCACUCCCAAACACUCCCAUGGUUGGAUACCAAGUAAAUAGAGAUAAAUUUAUUUCCUGUUAUUCUCCGAUAGUAUCUUCGUCCCUUGAUAGAACUUUCUUGGAGAUGAUGAGCUACCACUCCCUUUUGACUUUGCUGGCCUCCCAAAUAUAAAUAAAGAAUUCCUCUUGAUAGAAUUUUCUUCGAAAUGAUGAGAAUAUUUUAGAAUAUUCUGGUUGACGCCAGCUGUCAACAACUAUCUUACAUUCCCAACGCAUGCCUUUGCAAGAUGUUAAAGGCUCAUCUAAAAACAAUUAACUCUGAUAUCGUUAUUUUAUAACAAAUUAGCAAAGAUAAUUUAUUAAUCACUAAGUUUUCUGGUUAUAAAUACAUUUGUAAUUGUCUUUAUCUCUUUUGUAUUUCUAACAAUUAACGAAUUGAAUAUAUAAUAAAUACCGACUGAAAGAAUAAAUUUAGUUUAAAUGUGCUAAAGUUUAAAUAGGCGACUUUAGAAUCACCAAGAAGGCAGUGAAUCACACGGGAAGAUUGAAAGAAUAAUUAAAGUGAUUUUACUAACAUUGUAAAAGUAAUUAACCGAAAAGUUGACCCCAAGUCAAAGUCUUCUGUGGAAAAACAUGAAUAAAAGGUUGACGCUGGGCAGCUCACUUUCCAUGAAGAUGAUGGAUACAGAGCCCCCCCUUCUAUCUUCAUGGAAAUCACGUCUAGAAAAUCAAACAUUAUUAUUGCCAUCUGCGUUUUUUCUUAGAGAUGGGUCCGUUCCACCAUUUCCCCUCAAGCUUGAGAUAUAUAUACGUGACACGAUUUAAUUUCAAAUCUUAAUGUAGUGUGUUAGAAUGCAACCACCGAUUGAUUAAAUUUAAUGGCUGGUCAUUUAAACUUGGGUGUUUUUUCGGUAUUAAUAUAUAUAUAUAUAUAUAUAUAUUCCUCAAUUAUCAUAAAAAAUUAAGAAAAAACUAAUAAUAAGAUUAAAAAUAAAUGUUUUAUUUAUCGAAAUAAUUAAAAGUAAGGUUUACUUAAGGUAUAUAUGGGAUGGUAAAAAAAUAACAAUAAAAUCAAUUUAUAAAAAAAAAUCAUAGAUUUAGUUUUCCUAAAUUUUAAAUGUAGUGUUUAUAAUUAAUUAAUUAAUUGAGAAUUUGAGCUCUUCUAAAAGUUGUUUAUGGACUUUUGUUUUCCGGAGAAAACUCCCUUAAAACCUUUGAGCACUUCCUUCUCUAAAAUAUAUGUUUUUGCCAUAACUCAGGGGCUCUGUAUCUUUUAAGGUGAAUUAGGCUUUAUAUCUUUUUAAGGUGAAUUAACAAGUUUCAACUCAUCUCUGUAGAUACAUAGAAUUCCUAUUUAACAUUAAUCUGUCCAUCAAGUUUUUGAUCCCCAAUUAAGACCAUCUUGAUAAAUGAGAUUUUACUCUGUAAUUUUAAUGUAUAGCUGUCAAUGACCUGAAACAUGCAAAUCAAAAUUCAAAGUGUGAGCAUUGAAUUUCUUGUCCGUUUACACCUUUCUGUGGCGUUUCCUCUUUCCAUUGAUUGAAGAGCGUCUAAGAGGAAAAACUGAAAAGGCAAUCACUAGCGGCCCUCGUCCAUCGGAUCAUUGUGGUUUCAAGAUUGAUGCCCAAUCAUUGCCCUCUUUGUUCGAUUCCUCAGACCUUUAGGAAACUGUAUAUGAGAUGUUACAGAGUGACGGAGGACUUGACAAAGGGCUGAGGGGUGGGUGAGAUGUUAUGUCAAGAAAUGAUUUUGGAAAAUUUCUUCAUAUUUGUUGAAUAACUAAGAUAGGAGUCUUGAACAAGGCAAGAACAUAGGCUCUCCAAGACGAUUGACAGAAGGAGAGAAGGAAAGCUCUAUAUCCUUAGCACGUCAAACACUCCUUUGCACAUUAGAGAAAUUGUCGAGUUAUUUCUGCUUCUGCUUCUGCUUCUGCUUCUUCUUCUUUUUAUAAUAGUAGAGUAUUAUUAUAGAAAGGUGCUAGAGCCAAAAUUAGAGGCUAGCUAGCAUAAAAGAAAAAGAAAAACAGAGGACAGUAUAUACAACUAUACAAGACAGGGGGAGGAAGUAAUAACAUAAUAUUAAUAACUAUAUAUAUAUUAAAAAAACUCGAGUUAACCCAUCAAGUUUACGACCCGGAUUAUGAGAUCGGGAUAAGCAAACUCAAUGUUAAGAAAUGAAAUUAAAGAAAAAAACCAUAAAAACAUAUAUGGCGUAGUGUCUUAUCGAUUAAGUUUGAUUGGGUCAACUCUCACUUGGUUUUUUCUAAACCUAAAUUGGGUUAGAUUCUAGAUUAAAAUAUUAGGCUUGAAUUAAAUUUAAUAACACUGAUUAAAACCACAUUGUAGAAAAAAAAAAUGAAUCGCGUAAAAGUAAUUAACCGAAAACUUGUAUUUCUUCUUAUAAAGUUGAACUCAUGUCAGUUGUUUUUUAAGGAAAAAUAUGAAUCAAAGGUUAAAGCUAGGCAGCUCACUUUGCACGACAAUGACGGAUAUAGAAGACAUAACGUGUGGAAAAAUCAUGCCUUAAUUUUGAUGGUGAUGGCAAAAUCAAACAGUAUCGUUGAUAAAAUGAACCACAAAUAAUAUUAUUUCUAAAACACUUCUUGUCAUUGUGAUGACAAUAAGUCUUCUUCUUUGCAGUGUGAGAUGGGUUUGCAUUUUUAUUUUCCACGAUAAUUAAUUAAUUAAUUGAGAAGUUGAGCUCCUUAAGAAAAGUUGUUUAUGGACCUUUGUUUUCCGGAGAAAACUCCCUUAAAACCCUUGAGCACCACCUUCUCUAAAACAUCUAUCUUUGCCAUAACUGAGAGGCUCUGUAUCUUUUUAAGGUGAAUUAACAAGUUACAACUCAACUCUGUAUCUUUUUUAGAUAUGUAUGUGACUGUACCUUGAUGUUCUCACAACCAUUAAGAUGGAGACAAAUUUUCUUUUCUGUUAUUCUCCGAAAAUAUCUUCGUUCCUUGAUAGAAUUUUCUUGGAAAUGAUGAGCUUCCACUCCCUUUUGACUUUGCUGGCCUCCGAAAUAAUUAAAGAAUUCCUCUUGAUAGAAUUUCCUUGGAAAUGAUGAGAAUAUCUCACAUUCCCUUGGCAUCGUGUUCCAUGCCUUUGCAAAUUAUUAAAGGCUCCAAUGCAUGUGUCCUUUUAUUCAUGUUUUUCCACAAAAGACUUUUGACUUGGGGUCAACUUGUCGGUUAGUAAAAUCACUUUAAUUAUUCUUUCAAUCUUCCCGUGUGAUUCACUGCUUAAUUGGUGAUUCUAAAUUUAUUCUUUCAAUUCGUUAAUAGUUAGAAAUACAAAAGAGACAAAGACAAUUACUAAUGUAUUUAUAACCAGAAAACUUAGUGAUUAAUAAAUUAUCUUUGCUAGUUUUGUUAUAAAAUAAUGAUGUUAGAGUUAAUUGUUUUUAGAUGAGUUUGGAUUAAUUCUGUUAAUUUUAUUUUUAAUUUUUGAACUAUAAAAAUAUAGAUAAAUUUAAAAUAAAUAUCUUUUUACAAUAGUUUUUUAGUAAAAUUAGAGUAAAAUUUGUACUUUUAAAAUAAAAAUAUAUAAAAACAUGUAUUUUAUGUUCCCAUUAUUUUUGUAUUUUAUAUCAUGGUAAUUAAAUGUUGCCCGGUUAACAUAACACUAAAUCAUAAUAAAAAAAUAAUAAUUAUGGAAUGGCAUGGUAGUUGGAUCUAAUUUUUUUAUGGAAUGGCAUGGUAGUUGGAUCAUAAUAAGAGUAUUCAAAUUAAGAAUAUUUAAAUGAGUGUUAAUUGGGUUUAAAAGACUUACAAGCAAAAUAUAAGUUGUUUGUUAGAAUUCUUAUGGAUCCGAUAGAAAAUUAAUACUUCAUUCAUAUACAUUACAUGAGCAUAUAUAUAUUUCUUUUAUCAACAUAAUGAUAUGUUUAUUUAUGUAACAGGUCCAUCAAAUAUCCAUGGAGAUCAUUAGUUUAGGGCUCUACUUUGUCAAGCUUAUGUAAAUAUUUAACUUAAGCAAAAGGGAAUUAACGCAUUUAUGUAGUAUGCUUUUGUAUAAACCUUGAUGUAUUUAUAAAAGUUCAGCUUAGCAUGUAGUACUUUAGUUAUCUUGUAAUUAACCCUUCUGAAAUAUUUAAAAACACUUAUUAUGUUGUAAAUGCUUUAUUUACAUGUUAGUAUUCCUUUUUCUUUUAAUUUUAUGAUAUGAUAUAUGGGCUAUGUUCAUAUUGAACUUGCUCAUAGGAUAUAUAUAAAUAUAUAUUGUGUGGAUUAUAUGAGGUGUUGAAUUAUGAUGAUUAAUAUAAGGUUCGGAAUUAUGGGACCUUGUGAUGAUGGAUUGAUUGUGUAAAUUAAUAGUAGUCGAUAACUUGGGAUGUUCUAAAUACAAACAAAACUCUGCUGAAUUUUUGGUAGAUUUAAAAAAAAAAAUUACCCUCAAAUUAAAAGCAUAUGUUGAGAUCUUUUAACAUUGAUCAAGUCGUAUAGUUGGUUCUGUUACAUGUUAGGUAUACAAUGUCUCUGUGAUAUGGACAUAAUGAUUUUUGAUGUGUCAAAUUCUUACUAUUUCACUCUUAAGAGUAGAAAGAUCUACUUCGUUGGACAACCACCAAGGCUUAACAACAAUAAUGAGAAAAUAAGCAUGUGAAAGGAAAAAGACUUAAUCUUAUAAGCCCAAAUGAUUUUGAGAAUCAGGUUCAUGAAGAGUUUGUUGCAUUUGCUUUAGUGGCUAAGAAAGUUUUAGAGAAAGCACUCGAAGAAAUAAGUGUAGUUUUGAAAGAAUUUCAAGAUGUUUUUCCUCUCAAAGUUCAUAAUUCCUUACCCCAUUAUACGUGACAUUCAACACGUAAUAUUUUAUCCCUAGUUACCUCUUGGUUUCAAGCAAGAAACACACUUCAAUAUCAUUAUGCGUUACUGUAUUCCUAAUAGAUGCCCUCUUAGCAGACAUACCCAACCCACAACUAUUCCAGAAUAAAAUCUUCAUUGAUAAAUGAUUUUAAACCUUACCAAGUUAUACUGCAAAAUGGAAUUAUUCCCAAAACCCAAAGCAAAUAACAUCCUCUGCGCCUCAUCUUCAACAAUACAUUCUGCUGUUGCAGCAGAACUGUAAGUUAUCAUAUAACGAAGAUUCCCUUUUCUGAUUCUAGAAUCCAGUGAACCUGGUGAUUCCACCUCACGUUCAUCCUCCACCCGCUGAAGACUACCAUUGAAAGAGAAAAGCUCCACCUUUGGGUGUAAACUGGAUUGAUUGCAUCCCAUCUGAAUCACGUGGGCUUAAUGGAAGGAACGAACAAUUGUCGGUUUUAAAAGUUUGGUUUGUAACAAUCAUUGUAAUUCCAAAUUUCCAUACUCCUUCCAUUUAAGCAAUUAAUAAUAACAGAGAAUAUGUAUAAAUCUCAAUGUUGUUUUAAAUUUUAUGUAAGAUAGUACAGUUUCAUUCAAAAAAUGAGAAAGAACAAUAAAAAUCCUCAAAUUCUACCACCUUCAAUUCUCAUUCAUCAACAACAGCAUACAUUCAAACAAGUGAUCAAUAGUGUUGAUGAAAAAUAAAUCAUUAGCGAUCAAGUGACGAGGACUAUAGUAAGAUUGGCGCCAUUGUAAGCUUGACAAGCUUUGCCUACUCUAAUUAACAGCAACGAAAGAUUCAGUGCCUAAUCUCUGGACGGAGAAGGGGACGCCUUUGUUAUGUACAUGGUUGCCCUAAAUGGUUCGAUGAUGCUCAUUUUAAACAUUUUUUGUCAAGGUUGUCAAUUUUGCUCCGUUUAGUGUUUCAUUUUUUUAAUUGAAACGGUAUGUUUUGGUUUCGGAGCAUUUCAGUGUGUUGUUUCAGGAUUAUAUAUAUAUUAACUCAAUUAAACAUAAUUUAAAUUUAAAUUUAAAGAUAAAUUAACUUGAAAUUAUGCAAUUUAAAUUUCAAACACAAGUAAAAAAGUGAGAGACUGAUAUGACUUGAUCGACUAGAUGGGUCCAAAGACAACCUUUACGACUGGUAAGAAUAUAGUUUGACUCAAAAAAAUUUAAGAUGAUAUUUUUUAAAAAAUAUAUUGAGAUGACAACAUAUUAAAUCAACCUGGGUCAACUCGAUCGGAUUAACUUUCUAAAUUCGUAAUCCAGGUUAUGAGACCAUAAUAACCUAAAAUAAAGCAAAUCAAAACAAAUUAUAAAGCUGAAUUCUCAAUAAACAUGUUAUUGAAUGGUUAAAUUGGAAAAAUUUUAAUAUAAAAAAAGACACAAAAAAAUGACCUUCAGAGACUAUUGUCGUCACCAGAAUGUUUUGCCCGCCACACAAGCUUCACAUAUCUUUUGCAACUCAGAUUUGGAAACUUUAGAGUACCUUUUUAUAUACUGUAACUUUUCUAGGAGUGUUUGGAUGAAAGUUUUGGAUUAGUGGGGUAUCUAAUGUUGUUGUCGAGCACUUUAGACUCGCUACUUCUACAACAACAUGGAAUGGUGCAGGGUAAAUUCCAAAGAUUAGCUUGGAGACUAAUCUCUAGUAGUAUUACUCGGGGUAUUUGGUUGUUGAGGAACAAAAUUGUUUGUGAGGAGAGAACUAUAAGUUUGUUUGAUUGUUUCUCUAUCAUCCUUUAUCAGGUUGCUAUUUAGUUGUAUACUCUGUAUUCAAACUUUACUUAUACAGGAAAUGAUCUCUUAAGAUCUUUUGAUGAUAUCAAAUUGUGGUGUAAUAAGAAAUCUUAGGUAGUUUCUUUGUUUUUUUGUUGUAGCAAAUCAGUUUUGUUUUCUUUUUUUCCCCCUUUUUUCUUUUUUUUUUUGUCCUAUGAGACUAUUGUCAUCUGCAUUUUUUCCAUGAUAUAGGCCAGUGGGAUGGUCCAUGAGACCAUUGCUAUCAAGCGUUUUUUGUACGAGAUGGGUCCACGAGACCAUUGCCCUGUAAGCUUGGGAAUGGAUAAUAUGCUUUAAUUUCAAUUUAGUUUACAAAAAAAUUAAAUUAAAUGCUUAAGCAUAAAAAAUAAAUCUCAAGUGUUAGAAUGCAAUUACCGAUUAAUUAAUGGACAACGGACCUUAGAUUAAUUAAUAUAUGAUGCAUCUUUCAAUGGAAAUGUAAAUGCUUUACUAGAAUAUUAUUUUUUUUUGUAUUUGUUUUCUGGUUAUAUUUAAUUUUCAUCAAUAUUCCUAACAUAAAUUGCUACGUAUUUUGAAUCUUGAAGGAUUGAAAGAUAGAAAACAGAAAAGAAAAGGAGACAAGGCAGUUCAAAAGAAGAAGAAAAAAGUACGAUAGUGAAAGAAAGAGAAGAGAAUAAAAGUGGAGCAGUUUUUAUUAACUAUAUAAAUUUUAUAAUUACUAAUAUUAAAUUCAAAAUAUGUACAUAUUACAAAUAUGUAAACAUAUCAUAUGGUUUAAAAGAAAUGGCUUUUAUAAACAUAUAUGGCUUAACAAUAUUAAUCAACUCCUAAUAUUUUCAUUUUAUAUAUAUUAAUUAAAGUAAAUAUUAAAACCUAUUAUAUUAAUCUGUGAAGGUAUUUACUCGGAUGCAAAUUAUAUUUCUAAUUUAUUAUUAAAAAAAAUUCUAUAUACUACAACUAGCUUAAGAAAGUCAUGUUUAUCAGGAUCAUAGAGUAAAAAAAAGAAAAAAUUGAAUUGCAUAAAAGUAUCACUAGCUUAAGAAAGUUAUGUCAUCUGCAUCUUUCCUCGAGGAGAGGCAGUGAGACGUCCUCUUCCAACCAUCAUGCAUUUUUUCCAUGAGAUGGGUUCGUGGAAAAACUUUGGUUUAAUUGGGAAUGCUGUUAUUGAUUGGAAAAUUUUUAAUUAAAAUAAAUUUGAUUUUUUGAUUGGAAAAAAAUCCUUAAAUGACAUUAACACAUGACUCCACUUUAUUUUCUUAAGAAAAAAAAUAUUGUAACCAUAUAAGUUUCAAGUUUAAAGGGUUUUCAUUUGAAGGGGUGUGUUAGAGAAUAAUAUAAAUCAUAUCUUAGAAUCUAACCUAAUAGCUUAAGCUUUUGGGUUGAAUCGGUUCUUUGACAUGGUAGCGGAGCCUUGAUGACCAAGCGAUCACGAGUUCGAAUCUCAUCAUCCCCAUUUAUUAGAUAAAAAUUAAACACAAGGUAAUGUGGAUCUGUACAAGUUUCAAGCCCUUCUAUUGGGUUAAGAUGGUAUCUUGAGGUCUCACCUAACAACUUAAACUAUUGGGUUGAGAUGGUUCUUCGACAGGCUACCAGAUGGUGCGGCGCUACACCUCUGUUCUUGCUUUUCUCUGCUUGUUUUCUCUUCUUUUUUUAUUUCUCUUGUUCCCUUUGUCUCUCUCUGUAUUAUCUAUGUUUGUUCAUUUUUCGUCUAUGUCUUUUUGUAUUAUCUGUCUGUGGUUCUCCCCUUCUAUGUGGCUUUUCUUUGUUUGUCUUGAUUUCUCUGGGUUUGUAUUUGGUUGGUUCAACAACCUACGGUGAGGGGAAGUUGAAUAUUAAAGGCUCCCAUGCCUCUCUAGCAAUAAUAUUAUUUUUUAUUUAUCCCCAAAUACAUGUGUCAUUUAUCAAAAUAAUUAAUUUAAUCACCAAAAAAAAACAAAUAGAUCCAACAACCAUGCCAUUCCACAGUUAAUUUUUUUUAUAUUAUGAUUUAGUGCUAUGUUAACCGGGCAACCUUUAAUUACCAUGAUAUAAAAUAAAAAAAUAAUGGGAACAUAAAAUAAAUGUUUUUAUAUAUUUUUUAUUUUAAAAGGAAAAAUUUUACUCUAAUUUUACUCAAAAACUAUUGCAAAAGGAUAUUUAUUUUAAAUUUAUCUAUAUUUUUAUAGUUCAAAUAUUAAAAAUAAAAUAGAAUUAAUCACUAAGUUUUCUGGUUACAAAUACAUUUGUAAUUGUCUUUAUCUCCCUUGUAUUUCUAACCAUUAACGAAUUGAAUAUAUAAUAAAUACUAAUUAACAAAAGAAUAAAUUUAGCUGUAUAAUGUACUAAAGUUUAAAUAGGUGACUUUAGAAUCACCAAGAAGGCAGUGAAUCACACGGGAAGAUUGAAAGAAUAAUUAAAGUGAUUUUACUAACCGACAAGUUGACCCCAAGUCAAAAGUCUUUUGUGGAAAAACAUGAAUAAAAGGUUGACGUAAGACCAUUGCUAUCAAGCGUUUUUUCUAAGAGAUGGGUCCGUUCCACCAUAUAUAUGCUUUAAUUUCAACCACCAUAAAAAAUAAAUCUUAAUGUAGUGUGUUAGAAUGCAACCACCGAUUGAUUAAUUUUAAUGGCCGGUCAUUUAAACUUGGGUGUUUUUUCAGUAUAUAUAUAUAUAUAUAUUCCUCAAUUAUCAUAAAAAAAUAAGAAAAAACUAAUAAUAAGAUUAAAAAUAAAUGUUUUAUUUAUCGAAAUAAUUAAAAGUAAGGUUUACUGAAGGUAUAUACGGGAUUAAUAAAAAAUAACAAUAAAAUCAAUUUAUAAAAAAAUAAAUCAUAGAUUUAGUUUUCCUAAAUUUUAAAUGUAGUGUGAAUGCAUUCCGCAAGAAAAAAAACAGUGCAAGAUUAGCCUUUCAAGAAAUAGAGAAUCUUCCUCUUUGAAGGAAUUAAUUAGUGGGUUGGAAAAAUGUCGUCUUUUGCUCUAAUAUUUUCUUCACUUGGUCUAUAGUUUUACCUUACACUAAUAUUUUCAAGAUUUCAAUUGAAAAGGAGGGUCGUAAAAAAUUUAAUUUUUAUAAACAUACCCUUAAUUAACUUAAUUUGGAUGUGGAUAAUUGUUUGCAAUAUAUUUACAUCCAAUAUAAACAAUUCAUCAAUGAUCAAGUCGGCCUUGGUUAGCUAAAAUAUUGAAAAUACUUGCUCUCUCCUUUUUUCUUUUUUGGCCAUGCAGUUCCUAUAUAUAUAUAUUAGUUGAAAUUUUAUGAUGUCUAUUAAUCCUUUUAAAUUAAAGUCAAGUUAUUAAUUAUAUCCUAUAGAUUUCUAGAAAAACUAAUUCUCUCAAAUUUCGUACAUUUUACUUACAAACUAUAAAAGGUGAUUGCUACAAACUAAAAUUUCAAACAAGGAAGCUUAAAUCUCUUUUAUCUACAUUUGAAAUUUACAAAAAAUAAAAUUAUAUUGGAUUAAGCCUAAACACUAUAUAAAAUUCUUGAACAACACAUUAAAAACAAAUCAAAGAUACUUUUCAAAAUAUCAAAUCAUUAAAUCUUACAUAUCAAAUAAAUCAAGUUAUCAUAUAUCAAAUUAAAAGGAAGAAUUAAAUGAUUGUUUUAUUUUUUAUAAAAAUAUUUUAAAUAGAAAUUAUAAUGUGGAUCAUAUGGCUCAAUGCAAAUUAAGGUCUCACAUAUAGCCAGCUAUAGCAUGGGAUAGCCAGCGGUCAUUCCAUCAGGAGAUUUGUGAAUUCUGAAGCCUUUGCAAUGUGCAUGGCAUGUGUCCAAGAACCCACCAGGAACUCCAUUUUGACUGGGAAACCUUUGACGAACUGUAUUAUAUGUGAUUUGCUCCUGGUAUUAUAAAUUAGAAAGUGUAAAUUGUAAAUCCCAACCAAUAAGAUAUCUACAUAAGAGUCUGUAAAUGUUACAGAUGAUUUAAGUUUGUUUAGCAAAUUUUUCAAGAACAUGUUUGUCUUUGAUAGCUUAUUGUCAUAGCUGUGAACUCUGAAGAAAAUUGAUGUAAGAAACCAAAGUCCAUUUUGUUCUAGAUUGUAGAUGGAUAUAAGCUUGGUGAUUCCCGAUUCUUUUAUUAAUUUCAUUUUAUACAUUCCCUGUGAUGUGUUCUUAAUUUAUAUACCACACCGAUGUCUGUUAGGUUCUGAUUCAAUCGAAUUGGAGCCGAUCAAAAUUGUAAUGACUCAGUUUCUUUUAUGACCUGGAUUGGGCUUCACAUGCCCUUGAUUAUGCCCAAGAAGAAAACUAAAUAAAUAGUAGAUGAGUAGUGUACUGAAAAUAAAUAUUUUCAGCAUAUUACAUAGAUCUAAAACAAUAGCACACAGGAAUUAAAAAAGAGGAGGGAUCGCUAGGGAUACAAGAUUUGCAGCCAAAACUAUGACCUGACAUGUUCAGGAAACAGAAGGGAACUAUGACCUGACAUGUUCAGGAAACAGAAGGGAGGUGUUUCUUUUAAACACAAGGCAGAUUUUUAUGAUCUUAUUCCUUUUGGUCAUUAAAUUUUCUUAAAAGGAGCUUUGGUUUGAUUCCUACAAGCUGGGGGCAAAUCUUCAGCGUUUCGACAGUCAGCCUCAUGAGCAAAAGAAAGACAAUGUGCGACCACUCCAAGCUUCUCGUUGCUCCCCUGUUCCGAUUAGAAAUGGAGAUUCAAGAAGCUAUGCUACUGUCCUGAGACAAGAGUUCCAACGAAAUCUACUGUAAGUUCCCAAGACACUCUUUUAUAACACUUUGGUCAUUUCCAUGACUUUAUCUGCAUAUCUUGUGCAGGCCAGUUCCAUGUUUUGAGAUUUGAAUAUUAUUUUAUUUUAUUGUUUAGCACUUAGUCUAUUCGCCAGGUUGGGAAAAAUAUUCAAAUUAGUUUUGUUGGCAUGUAACCUCACCAAACAAUUUAAGACUUCACUAAACAAUUUGCGUAGACCGUAUUGACUGGGAGUCAACUAUUGUCGUAGUGCUUUUUUGCACUAUCUGUGUGCGUGAAUGGAAAGAAAAGCAGGGUGGCAACUGGGGUGAGAAAAUGAAUAGAAAACUCCAACAAGGGUGUGAAAAUGAGUUACUUCUCCAAAAAGAAUAUAUAAAUUAUUGAAUAUCUAAUGGAAACUGUCGUGAACGCGGAUGCUUGACUUGCUGUGUACCAUUUUGAUUUUUAAACACAACCAUGCCGUAAUUUCCUGGUGAUUUCCUUAUGCAUACUGGUGGUCUUCCAGAAUCUUUUUCCAAACAAUCCUCGUUAGACCCUGCUCGGGGAUUAACCUGGAGUAAGAUUUGUAUCAUGGUUUUUUAUCAUGUUCCAGGUCAACUUGGAUCAACUAAAUUUUAUGAGUAUGUCAAAACGACAUUGUUUUUUAUAUAUAAACAUAAAUAUGAAUCUUGAGCUCUUUUAUAAUCUUAAGACGAAGUAUAUUAAUAGUUGAACCAUUAUCCACCAAGAUACAAUUCAUCAUCUUUUCAUCGAUAUAUCUUUUAAUAAAAAAAUAUCGUUUAUGGAGUUUUGAUUCAAGCAACAGGUCUUCAUCGUUAAAGAAUAUCUAUGUAGUGUAUACACCUUGAGACAAGUCGAAAGAGUUAGUCAUGACAGGUUUAGUAGGAGUUUUCUUUAUAGUUUUCUCAUUUUUUAUGUUAAAUUAGGAAGAGAUCAAUAAGAAACUGAACUUGAAGAUGGACUAUAUCAUUGUUAACUUCUUGAUCCGAAUACUCCAACAUGAUGGUUAGUGCAAAUUUUUUUUUUUUUAAAAAUAGCAAAAACAAAGUAAUUAAACAAGACAGACUUAGGAUUCCACAGAUAAAUAUAUGGCCAUAUUUGUUUCCCGGAAUUCACUUUCCGGGAAGCCACUUUCCAAACUUUCCUGUGUUUGUCUGCCAUUAGAAAAGUUGGUCAACGGAAAACACUUUCCAGUCAAAGGAAAAUUUAGCUUGGUUUCCAGGAAAGUGUUUUCCUUGAAAAUUUAUGCGGAAAACACUUUCUGAAAGUUGUGAAAAAUUUAAAAAUGUCAUAUUAUUUGCUGAUUAUAUCAAAUUUGGUCCUCAAACUUUUGAUUGCUAUAUAUAUAUAUAUUUUUGUUUUGAAUAUUUAUUUUUCAAUUUCAUCUCUUAAAAUUUAAUUUUUAUAUUAACUUUGGUCCUCAUUUUUAUAAUUGUUAUUUGCUUUUCCCUUAUCAUUUUCUUAUUGAAAUUUUUUAUCUAUCAAAUUUGGUUCUCAUUCUUUUGAUUGUUACUUAUUUUAUUUGAAAUAAUUUAUGAAAUGUUAAUUAUUAUUAUUAUUUUAAUUUCUUCAUCUUUCAUUUUUAUUUUAUUUUUUAGAUUUGAUUUUUAUUAUUUUGAUUAUUAUUAUUUAUUUGAGAUAAUUUAUGAAAUUAUAUUUUUUUUCAAUUUCAUUCUCAUUCAACUUUUUAAUUUGUAAGAUUUGUUCAUCAUUAUUUUAAUAAACUUGAGAAAAUAAAAUAUUAAUAAGUUAUUUUCCAGUUCAUUUUCCAUGACAUAACCAAACACUGAAAAAUAUUUUCCAACUUAUUUUUCAUUACACUACCAAACAUCGAAAAAUAAUUCACUUUCCUGGAAUUCACUUUAAAAAAAAAACUACUUUCCAGCAAGCAAACGGGCCAGUUUCAACACUUCUCUAUUGAAACGUUCAACAAUAAGGCUAAGCUAUGAGGUCAACCCACUAAAAAGCACCCAUUAGCUGGACACAUUCAAGAAAAUUGCCGACAAGUUUCGAACUAACACAAUUUUGGGCCGAGAAUGCAAGAAGCAAACCACUGAUUCCCCCACCAGCAACCACAACAAAUUCAGUGCUCCCAUGCUAAGAUCCUCUGAUGUUGGAGAACUAGCGAAAUUUAAUACAAGGCUUCAACACUCCGAAGCCUGCUAGAGAAAUAUUAAAGCAAAAUAAGUAGUAGCAUUAAACAACAGCCAUUUCAUCAGUUUUAAUUUUAGUAUAACACAAUAAUAUGAACCAACCUUGAUUCUCAAAGGCACCCAACUAAUUCAUAGCCUUCAAAUCAAGACUUUGCAAUUCUUUAAAAGGCAGAAACAAAGAUGCGUUGAGAACCCACUCCCCUAACCCCCAAUCCCCAGCACCCCCAAGAGAGAGUUGGAUCACUCGCCUUUCGGUGGUAUCGCACACGAUCCUAGACCACUCACAACAAUUAUUGCCCAGGUAUUUCAACAGUUAUGGCUUGUGUGGGUUUUGGUUCACGAUGGAGAUGAUGGAUACAAUAAUGUAUUUCGACAACAAAACUUUCAAUGCUUGUGAAUGGCUCUCCAACUAAAGAGUUCUUUAUCGAAAAGGGAUUGCGACAAGGGGACUCUUUAUCAACAUCUCUUUUCAAUAUAGCAACUGAGGGUCUUAGUAGAAUGCUAAGAAGAGAUGUGGUUUGGGACUUAUAAAAGGUAUUUGUUUUGGUCACUUUCAAGUUUGUAGAUGAUACACUCAUCUUCAGUUCAUAUGAUUUUCCAUCUCUUCAAAACAUCAAAAUAACCAUGUGAUGUUUUGAGUUGAUUUCUAGGCUGAAGGUUAAUUUCCACAAGAGCUCAAUCACGAGAACUAUUGUUAUUUCUUCAACUGCUAGCAAUCUAAUAUGUAGUAUGGAGGGGAUGCCAUUUAAGUAUUUGGGCCUGCCUAUUUGUGCAUCUUCAUCUCAUGUGGAAAACUAUUGUUAAUAGAAUCAAUAGCAAGUUGGCACUUACCUAUUGGUGAGAGAGUGUGCUUGCUUAAAUCAAUUAUAAAUAAUCUUCCUAUCUACAACCUUUCUUUAUUUCCUAUCACAUCCAUUGUUGCUACCAAAAUUGAGAAACAUAUCAUAUCUUUCUUUGGUUCUUAGGAGGAAGGAGGGAAAAAACUAUGCAAUGUUAAAUGGGCAUCGGUGGUUCCUCCAAAAAAAAACAAAAAGGGCUGGGUAUAGACUACAUUAUUGAUAAAAAUCAUGGGUUACUAACACUUCCAUAGCAAAGAGAUAUGUAUUUUCCCUAUUAAUUUCUCAAGUUACCAUAAUGAGAGUGUGAUGUGACUCCAAUAAAUGUAGGAUAUGUUAAUUAGGUAUACAAUGUCUAUGUGAUAUGGACAUAAUCAUUUUUGGUAUGUCAAAUUCUUACUAUUUCACUCUUAAGAGUAGAAAGAUCUAGUUAGUUGGACUGCAUUCCGAUCUGCAAUCUUCCUAUAUAUCCCAAUUGUUGUAUUUGCUUUAGUGGCUAAGCAAGUUUUAGAGAAACCACUUGAAGAAGUAAGUGCGGUUUUGAAAGAGUUUCAAGAUGUUUGUAAUAGAUUUGAUCCCUAGUGUUAUAUUGACCUCUUGGUUUCAAGCAAGAAACACACUUCAAUAUCAUUAUGCGUAAUUGUAUUCCUAAUAGAGUUAUGAUGUAAGUUAUGAUGUAACGAAGACUCCCUUUUCUCAUUCUAGAAUCCGGUGAUUCCACCUCACGUUCAUCCUCCACCCGCUGAAGACUUAUACCAUUGAAAGAGAAAAGCUCCAGCUUUGGGUGUAAACUGGAUUGAUUGCAUCCCAUCUGAAUCACGUGGGCUUAAUUAAUGGAAGGAACGAACAAUUGUCGGUUUUAAAAGUUUGGUUUGUAACAAUCAUUGUAAUUUCAAAUCUCCAUACUCCUUCCAUUUAAGCAAGUAAUAAUAACAGAGAAUAUGUAUAAAUCUCAGUGUUGUUUUACAUUUUAUAUAAGAUAUUACAGUUUCAUUCAAAAAAUGAGAAAUAACAUUAAAAAUCCUCAAAUUCUACCACCUUCAAUUCUCAUUCAUCAACAACAGCAUACAUUCAAACAAGUGAUCAAUAGUGAUCAAGUGAUGAGGACUAGAGUAAGAUUCGCACCAUUGUAAGCUUGACAAGCUUCGCCUACUCUAACUGUAACGAAAGAUUCAGUGCCUAAUCUCUGGACGGAGAAGGGGACGCCCUUGUUAUGUACACGGUUGCUCUAAAUGGUUCGAUGAUGCUCAUUUUAAACAUAUCAUGUCAGGUUGUCAAUUUCGUUCUGGUUAGUGUAACGGACCCGACUGUACGACUUGAUCAAUGUUAAAAGAUCCCAAUAUAUUCUCUUAGCCUGAGGAUAAUUUUUUUUUUAAUCUAUCAAAAAUUCAGCAGAGUUUUGUUUGUAUUUAGGACAUCCCAAGUUAUCGACCACUAUCAAUUUACUCAAUCAACCCAUCAUCACAAGGUCCCAUAAAUCCGGACCUUAGAUUAAUCAUCAUAAUUCAACACCUUACCCAAUCCACACAAUAUAUAUCCUACGAGUAAGUUCAAUAUCAACAUAACCCACAUAUCAUAUUAUAAAAUUUAAAAGAAAAGGAAAUACUAACAUGCAAAGAAAGCAUUACAACAUAAUAAGUGUUCUUAACCAUAUCAAAAGGGUUAAUUACAAGAUAACUAAAAUACUACAUGCUAAGCUGAACUUUUAUAAAUACAUCAAGGUUUACACAAAAGUAUACUACAUAAACACGUUAUUUCUCUUUUGUUUAAGUUAAAUAUUUACAUAAGCUUGACAAAGUAGAGUCCUAAAUUAGUGAUCUCUCUGGAUAUUUGAUGGACCUGUUAUAUAAAUAAACAUGUCAUUAUGUUGAUAAAAGAAAUAUAUAUAAGCUCAUGUAAUGUAUCCGAAUGAAGUAUUAAUUUCUAUUGGAUCCAUAAGGAUUCUAACAGACAUCUUAUAUUUUGCUUGUAAAUCUUUUAAACCCAAUUUACACUCAUUUGCAUAUUCUUAAUUUGAAUACUCUUAUUUAUUUGCAUGAACCGGGUGACCUUGCAAAGUCUAUUCUUGUAAUCCAUUUCCCAGCAAUCAUAUCACGAAUACCAUUAGCCGAAGCAAAUCUUGUAAUUCAUCUCCCGGCAAUCAUAUCACGGAUGACAUUAGCCGAAGCUAAUCUUGAGAUUCAUCUCCCUGCACUCCUAUCACGGAUGCCAUUAGCCGAAGCUAAUCUUGCAAUCACGGAUGUCAUUAGCCGAAGCUAAUCUUGUAAUUCAUUUCUCAGCACUCCAAUCACGGAUGCCAUUAGCCGAAGUUAAUCUUGUAAUUCAUUUCCCGGCACUCCUAUCACGGAUGCCAUUAGUUGAAGCUAAUCUUAUAAAUACACUAGACUUUAUUUACAUUGAACACGAUAUUUAUUAUAAUUGCAUUCACUAGAGGAAUUUUAAAUUGUAUAAGUACAAAUAGGAGGGAAAAAUCACGCACCUGCUUCGCCUGUUUCGUGACCUCCUCUAACAGAAGAUCCAAUCCUGGUUGCUCCUCCUGAAUCACAAGGAAGUUUUUGGUUAUGAUUCCUUCAAGCUGAUAUUAUAGAGGCUCCAUAUUCAUUCAUUACUCAUAUGUUACUUUCUAUGCAUGUUCAUUUCCUUAUAAUAACAAACAUACAUAAAUCAAGUAUAUUUUCAAAGUUAGUAUCUCAAUGUGCAAGUGUUCGUAUGACUCAAUUCUUUUAUAUUCUUACAUAUAAUAUUCACGUGAAAGUCUACUAUUACUAUCUAACUUUGAACUGUUACUGUCCAACGGUUGCUGUCCAACAGUUGCUGUUUGAACAGUUGCUGUUUGAACUCUUAUCAGAUUUUUAACUAUAUCUAGAGUUCUAGAACUCCAUUUUAAGUGAGAUUGAUCUUGUUGGAAAGCUAAGACACGAGGCUACAAGUUCUCUAAAGGAAGGAGAACCCAGUUCUGCCUCCAGGAUAGUCAAAAUUGCUCAUCAACCCAUCAAUCCUACUGCUCUACAAAAUCAGUCACGACUCAGUCUUGGUUGGUAACCCAUAACUGGAGUUAUACAUCUCCAAAUUGAGCAAGAUUAAUUUCCUUGGUUAGCUAACAUCCAAAUCUACAAUUUCUAUAAAGGAAUCUGAUCCUAAUUCCCUCAUCCUCCUACCCGAAAUCUCACCAAAAGUUAGGAGACAAGUUUGUCCAGAUUCGUUUGCCCCUCCCCUUCACACAAUACUUUCAUAAACUACACACCACACACAUGAAUUAACUUAAUCUUAAUAAUAAGUACUUUUUCUCCAAUUCAUGUCUAAGAACCCUAACCUAUGAUUCAAUAUCAAGGCAUCAAUUCAUUAUCGAUUUGAAAUGAAUUUUUUUAAUAUCAUGUUUAGAACACCUUACCCAGUACAAAUUAAGAUUUUGAUCUCCAACCAGUUGAAGAUUUUCAACUCCCUCCUUUCUUUUCUUCUUGUUUAAUUUCUUGGUAAUCCCUUGCUCUCAAGUGUUUAUCCCAUCUAUAAACCCUUAAUCUUGGAUGGGUUCUCGAAAUUUUAGUGUUUCUCUCUUGAUUUCGCAAGAAUGGGUAUAAAACUCCUUAUUUUCUCUCAUUAUCGUUCCUGCAGAUUUUUGGUGAGGAGAGAGUAUUUAUACUCUAUAGUUUCCCUUAUUUGUAUUUAGGCCCCAUUUCCUUUAAAUUUCUGAAUUCUUGUCUUUUAUUUAACCAUACGCAUGAAUUUCUUGACUUUUAUUUCUCAUAUAGUUAGUUUUCAAUUUAAGCAACCUUUAUUUUUUUAUUUUUUUUCUGAGGUUUACAGUUAGUGUUUCAUUAUUUAAUUGAAAUGGUAUGUUUUGGUUUCGGAGCAUUUCGGCGUGCUAUUUCAGGAUUAUACUGUUCAUACUAUUCAUAUAUAUAUAUAUAUAUAUACAUACUCAAUAAACAUAAUUUUGAUUCAAAUUUAAAGAUAAACUAACUUGAAAUUAUGCAAUUAAAAUUUCAAACACAAGUAAAAAAAGUGAGAGUUGAACCAAUAUGACCCGAUCGACUAGAUAGGCCCAAAGACUACCUGAAUGACUGGUAAGAAUAGAGUUUGACUCAAAAAAAUUUAAGAUGACAUAGUUUUUUAAAAAAUAUUGAGAUGACAACAUAUUAGAUCGACCGGGUUCAACUCAGGUUAACCUUUUAAAUCCGUAAUCCAGGUCAUGAGACUAUAAUAACUCUAAAUAAAACAAAUCAAAACAAAUUAUAAAGCUCAAUUCUUAAUAAACCUAUUAUUUAAUAGUUAAAUUGAAAAAAAAUAAUCUAAAAAAAGGACACAAAAAAAAUGACAUUUCAAAACAAAAUUAUGAAAAUGUCACUAGCAGUCUCGCAAGGCCUUUCUAAACUCCAAUUGCUCUAUAAUUUUAACCUGAGAUAUAACAAUAUGUUAGGAAAAUCUUCAUAAGAUUUCAGUCUGAUCCACCAAUCGAAUUGAAAGAUAUGAUUGAUAUCGUAAAACUAGCUAAUAUUGUUUUAGAAAAAAAAAACAUUAUUUGGCCGGAAUGGAACCGGAACAUUCGAGCCAGAAUUUUGGCGGAAUUUAUGGAACGGGCUAAGACUCUGAGCAAGAUGAAAUUUGUUUCAGUUUGUUUUAUUUUUUAAAUUGGAAAGAGAUAUACCAGUCAUUUUGAAUGGAACAUAACAAAAUUGACAACCUUGUAUCAUGGUUGAUUAGAGUUUUUUUUUUUUUGUCUUUUUUUUCAAAAAUUUUUCCAACAUUGAGUUGAUUGGUAAUCGAGCUUCAUAAUUUAUAUGUUAACAUGCCAAAUUCAUGACCUGAGUCAUGAGACUAUAAUAACCUCAUAAAAGUAUAUUGAACAAAUUACAAAGCAUAAUUCUCAACCACCAGUGUUUAAAAAUGAAAUUGAAAAAAUAACAUAAAAAAUGACUCAAGUCAACUCAAGAACCUGCCAAAUCCGUGAUCCAGGUCACAAGACCUAGAUAACCUCAUAGAAAGCAAACUGAAAAAAUAAUUCGGGUCAACCUAGGUUACCCUGCCAAACACGCAACUCAGGUCAUAAAACUAGGAUAAUGCUAUAUAAAGCAAAUAGCAACAAAUUUUAAAGCAUAAAUCUCAAUCAACUUAUUUUAAAGCAUAAAUCCCAAUCAACUUAUUACAAUUCACUCGCAUUGUUCACUUUAGUGAACAGUGCUACAGUGGAGCCAUGCUCCACUGUUGAGGUUUCUCCCAGACGAGAAGCAAUAAAACGUUUAAGGAAAUAAAUGUUGCUUCUCCAAAACCUGCGGUGCCAUAUGGGUCCUACGUGCUGAAAGCACUUUUAUUUUCUUAACCAAACGUUUAUUAGCGUGGCUGCGGGUGAACCUCACCCGCAACCACGUUACCAAACGAGCACUUAGUCUCAAAGAAGAAACAAUUACUUGGUUCUAUAUCCUUAGCACGUCAAACAUGAGGGUAUGAACAGUAACCAUUGUGUCCACUAUAAAAUAUAAGGGGGUGAACAGUGCGGCUACAAAGUAUUCACCCCACACACUUUAUAUUAUAAGUAACUAGUUUUUGUAUUGGCACUCCGCGGCGGGGUGGUUAUUUUUUUAAGUAAAAAAAUAAUAAUAAGCAGGCUCUUACAAUGCACUUUUUAAUAUAAUUUUUUUUCAAUCACAAAUCAAAAUGCCUAUACAUAUAUUUAGUAAUUAGAUCGAUAUUUGAUAAAUAGGUAACUAAGAUUAAGAUAUUUGAUAUCACGACAUGAAUCAUGUGCUUAGUUGUGUUUAACAAUUAUGUUUCCUAGAGUUUUUUUUUAUGAACCAACCAUAUAUUCCGAUAAAAGGUAACAAAAAAUUCAUACCAAUAUUGAAUGAAGAAACUAAAAAAAAAAACCAAUAAAAAAAAGACUGUAUAAAUACACUAAUUUAUUGACCAUAUUGACAAAACAAGUCAAAACUGUAUAAAUACACUAAUUUAUUGACCAUAAGUAAAUGAUUGAGAUAAUAAUACGAAAAGAAAAACUUUUUACCGGACAAUGAUCAAUCCUGGUGAUGUCCAAAGUGUAAAUCAAACAUUUUAUAUCUUGCCAUGAGAAACAAAUAUAUCACAACUUGUUUUUAUUGUAUUCUAUUAUGACUUGUUUUGUGCCUUACAUUAUUUAAUAUAUUAAAAUAAAUUUAAUAAAUUAUACUGAAGCAAGAUCUAAUAUUAGAAAGUUAACGGAAAUAAUAAAUAUAUUUUUAAAUAUAUUUACAGUUCGGUCCCUUAAUUAACUUUUUGUUUGUAAAAUGUGGAGCUGUCAGCAAUAUUUCCUUAGUUUGUGUCGCUAACUGUGAUUAAAGGAUCAAUUAAUUAUUUAUUUAAAUCAACCAGAGGGAUUAAUCUGUUUGUUUAACAAAAAUACAGACACUAAUUAAAUAGAAUUUAACUCAAAUUUUAAUAAUCAAUAUUUUUAGAUGGAAUCUUGGUAGAAAAUUUAAUCAUCAUAUCCUGGGUAUUUUGGAAACAAAAUUGGAAACUUUGAAUGAUUUCACUAUUACUGCUAUAUGGGGUCGUCAUCCUAGGGCUUGGUAUGCAGUUCCCUCAUUAGGCCUUUCGGGGGGAUAUUAUGUAUAUGGAAUCCGAAUCUUUUUUGUGUCUCUAGCUGUUCUGUUGCUAUGAAUGGCUGUAUUUUGCAUAUUGAAGGCACCUUCACUCGGUCCAAUCUAGAUUGCCUAGUCUCUUUUGUAUAUGCUCCGAAUGUUGGGAACCUGAAGAAUGAGCUGUGGACUUAUCUUGUUACAUUCAGGGAUAGUGUUAGCAUGUCGUGGUGUCUUGCAGGUGAUUUUAAUGAAACCUUAUUCCCAUCAGAUAGGAAAGGCGGCUCACAAAUAACAUCUUCCAUGACAAGAUUUCAAAAUUGCAUUGAUGGUUGUAAUCUUAUGGAGCUCCCCUUAAAUGGGAGAAAAUUUACAUGGUCUCGAGGUAAUGCGGCGAGCCGUAUUGAUAGAAUAUUUUUAUUGGGGGAUUGGUUGCAGGCUUUCCCGUCCUCUACUUUAUUCGGUCUCUCAAAAUAUUCAUCUGAUCAUAGGCCUCUGCAUCUGUUGCUAGACUCUACAAAUUGGGGCCCGAAACCUUUUCGCUUCAUGAAUUGCUGGUGGCUUGCGUCUGAUUUCAGGAUUAUGAUUCAGAGCUUUUGGAGAUCACUCACGGUUUCAAAAUCUGGCAUAAGGAAAAUGGUCCCAGCUCUAAAGAUGUUGAAAGAGAGAUGUCGGCAGUGGAGUAAAGCUACUGUGGGAAACAUGAAUAACAGAAUUGAAGAACUGGAACUUGAAGCUGACUCAAUGGAUCAUCAAAAUGAGUGCAGGGUUUUGACUGCUGAUGAACUGAUUAGAAGUAAUUCCAUUGCCUCCCGGCUCAAAAUCCUGUAUAGAGCUCAAGAGUCUGCCUAGCAUUAGAAGUCAAGAAUUCAGUGGUGUAAGCUUGGAGAUAAAAAUACCCGAUUCUUUCAUUUAGCUGCAACAACAAGACAGAAAAAGAAUCAGCUUGCAUGCCUAGAGGUUGAUGGACAGAUCCUAUCUAAACCAAGCGAUGUGAAUCUAGCUGUCUUUCACUUUUUCCGCAACCUAUACUCCCAUCAGAACAGACCUAGAGCUUCAUGUUCAAACCUGGAAUUCUCAAGGCUGAAGCAUUCAUCCUCGGCUGCUCUUGAAUUGCCAUUUUCUGCAGAAGAGAUUACAGCAGCUGUGUGGGAUUGUGAUGGAAAUAAAGCUCCAGGUCCUGAUGGUAUUAACUUCCUUUUCAUCAAGAAAGCAUGGAACAUUAUAGGUGAGGACAUUAUCCAGAUGGUUGAUGAAUUCUAUCGGACUAAUCUCCUUCCUGCAGGUAUCAAUAGCACCUUUGUUACUCUUAUUCCGAAGAUUAAAGGUGCUAACAAGCUAUCAGAUUUCAGACCUAUUAGUUUGGUGGGCAGCCUAUACAAGAUCUUCUCAAAGAUUCUAGCAACUAGGUUGAAACAUGUUAUGCCAGAGGUCAUCUCUCAUCAUCAAAAUGCUUUCAUCAAAGGGAGGCAAAUUUUAGACAGCGUCUUGAUUGCAAAUGAGGUUCUUUCUUUCAUCAAGAAGAAAAAGGGUAAAGCUUAUCUUUUCAAAUUAGAUUUUCAUAAAGCCUUUGAUUCGGUGUUAUGGGAAUAUAUUAAUGAAAUCAUGGCUAGUAUGGGCUUUGACCUGGUUUAUGCAAUGCAUAUCAACGGCAAAAAUGUCUGUGCUUGUUAAUGGGUCUCCCACGGAGGAAUUCUGCUUAGCAAAAGGCCUACGCCAAGGAGACCCUCUCUCUCCGUUUCUCUUCAACAUUGCAGUCCAGGGCUUGAGUUGUAUGUUGCAGCGUGGCUGUGAUUUGGGUUUGACUUCGGGUAUAAACAUCGGCAAUACAGGGCUUGUCAUAUCUCACUUACAGUUUGCGGACGACACCCUUAUGUUCAGUUCAGACUCUUUACAUAGCAUGCAGAACAUUAAACGUAUCCUAUUAUGCUUUGAACUUGUCUCGGGGCUGAAGGUCAAUUUUUAUAAAAGCAGCAUUGUGGGUGUGGGUGUAGCAGCUCAUACAUGUAACUUCACGGCUCAGCUUCUCAGAUGCAAGCAGGAUCAGCUGCCUCUCAUGUAUCUUGGGCUCCCCAUUGGUGGAAACUUGGGCAGAGCUACAAUGUGGAAUCCUAUUUUGCGCAAUAUCAGUUGCCGAUUGGCUUCGUGGAAAGGCAGGUUCUUAUAUAUUGGGGGCUGUUUGUGCUUGAUUAAAUCUGUGCUCAGUAAUCUCCCCAUCUACUACCUAUCUAUGUUCCCCAUGCCUGUUACGGUAGCCUCCAAAAUUGAUCAGAAACUUCGAUCCUUCCUCUGGUCAGGAAAUGAGGAAAGGCACAAAAUAUGCAAUGUCAGCUGGGCCACUGUUACUCUUCCAAAACAUGCGGGGGGUCUUGGGAUUGGUUCCUUAAGGGACAAAAACACAGCUCUGCUAUUUAAAUGGUUAUGGAGGUUUGGGUUAGAGGAAUCAAGUAUGUGGAAGGAUGUGAUCAAAAGCAUCCACAACACCAAUUGCUCUAAACUGCUGCUGCAAGCUCCUAUUCCAGGAGCUGCAACUACAUGGUCCCGGAUUGUUAAUCAUUGUGUGAGAAAUAAUAAGCUGCAGGAUAUUGUGAAUGAGCAAUCUCUGGUUCUUAUCGGAAAUGGCAAGAAGACUAUGUUUUGGCUUGAUUGCUGGCUUAAUAACCACUGUUUAGCAGAGCACUUCCCUACUCUUUUCCAAUUAUCCAAUGACAAAGCUGCCAGCAUUGCUAAGAUGGGAAUAUGGGAAGGGUAUAAGUGGAUUUGGGUUUUUUCCUGGAUACGUCCACUACGGGGGCGAAACAUUGGCUUGCUCGAUCAACUAUAUGCAAUCCUAUCGACAGUAUUGGUAAGCCAUGGCCAUCUUCUUGGUAUGUUCUCUGUUCCAGUUGGUAUUUUAGACUCUAAUAUUGCUGAGUUAAGGGCUAUUGUCAAAGCCAUUGAACUAUCAGCAUCUAAUUGUCUCCUCCACCAUCAACACCUCAUCAUAGAAUCUGACUCUGUCAAUGUUAUUAGCUAGAUGAAUAAGCCUCACAGCCGUCCCUGGAAGCAUCAUAAUUUGUUCUCCUUUGUUAAUAGACUGAAACCAUAUUUUGGUUCAAUCACCUUCUCCCAUAUCUUUCAUGAAAGUAAUUGCAUGACAGAUUGCAUGGCUAAACAAGGAGUGCGGAGAUCAAGUGAAUUUGUUGCCUGGCUUUGACUCCACCAUUUUUCUGUGGCCUUGCUCUUGUGUCUUCUGCCAUUAUGUCUUUGAGUUAUUUCUGUUAUGUUUUGUAGAGGAAUGUUUAGCUUUGAGCUCAUUCGGAUGGAUAUUCUAUGGUUUUCUUUGCUUUUGUUUAUCUUAGUCUGCGCUUUAUCCUAUAUAUGGCUUUUUGCCAUAGUAAGAUAAUGUGUAGCUUCUGUACUACUCCCGCCAGACUUUGGCGUUUAAUAAUAUACGCAUCUUUCAAAAAAAAUCCAUGUGAAUCGCACGACUUGUCCAUAUCUUUCUUAUUGAUUACAAAUAGCAUUGAGAAUUAAAGAAUAUUAUCUUAAUAAGUUCCAAUUUAUUCUACAAAAACUAUAUAUAAAGAUGUAUACAAAUUAGUUAUUUAUUGUUUGUAAGUAUUAUUGUAUUGCAAAGACAAAAAUAAGAUGCAACUUAUGGCGUGGUCGUCCAACCUGGUUCAGGUUUUGAUCCUGUUAAAAAUCUAUUUUGUUGAAUUGUUAUCUACUUGUGAGUUAUUGGGUUAACUAGAUCAAUUUUUUAAACAAAACAAUAUCAUUUAAAAAAAAAAAAUUGGUUCUGACUUAGAAAUAUAAUAUUAGAAACUUAAAUCUUAUUAUUAUAAAAGACUCAAUGGUAAAUUUAGUUUUGAAAUAGAUUUUUGUAAAAUCAAAUAUCAACUAAGCACCUGGAAAUUUAUUUGAAAUUACAAUAACCUUGUAGAAAACAAACAUAAAUAGAAUUAUUAAAUUCAAUGGAGUCCAUGACCUGAAUUACGGGUUCAACGGGUUAAGCCACGAAGCUCUGAUCGAUUUAAAAUAUUGUCGUCUUAAUAUAAAAAAAAAAUACAUCUUAAAAAAAAUAAAUUAAGCUAGACUACGUUUUUACCUAUUAUCUGGGUUGUUUUUAGGUUCAUCAUUUCGACUGAGUUAUAUUAGGACAACUACUACAUAAUUUAAUUUAAAAUUAAAGCUAAACAAGAAAUUAGGUAAAGAGAUUUUAAGAUUGAUUUGUUGGAUUGGAUUUAAUAACAAUACAAAAAAUCUAAAUAUUUCUUUUUUAUUAAAAAAAAAUUCAAUCCAACUCUCAUCGUAACGCAGUAUAGUAAGAUAAAUAGAUAUAAAUAUUUUGAUGGAUACUCGGGAUAAAAGAUUGUUUGAGGACAUUUUGCUAAUUUCUUUUGUUAUCUAAUCAAUCAAGCUCAUAGUGAAUAAGUAUAUUAAUAUAUACAAUUAAAUUAAAUAACAUAUAAGAGAAAAAUGGUCGCAAGCUAAAGCUAAAGUGAUGCGACGUUGAGCCACUAGUCGAUAGUUGUAACGUCAGUUUGUUGGUUCGUCGUUCGUUUCUCGGGCGAGUUUGGUUGUGCUAAACACAAUGAACCAAUAGAGUGCUUUGCUUUCUUACUUGGAGAUUCUGGAGCCUUGGAUUUUUUGAUAUUUAGGUUAUCUGUUUCUAGAAAAGAAAGAAAGAAAUAUUUAUAUUAUCAAUGCAAUGCAAUGAAACGACUAAAUAACAUUUAAUUAUUAUCAUAGCUUUGUCCUCGUACCUAAGGAAGUAUACUACGUCUUUUUCUCCAUUGUUUGAGUUUGAAAUUAUAUCUGUGAACCCAUUAAUUUAUCUAGAAAAAACAUUUAUUGGGUAAUUGGAUCAAUCAUUGAGGUCGUCAUAUCAUAUAUAAACCAAUUAUUUUAAUUAAAACAAUAUCAUUUUAUUUAAAAUUAAAUUUAUAAUACUAACUGAAUCCCUAAAAACACAAUUAGACCAAUCAAGUUUUAGCAAGUUAAUUUUUUUUUUUAAUUUUUUCAUAUUUAACUUGAAAUUCAAUCCAAAUUAAAUUAUAAAUUAUGGGUUUCUUAAAUUAACACAUGUUGGGUCAGGUCUACCAAUUAUGAUUGGAAUCCAGGGUUAAUAUCUAGAAGAAUUUAUUAAAUUUCUGUAUAAUUAGUCAAUCGAUGAGGGAAUUUAGUUUUGAUUGAUGGAGAAAUUAAUUUAAAGAUACCAUGCAAGAUAUAUAUAUAUAUAUAAACAUUUAAAGGGAAACGGACCCACCAUCAAUUAUUGUUAUUCGUUUAAUUAUAAAUAGAAUGAAGAGAAUGAUGCUCGCUGCACUUUUAUCAGCGACUGAUAAACCCCAGAAGGAGAACACUCUACAGAAUUAUUCCAUACUUUUUCGUAAAUUAUAAAUUAAAAAGAAAUUGGUUAUAACAUGGUUAACGAACACAGCACAAAAAUAAACAGGUGUAUUUCUUACAUAAAUUCUUAUUGUUUUGUUUUUCCAUUGGUUUCAUGAAAUUCUCUCAACAAUUGAACAAAAAACACUACAUCAUAGCUCACAAACAUACAUUUUAUAAGUCAAUUAAACCUCUUGUUUUUCUUAUGUGUCUUUUUAUUGUAAUCUCUGCAAGGUGACACCUGACAGAGCAAUCUGUUGAUAGGUCCAAUUCUGCUUUAUGUUGUGUUUCUUGCUGAGCAAAUAAAGGUCAUGGGUUUUCUUUCUUUCUUUUUCCCUUAUAAAAAUGGUCAUGCGGCCACAGACAGUUGCGAAAAAAAAGAAGCACUUAAUUAUCACUUAUUUGGUAAGUAGCGUACUUAUCAGAUGACCCUCAACCAUCAGUACCCAUUAUAAAUUAAUGUCGACAAGAGUAAAAUUAGGAGUUACCGUGACUUUCCAACAUCUAUCAUUAUAAAUUAAGUAUCAACAACGAUUAAGACUAAUUGUUUUACCAAGAUUCUCAACCAUUGUAAAAAUAGAUUUGAAAAAAAAAUCAUAGCAAAAAUUCAAAAAAAUAAAAAUUGCAUUGCUUUCCAUAUAUAUUUUAGUUUUUCUUAUAAUAAUAAUAAUAAUUAUAGUCUCUCGUGUCUCACAACUGUAUGUGUUUUUUCUUGAAUAAGCGCUAAUGUUCUUUGAGGGGUCCAAGCACCAUAUACUGAAAGAAAGAACUAGUUCAAAUUGAAGCACCAUGAGUUUCUCUACGGCUUGGUUCACCACCUGCUGGUGCGGCAAGUUAUGAACUAGCUGGCUAGUUUUUUGCUUCCUUGGUUUUAGAAGCACCAUGUGUUCAAAGAAUAGUCAACAAAGAAAAAGAAAAAGAAAAAGAGAAGGGCAAAAGGUUAAUUAAAAUCAGCAGGACUGCCAUGAGGCAACCUCAAGUAGUGAACUUGAAGGAAUAAAAAGUGCUGGGAAGUAAUUUUUGCUGAAACUUCUUGUGUAACAUCUUCUUUUGAUGAUGACCUCUUGGAUGGCUGCAUGAAGCUUGUUCCGUUUUAAAUUUCAAGGUUAAUCUAUUUCUAUGAGCAUUGGUGUUUCAAUUUCAACCUUAAGUUGCAACUGAACUUAAAUGAAUAGUGUUGGAUUUGGGCCUUCUAUUUGCUUUAACUUCUACAGGAUUGAAAUGAUAGUGAUCUUAAAGUACAAAAGCAGCAGACAAAAAUCAAUUAGCCACAAUAUAUAGUGUAUGGUUUCCUAGUUUCUCAGUAUAAAGUUGAAUGUUUUGGUGAUAUCUCUACAUCCAAAAUCAUAUAGACAGCUACUGCUGGCACUUGCAGUGGUCAAUGAAUACUAUAGAGUACAUAUUGCAGUUUGAGAUAAGGUUAACUCGUUGCAUUUUCAUAUAUUGAAAGGAUUUCUCUUCUUUUCUUUGUCAGUUACAGAACAUGCAUAGAAGUGUUCUUAUUCAGAGUAAAUGCUAUUGUAAUGUUUUCACGGACUCCCUUGCUUUGCAACUAAGUCACUAAUUAUCUUGGAACAUAGCCAUAAAUAAAAGGUUCUUCCAGUUCAAGAAAAUUAACCAUGAAGCUAGUAGCUAGAAUUUUUAGACAGAAUGGUGGCCAAGUAAACUCCUAUACUCUGUACCUCUGGAAUAAUGCAGGGAAAGGAUGUCUAUGUAUUUUGAUGUCUUAUAUUACUUGACCAACUCUUGCUUAUCUCAUUAUUUGUUUUUACUUUUUGCUAAUGAUUCCACACAUUUUUGAUAUUGGUGUGGUUUAUGACUUCAGGGUUCUUACUCGCUACUGCAACUUCUCUAUACUUGCUUGGUCAUUAAAUAUGAAACGUGAUGAUUUGCAUAUGCAGAAUGGAGACAUUAAAGAGGCAUCUUCUGUUUUCUAGUUAGGAGGGAUUACCAGAACUCAAGAAAUUUGUCGUACAUUUUGAGGAAAAGAUUUAUACCACCGCUACCAAUCAGGUAUUUGCCUAAUGCGAGGUUCAAUAAUUACGAUAUUAUCUAGACAUGAAUAUACACACGCAUUUAUGCUUGUACAAAUGUGUGUGUAGUGUGCCUACAUUUCCACACCUUUCAUUCUGUAUGCAAGGCUGAUUAAGAGUUCGCAUCUUUUUGUUAAUUCUCUUGACAAGUGUUUUAUUUAGAGUGACCAAGUUCAAGUACAUGGGAAGUGUGCAAAAAGCAAAUAGCGAAUCAAUACAUAAAUAAGUAAAUAAAAAGAGAGGAAACAGAAGUCUAUCCUCACAAAAGAUGAAAUGAUAGAGCAUAUAUCCAUUUUCCUCCUCUUGUAACAUGGAUUGCUCUGAGAUCUAAUGUUUUGUUAUUAAUAUCUUAUUUUAGUCUGAUUAUCUGCAUAAAAUAUCUCUGGUGAUGCUUUUGAUGAAGAUCAGGUCUCAAAAUGCCAUGCCCACUGCCCCCAUGGAUCCAGCAGGUAAUAAUGCAUUCGAGCAUCGAAUUUCUAAACAUCUUACCUUUUGUUUUUCUUCUCGCAUUGUUAUCAAACUUUUUUACAUUUUAUUGUUCCAUAUUGCUAUGUAUAUCGCCUUGCUGGCAAAAUGUCAUGAUCACCUCCACAAUACUAAUUCUGUAAUGCGUGUGAAGUGUUUCAUCCUUAACUUGUUAAUGAACGAGGACUAUGAUGCAUGGCUAUUUUAUAUUUUAUGAUUGAGAUGGUAGAUUUUAAAGAUUUUCCUUUUUAGGAGAUAAGACGUCACUUUCUUGCUUUUCUUCCGAGAGUAUUCGAUCCUUUUUUCGUACAAAAUAAUGAUGCCAUGCAUUGAAUUCCCAAACAUAUUACCUUAUGUUUUGUUUGGUCGCAUUGUUAUCAAACUCUUUUACAUUUUAUUGCGGCAUAUUGCUAUGUGUAUGGCAUGCUUUAAUCAAAAAUUUGAUUAAUUGAUGAAUGUUAGGCAAGAAAAUUACAGAAUAUUUUUGUUUUUUGCCUCCUCCUUUUCUUUCCCCCACUCCGAAAAUUGUCAUAUUAUUUUUGUUUUCAACCGCCUCUUCUUCCCCCAACCCUGAAAAUUGUUUAUAUUUGCUUUGGAAGCAUGGCAAACUUCACUGCCUCUCAGCUUAAGGAGAUUGCAGCAGGUCUCGAAGCUUCUGGGCAUCAAUUUAUCCGGGUAGUUAGAAGAAACAAAAAGAGUCAAGAAGACAAGGAAGAUUGUUUACCCGAAGGAUUUGAGGAAAGAAUGGAAGGCAAAAGGAUGGAUACUCCAAGUUUUGAUUCUUGAUUAUAAAGCAAUAGGUGCAUUUGUGACUCAUUGAGGAUGGAACUCAACUCUUGAAGGCAUAAGGCCAAUAUUUGCUGAGCAAUUCUAUAAUGAAAAGUUGGUGACUGAUGUUUUAAAAGUUGGUGCUGUCGUUGAAUAUAUUAUAGCUGUCAAGGUUCUUGAGUUUUCCCAAAUGUGAUGAUAUGAUCUCAAAACCUGCAAGAGAGUUGUUUGUAAGAGUAAGUCAUGAUGAGCUCACGAUAUGCAAAACAGAUAGAAACAAAAGAUAAUUAGAAUUGAUGAGAUGCUGUUGUUCAAUUGAUGUAUGAUUCUCAAAUUAUACAUACAUAUAUAUAUAUAUAUAUAUAUAUAUAUAUAUAUAUAUAUAUAUAUAUAUAUAUAUAUAUAAUUGAUAUUUAUAAAAGCAUUAACUGUAGCUGAUAUAGUUUUAGAGGAAUAUUUGGUACUUUGUUUCCCAAAAAAAAAAAUAGAUUUUUCUGCGAAGUAGGAAAAAAAAAAAAAAAAACUGUUCAAAACUUAUUCAAGAAAUUAUACAGUUAGCGAGUCACAGAUGAUGAAUCUUAAAAAAAAUUGGCAAUAAUAACAGUACUCUAUUACUAUUAAUUAACUUAAAUAUUCAAAACUUAAAAAUAUUUUUUAAAUUUAUCCAUGCCAAUUUAUCUUAAGAGAGUCGCAAUCUGUGACUAGUUAAAUUAUAUUAUUUCUUUAAAUAAAUUUUGCAUUGUGUUAUUUUUUGUUCUAGGUGCUAUUUUGCAAAAAAAGAAAAGAAAAGAAAGAUUAACGUUUCAGUUAUUCAUUGUUCUUGGAUUUGUAGGUAUAACAACUGAAGAUAGCAAUCAAAAGCGAUGGUGACAUGGUAGAGCUUUGAGUUAUUGCUGUGUUCUAAUGAUGAAGAUGUAGGAAAACGAUCUCCCUUCUGCUGUCUGGAGCUGGGCUUCCUCUCCCUGUAAGAACAAGCAACAUCUUAUCUGCGUUGUUGUUAGUGGCCACUUCAUCGACCCAUUAGUGGGUGGAUUUUAAGCUUAAAAAGGAUUUUUUUUAAAAAAAAAAUAAAGGAAGAAAGAAAGGAGAGGGGGGGCAUCAUCACGUGAAAAGCAAGGAGGUUGCCACCCAUUAUAGAGUGUGGGGCACUCUUGCAUCUAAGAAUAUAUGAUCCUGAGGUUGUUCUGGUGAUGGGUAUUGGCCAUUACAUAAAGCUUCGACAAGCCCUUUUAGCUGCCUGUUAUUAGAAUUUGUAUAAUGAGCAUUCAAACUUAAACUUCUUUAAAUGGGAUGAAAACGAGUGAAAAUCAAGAAGUUGGAGGUGUUCAUCUCUAAUGCAUAGCUGAAGAUCCUUUGUAAGAAAAUACAGCUAAAGACAAAGUGUGUGUGUGUAACAGAGAAAUUGUCGAUAAUAGCAAUCAUGUUCUUUGUCUCUUGUGUCAUAUCUUCCAAAAAUCUUAAAGUAAUUGAUGAAAAAGUGGAUAUACCACUUUGUCUUCUUUAUAGCACUACUGGCCAAUAUGAGUUAAAAGCAUUAAAAGGUCGUGAACGCGGAUGCUUGACGAGCGAGUGUUUACUUGUUAAUUUUUUUAGAAGGAAUCUGGAAAAGAAUAAAGUCAUCUAUUUCACUUUGGGACAACAUUCCUCACCUCUCCCCGCCCGAGCUCUCUCCCUCCCUCCCUCCCUCCCUCGCUCGCUCCCUCUUCCGCCUCUCGGAAACCGCCGCAUCCAUUAAGGCUUCAGAUUUCUGCCAGGUGCUUCCUUUUCUAUCAUGCUUUUGUUUUUAAAAUUUAUGGGUGUUUUCAUUUAUUUUAUUGUAAUUAUUAUUCAGAGACAGAAAUCCAUUUUAAUAAGUAAAUUAAAAAAAAACAAAUAAUCGAUCCGAUGAAAUCUCUGCUAGUGAACGCAAUUCGAUUUUAAUAAGUAAAUUAAAAAAGUAUAUAAUCGGAUCCGAUGAAAUCGCUGCUCGUGAACGCAAUUCAAAGAAACGCACAAUCAGCCGAUUCUAAUAUUUUCUUUUGCAACCCCACCCUAAUUUACAUGAUAUUAUUCGAUUUUUCUCACAGUUAUUGUUGUAAUAAUCAAGCCCUGAAUUCUUGAACCCAAAUUUAUCUUAUUUUAUUUUAUUUUUUAGUUUUAUUUUUAAGUGGAGAAUAGAAAUCAAUUCAAAUCUUUUAGGCUCGAUCGAUAAUUUGUUAAUUAGUUUAUGCAGCAGCUGGAGUGGAAGGGAUAUUACUGCCGGAAUGGCCGAAAAAUGAGCUGUUUGGUUGAUUCUUCUUUUUUGGAAUUUACUGAAUUCUUCAAAAUUAUUGUGUUUUUAACAACAAUACGAUAUCCUUGGGUUUCAUGCUCGCUCACAAAUGGAAAAAAGAAAGAAAGAAAAGAACUUUAAAUUUUAUAAUUUGGUCAUGUUAAUGCUCGUCGUUUUCUUCUUCAUUUUCCUAGCUUAAAACAUCCUAGACAAUCUCUUUGGGAUGGGUUAUUGUUUUUGGCCUCUUCAUCUUCUAUUUGUGCUGUGGUAUUUAGUCUGCUGAUAUUCUUUGGGGAUUAAAAUGCCUCGUUUUAUGACUUUGUUUUGUUUUCUUCUUCUUUCUUUAUUCUUUUGGGGAUGUGGUAUUCUCCUCUUUCUAUUUACACUCUUUGCUCCCUACAACAUUUAUUCUUUCAGAAAAGUAAAUACAUACAUAAAUAACAACAGGAGAGGAGGGGGAGGGGGAGGGGGUUUGACGGUAUGUAUUUGGAUGCAUGAUAUCUAAAUUGGUAAGCACCUGAAAAAGGUCCUGAAUCUAAAUUGGUAAGAUGUGAUAUACUGAUAUCUAGAGAGAUAACUUAAUCUAUCUAUUGAAGUAAAGCAUUUAAAUGCGUAUACAAUGUUUUUGGAUCAUUAAAUAUCUAUUUGAUCAGAAUCUGUGAACCUAAAGCCACAAUGAAUACAAAUGCAAGUUUGUCAUUGUAAACAUUGCAUCGAUGAUGCAUCACAGGUGUUGCUAGAAAACAUCAAGUUAAAAUUGAAGCACCAUGAGUUUCUCUAUGGCUUGGUUUACCAACACUCACCAUCAGUUGGUGCGGCAAGUUAUGAACUAGCUGGCUAGUUUUUCGCUUCCUUGGUUUUAGAAGCACCAUGAAGAUUCAGGCCCAAAUCUUGCUUACAAUACUCAAAUACCCAAGAUCCUAGCACCUUGCCCUGAAUGGUCGUGUAUAUUUGUUAUGGCUGUUCAGAUUUUAUGCAUCCAUGUUUGGUAGAAUUCUUUAAUAAAGUACAUGCUAUUAGAUGGAAGUUCUCUUUAAAUCUAUUCAAGUCUGAAUAAACUGAUAUUCCAAUUUUCAUGACUUUGAUUAGGCGGAGAACUUGUGAUGGACACAGGUGAUUGGAGAACUCAAUUGCAGCCUGGCUCACGGCAAAGAAUAGUCAACAGAAUGUAAGUAUCUGUUUGCUAAUAUGUACAAGUGCUGCAAAAUAGUAAAUCUUGUAUUUAAAUGAAAGAAAAAGAGAAGGGCAAAAGGUUAAUUAAAAUCAGCAGGACUGCCAUGAGGCAACCUCAAGUAUCAUACACUGCUGUUUUUGUCUUUUUCAUUUUUCACGUGUUUCUCACAAGAAGUGAACUUGAGGGAAUAAAAAGUGCUGGGAAGGAAUUUUGGUGGAACUUCUUGUGUAACAUCUUCUUUCAAUGAUGACCUCUUGGAUGGCUGCAUGAAGCUUGUUCCGCUUUAAAUUUCAAGGUUAAUCUAUUGCUAUGAACAUUGGUGUUUCAAUUUCAACCUUGAGUUGCAACUGAACUUAAAUGAAUAGUGUUGGAUUUGGGCCUUCCAUUUGUUUUAACUUCUACAUGGUUGAAAUGAUAGUGAUCUUAAAAUAGAAAAGCAGUUGAAUGUUGAAUGGUGUAUGGUUUCCUAGUUUCUCAGCAUAAAGUUGAAUGUUUUGGUGAUAUCUCUACAUCCAAAAUCAUAUAGACAGCUACUGUUGGCACUUGCAGUAGCCAAUGAGCACUGUAGAGUAUAUAUUCCAGUGUGAGAUAAGGUUAACUCAUUGCAUUUUCAUAAAUUAAAGGGAUUUCUCUUCUUUUCUUUGUCAAUUACGGUGCAUGUAUAAAAGUUUUCUUACUUAGAGUAAAUGCUAUUGUAAUGUUUUCACAGAAUUCCCCUGGUUUGCAACUAAUUCACUUAUAUAUCUUGGAGCAUAGCCAUAGCCAUAGCCGUAAAUGGAAGGUUCUUCUGGUUCAAGAAAAUUAACCAUGAAGCUCGUAAUUAAAAUUUUAGACAGAAGGGUGGCCAAAUGAACUCCUAUACCCUGUACCUCUGGAAUAAUACGGGGAAAGGAAGUAAAAAUAGAUGUCUGUAUUCUGAUGCCAUAUAUUACUUGACCGACACUCGGCUAUAUCAUUAGUUGUUUUUAUUUUUUGCUAAUGAUUCCAUUGAAUACAUUUCUGAUAUUGGUGUGGUGUGUGAGUUCAUGGUUAUUUCUCACUGCUGCUAACUUCUCUAUACCUACCUUGUCAUUAAAAAUUAAACGUAAUGUUUUACAUGUGCAGAAUGGAGAUAUUAAAGAGGCAUCUUCCGUUUUCUGGUCAAGAGGGAUUACAAGAACUCAAGAAAAUUGCUGUACGGUUUGAGGAAAAGGUUUAUACUGCCGCCACCAGUCAGGUAUUCGGCUAAUGCUAGGUUCAAUAAUUUCGAUAUUCUCUAGACAUGAAUAUAAACAUGCAUAAGUUUGUGGAUUUAUGCAUGUACACGUGUGUGUAGUGUGUCCACACUCUCACUGGUCAUUCCGUAGAAGUUCUCAUCUGUUCAUUAAUUCUCUUGACAAGUGUUUUAUUUAGAGUGACCAAGGUUCUUUUCAAGUACAAGGGAAGUGUGCAAAAUGCAAAUAACGAAUCAAUACAUAAAUAAUUAAAUAAAAAGAUAGGAUACAGAAGUAUAUCCUAUAUCCUCACAGAAGACGCAAAUAUAGAAAGCCUAGCAUAUUAGAAAGAGCAUUUAUCCCUUUCCCCCCUUCUCUUGUAACAUGGACUGCUCAGAGAUCUAAUGUUUCCUUAUUGAUAUCUGAUUUCAGUCUGAUUAUCUGCGUAAAAUAUCUCUGAAGAUGCCUCAGAAUACCAUACCCACUGGCAAUGGUAACAAACCCCUGUAUCCAGGGGGGAAGUGUGCAAAAUCCAAGCUUUGAAUUUCUAAACAUCCUUACCUUUUGUUUUAUAUUUCGCAUUGUUAUCAGACCCUUUUACAUUUUAUUGCUGCAUUUUGCUAUGUAUAUACUAAUCCCUGUACUUUUACAUUAUGUUAAUAAACUGGUCCCUUCAUUAGUUUUUUGUUAGUCAAAUGUAGAGUUGUUAGCAAUAUUUCCUCAAUUUGUUCCACUAACUUGACGUUAAAAUGUGACCAAAGAAUCAAUUAAUUAUUUAAAAAACUUGAGGGAUUAAUUUGUUUGUUUCACAAAAAAAUACAGUGGUUAAAUAAAAUUUUACUCAAAUUUUUAUCAUCAUAUUCGUGAGUGUUUACUUGUAAAUAUUUUGGAAUGAACACAGUGGUUAAGUUUAUGUUUUGCGCAGCAUAAAAAAAAUCAUCUAGGCUUAAAUAAUUAUUUGGCAUCAUAAUUAAAACUCUAAUCCAAAUUUCUCUCAUCUGGCUUCUUAUCUAUAUCAAGUUUAAAAUUAACCAAUGUGAAAGUUGCUCUAACAUGAUAUAAUUAAUGUGAUGGGUUCCAAGUCAAUUCAUAUGACCAGUAAAAAAACAUAAUUUAGCUUUAAAAAAAAAAUUCAAGAUGAUACUUGUUUUGAACAUUGAUACGACAUCUUGGAUCGACUCUAGUUUUGUGACGUAACUCUUUAAACCCAUGACUUGAAUAAUGGAUUCUAUCUGGUUUAAUUUUUUAUAAAAAAAAUUAUUUUUUACUUAAUAAUAUGAUAAUAAAAAUAAAAACUCGUAAAAUUGAGCACUAAUCAAAUAUUAAGAUAUUUAUUUGAGACUGCAAUAACAUCAUUGAAAGCAAAUUGAAACAAAAUCAAUUCAAAAUCAAAUAAAUGUUAAACAAAUAUUAAAAGAUGAAACCAGACAAAAGCCAAAAAGGAUUUAAUUGAAAGAAAGAAAAUAUUGGAAUGUAGAGUUUAAAAACUAAGGAAUAAUAUUUAUUAAACUUGAUCCUAAUCUAUCGACUUGACUUCUUACCUAACAUAUAUUUAAAAUUAAUUUGUAAGGGAGUUGUCUGUACAUUACCUAGUUGACUUGACAUGUGCAAAUUAAAGCAACCUGAAUGACCAAUAAAAACAUGGUUUGGAUUUUAAGAAAAAAAAUCAAGAUAUCUUUUUUUUUUAAUAUUGAGACGAAAAUAUAUUAGAUCAACUCAAGCUCCGUGGCUAAACUCGUCAAAUACGCAACCCAGAUCAUGAACUCCACUAGAUUUAAAAACUAUUUUUUUAUAUAAUGAUACAAUAACUAAUAUAAACACUUAUAAAAUUGAGAACUAAACAAAUUUAGUGACGUUUAUUUGAUAUUGUGAUAACUACAUAUAAAGAAAAAAACAAAUUAUGACCAAUUCAAAAUUAACAAAAUAUUAAAGUGAAAUUGAAAGGAAAAAAAGGGCAAAAAUCAUUCAAUCAAAAGAAGAAAAAAUUAGAAGAUAGAAUUUUUUUUUUAAGGGAGGAUAUGAAUAGCAAAAUAGGAGGGAAAACCCUAACUUUUUUUAGUAUAAUAAAUGAUGUUUAAUUUAAUUAAAAUCUUUAUCUCAUACAAUUAGACCUAAAAAGAGAAGAAAAUUUCUAAAGAUUGAUUUGUAAAAAAACAGAAAAAAAAAUCAAAUCAAGAAGCGAAAAAAUACAAGGACCAAUAUACACACACAUAGUGAAAGAGUUAGAAAAGCAUAACUUUUUUAGUAUAGUAGUUUAUUUCUAAUUAAAUUGAAAACUUUAUCUCAUAUAAUUAGGCCAAAAAAGAAUUAAAUAAAAAAAAAAGGAUUAAUUUAUAAAAAGAAAAAGAAAAAUAAAGAAUACAGAACCAAAUCAACAAAGAAAAAAACUAAUUUUUAAAAAAUAAAGUGCUCCACUAUUCAUAUAAAAUAGAACAUCAUUAUAGUAUCCAAUUAGACAGUGACCCAUAUUACUGGCUAUUUUAAUUUUUUUAAAGAAAAAAAAGUUUCAGUAUUUUCAAAUGUGAUAAGUUUUUUUUUUAUAAAAAAAAACAUAUAUGUGUGCAAGGGAAUAGAGAUUUGGUUUGAGAAUACAUGCUAAAAAUCUAAACAUGAACUAAAACAAAGUGGAAUUAAAAAGAGUAAAAAAAAAAAACCUAAAAGAGAUCCAUGAUUCAUUAUAUAUAUAGACUAUGAGGUUACGAGGUAAAAUAUUAUGGAUUAGCAUAAUAUAAUUACUUUUUACCCUUCUCUACACAACAAUUACCUUGCUAAUAGGGGUAAAGUUGUCUUUUUCAAUGAUUUUAAAGGUUAUUUAUAAAUUCACUGGAGAUAAUUUAGUAGGUUUACUCCUUUUUUGCAUAUUAAAACUACAUCAUUGCCUUUGCAAGCCAAAAAAAGAAAAAACAAUUAACCUUUUGUUUAAGAUCUAUUUUGUAUUUUGUAUUUGAUUUAUACAGUAAAAUGACAUUAAUGCCUUAGAGAGUUAAAAAAUCAUCGACUUUAAGUUACUGGGCCUUAAACUUUGUUAUUUAUUUUGGUUUUUUUUUAUAGGGUUAUUUCUAUCUCAUAUCUCAAGUUGCAGAUAAGUUAGGUUGGAUGCAUACUUAAUUAAUUAAUAAAAGUCAUGUAUAUAUUUUUGCAAAUUGGAUGCACACUUAAUUAACAUACUUAUUGAAUAUUAAGUCAGGCAAAAAAUCUAUAAAAAGAAUAUACAAGUGAGCCAAACAACAAUAUUAAGAACGAAUAAGAGGUAGUAAAAGAAGAUGAUACCAAAGGACGCAAAAUCACAAAAAUUCAUGAAACUACAUUAGGCUCUCUACAAGUGAAUUGUUUAAAAAGUUAAAAGAAAAUAAAUGCACUUUUGUCCACAGCAACAACUAAAUGCACUUUUGUUCAAUACCAAGAAAUUAAACAUUUUUUAAAAAAAAAACUAAAUGAAUUGUUUAAAAAGUUAAAAGAAAAUAAAUGCACUUUUGUACACAGCAACAACAACUAUAGCAAAAUGCUGGGCUGUAGAAUCUAGAUGAUUGUCCACAGCAACAUGAAAAAAUCAUAUAUGCUUAAGUAACUAUUUGGCAUCUCAAUCUAGUAAAUUAAUCUUAAAUUUCUUAUAUCCGACUCUUUACCUAUAUUAAAUUUAAAAUUAACCAACAUAAAAAUUGUUUUAAUAUGACUUAAUCGAUAUAGUUGGUUCAAAGUCAAUCCAUAUGACCGAUAAAAAAUGUAAUUUGGCUUAAAAAAUUUCAAAAUAACAUCUUUUUUAUAACAUUGAUACGACAAUAUAUUAGAUUGACCCUGAUUUCAUGACUUAACUCUCUAAACCCACUACCUUAAUAACGGACUCCUUCUAGUUUAAAAACUUUUUUUUAAUUAUUUUUUACUUCAUGAUAUUAUAACAAAAAUAGAUGCUCAUAAAAUUAAGCACCAACCAAAUAUCAAGAUAUUUGUUUGAGAUUACAAUAAUAAAUAUCAUAAAAAGCGAAACCGAAACAAGACCAAAUCAAAAUAAAUCAAAUGUUAAAGGAUUAAACCAGGAAAAAGCCAAAGAGGAUUCAAUUAAAAGAAAGAAAAAAAAAAUAGAAGGUUGAGUUUAAAAACAAAGUAACAAUAUGACAUUGUUAUUAAACUUAAAGGAAAAAAAAACUAAUUUAAAAAAUUAAAGUGUUUCACUAUUCAUGUAAAAAUGAAAUACCAUUAUAGUAUCCAACUAUAUAGGUGACCUGCACUAUGGGUUAUUCUAUUUUUUUAAAAGCAAAAAAAUAAAGUUUCGACAUUGUUAGAUUGUGAGAAAAAAAAAGUUUUAAAAAAUAUCCGUGUACAAAAGAGGAGAGAGAUUUGGUUUGAGAAUGCAUGGUAAAAAUCUAAACAUGAACUAAAAAACAAAGUGGAAUUAUAAAAAUUAAAAAAAAAACUAAAAGAGGUAAAUGAUUCAAGUGAUUCAUUAUAGACUAUAAGGUAAAACACUAUGGAUUACACACAAUAUAUUUACUUUUUUCUCUUCUAUACACAAAAUAAUUGUCUUGCUAAUGGGGAUAAAGUUGUUUUUUUAAAGGGAUCUAAAGGUUAUUUGUAUAUUGAUCGGGGAUAAUUUAGUAGAUUUACUGCUUUUUUUGAACAUUAAAACUACAUCUUUGCCUUUGCAAGCAAAAAAAAAAAAUUGUCCUUUCGUUUAGGUUUAGGGUUUAUUUUAUCUUUCCUAUUUUUUUUCAUAGUAAAAUAACAUCAAUAUCCUUGAUAACAAUACAACAACAAAGGAAAAUACCAAUAUUUAAAAUACAACAACUCUUUUUUUCCCAUCUUCUGUUUUCUUUUUUUCAUAUCAAUACAACAACAAAGAAAAAUACAAAUAUUUAAAAUACAACAUAAAAUUUAUUUUCCUGUAGAAUCAAUGUAACAUUAAAGAGGCAUCUUCCGUUUUCUAGUCAGGAGGGAUUAUAAGAACUCAAGAAAAUUGCCAUAUGACUUGAGGAAAAGAUUUAUACUACCGCCACCAAUCAUGUGUUUGCCUAAUGCGAGGUUCGAUAAUUACGGUAUUCUUUAGACAUGAAUAUACACACGCAUUUAUGCAUGUACAAAUGUGUGUGUAGUGUGCCUACACUUCCUCACCGUUCAUUCUGUAUGCAAGGCUAAUUGGGAGUUCACAUCUUUUUGUUAAUUCUCUUGACAAGUGUUUUAUUGAGAGUGACCAGGUUCAAGUAUUGGGGAAGUGUGCAAAAAGAAAAUAGCAAAUCAAUACAUAAAUAAUUAAAUUAAAAGAGAGGAAACAGAACUAUAUCCUCACAGAAGAUGAAAUGAUAGAGCAUAUAUCCAUUUCCCCCCUUCUCUUGUAACAUGGAUUGCUCUGAGAGCUAAUGUUUUGUUAUUGAUAUCUGAUUUCGGUCUGAUUAUCUGCGUAAAAUAUCUCUGGAGAUUCUUUCGAUGGAAAUCAGGUCUCAAAACGCCAUGCCCACUGCCCCCAUGGACCCAUAAGGUAAUAAUGCAGCCAAGCAUUGAAUUUCUAAACAUCUUACCUUUUGUUUUUCUUUUCGCAUUGUUAUCGAACUCUUUUACAUUUUAUUGCUGCAUAUUGUUAUGUAUUUCGCCUUGCUGGAAAAAUCUCAUGAUCACCUCCACGAUGCUAAUUCUGUAAUGCAUGUGAAGUGUUUCUGAUAAGGUCCCAAUCAAGAGUGAUACACAAUUGCAGAAAUGCUAGGAUUCUCUUAGGGUGAGAAUUUACCACAAUAUUGUUUGGAUAAACAUAAUGCUAUUCUUUUUAUUCUUCUUCAUACAUAUAAAGAACUAAACCAUAACAACUUUCAGCAAAUCCAGCCGAAAUGGAAAUAACAGAUUACAAAACAGAAAUGCAAAUAAUGUGAAAGUGGCUGCUUUAUUUUCUCCCAUUGAAUCGGAAGCAUGAUUCCAAUUGACUUGCUUGUAACUCCCUUUAAUCACGAUAUCUUUUAAUCACGAUAUUUUAAAUUCUUCUUUAUGACACGUGGGGUCCUUCGUGGCAGCAGCUCUCCAAGCUGCGUAUCAUUACCCCCCACAUCAAGUGGAUGCUUGUCCCCAAGGUCCAAGCUUGGGUGGUUCGUUAGCAGUUCAGCCGUUGGUUCCCAGAUGGCAUCAUUUGUAGACAAAUGUUUCCACUUCACCAAACUCUCCUCAAUAAAUCUUGCCCCAUGUGGAAUCCAACGUGUGUCCAGAAUAGCUUCUGGUGUGACCACAAUGGUGCCUUCUUCAUCAAUAGGUGGAAGUUCCAUACUAGUGUCUGCUUUGUCACCCAACUUCCUUUUAAGCAACGACACAUGAAAAACUGAAUGUAAACGUGCCCCCUCCGGAAGCUUGAGUUUGUAGGCCACAUCACCGACUCGCUUUUCAAUUGGGAACGGACCAUAAAACUUGCAAGCAAGUUUUUGAUGAGCUCGUCGAAAAGCAGUCUGUUGGCGAUAAGGUUGUAAUUUGAGAUACACAAGGUCACCUUCUAUGAAUUCGACAUCCCUUCGCCCACGAUCAACCAACUGUUUCAUGCGAUUCCUAGCAUUCGCUAAAUUCUGCUUGAGAUUCCUAAGAAGUGUGUCCCGUACCUGAAGACUGUGAUCAACUUCAUUAACUGGUGAAGAGCCUGUAGCAUAAAGUGGAAAUGUAGGUGGUAAGCGUCCAUAAAGAGCUUGAAAAGGUGUCGUUCCUGUUGAUGAAUGGUAAGCUGUAUUAUACCACAGCUCUGCCCAAGGAAGAAAUUGGCUCAACUGUCGUGGUCUUUGGUGAACAAAACAGCGCAAAUAUUGUUCCACACAAUGAUUAACCACCUCUGAUUGACCAUCCGUUUGAGGAUGAUAUGCUGAGCUCAUCUUAAGCUGAGUACCAGACAUCUUAAAAAAUUCCUGCCAAAACUUACUAAUAAAGACUUUAUCUCUGUCGCUCAUAAUAGAACUAGGCAUGCCAUGUAGCUUCACCACACCAUCUACAAACUUUUCUGCCACCAUCUUUGUUGUGAAAGGAUGUGUUAAGGCCAAGAAGUGAGCAGAUUUGCUUAGAUGGUCCACUACCACUAAAAUGGUAUCGCGACCAUGUGAAGUAGGGAGACCUUCAAUAAAAUCUAUAGUAACGUCAUCCCAUACCUGACACGGAAUAGGAAGAGGUUGCAAGAGCCCAGCUGGUUUGAGAUUAUCAGCUUUAGUUUUCUAGCAUGUCACACAUGUGUGGACAUAUUCUUUGACAGAAUGAUACAUAGAUGGCCAAUAAAACUGCUGAGAUAGACGUUUGAAUGUACCCAAUAUACCAGAAUGGCCGCCCAUCUUUGUAUCAUGAAAUUCCUGUAGUAAUUGUUCUAUCACAGCUGUGUUAGGAGGCACCACAACACGUGUUUUGAAGAAAACUAACCCAUCUCGCCAGGUAUAAGGUUUUCCAGGACUAUUUUGAGCUUGCUGAAUAAUUUGUUCCAUAUAUGGGUGUCCAGUGGAGGCCUUUUUUAUGUCUUCCCAUAAAGUUACUUGUGGCACAGACAACGCAUUAAGAAUAGGGCUUCCAGACACUCUUGAUAAUGCAUCAGCAGCUGAGUUGUCGCGUCUUGGGCGAUAUAUGAUUUCAUAGUCAUAGCCAAGUAAUUUAGCCACCCAACGUUGUUGUUCUGGUGUCCCAAUUCUUUGCUCCAAUAGAUACUUUAGACUGUGCUGGUCCGUUUGAAUGAAGAACUUUUUGCCCAGUAGAUAUGGUCUCCAAGUGCGUAUUGCCUGAAGGAUGGCAAUCAUUUCUUUGGCAUAUGUUGACCAUGAAAGUUUGGCCACUCCGAGUUCUCGGCUGAGGAAAGCAAUGGGUUUACCUUGCUGUGUCAACACUGCACCAAUACCCUCUCCAGAAGCAUCAGUUUCAAUUGUAAAUGAUUCAUUGAAAUUUGGCAUAGCUAAAAUAGGUGUGGUUGUCAUAGCUUGUUUGAGCUGUAGGAAAGUUGCCUCCGCCUCUUGACUCCAUCUGAAUUGCCCUUUCUUCAAGAGAUUGGUUAAUGGCUUUGCCAGCAGACCAUAGUUGCGCACAAAUUUUCGAUAAUAACCUGUAAAGCCUAGAAAACCAGGUAAGUCUGAAAUAGUGCUUGGCCUUGGCCAAUUUACCAUAGCUGUAAUUUUGCUUGAAUUAACCUUGACCCCUUUAUUAGUCACAAUGUGACCGAGGUACUCGAGCUCUGACUGCCCAAAUGUAUAUUUGCCUUUACAAAAUAUGUAUGUUGCCGUAGAAUUUCAAAAACCUUUGUAACAUGUUCAAGAUGCAUGGUCCGGGCUAUAAAUCAAAAUAUCAUUAAAAAAAAAACUAAUAUGAAUUGACGGAGAUGAGGAUGAAAAAUAGAAUUCAUAAUAGCUUGGAAAGUGGAAGGAGCGUUGCAAAGACCAAAGGGCAUGACCAUAUAUUCGUAGUGGCCAUUAUGGGUACGGAACACAGUUUUGUGAGUGUCUUUUGGAUUUACUCGUACUUGAUGGUACCCUGCUCUUAAGUCUAAUUUUGUAAAGAAGGCAGCUCCAUGGAGCUCAUCAAGCAUGUCAUCAAUGGUAGGAAUAGGAAAUCGAUCCUUAAUGGUUACGCUAUUGAGAGCUCUAUAAUCAGUACAAAAACGCCAAGUGCCAUCUUUUUUUUUAACUAACAAAACAGGUGAAGAAAAGGGACUAGUACUUGGUUUUAUAAGUCCCAAUUUAAGCAUGUCUUGAACUUGUUUUUCAAUUUCAGUUUUUUGAAAAUAGGCAUACCUGUAGGGCCUCACAUUAAUAGGCUCAGUAUCUUCUUUAAGAGGAAUGCAAUGAUCAACUUCACGAGCUGGAGGUAACUGUGUGGGCUCAUAAAAAAUGUCCUCAAAGUUGUUGAUGAUUUCCUUCAUAUCUGUUUGCAUAUUGGGUCGUUCCAUCUUUUCUAUGGAUUGACAAUACACUGUAAAAGUGGAACAGCCAUGACGGACAUCUUUAGUAAUUGCUGAUAGUGAAGCAGGUUGUAUAGCUUGGCUAUUAGAACCAUUUAAUGUUUGAGCUUGAUUCUUCCACCAAAAGUCCAUUGUAAAUUUUUUCCAAUUACACACCACUGGUCCGAGUUGUUCAACCCAUUGUACACCAAGAACAAGAUCAAGGCCUGUGAUAGGUAUUGAAUAAAGGGUUAAUGAAAAUGGAAUGUUUUGGAGAAUAACCUGGACUUGUUCAAACCUUCCUUGGCACUUCAUUUGAUUGCCAUCUGCCACCCUUACAGUGAAGGGUCUCAUAGGAAUAACAGGUAAUUGAAGCUCCUCUGCUAUUUUAGAAUUGAUGAAAUUAUGGGUAGACCCACUGUCGAUGAGCACUGUUAGAGUGUGAUUCCCAACUCGUCCUUCAAUCCUCAUGGUUCGUGGUGUGGACCAACCCGUGAGUGCAUGGAGUGAAAUUUCUGGCUCAGUGUUCUCCUCAGCUAUGUCCUCUACUGGAAUGUCAUCAGUAACUUCUUCGCACAUGACUCUGACAGGUUCACUAAGGCUUUCUAGUAAUAACAGUUGCGGUCUUUGGCACUUAUGUCCAGCAGUGAAUUUGUCAUUGCAAUUGAAACAAAGCCCUUGUGCACGCCGUCUCUGCAUUUUAUCCCAUGUUAGUCUUUUUAUCGGAACUGGAAAACUGGAUUUUGGUGGGGGAAAAGUCAAUGGUGUGCGAGUUAAUUGUGUUGGCCGUGUAAAUUUCCCUUGCCGCAUUAUUUGUUCAUCCUUCAUUUUAUCUAAACUGAUAGCCUCUUUCAAAGUCCGUGGUUUGAACAUCCGAAUAGCAUCAGAAAUUUCUACUUUAAGUCCACCCAUGAAUGUUGUAACAACCCCGAUUUUUCUACAUUCUUUUUCGCGAUAUAUUGGAAAUUUUCAGGUAAAUUUUUUUUUUUGUGAUAUACAGGUUCCACCAAAAUUUCUACCAAAAUUUCGGCAGAGUCUCCCCUAUACUGGUAGGUCCCAGGUUAUCGACAUAUACCAUGUUUACACUUCUAAUAUCUCACAUCUCAUAACUCAAAAUCACGACCCAAUCAUCCUGGGUCUCAACCCAACUCAUUAUCAUCAACACAACACAUCUUAUUCAAUAACAUCAUAUAAUAUAGUUCAAAUGAAAGAUUCAAUUUCAACUAUAAAUAUGCAUGGUCAAAUAGGUACUAAGAGUUUAAACCAUUAGAGUAAAGACAUACAUUCAAAUUUACGGAUUAAUAUUACAUCUCAAGUUUUAUAAUUUACAUAGUCAAAAGCAAAAGAUAUCUAAACUAGCAUUACCCUUGACGCGACCCUGAUGGACCUGAAAAUAGAAAUUAACAUGUACACAUAAAUAUAAAAGAUAGUAACAAGCAAUAACAAUGGCAAACAAUAAUCUCUACGGAAUUUCUUUUGAUAUAUAAAAUUAGGCAUAAACCUCUUUUACAACAUAUAUUUUACAUUUAUUACCAAUAUCCAUCUAAUAUCCUAUCUCAUUUACCAAGAAUAAUUCCAUCUUGGAAAUCUCAACACAACUCAACGGUUUGCGAACACCAUCUCUUUAUAAAUCAAUUCUCACUUGAUACCAAGAUAUUCCUCUCUUGGUAUUAUUAGCUUAUCUCAUUCUUUUGGAAUAACUAAUUAAUAUUUUCCCUUUUCUGAAUCUGUUGCUAGAAGGUAAUCACUGAAACUAAUAAAUCUCAUUAGUAUCAUUAGUCUUCAAAUAUUGGGCUAGACUAAUCAAUUUAAGAAAUACUGGCACCGAUGAAACUUCAUCGAUACCAUUAGCAAUCCAAACUUGGAUGGCUAAUCAAUUCCAUUUGAUUCUUCCAUUCGUACCGAACCCCUUUUAUCUUUCUUAUUAACAUCAUAUGCAUUGUAACCACGGUUGCCAAGUAUCAUUUGCACACAAUCUUAGUUAUCGACACUACGGUCACUAAGCAUCCUUCACAAAACCUUGGUCACCUUCAUCACAGUGCCAAGUAUCAAUUUAUGCCCUUAGCCACCAUCAUUAUGGUGUUAAGUAUCAUUGUAAUGUAUCCUUAGCCACCGACACUAUGGUAACCAAUUAUCUAUCAAUUCACCUCCAAUCUCCAAGUCAUUGUGUCUACCCAAUAACCACAUUAAUUAAUUUACUCAAUAUGUUAGUCAUAUAUUAAUUAUUUUACUCAUAACAUUUAGAAUUUACUAUUUCUAACUUCAAUCAAUUAAUUCACAUAAUCUUUUCAAAACUUAACUAUCCGGCUAACUCAUCUCGAUUGCCAAUAAUUCUGGUAAUUUCAUAUAAUUACCCACACUUUUGGUUAACCUCCAUCGGUUACCAAUACAUCUGGUAAUUCCAUACGAAUUACUCAGCCUCCAGCUAACUUCUUUUGUUUGUCAAUUAAUCCUGUAAUUCCAUACGAAUUACCCCAUAUCCAGUUAACCUUCUUGUUAACCAAUAAACCCGGUAAUUCUCUUAAUUGUCCAAGAAAUCUGGCUAACCCAUCUUGGUUGCCAAGGUCAAUCCGGUAAUUCCAUACGAAUUACCCAUCAUCCAGCUAACCUCUCUUGUUAGCCAAUGAAUUCGGUAAUUCCAUACGAAUUACCCAUCAUCCAGCUAACCUCUUUUGUUAGCCAAUCAAUCCGGUAAUUCUAUACGAAUUACCCCAUAUCCAGUUAACCUUCUUGUUAACCAAUAAAGCCGGUAAUUCUCUUAAUUGUCCAAGAAAUCUGGCUAACCCAUCUUGGUUGCCAAGGUCAAUCCGGUAAUUCCAUACGUAUUACCCAGCAUCCGGCUAACCUCUUUUGUUAGCCAAUGAAUCCGGUAAUUCCAUACGAAUUACCCAUCAUCCAGCUAACCUCUUUUGUUAGCCAAUCAAUCCGGUAAUUCCAUACGAAUUACCCAAUAUCCCGGCUAACCUCUUUUGUUAGCCAAAUAAUUUCGGUAAUUUCUCUUAAAUUACCAAUAAUUCUCAUUUGUAAUAAUCACUCAACUUAUUCAUUUGUUUCAUUCUUUUAACAUCAAUUAAACACACAACACAAAUAUUUAAGAAAAACUAAUAAUUACAAAAUAAGGUGAUGAAUCACCUACCUAGAAUAGGUGCACGUGCUGCCACUCCAUGCAAUUGUCCAGUCCCCACAGCUUUCCCCUGUACCACCAGGGAUUCAAUUUUUAUCAACAAUACAACCAACAUCACAUCUUCAUUUAAUUCUCAUUCAACUAGUAUUCUCAAACUAAUCACAAGGAAUUUUCUUUAAGAUCUCAUACUCUUACUCAUUUUAAUGUUUAUAUUUAUUCUUAUAAUUUUGUUAUCAAAACCAUCACUCAACAGCAAUUCCAAGCAACGAUUAAAAAUUGUCUAAUUCCGAUCAAUUAAGCUUAACCAACCCAUAACACUAUCUAGUGUCUUAAUCAUAACUAAAGUUGUAAAACUCAGUUUUGGGCGUGAUUUAUAUCUCUAUGAAAGGCUAAACAUAGAGAUACAAAUUUUAUGAAGAAACCAACUCCAAAUUAUUUUGUUUUAAGGCUUAAAAUCAACAAUCACAAUAGCCCUUCUUUAUGGCUAAAAUUUUGGACAACGAGGAUUUUCAUUCCUUGGAAAUCCUUUUCAACUUCCAACUUAUUUUCAUGCAAAAUCAACAUCAUCCAAGGUCAUUUGGCAUCAUUAAAUCACAAGUUCAAACCAAUUCUAAAGCAAAACAUUCAAACAAUUUCCCUACCUCUACAAUAUAGCAAGAUUAGACCAAAAUAAGGAAACUCAUUCCUUUUGAGAUUUCUCCUAUUAUUAUUAUUAAUACAACAAAAUGAUGAACUAUUCAUUUUCUUUCGCUUUCUCCUCGUGCGAUUAAACAUAUACGGCAAACCUUAACAAUUAAUAUUCUCAGAUCAUUAUCACAACAAUAAUUUCACUCUACUAAUUGGGAUCCAUGACAACCUUCAUUAACUAACCAUUUGCUAAAAACACUUAUGGCUAGCUUUAAAUAUGUUUUAUUUUUUUCAAAUUUUUUUCAUUUCAAUUUCUUCAUGGUUCCACCCCAUUUAUAUCCACACAACCAACAAGUUAGCUUUCUAUUCAAUCAACAUGUUCUAUUCAAUCAACACGUUCAUAUAGCAAUAUUCUUUACUAUUCUUACACAACAAUCAUUCUUCCCCUCAUAUAAAGAAUACACAAUUAAUCUAUAAUAUUACUAAUAACAGGAACAUAUUUUAUCAUUACAUCUUCCAUAAAACCUACACCCACACAAUUCUAAUUUCAUCAAAACAUGUAUUUAAUCAAGCUUACUACAUUUUGCAAAAACUAGCAAUAGAUUCAAAAAGCAAUAAGUCAUCAACCUCUGAUUAUUGUUUCCCACCCAACGGUCAGACUACAUAUCAUAGCGUUGUGCAUAAUAUAUCUCAAAUUCAUAAUGAUCCAACGGUUAAAUCUCCCUAGAUCUGAAGAAAACCGAGCUUACCUGAAAAUGAACGAGCUACUGUUCAACAUGCACGCAACCUUGCCGGAGAAAUAUGUUCCGAUCUCCACUGUCCAGAAUGAAUUUAACAUCUACGCGCACCACAUAUCCAACAAUUAGCAUGAUCCAACGGUGGAAGAGAGAGAAAUCGGCCGGCGACCAAACUGCCCUGCAGGUGCAUUUCCUUUUUGUUUUCCAUGAAAUUCCAGAUGAUGAUUUCUGUCAAAUGGAUUGUGUUCCUUCCAAUCACUCCGGUCAGUUAGUAGAGGAGUGUAAUGAGAACAACACGUCCAAAACGCAGCUUGAUCCAACGGUUGAUUCCCGAGAUAUGACCACCGGAGCAUUAUUGGUUUUCUCCAAAAUUUGCAGCUCUCUCCCCUUAUCCGCUUUUCUCUAUUUUUUUUCUUUUUUUUCUUUCUUUUUUUCUUAACUGGUGGCCUCUUUGCAGAUUUAUAGGCACCUUUUUUUUUCAUAAUUACAAUUUUGUCCCUCUUUCAUGCUUUUAUGUAUUUUAUUUUAUUUUUCAUGUAAACUAUCUCGUUUAUUUCUGUUUAAAUCGCUAGUCUUUACCAAACUCUGAUUGGGAUGAGAUAUUUAACCAAGGUAGGAAAACAUAUUAAUAGGCUUCAUACAAAAUUUCAUCCCGAUCCGACGAUUGGAUUGAGAGCUCUGCUUCCUAAUGUAAAAUUGAUCAGUUCAUAACUUUUCGUAAACAAUCUAGAUUUUUUUUUUGUUCAAUCUUCACAAAAAAAAAAAACAUAUCAAUUAUCAUUCUAAACCUUUAAGGUCAUUUAAUUAUUUUGGAAUGUAUUCAUUUUAGGAUUUCCACCUUUAUUUAUUUAUCGGGCUUAUUAUCGUUUCAAAAUAACAUCACUGAUUUUUAAGCGGUGCUUGCACCUUCAGUCCUACCCUUUUCAUUGUACUAUCAUUUAUUAUAAUGUAUUCUUUAUUACCUCACUUAUUUCCUAAAAAUAUUUUGUCAUUUUUCUCAUUAUUUCAUCCAUCAAAACACGUUACCAGUUUCUCUAUCCUUAUGAAUUCUAAACCAAAAUUCAUUUUAUGAAGGUCAUCUCUUCUAUUAUAUAUCAUUAUUUAUCUAUUAUUUCUAAUCUUGGUUUCCAUCACUCAUUGAAAUAUUACCACUUUCAGUCUUAUGUUUACAUGAGGGUUUAUACAUCUACAUAUUUAAAUUAUAAAUUUCCAGGGUUUCACAAAUGUGCCCACCAGCGCCUUUUGAGUCCAACCAUGAACUCGAUUGCCCAACCUCUCAAAUUCCUUCUGAUAGUCCCUUAAGGAACCCACUUGUCUGACCUUUGAUAAUGCUUCAUCAAAAUCCUCAUAUUCUGUGGGCCCAAACCGUGCCCAAAGCUCUUCUUCAAAUAUCUCCCACGUGACAGUGCGCCCUUCUUCCUUGUGAGCUCGAUGCAACCAUUGCCACCAUUGGUUGGCUUCUCCUUCCAAAUGGAAUGAGGCCAAUGAUACUUUUUGAUUGUCCGCAGUCUCUUGAUAUUCAAAAAAUUGGUCCACCCAAUUGAACCAUUCGGUUGGAUCAUCCCCAGAAUAUCGUGGAAAGUCUAACUUGGCCAUUUUUUAUGAGAAGACGUGGCGUCCACACUCAUUAUCAGUUUUCUUCUUUCCCCCAUCAGUGUCAUCCCGAUAUGUGCGUGAGAAGCCAUCCCGGUCGUUGUUGUGGUAACUUGAAGACGCCUUGGAAGCGAUCAUGACCUCUGAAAGUUUGUUGAUGGUUUCCUCCAGGCUGUGCAAUCUAUUGAUCAUGUAAUCUUCCAGUCGCUGCAUGCCAUCUUGGACUCCACCAAGUCCUGUCUCCAAAAGCUCAAUUCGUUCUUUGUUUGUUGCCAUUGCGUAGGCUCUGAUACCAAUUGAUAAGGUCCCAGUCAAGAGUGAUACACAAUUGCAAAAAUGCUAGGAUUCUCUUAGGGUGAGAAUUUACCACAAUAUUGUUUGGAUAAAAAUAAUGCUAUUCUUUUUAUUCUUCUUCAUACAUAUAAAUAACUAAACCAUAACAACUUUCAGCAAAUCCCGCCGAAAUGGAAAUAACAGAUUACAAAACAGAAAUCCAAAUAAUGUGAAAGUGAUUUCUUUAUUUUCUCCCAUUGAAUCGGAAGCAUGAUUCCAAUUGACUUGCUUGUAACUCCCUUUAAUCACGAUAUCUUUUAAUCACGAUAUUUCAAAUUCUUUUUUAUGACACGUUGGGUCCUUCGUGGCAGCAGCUCUCCAAGCUGCGUAUCAGUUUCAUUCUUAACUUGUUAAGGAACAAGGACUGUGAUGCAUGGCUAUUUUAUAUUUUAUGAUUGAGAUGGUAGAUUUUAAAGAUUUUCCUGUUUAGGAGGUAAGACGUCACUUUCUUGCUUUUCUUCCGAGAGAAAGUAUUUGAUCCUUUCUUCAUAUAUAAUAAUGCUGCCAAGCAUUGAAUUUCUAAACAUCUUACCUUUUUGUUUUGUUUGUCGCAUUGUUAUCAAACUCUUUUGCAUUUAAUUGCAGUAUAUUGCUAUGUGUACGGCAUGCUUUAAUCAAAAAGUUGAGUACUCGAUGAAUGUUAGGCAAGAAAAUUACUGAUUAUUUUUGUUUUCUGCCUCCUCCUUUUCUUUCUCCCAACCUGAAAAUUGUCAUAUUAUUUUUGUUUUCAGCCGCCUCUUCUUCCCCCAACCCUGAAAAUUGUCUGAGGACACUUUUAUGCUUUGAAUCAAAUCCAUCCUAAUUCUUUCGCUCAUAACUUUAUGUGUGAACUGCCGAUGUUUGAUCAUUUGUCUUCCUUGUUCAGUGCCUUCUUUUUUUCUUUGACAUGGUUUCCUUUUUUCCUUUUAUCUUGAACAGCAUCCCAUAGUAUGCCCCCUCAAGUUCAGAAUCAUGGGCUAUUUCUCCCUAUCCUAUUGUCCACUGAUCAAUCUCAAGUACGCUAGCAGUUGUUAUCACAGAACAUGCAGAAUUGCAUGGCAUCUAAUGCAAUUCAAAGUUCUGCUGGUUUACUAGCGGCACUGCCUCUUGUCUCCGGUGUAACCCAGACUAUCCCCAACACUGUUGUCCAGAAUCCUAACAUGCAGAGUAUCCCCGGUGUUUCACAGAACUCAGUGGGGAAUUCAAUGAGACAAGGGAUUCCCUCCACUAUGUUUGCCAAUUCUCAUAAAGAAAUGCCAGGUAAUGCUCUUUUUGGUAGCUUUAUGUCUUCCACUUAUGGCAUUAGAAAUGCCACUGCUAUUGGAACUAUUGCAAUCACACAUGCAUUUGGCAUCACACGAUGCCCUUCAGUGCUCUGCACCAACUUUUCACCUCCCAUAAUGGUUCUAGUCAGUAAUGCUUUUUUAGGUAGCUUUAUGUGCUACUGCUGCCACUUAUGGCAUUAGUAAUGCCACUGCUAUUGAAACCAUUGCAAUCACACACACAUUUGUUACCCACAUCAUACCCUCCAGUGCAUUGCACCAGCUGUUCACCUCUCAUUCUGGAUUUAUAGGGUUUGUCCGUCUGUUUGAAUGAUUACAUAACGUUUAGAUGGAGUUCCUAGUACUCCUAGUUCAAAAAGACUUGUAUUCCUCUGUAGGAAAAUACUAAUAGUCCUAUCUAGAAUAGGAAAACCUAAUGAAGCUCGCUAUACUUUGGGAUAAUAAAAUACUAAAUGGAAAAUAAAAUGAGACUUGCAAUAUUCCAUAAUUUUCAGCAAGCGUGAAAAUUACAGAAAUACCCUUGUAUAUGGAAAACACACAAAAAUACAUGAAUUCUAAUCUUUGUUGCCCGCAUUGAAAUAUUUGUAGCAUCCCUAGAUUCUACAGCACAGACUGGACAUGCAAAAGGCGCUGAUUGACAAGAGUAGAUCUAUCAAAAGGUAAUUUCUGUGAUUUACUGUUCAUUAGAUGGAGUUCAUGUAUGCCAUAGUCUUAAAAAUAAAAGUGCACUAUUUCUGAAUGACUUACAGUUUAUCUUUUGUUAAGUGAAGAGUUAUUUGCACGAUUGCAAUCAACUUGUUGUGAAAAAUUUCCAGUAUUGAAUUUUAUAGAAAAUGAGGUUGAAAUUCUGAAUGUCUCAAGUCAUAACUGCAUAUUUGAUAAGGACAUUUUUCUUGUGCUUAAGUGAGUAUUAAAACGGGAAUAAGAAUGGUUGUUGUUAAGGAUCCAUGGGGUCAUGCAUAGGAUCUAAGGCUAAGAAGCGUCGCUAAAGUUGUGAAAUCCAUUGACUUGAGCUAGAACAGCAGAAAACAAUGAUGUGUAGUUUGCAGGGAGACAGUAACUGAACUUAACCAACCCCUGAAUCUUGUCUAAUGGUGUACUUACACAGUCCUUUGCAUCUUUCCAUUCCAUCAAUAUCGACAUCCUGUUGAGUUUCUAGCAUUAAUUCCACUCUAUUAUUUUUAUCUCAACUAAUUUAUGUUGUCCUCUGCCCUUUUUUUGUUAUUUUAUUUUUAUCAAUUCCCUUAAGUUUGUUUGUUUUACUUUCUUUCUGACUGGCACCUGAAGAGAUCAAGCAUAUGAGCGAUAAUGUUUUGCUGGUUAUUUGUACUUCCUAGAUCAAAGUUAUGAAGGAGACUUAUUUCCCUGAAAUAAAUGAAAUGUAUCAGAGAAUUGCUGCCAAGUUACAGCAGGUAAAUUGUCUCUGAAAUUUCUUCCGGAUUAUCUGUGCAUGCAUGAUUAUCUGCAAUUUCCCCAUGUUGAGUUUUGUAUUAGUUUGUUUUCCUCAUCAGCAUUGCCUGUCACUGUAUCAUCUGCACUAUUCACCUACCCCACCCCCAACCGCCCCCACAACCAUGCAUCGACACAGAAGAAGUGGAAUAGAAACAUUUUGUUUCACUAAUGUUUUGCUACAAAGGAUCAAUGCAAUUUUUAAUUCUCGUGUAUGUUAACUUUGCUUUCUAGCAUGACUCUCAUCCGCAACAACCGAAGUCGGAACAGCUUGAAAAGCUGGAGGUAUUCAAGGCCAUGUUGGAGCGCUUGAUAACAUUCUUACAGGUCUCUAAAAACAAAAUCACACCUAGUUUCAAGGAGAAAUUGGGUUCCAAUGAGAAGCAUAUUGUAAGUUUUCUAAACCCAGGCAGAUCAGGAAGCCAAUUCCUAAUCUACAGCGAGGACAACUUCCCCAGCCUCAUGUGCAACCUAUGCAGCAAUCCCAGUCUCCAGUUCCUCAAUUGCAGUCCCAUGAAAAUCAACUGAAUACCCAGUUGCAAUCAAUAAAUGUGCAAAAUUCUAUACCAACAAUGCAGCAGAACAAUAUGUCAAGCUUGCAGCAUGGUUCUCUUUCAUCUUUAUCUGGGUUUUCUAUGUCACAACCAAUCAUGAUGAUGUGGGACGAGAGAUUUUACGAGAAGAAAAGGGGGUAGAGAGAAUGAUAUUGUAGCAAAAAUAACUAAUCAAAUAGAAAGGCUGAGCUUAGAGACAGCACACUACAAAGGAAGCACCCAAUAGCUAGACAUACAAUCAUAACAAAUUCAUCUUCUAAAGUUGGAGAACUUGCGAAAACUAGCAACCAUAAAAUAGUAACAAGUAUCUAUGCAAUCUUCGAUGAAGUACAACCACCUACGUCGCCAAUAUGGAUUGAUGUAGAGAACUGCUGCAAUCGUCAUCACCACAACUGUGUAACAUACACUGAAACUGAUGUAGAAAAACUCCAUGUCUAUGAAACCAUCAUCUUCUUGUUCAUCAUGAGGCACUGGCUGGGACAACACUACUUCUUCACUACAAUUGUUUCGCAAUGGAGGUCCACACAAGAAAGGAUUUCCUUCGUAACAGCUUUCAUCGAAGGUCCCAAACUGAUAUUUUCUCUCGGGUGUCUUACCUGACAAGUUAUUGUGCUCCACACUAAAAACUUCUAGUGUGGUCAUUUCAGUAAGUUGUGGAGGGAUGUCACCAUUCAAGUUGUUGUAAGAAAGAUCCAAACUCUCAAUCCGCUUCAGGUUUGAGAAUGUUGCAGGGAUAGAUCCAGUGAGAUUGUUGUGUGAUAAGUUUAAUGACAGUAUCUCGCUUAAGUUUCCAAAUUCUGGUGGGAUUGCUCCUACAAAGUUGUUAUUGGAGAGAUCAAUACCAGACAUGUAGAUGAGAAUUUUCCCUUUGUAACCAUAAUACAUAUUUUUAGUUGUAAAUUCUAUCACUUCUUCUGUAAAGUUAGUCCAAUAACCCUUUAAUAAGGUGUAUAUGCUAUCCACUUGUGGUGGACCCAUUAUUUCAUAAUAAGCCUUUUCUAAGAACCCUGGUAGUAAAAGAACAUCGAGAUUCACUAAUGCUUUCUGGGAACUUUCUUUGAAAGUAAGAUUUUCCAAACAGGAGGGUAAUGGACCAGAAAGCUGGUUUUGUGAAACAUCCAAAAUGCUUAAUUGUUUUAAUAAGCAUAACUGAACAGGGAACUCACCAUCAAAGUGAUUAGCUCUCAGAAGAAGAACACUCAAUGAUGAAAGAUUGCCAGCCCAAUUUGGAAUUGAGCCGGUGAAGCUGUUAUCUCUAAGAUCCAUCGUAACCAGGGAAGAGCUAUUAUAAAAUCCAUAUUUUAAUGGACCGCUCAAUCUAUUUUUGGAUAGAUGCACAUGGGUUAUUUGUGGUGAAUUGAAACAAGAUGGAAUAUAUCCAAACAAAUUGUUCUCAGAAAGGUCCAAAUAUUCAAGCUGGUCAAACUUACAAAAAAAGUCUUUUGGGAUAGGACCCUUAAAAUGGUUUUUUGAAAAAUCAAUUGCUCUAAGGUUCGUCGAAUUGACGAACCACCUUGGAAGCAUGCCUGAAAAUUGAUUGUUACUCAAAUCCAAUACAAUCCACGUUUUCCACCCGUUUAAUGGAAAAUCUGAUAUUUGACCCCAAAAGUUGUUAUCACCUAGAUAGAGAUAUUCUGAGGUAGAAGAAUUGAACACGGAGGUUGGUAUUUGCCCACCCAAAUUGUUGUUUGACAGCUUGAGAAACAUUAAUGUUGUUAGUAGUUCUAGUUUUACCGUGGACAAUUGAUUGUUGGAUAAAUCUAAAACUCUCAAAGAGCUAAUAUUUCCUAAACAAGAAGGAAUACAACCCGUGAAUCCAUUCUUAGCCAUCCUUAAUCCCUUCAGAUUUGGAAAGAUCAAACAAAUAUCCUUUGGAAUUUGACCGCUCAUGUUGUUGUUGGAUAUAUCCAAUUCGGUCAUUUUCGGAUAUGGGUGAUCUUGCAACUGCAAAGUACCAACAAAGGAGUUCCCGCUCAGAUAUAGUUGCUCCAAUCGUGUAUUGUUCUUAAGCAACCACGAUGGAAACAUUCCGGUGAUGUUGUUGUGGGAGAGAUCAAGGAAUCUUAAGUGGUAUUGGUAAUAGAGGAAGUUGGGAAUUUCUAUAUUGAGUGCUUCCGUUGUUUUUGUCGAGCUAAAAAAGACUAGUUGGAACUUUGGAAUCAACUGAUCAAAUGCAGCAGGUUCUAUUACUAAUCUGUUGUUCUCAUUGCAGAAGAACUUGAGGCUUGAGUGGUUCAUAAAAGGUUUCAUUGAAGUGGGAACUUCAAAGAGGUUAUUUGAUAGUGAGAGGAAUUCAAGGGAUAUGAGGUUGGUAAGGGGACCGAAGGCAAUAUUUCCAGUAAAUUGGUUUUCAGAAACAUCUAAUAGUUGUAGAGAAGACAAGUUCCCCAAACAAUAUGGGAGUGAACCUCCUAAAUCAUUUUCAGAGAGAUCUAAUUGCUUCAGAUUCUUCAUUUCACACCAACCUGUACAAUUUAUGGAUAUAAAGUCGUUAAAGAUGAAGGCUAAGUCAAACAUGAUAAAAUACUAUCAUUAAAUUGAUCAUUGCAUAGAUAUAAAGUCCUUUUUUAUAUAUAUAUAUAUAUAAUGUAAUGAAUAUUAUUGAUUAUUCAACAUAGUUUUAAAUAAUAUAAUAUUUUUUAAAUUUAUAAUAUUAUAAAUUAUAAAAUUAUUGAUACUUGCAAUGAAGACCAAGUCUCAAAAUACCAUAUCCACUGGCAGUGGUAAUGCAGCGAAGCAUUGAAUUUCUAAACAUCCUUACCUUUUGUUUUAUAUUGCUAUGUAUAUACAAUGCUUUAAUCAAAACCUAUAAUGCAGGAAUAUCUGCAGAUGGCCAUUCCCAAAGGGAAAACUAAUCUUCCCUAGAAUAUUACAAAGUGCCAUUUCUACAGUGAGACACUGAAUAGUGAAAUUAGUGUUUCGUUUUUGUUGUUUUGUUGCUGAUAACUAGAUCUGUUAAAUCUUUUCCCUGUACUUUUACAUUAUGCAGUAAACUGGUCCCUUCAUUAGUUUUUCGUUAGUCAAAUAUUGUAGAGCUGUCAGCAAUAUUUCCUCUGUUUGUUCCACUAACUUGACGGUAAAAUGUGAUUAAAGAAUCAAUUAAUUAUUUAAAAAACGUCGAGGGAUUAAUUUGUUUGUUUCACAAAAAACAGACACUGGUUAUAUAAAAUUAUACUCAAAUUUUUUUCAUCAUAUGCGUGUGUUUACUUGUAAAUAUUUUGGAAGGAACUAGUUUAUGUUUUGCGCAACAUAAAAAAAAUCAUCUAGGCUUAAGAAACUAGCUCGAUCUAGUGGAUUAAUUUUUAAUUUUUUUUAUUUGACUUUUUAUCUAUAUCAAGUUUAACAUGAAAGUUAAUGUCUUUGUUUAAUUCGCAUGAUAACAAUUCUAUGUCUAAGAUCAUUUGGUUGGCAUACAUAUGUAAACCUAGGUGUUGUUAGUUCGAGGGAAGGAAGACACAAUAAAAAAUAAACAAACAUGGAUGAUAUGUCAUUUAUGUUUUACUUUUUUUAAUUAAAAAAACAGGCUUAAUAAAAAAUAUCAAGCGAGGUCAGAUGCGCGAGCCUUGUUUUAUAAUUUUUUAUUCAAAUUUUAAUAAUUGUUUUCAAUUAUUAUGCAUAUGACAUAAAAAUCUGUUCAUGAAAAUUAAAUUCAAAUCACUUUUUUAAUCUUAGAAUUUUUAGAUAUAUUUUUAGCAUAAUUUUAUCAUAUUUAUGAUUUUUUUUAACUUUCAAUCACAUGAAUAUAUUAUUUUGAUACAUUUUUAAUUUGUUGUGACAAUUAUAGAAUAUUCUUUUAAUAGAAACAAUGAUUCUAGUUAAGAAAAAAAUCUUGCAUUCAUCGAGAUAAACAAGAAAUAUGUUAAUAAGAAAAUUUAUCUUGAUGGAGAAAAAUUCAAAACGACUAAAUUUUCAAGUUUAAUAACAAUGCCAAGGAGUUUCCUUAGACUUGGAUAUUUUGUUCUACGUUUAAAGUUUUUUUUAUCUCCAUAACAUAGCAUUAGCAUACAAACUUGUAUAUUUUUAAGACAGCGUUUGGUUACUAUCCGGGACAAUAAAGACAAAGACAGAGGAGACAAGACAUAAAAGAAGAUGGAGAUAGAAUUGUGUUCAGUAGUGAUGUACAAGAUAAAAUAAUUGUCUUUGUAUCAUAUUUAGUUAUGUUGAAUAAGAAAGAAUAAAAUACAUAAAAAACUAUUUUACCUUUAAUAUGUAUUGUUGUCAAACUUCCAUAUUUAAAAAAUAAUUAUUUUUAUUUUUUUACUUUAGUUUAUAUUGAAUGUUGAAAUUAUUAAUAUUAUAAUAACCCUAAUUAUAAAACCAGGACUGAUUUGACAGGUUGGUUUAAGGCGUAGACUUGCCCGAGUUUUAGAAAAAUAGAUUAAUGAUUAACUAGACCUGACCUGGUAAAAAAUAUGAGUCAGGUUAAGAUAAAACACAAGUAAAAAACCCAUUGACUUUUUUGAAAAAGAAAAUUGGUCAAAACAAGGUUUCUUUGACUAUUUUUUUUAAAAAAAAAUUGGGUCAAUCAGGUUGACCUUCCCAACCCAUGACCUACACCUUUCCUUUGGUCAACUCCUAAGUUGAGUUUUAAAACUAUGAUAUUAAUAAUUUUUAUCCAUACUCAGGUCAACCUGUGUUGACCCUCUCGAUCCAUGACCUAGGCCUUACUUCUGUCGACUCCCGAGUCGGGUUUUAAAAUAUGAUAAUAACUAUUUUUAUCCUUACAUUAAUCCGGGUCGACUCUCUUGAUUCGUGACCCGAGUCUUACCCCAAAUUGACUAUCGAAUCAAAUUUUAAAACUAUGAUUAUAACCACCUUUAUUUUAUGUUGACCCGGGUCAAUCCGGGUUGACCCAUAUAACACGUGACUCAAGCCUUAUCCCGAGUCGAUCCCCGAUUUGGGUUUUAAAACUAUAAUAAUAACUAUUUUUAUCAUUACAUUUACCUAGGUCAAUAAUCAACCUCACUUGUGACCCCAAAAUUGCCCGGGUCGACCCUUAAAUCGAGUUUCAAAAUAUGAUAAUAACUAUUUUUAUUUUUAUACUAAUACAGGUCAACUCAACUCGUGACUCGGGCCUCAACCAGUGACCCAGAAUUUACCCCGGAUCGACCUCAAAGUUGGAUUUUAAAACUAUGAAAAUAAUUAUUUUUACCUUUAUAUGUCUUAAUUAGACAAUUUAGAAUUGAGAGUUUUUUAUAAGGAUAUUUUAGAAAUAAAAAAUAAUAAAUAUUGUCUCUAUAAACAUGUCCCUUCUAUACCUCAUAUUUUGAAAAUAUAAAAAUUCACUCUAAAAUUAUUCUAGAGACAAAUUUAUUUUUAUGUAUUUGUCUUUAUCUCUUUAACCAUAUAUAUUUAUAUCUUUAUUGUCUUCAUCCUUUUUAUCACACGACAAUGACCAAACAUUACCUAAAGGAUCUACAACUACUGAUGACAAACUUGGCUUUAUUUCAUCUUUGAUUUCUUCUCAAUGAUAUCUCACCUAUAUGUGUGGAGGCACUAGAUCGUUGAUUGAAAGGUUGACUUUGAAAAAAUAUAUUCAUAAAGUAAUGUUUGAAUCUUGGUGUUUUUUAUUGGCUCAAAAAAAUUACCAACCCACCAAAACCAACAUGUAUGAAACAUUUAGAUUUAAUAUUAUAUGUAUAAUUUAUUAUCAUAAUUGAUAUGCUAUUCAACUCACUAACUUAGUAGGAUGACCUAUAAUACCUGUUGAUCUAGGAUUUUAGCCGAAUCAAGCUUUAAGCCAGAUAUAAUAACUAUGAUUUUAUAAAAUUACUAUGAACUUCCCUUUUAUGUCUUCUUAUUUACUCAUUUGAUUUUAUGAAGUUAAGAUGUUUGCAUUUAUAUCAUGAUUAAACUCUAGGAUAACAUUUAGUUAUUACUUCAGGAUAACAAAAAUAAAGAUAGUAAAGACAAAAUUAUGUUUGGUUGAAAAGACAUAGAUAUAAAAAUAAUUUUUUUCAUGGGAUAAUUUUAGAGUGAAUUUAUGUACUUUCAAAAUAGAAAGUACAAAUAAGAUAUAUCUUCAUAAACAAUAUUUUUUAUUUUUAUUCCUAAAAUAUCAUUGAAAAAACUUUCAAUUCCAAAAUUGUCUAAUUAAAACAUGUAAGAACAAAAAUAGUUAUUAUCACAGUUGUAAAAUCUAACUCGAGGGUCGACCUGGGACAAGGCUUGGGUCAUUGUUUGGGUUGACCAUUGACCCGAGUCAACAAAAAAAUAAAAAUAGUUAUUAUUAUAAUUUUAAAACCUAACUUGGAGGUCGACUCAGGGCAAGACCCGGGUCAUAGGUCAGGAGGGUCAACUCUGGUUGAACUGAGUUAAUGUAAGGAUAAAAGUGGUUAUUGCAAUAGUUUUAAAACUUGACUCAGAGAUCGACCUGAUGUAAGCUCAGGUCUUGGGCUAGGAGGGUUAAUGCAUGGAUAAAAAUAAUUAUUAUCAUGAGUCGAUUUGAGACAAAGCCUAGGUUAUGGGUUGGGAGGGUCAACCCGAGUUGACCCAAUUUUUUUUUUUAAAAGAAUCAACACAACUUUGUUUUGACCAUUUUUUUUUAAAAAAAAAUAGCUGGUUUUGCCCUAUGUUUUAUCCCGAGUCGACCUGUGUUUUAUCCCGAAUCAACUCGGUUUUUUAAUUCACCUAUCUAUUCUUAAACUUAGAUUAAUACAGGCUUAGAGACGACUAGGUCCCGAAUAGAUUCACUAGGUCAGUCUAGGUUUUAUAACUAGGAUUAUUAUAAUAUUAUUAAAAUUAAACUAAAGUAAAAAAAAAUCUAAUUAUUUGUAUAAAUAUGUAAGUUUAACAAUAAUGCAUAUUAAAGGUAAAAUAAUUUUUUUAUUUUUUAUUUUUUUUAUUUAUCAUUAUCAAAUAAGAUAUAGAGACAGUUACUACCAAACACAAUUUUAUUUUCAUCUCCUUUUAUAUCUUGUUUUCAUGGUCUUCUUCCUUUUUAUUCAGGACAGUAACCAAAUAUUACCUAGUUAUAACAUAUAGAAACAUAUAAGUUGUCAAGUUCAAGCCUUUCUCUUAUCGAUUUAAAUAAAUUGAAACACAAUUGCAAGAAGAUUCGAGUGUGUUUGGUAUUGUGAUAGCUUUUGUGGUUGUGAUUUGAAAAAAAAUUGUUUUAUAAAAAAUACUUUUGGUUGAGGUUGGUUUGGUAUUUAUAUAUAUUUGGUUCAAACUGUGGUUGAAAUUGAGGUUGAACAAAAAGUAGUUUAAUGUGUUUGGUUAAGAAUGCUUUUCAAAUUGAGGUUAUAAAAUAAUUAAAAAAAGAUAUUAAUAUUAAUGGUUUUUAAUUUAAAUAUUGUAGAUUUAACUACUGUUAUUACAUCAUGAAAUAAAUAAUACUUUAUAUAAAAUAUUUUUAUUGUUCCAUUAAACUAUCUACAAUUCCAUCACGUACGAAAUCCAUCCGACAAGGACUACAGUUUCCUUGGUUUUUUAAGUGCGCAACAACAUCAUGUAAAAUAUCAUCAAGAACAAAAUUAGGAUUGCGAUCAAAUUCUGUAAAUGUUACGUCAUUAAGCGAUCUCCUUCUAAUUUAUGUAGUGUCAUUGAAUAAUGUUAAACAUUAGUUUUUUUGAAUAAAAUACAAUUAAAAAUAAAAAAAUUGAAUUUUAUUUUAUUUUACUGGGUCGGACCCGGUUCAAUGCAUUUAGCUUUGAACCGGACCCAAUUCGGCCGGAAUAAUAAAACAUUCUCCACUGUUCACGUGAACAGUGGAGAGUGAAGUAAUUCACUCUCACUAGGUGGAGACAACAGAAGAAAAGAAAAGGCAGCUUUGAGCUGCUUUCAAUGACACUGCAUUUUAAACAUAAAUUAUAAUGGAUCCUGUAAACAGUAAAUAAUAUUUUAUUAAUUAUCACAUGAUUGAUUUCUGUGGUUUGUUACAAAAACAGAAGCAACCACAGAAAUAAUCAGGUUCAAAGAAGAAAAGACAUAUGAUUAAAGUGCCACGCAACCUUUUGACAUUAUCAGUAUUUUGAUGUAUUUCCAUUAAUUUAUAAUAUACAAGUAUAUUUCCACGUUUCUUUUAUUUGGAUAGAACAUCUUUCCAAUAGAAUUUGUUUUUAUUAGAAUUCCAUAUUCAUGAUAUUUUUUUAAUAAUAAAAAUAGCAUUGGAUGAGUUUGUAUGUCAAUUGAAACUAAAAAUGUGUUAGAUACGAUCGAUGGAUUGAACAUGAUAAUAUAAAUAUCAAAUAAUGUUUAAUUAGAUUAAAUUGAACUAGAGAAUAUAUGUUUUUAUUCUAUGUUUGGUGCACACAAAAUAAGAUCAAAUAAUUUUAUUUUUAUCAUUGAGAUUUUUUCAAUCAUUUAUUUUAGUCUUUGCAUUUUAUUUUUAUGAUAUUUUAGUCCUUACUAGAAUUUCUUUAUCAUCUAGAACAAUCUAGUUCUUAAAUCAAAAAGGUUUUUGCAAUUAAACUCUUACAUGUAAAUAUUUAUUUUAAUAAAAUUGGUCAAAUUUUGGUUUUCCAAAUUAAAAAAUAAAUAAGUGAUAAAUAAAUAAUAGAUAAUAUAAAAAUUAAGAAAAAAUAAUUUUGUACAAAUUUUUUGUCCUGAGGAAAACUUUGGACAAGACAAUGACAAUGAUCAAUCCUUGUCAUGUCCAAAGUGUAUAUCAAACAUUUCAUAGCUUGCCAUGUGCAACAAAUAUAUCACAACUUGUUUUUAUUGUAUUCUAUUAUGAUCUCUUUUGUGUUUUAUAUUAUUUAAUAUAUUAAAAUAAAUUUAAUAAAUUAUACUGAAGCAAGAUCUAAUAUUAGAAAGUUAACGGAAAUAAUAAAUGUACCUUUGCCCGUCCCUUCAACAAAAUGCUGAGCUGUAUACUAAUUCUCAGAGGCAGUGAUAACUAGUUGUUCUAACUAAUCCCUAUACUUUUAAAUAUGUUUACAAUUCAGUCCCUUCAUUAAUUUUUCGUUAGUAAAAUGUUGAGCUGUCAGCAAUAUUUCCUUAGUUUGUGCCGCUAACUUGACGGUAAAAUGUGAUUAAAGGAUCAAUUAAUUAUUUAAAUCAACUUGAGGGAUUAAUCUGCAUUUGCUUAACAAAACGACAAACACUAGUUAACUCAAAUUUAAGGUAUGUUUGUUUUUAUAUUUCAAAAACGUUUUGAAAAAAUUUGAAAAUUUUUUAUUUUUUUCUUUGCUUCAAAUUAAUAUUUUUUGGUAUUUUUAGAUCAUUUUGAUAUGCUAAUAUUAAAAAUGAUUUUUUUCAAAAAACAUAUUUUAAUAUAUUUCUGAGUGAAAAACAUUUUAAAAAAUAUCUGUAACCACACUCUCAAACAAUCACAUUCCCAUACAGGUUAAUCAUCAUAUGCGUGCAUGCGUGCGUGCAAGUGGGGUUCAAUCCGGGUGCCCUAGCAUUAUAUUAUAAUACUUAUAUAUAUAAGAAACCCUGUAUGGAUUCGUACAACACUGGAAUGCAAUGAUUGAAUGAAAUAUUACAUGGACAUUGGACCUGCUGUGUAAACAUGUUUAGGAUGGAUGCGACGACAUUUCAGAGUUUUUGCUUUCAACUUGGAAACCAAUGUCAUAACCCAAUUCUGGGUUAUUCCCCAAAAAUCAUUUUUUUUUCAAAAUAAAAAUCAAAAUAAUAAUAAUAAAAGCUGGAAACGUGGAGAAGGCAAACCGGGGAAUCAAGUUGUAAUUUUGGAGGAAAUUCAAGGCCUAAUUGUACCCCAUUAUGCCAAAAAAUGGAGGAAAAAAAUGCAAAUUCAAGGUCAAAUUAAAUGACUAUUGGAUGAAUUUGCAUAAAAAUUAAGUCCAAGAACAUAAUUAAAUUUUUAAUAGGCCAAUUUGAUUUAAUCAUGGGCCAAAUUGAAUUUUAAUUAUGUUUAAGAAUUAAUUUGGGUCCAAUUGAAGGAUUUAGUUAAGUGCAAGGACUUAAUUAUACUUUAAAUGGGUAAAAUUAAUUUUAUUUGGGGCUUAAUUGGUGAAAAAUUAAGUUUGGGAGCCUAAUUUGGGCUUAAUUGAGAAGAUUGGAAUUUUAAGAGAUCAAAUUUAAUUUUUUCCAAGUUAAUUGCUUGAAAUCAGGGGCCAAAUUGCAAGAAAAUUGAAGUUUUGGGGUCAAUUAGGGGUUAAAUUGACAAAAUUUGCAGCCAAGGACCAAUAUGCAAAAAGUGCCAAACUAUAGGGCCUAUUGGCAAAAUCCAGGGUGAAAUUGAAGAAAUUGAAAGUUUAAUGGUUGAUUAGGGGUUAAAUUGCAUAAAUCCAAGACUAAAGACUUAUAUGCAAAAGGCGCGUAAAUUUGGGGUUCCAAUUGAAGUUCAGCAAGGGCGUAAUUGCAUUAAAUCAAAAGUUUAUGGUCAAUUAGGAGUUCAAUUAAAACAAAUUGAAAUCUGGAGGACUAAAUUAAAACUUAGUUAAAAUCCCUAAUUCAAACCUAAAACAACAUUGUUUUGAAUAAUAAUAAUAAAAAAAGAAUCAGACAACACGUCGUCUGGUCAUUAUUUAUUGUCUUCUUCUUUUACCCGGUUAAUCAUCAUAUGCGUGCGUGCAAGUCAGGGUUAUUGUGUUGUCUAUUCCGUGUGUAAUGUGGGGUUCAAUCCAUGUGAAUCGCACGACUUGUCCAUAUCUUUCUUAUUGAUUACAAAUAGCAUUGAGAAUUAAAGAAUAUUAUCUUAAUAAGUUCCAAUUUAUUCUACAAAAACUAUAUAUAAAGAUGUGACAAAAUCUUAAGUUCCAUUUUAUUCUACAAAAACUAUAAAGAUGUGACAAAAAGAUGCAGCUUACGGAUCAAGCCUGGUUCAGGUUUUGAUCCUGUUAAAAAUCUAUUUUGUUGAAUUGUUCAUCAACUCGUGAAUUAUUGGGUUAAAUAGAUUAAUUUUUUAAACAAAACAAUGCCAUUUUUUUUAUAUAUAAAAAAUUUGGUUCUGGCGUAUAAAUAUAAUAUUAGAAACUUAAACCUUAUUGAUUAGCAAAAACUCAAAGGGAAAUUUUGAAAUAGAUUUUUGUAAAAUCAAAUAUGAACCAAGUACUAGAAAGUUUGUUUGAAAUAACAAUUACUUUAUAGAAAGCAAAUAUAAAUAUAUUUAUUAAAUUUAAUAAAGUUUAAAAUCAGCAAGUUAAGCUACGAAACCCUGAUCAAUUUAAUAUAAUGCCGUUCAAUACAAAAAAAAAAUACAUCUUAAAAAAAAUUUAAGUUAAAUCAUGUUUCUACCUAUUAUUUAGGUUGUCUUCAGACUUAUAAAGUCGACUAGGUUAUAUUAGAAAAACUUUUAUAUAAUUAAAUUUAAAACUCGAGUUAGGAAAUUUUAAUAUUGAUUUGUUGAAUCGGAUUUAAUAACAAUACCAAAAAUCUAAAAUUUACUUUUUUAAUCAAUUUUUUUUAAUUCAACUCGUAUCAUAACACAGUAUAGUAAAAUAAAUAGAUAUAAAAUAUUUUGAUGGAUCCUCGGGAUAAGAGAUUGUUUUAGGACAUUUUGCUAAUUUCUUUUGUUAUCUAAUCAACAAGCUCAUAGUGAAUAAGUAUAUAAAUAUAUACAAUUAAAUUAAAUAACAUAUAAGAGAAAAAUGGUCGAAAGGUAAAGCUAAAGUGAUGCGACGUUGAGCCACUAGUCGAUAGUUGUAACGUCAGUUUGUUGGUUCGUCGUUCGUUUCUCGGAUUUAUUGAUCUUUAGAUUGUCUGUUUCUAGAAAAGAAAGAAAGAAAUAUUUAUAUUAUCAAUGCAAUGCAAUGCAAUGACUAAUAAGAGCUUGAAAUUAAGAGGUUUGCUUUCUCUAUAGUUUCAGGUUCGAACCCUGUGGUUGCUCAUAUGAUGGCCACUGAAGAUUUACAUGGUCGUUAACUUUAGGGCCCGUGGAAUUAGUCGAGGUGCGCAAAUUAUUAUCAUUUUAUCAAUGUAUACUACAUCUUUUUCUCAAUUGUUUGAGUUUGAAAUUAUAUCUGUGAACCCAUUAAUUUAUCUAGAAAAAAAAAAUUUAGGUAAUUGGAUCAAUCCUUGAUAUCAUAUAGAGAUAAAUUAAUUGUUUUGAUUAAAACAAUAUCAUUUUAUUUAAAAAUAAAUUUAUAAUAUUAAUUGAAUCACUAAAAACACAACUAGACCAAUCAUGUUUUAAAUAUUUUUAAAUAUUUUUAUAUUUAAUUUGAAAUUGAUUUAAAUUAAACUUUAAAUUAUGGGUUUUUCAAACUAACAUGUGUUGGGUUACGUCGAUUGAGUUAGGUAUAACAUAUCUAGAAGAAUUUAUUAAAUUUCUCUAUAAUUAGUCAAUCGAUGAGGGAAUUUAGUUUUAAUUGAUGGAGAAAUUAAUUUAAAGAUACCAUGCAAGAUAUAAAAAAAAACAUUUAAAGAUAUCAAUUAUUGUUUUCCGUUUAAUUAUAAAUAGAAUGAAGAGAGCGAUGCUCGCUGCACUUUUAUAAGCGACUAAAGUAGUUUCCAUCUUAGAUACAGUUAGAAUCUCCCAUAUCUGUCAAAAUGCCAAAAAAGCUAUUCGCAAAGAAACUCUCAAAAACUGACAUUAAUUAAAUAUAGAAUGGCAGUUCCAAUGGAAAGCCUCUACGCUUUCCAAAUCCCAGAAGGAGAACACUCUAAAGAAUUUGGUGUCACUGGCAUCCAUGGCAAGAGGUGGAGGUUCCGAUGUUGUACAAGAAAAACUGAGUUGAUCACCUUAAACCAGUCAUGUUUUCAGUUUGGAUUGAGUUCGCCAAAAAAAAGGGUUCUCAAAAAAGGUGAUGAAGUCACCUUCUCUGUGCUGGACAUGAAGGGAGCUGAGGAUCUGGAAUUGGGAAUUCAAGCUCGGAAAAGAAUCAAGCUAUUCGGCCAAGAUUUUUGGAGUAAUCCUUUGUGAAGAAGAAGAAGAAGAAGAAGAAGAAGCUACUCCUCGCAUAAGUAUAGAUUUUGUGCACCGAAGAUUGUGUCUGUGAGUAAUAGAGCUGGUUGCCUAUGUACAAUUAGUAUGCUUUGGCAGGAACUUCGUGACUGGUCCUUGGAUAGCUGAGAAAGCCAAGUCUAUGGCAACUUCAGGGGAAUCCAGGAGCAGGAAAAAAAUCAAGGUGAAAGGAUAUGAAUUUGCUAGUGCAACUGCUGCAAAGGAUCUAGGAGACAUAAAUUUGCGAACUAGAGAAGAGUUAAUUUUGAGCUCUGCAUUCUUCUUGCAUGUUCAUCUGUUUCCCGUUGUGGUUGAUCUUAGCAGUUCUCAGUAUAGUAAUUUGCAUUUCCUUCUAGAUCAGAUGAUUAAUGGAUUAUCAGGCAUGGACUGCGAUGUAGUCGGUGCUAGGGAAUCAACAAAGUUAACUCAUUGUAUUUUCAUAAAUUAAAGGGAUUUCUCUUCUUUUCUUUGUCAAUUACAGUGCAUGAUGUAUAAAAGUUUUCUUACUCAGAGUAAAUGCUAUUGUAAUGUUUUCACAGAGACUCCUCUAUUUUGCAACUAAUUCACUUAUAUAUCUUGGAAACAGAAAGGCAAUCAACGAAGAGUAAGGCAUCUUCUGAAGAAACAAAGAAAUUUAAUGCCCUAAACUAAGCAGCAGGUAGAAGGCAAAAACUGAGCUCAAAUUUUCAGUAAGGGACAAACGAAAAAAACCAAAAAGAAAGCAGAGAAAAAUACAGACUCAAAUUCACAACACCCAUUUUCUUUCCAUUGGAACACUUUAAAUAGUUUAUUAAAUUUAUAAUGAUCUGAUUUCUACGCAUAUUACAAAAUCAACUUCAUGAUCAAUUCUCUAUAAUUUCGGCAUUACUAAAAACAUCCAAACUAAUAAACUAUUAGUUAUUUUAGCCAUUUUAAUAAACAUUUUAGUUAUGAAUUCACCAAACAUUUUGAACAAUUCAUAUGGAUGAAUUAACAUGUUAAUUUUAGAUUUUUUAACUUAUUAAUUCCUUCAUGAAUUACUUCUAAAGCAUGUUAUAUAUAUCUAAGCACUUUUAUAUAAUAUAAUUCUAUCAAAUUCACUUUUACCCAAUGUAUAAUAUAAACAUCCAUAAAAAAUAACUUAUAUUGUCAAUGCAAUGAAAUGACUAAAUAACAUUUAAUUAUUAUAAUAGCUUUGUCCUCAUACCUAAGGAAGUAUACUACGUCUUUUUCUCGAUUCUUUGAGUUUGAAAUUAUAUCUUUGAACCCAUUAAUUUAUCUAAAAAAAAAUUUAGGUAAUUGGAUCAAUCCUUGAGGUCAUCAUAUCAUAGGGAUAUAAAUCAAUUAUUUUUAUUAAAAAUAAUUUUUUUUUUAAUAUUUUCAUAUUUAACUUGAAAUCGAUUCAAAUUAAAUUUUAAAUUACAGGUUUUUCAAAUUAACAUGUGUUGGGUUAGGUCUAAUAUAUCUAGAAGAAUUUAUUAAAUUUCUCUAUAAUUAGUCAAUCGAUGAGGGAAUUUAGUUUUAACUAGUUACAUGACCCGCGCGAUGCCACGGGUCAAUUUUGUUUUGCAUAAAAAAUAUCAAAAAAAGCUAAGAUCUAAAAGUGUUAGGUCUUUCUAUAAAGUUAUACCCAAAAGUCUUGGGUUUGGCUACAACGCCUGAUCCAAAAAUAAUAUUUAUAAUAUUAAUAAUAACAUUAAACUUGCAUAUAUCCACGAAUAUGUACAAUAUUUGAAACCUAUAAUGCAAGAAUAGCUGCAGAUGUACAAUAUUUUUAAUUUAAAGAAUCAAUUAAUUAUUUAAAAAACUUGAGGGAUUAAUUUGUUUGUUUUACUCAAAUUUUUAUUGUUUACUUGUAAAUAUUUUGAAAGGCACAACAUGAAAAAAUCAUAUAUGCUUAAGCAACUAUUUGGCAUCUUAAACUUAAUCUCGUAAAUUAAUCUUAAAUCCUUUUUAUUUAACUCUUUCCCAGUAUCAAGUUUAAAAUUAAUCAACAUAAAAGUUGUUUUAAUAUAACUUAGUUAAUUUAAUGGGUUCAAAAUUAAUACAUAUGACAUGAGAUCUACCAGCCAUCAUCUGGCCGGAAACGGGCCGCGAUCGUCGACUGCCACCGAAGCUUCAAGUCGUCGAUUCUCGCUCAUCAGCCAUCAACGGCCGUCAAGACCACCACCAUAAGAAUCCUCGACAUCAGAUCUACCAGGAUCGACCAUCGGUUGGCCAGAAAUCGCGCCGGAAAAUCUCCCCGCCGCCAACAGUAGCCGCGCGUGUGCCACACGCGCCGCCAGUGGCAUUUUUGUAAAUUUUGGAGAAACCCGAGGGUAUUUCAGUCUUUUACCUAUACAGUGGCACUCAGGUAAUUUUUCGGGGUUUCUACUGGUAUUUUUGAUAUUUUUUAUAUAUAAAUGCUUGUAAAUUUUCUUGCAUGUUGUAAAAAAUACAAAAACCAAAGUCGACACGUCUCUUUUUUUAAAAGGACCGAUGUCAAAAAUGUAAAUACCAAAUAUGGCAUAUGUCCAUUAUUUUUUUUUGGUGACCCAGACGUAAUUCUCCUUUUUAGGGUUGAAACGUCAUAUUUUAGACAAGUCUCCUAAUUUUUAGGGACUGAUGUCAUUUUUAACGUGUCUCCUAUUUUUAGGGACCGACGUUAACCAUUUAAAAAAACAAAUUACCAAUAAACCCAAAAUAUAAUGGAUUAUAUCCAUUAUUUCUUUUGGUAACUCAGACGAGUCUCCAAUUUUUAGGGACUGAUGUCAUUUUUAACGUGUCUCCUAUUUUUAGGGACCGACGUUAAUCAUUUACAAAAAUUUACAAAUAAGCCCAAAAUAUAAUAGCAUUUGAAUCAAAUAAAAACACACAAGUAAGGGUAACCUUUCUUUUGAAAGGAUGUUUUAAGGGUGGUGUCUACCUUCCCUUAAUCAUAACUAACCCCGUACCCGAAUCUCUGGGACCAGUGUCUAAUUUGGGAUUUCUAGUUCCCUCAAAUUACUAGAUGGCGACUCCAAUAAAAUCUUUGUUUCCCCCAAUCGAGAAAAAAACCCUUUUUGUUAAACAAACAAAAAAAGCGGGAGCCGUCGCCCGACGUCGUGUAUCGACAAAUGUCUGCAAAUCUUGUGGUCAUAUACAGGGUGCCGGUUUUCUUUCCACGAGCCAAAACCAUUGCUCCCUUUGAUACCUUCCACAUACCUCCAGAAAAAAGGAUUGAAUGACCACUAUCAUCAAGUUGUCCGACCGAGAUCAGCUUCUUCUUUAGAUCAGGAACAUGCCUUACAUUUUGCAAGGUCUAUAUAGAUCCAUUCAUUGUCUUGAUUUGUACAUCUCCUAAACCCACAAUAUCCAAUGGUUGUCCAUCGGCCAGAUAGACUACACCGUGAUCUCCAGCAAUAUAGUUUUGCAUCAUUUCAUGGUGUGGUGUACAGUGAAAUGAAGCACCAGAAUCAAGAACCCAAUCAUCAACAGGACUAUGCACAGCAAGAAUCAAAGCAUCUUGCACCUCAUUUGUGGUAGCGUUUGCAGAGUCAGCUUCAGGUUUUUUCGGUUUUGUGCAAUUCCUCAUGAAAUGACCGGGUUUGCCACAAUUCCAACAUUCAACCUGUUUUCUGGGUCCAAACUUGCUUUUACUUCUAUAUCUUGAUUUUGAUCUGCCUCUGGAUAAGCCUCUAUCAUGUCUCCUCCCUCGAGUGUUGAUGUUGAGAGCUGAUCCUGAGCUUGAACUUUCACCCGAGUCUUUCCUUCGCACUUCUUCAGCCAAAAUCAAGUCUCGAAUGUCAUCAUACUUCAGUUUGGAUUUUCCAGCUGAAUUGCUCACGGCUGUCCUCAUGCCUUCCCAACUGCUUGGAAGUGAAGCUAGCAAGAUGAGUGCACGAAUCUCAUCAUCAAACUCAAUCUCAACAGAUGAUAAUUGAUUUGUGAUGGUAUUAAAGUUAUUGAGGUGUUGUGUCACAGAAGUGUUUUCGACCAUCUUCAAGUUGAACAACUUUUUCAUCAGGUGCACUUUAUUAUUUGCUGAUGGCUUCUCAUACAUCCCAGACAAGGCUUCCAUCAAUCUUGCAGUGGAUCUUUCUUUCGUAACAUUGUGAGCAACUCUUCUUGAUAAGGAUAACCGGACAAUGCCCAGAACUUGUCUAUCAAGAAGUAGCCAAUCUUCUUCUUGCAUAUUUUCUGGUUUGCUCCCCAACAAGGGAAGAUGAAGUUUCUUCCCAUAUAGAUAAUCCUCAAUUUGCAUUUUCCAGUAUCCAAAAUCUGUCCCGUCAAAUUUUUCAAUUCCAGCUGCUUUUAUUUCAUCUGCCAUUUUUACUGCUUCUCCGAUUCGAAUUUCCCAAAUCUGACCUUACAGAUGUGUCCGGAACAGCCGAAAACCUUGGAAAUGACACUGAGAUAACCCCAAUCGGACUUCGGAUGGCUCAGAUUUUAGCAAUCAAAGUUUUGGAUUAACGGACGGUGCAGAUGCAGCCGCGUGUCAACCAGAGUACCGCCUGCGUCGCACCGGAUCAAAACCUCAGUAGCGGUUCUGAUGAAGCCACGUGUCAGCAGAUUAGGUCCUGCGUCACACCGUAUCAAAACUCAGUAACGGUUAUGAUGAAGCCACGUGUCAGCAGAUGAUGGCCUGAGUCACACUGGAUCAAUACUCAAUAGUGGUCCUGAUUUAACCACGUGUCAACUGAUUGGAUCUUGCGUCGUACUGGAUCAAAACCCCUCAACGGUUGUGAUGUAGCCACGUGUCAGAAUAUCAGCUUCUGCGACACAUCGGAACAAAACUCAGAGAUGACGUGGCAGGUGACGUGGCAGGUGACGCGGACGGUGACCGUACGGCUGUGCUGACGUGGCGGGUCAGCCCGACCCGUUUUGCAGAAGUCGGGCGAAGAUGGAGCGUGGCGCGCGUACGGCGCGUUGGUGCGCGUGGGCAGUCUGGGCGUCGGCGCGUGUUGGCGCGUGCGGGCAUGCAGGACGUCGGUUCUUCGCCGGGUUUUCAACAGUGGAUUCGUCCGGUUGUCCUCUACACGAUGGUAUGUUCAAAAACACGUUUUGAGAACUUUGAUUUUUGAGUUUGGAUCAAACACCCUCUUUGUCAAGAACAAGCUCUGAUACCAGUUGUUGGGUAAUUCCAGAACUCAAACACACAUCAAUUUACGUGGUUCGGCAACUUGCCUACUCCACGGAGCUACUGGUUUGUAUUAAUCAAGCUUAGAAACAAUACAAACAACAAAACAAGGAGGAGGAGAAAAUCUUCUCUACUCAACUCAAGCUCUCUCUCUCUCACGUUUUUCUCUCUGUGUUUUCACUCUUCUCUGUGUUCUUCACGCUUCAACCCUCCAGCUCUUCACUGAGCAUACAUAUAUAUUAAGCUAGGAGUGAAGGGCAUAAAUCAUGCCAUGAUUUAUGCCCACCGUUUGCCUCCACUUGUGCUAAGUGGAGAUUAGGUAUUCCCACUAAGCACAUAGUGGAGGUGGGACAUUGCUUGUCUCCAAAUAGCUAACAUAACUGAGGUGGGGUCGCCCUUGAAACAUUGGUAGAUGUAAGUGUUGCUCACAUGCAUAGAAUAUUUUUUUUCUACUUAGUAGUGGUUUUGGCAAUUUUUUUCAGACAAGUCUUGAGAGUUGAAAGAGUAAUCACACCCGAGUCAACCAACAAUCCAAAUCAGCUCCCUUCCUAAUGGUUCAGGAAUGAGAAGUCCAGCUUAUAUAUUUGAUAUAGAGACGGUACACUACAAAUUAAGCACCCAAUAACUAGACAAACAAUCAUGAUAAACUAGGAACAAUUGUCUUCCCAGUAACAAAUUCACCUUCUCACGUUGGAGAACUUGCGAAAACUAGCCACCACAAAAUAGUAGCAAGUAUUUAUGCAGUCUUCGAUGAAGUACGACCACCUGCGUCGCCAAUAUGGAUUGAUGUAAAGAACUGCUGCAAUCGUCAUUACCACAACUGUGUAACAUACACCGAAGCUGAUGUAGAAAAACUCCAUGUCUAUGAAACCAUCAUCUCCUUGUUCAUCAUUAGGCACUGGCUGUAACGGCACUGCUUCCUCACUACAAUUGUUUCGCAAUGGAGGUCCACACAAGAAAGGAUUUCCUUCGUAACAGUUUUCAUCAUCAAAGGUCCCAAAUUGAUAUUUUCUCUCGGGUGUCCUACCUGACAAGUUAUUGUACGCCACACUAAAAACUUCCAGUGUGGUAAUUUCAGUAAGUUGUGGAGGGAUGGCACCAUUCAAGUUGUUGUAAGAAAGAUCCAAACUCUCAAUCUGCUUUAGGUUUGAGAAUGUUGCAGGGAUAGAUCCAGUGAGAUUGUUGUGUGAUAAGUUUAAUGACAGUAUCUUACUCAAGUUUCCAAAUUCUGGUGGGAUUGCUCCUACAAAGUUGUUAUUGGAGAGAUCAAUACCAUACAUGUAGCUCAGAACUUUCCCCUUGUAACCAUAAUACAUAUUUUUAGUUGUAAAUUCUAUCACUUCUUCUGUAAAGUUAACCCAAAAAUCCUUUCCCAAGUUGUACAUACUAUCCCCUAGUGGUGGACCCAUUGUUUCAUAAUAAGCUUUUUCUAUGGACCAUGACGGAAAACCAUAUCCGAGAUCCGCGAGCGUUUUCUGGGAACUUUCCUUGAGAGUUAGAUUGCCCAAACAUGAGGGUAGUGGACCAGAGAGCUGGUUUUGUGAAACAUCCAAAAUACUUAAUUGUUCUAACAAGCAUAACUGAACAGCGAGCUCACCAUCAAAGUUAUUAGCCCUCAGAAGAAGAACACUCAAUGAUGAAAGAUUGCCAAUCCAAUUUGGAAUAGAGCCAAUGAAGCUGUUGUCUCGAAGAUCCAUCGUAACUAGGGAAGAGCUGUUAUAAAAACCAUAUGUUAAUGGACCGCUCAAUCUAUUUUUGGAUAGAUGAAUAUGGGUUAUUUGUGGUGGAUUGAAACAAGAUGGCAUAUAUCCAGACAAGUAGUUAUCAGAAAGGUCCAAAAAUUCAAGCCGGUCAAGCUUACAAAAGUCUCUUGGGAUUGGACCCUUAAAAAGGUUUUUGGACAAAUCAAGUACUUCAUCGUACGUAAAAUUAAAAAAGCUUCUUGGAAGCAUGCCUGAAAAUUGAUUGUUACUCAAAUCCAAUACACUCCAUACUUUCCACCCAUAUAAUGGAAAAUCUGAUAUCUGACCCCAAAAGUAGUUACCACCUAGGUAGAGAUAUUGUGAGAUAGAAGAAUUGAACACCGAGGUCGGUAUUUGCCCACCCAAACUAUUGUUUGACAGCUUGAGAACCUGUAUUGUUGUUAAUUGUUCUAGUUUUACUGUAGACAAUUGAUUGUUGGAUAAAUCUAAAAAUGAAAGAGAGCUAAAAUUUCCUAAACAAGAAGGAAUAUAACCUGUGAAUCCAUUGUCAGCCAUCCUUAAGAUCCACAGAUUUGGAAAGAUCAAACAAAUAUCUUUUGGAAUUUGACCAUUUAUGUUGUUGUUGGAUAUAUCUAAUUCGGUCAUAUUCGGAUAUGGGUGAUCUAGCAAUUGCAAAGUACCAACAAAGGAGUUCUCGCUCAGAUAUAGUUGCUCCAUUCGUGUAUUGUUCUUAAGCAACCAUGAUGGAAACAUUCCGAAGAUGUUGUUGUGGGAGAGAUCAAGGGUUCUUAAGUCGUAUUGGUAAUAGAGGAAGUCGAGAAUUUCUACAUUGAGUGCUUCCGAUGUUGGACUACUUGACAAGCGGAAAAAGACUAGUUGGAACUUUGGAAUCAAAUUAUCAAAGGCAGCAGAUUCCGUUACUAGUCUGUUGUUCUCACUGGAGAAGAACUUGAGGCUUGAGUGGUUCAUAAAAGGCUUCAUUGAAAUGGGAACUUCAAAGAGGUUAUUUGAUAGUGAGAGGAAUUCAAGGGAUAUGAGCUUGGUAAGAGGACCAAAUGCAAUAUUUCCAGUAAACUGGUUAUCAGAAACAUCUAAUAGUUGUAGAGAUGACAAGUUCCCCAAACAAUCUGGGAGUGCACCUCCAAAAUUAUUUCUAGCGAGAUCUAACUGCUUCAGAUUCUUCAAUUCACACCAACCUAUACAAUUUAUCUUGAAACAAUCAAAACAAUGUUGAAAGAAUCUUUUAUUGAUGAUGUAAUUAUAGGCGGAUGGAGAGUUGUUAAUUUACCUUGAGCGGGUAGGGUGCCAUGGAGGUCACAUUCAGCAACAGACAAAACUUUAAGAGCAGGCAAUGCUCCAGUGUUCUGGAGAAAGUUUAUUGGGAGAGAAGUAUUAUCUAGAUGCAAUUCUUCAAGGGUGCUAGAAUUGAAGAAAGUCCCUGUGAAAAAGAAAGAAGAAGAGAUAUGAUGAAAAUAGUGGUGGUACAGAAUAGCCAUUCCAUUCAAUAUUAUUAAUUAAGAUUUUAAGAAACUAAACUAUGAUUAACCUUGACUUAAAUUAGUAUCCUUGAGAGAAAGGGUCUUCAGCGAUGGCCAUGAACGCAAUGACUGCAGGAUGUCCAGAUUCCUUAAACCUAUGAUAUUUGGAUAGAAACAACAAAUUGCUUGAAGAAUCUAGAGAUUUCAAAAGGUAUUGUUAAGAAAUGAAGUAAAUAAUAGAAGAUGCCAAGAGAUAUUCAUAACUUUACCAUUGAUAGUCGUCGAUCCUAGCAACAUAUUGCCUGAUAAAUUUAAAGACUUGAGAUGAGAAAGUCCACGCAGAUGUGAUAAAAUGCUGUCAUUGAAUAUAUUAUUAUGGCUCAGGUCCAGGUUCUCGAGUUUCCCCAAAUGUGAUGAUAUGAUCUCAAAACCUGCAAGAGUAAGUCGUUAAAGUCGUUAUAUAAAAUAUAAUUCUAAUUUUGAUCUUAUUGGAAAUAUUACGAAACAAUUUUUAAAUAUCAUUCUAGUUUCGAUCUUAUUGGAGAAAAAAAAACAAUUUAUGGAUAUAAAGUCGAUAAAGAUGGAAGCUAAGUUAUGGAUAGACUUACAAAACAAGAUAAAGAAACUUAUAAUUAAGAUCUCAUCGGUAAUUAAAACAAGAAUAAUAAUCGAUCCUAGAUAGCAACAUAUUGUCCAAAUAUUUCACCAUAAAAUCACCCAUCACCAUUCACCACGACCAUAAGGCAAAAUCCUCCACCACAUAAUAAUAUUUUGAUUAAAAAAAGGUCCAAAAUAAUAUAAAACCAUGAUUAAAAAGGAGAGGAAAUAAUAAAUGGCUACAAACAAGAAUUAAAUAUCAUAUAUGUGGGUUUUAUGUUGUUCUCUUUAUUGAUAAAACAGUCGAGAGUUUUUCUAAUAGAGAAAUUGGCUGUCGAGAGUGAUUUGUAUUGGAUAGUUUUUUUGAUAGUUUUUAUUAAAUAGAUAUAAAGUCCUCAUUUUUGUUGAUAAAGAAACAAUAUAAUUAAGAGAAUGUCAUGUGAAGCAUUUAGGUAGGUAGAAACUGUGUAUUAUACCUGAUCCUGUCAGCUGAUUGCCUGACAGAUACAAAGAUUUUAGGGAUGAAAACCCAGUUAGAGAUGGAAAAAUGCUAUCGUUGCAUUGAAUCUCACUUAGAUGAAGGUUCUCCAGCUUUUUCAACCUUGAUGACAAGUCUUUGAGACCUGCAUGAUGUUCCUCAAUAGCAUAUUGGAAGGAAAUAAACGCAUAGAAAAAAAAUGAUAUGAGAAGGAGAAAAGAAAAGGUUUCAAAGCUAAAUAAUUAAAAGGUUACCAUAGAAGCUACCUCCUAAUCCAGCUGUCAACCCAUCGGUAAUUAAAACAAGAAUAAUAAUCGUUAAAUAUCAUUCUAAUAAUAAUCCAUGGCAAGUUCAAAUCCGUUGGUAACUGAAUUCCUCUAUCUAUUUAGUUAGUAAGAUGCUUAGUUGUCACUAAUUUAGUAAUUAUAAUUUGUUCCUCUGUUUUCUAGCAACUACUUUCCCAAUUUUAUCCAUUCACCACGACCGUAAGGCAAUAUCCUCCACCACAGAAUAAUAUUUUGAUUAAAAAAAGGUACAAAACCCAUUAUUAAAAAGAGAGGAAAUAAUAAAUGGCUACAAACCGAAAACCGGUCCAAUAUGUGGGUUUUAUUUAAAAAGAUAAAUAUAAAAUAUAUAUUUAUAGGAGAGUUUUGAAGUGAACUUCUGAUUACUAAUUUAAUCUAAAUAUUACAACACUUUUGGCAUAAAAGGGCUAAAAUAAGAAUAAAAUAUAUGCCUCUUGGACCUAAUUCCAAGUGCCUCUUUUCUUGAUAUAAAGUCCUCAUUUUUGUUGAUAAAGAAACAAUAUAAUUAAGAGAAUGUCAUGUUAAGCAUUUAGGUAGAAACUGUGUAUUAUACCUGAUCCUGUCAGCUGAUUGCCUGACAGAUACAAAGACUUGAGGGAUGAAAAUCCAGUUAGAGAUGGAAAAAUGCUAUCGUUGUAUUGAUUCUCUCUUAGAAGAAGGUUCUCCAGCUUUUUCAACCUUGAUGACAAGACUUUGAGACCUGCAUGAUGUUCCUCAAUAGCAUAGAAAUGAUAUGAGAAGGAGAAAAGAAAAGGUUUCGAAGCUAAAUAAUUAAAAGGUUACCACAGAAGCUACCUCCUGAUCCAGCUGUCAACCCAUUGAAUGAUAGAUCCAAAGACUUGAGAGUGGAAAGGUUACCAUUGAAACAUGACAAAAUGCUUUUAUCAUUAGUAAAUUUGUUAACACGUAGGUCAAGAUUGCUCAGUUUUGAUGAUAGGACUUCGAAGCCUGGGAAGAGAAUCAUCAAAGCAAGAUAAUUGACAUUAAACACCAACCAACCAACCUUCAUUUAUUUUAUGAUUAUAAUUAAGUGCAGAAACAUUGAACUAACCUUCAUUCUCCAUGCAACCAACCAAUCCAGUACCUCCCAAAUCAAGACCUCGCAAUUCUUUGAAAGGCUGAAACAAAGAUGCGUUGAGAACCCAAUCGCCCAAGUGGAAAUCCCUUGCCCCCCAAAGAGAGAGUUGGAUCACUCGCCUUGUAGUGUUAUCACACUCGAUCCCACGCCACUCACAACAAUUACUAUUGGUGUCCACCCAAUGAUCUCUCCAGGAAACGCCAUGUGGGUUGAUCAAAGAUUGGAUCUCCAAGAGACCAAUCCUCUCCUCCUCCAAACACCCAUAACAACGACCAUGCCAUUCGCCAACCAAAGUGAAUAAUGCUAGCAACAUCCAAGCCCCAAUUCUUUUCAUCAUCAUCUUAGAUAAUUCUAUGAACUGCUACGUAGAAUAUUGUUGUUUGUUAUGUGCCUUUGGGCAACCAUAGAGGUCCUAUUUAUACUACACUCUGGCCAUUUCCAUGACUUUGAGAUGUUUUCUUUAUUUCAUUUCUUUUUGGAAUAUUUUUGGAUUUGAAUAUUAUUCUAUUUUAUUGUCUAGCACUUAGUCUAUUUGCCAGGUUGGGAAAAAUAUUCAAAUUAGUUUUGUUGGCAUGUAAACCUCACCAAAUAAUUUGCGUAGACCGUAUUGACUGGGAGUCAAUUAUUGUCGUAGUGCUUUUAUGCACGAUCUGUGUGCGUGAACGGAAAGAAAAGCAGGGUGUGAAAAGCAUUAAAGGUUGUGAACGCGGAUGCUUGACUUGCUGUGUACCAUUUUGAUUUUUAAACACGGCCAUGCAGUCAUUUCCUGGCGAUUUCCUUAUGCAUACUGGUGGUCUUUCAUAAUCUUUUUCCAAACAAUCCUCGUUAGGCCGGCUCGGGGGUUAACUUAGAGUAAGGCAUCGUUUGACAUUGCGUUUGUAACUGCGUUUUAUUAAAUUUUGAAUUUUUUAUUUUUGCUAAAAUUAAGUGUAGCUUGUACUUUUUGGAUCUUUUUGAUGUGCUGAUGUUAAAAAUAAUUUUUAAAAAAUAAAAAAAUAUCAUUAGCAUGUAUUUCGGCACGAAAAGCUAUUUGAAAAGUACCCGCAACCACACUGCCAAACACGCUCUAAGAUUUGUAUCAUCGUUUUUUAUCAGAUUCAAGAUCAACUUGGAUCAAUCUUAAUUUUAUGCUAUUGUUUUUUAUAUAUAAACAUAAAUAAAAAUCCAGAUCUCUUUUAUAAUCUUAAAGGUAGUAUAUUAAUAGUAGAACCAUUAUCUAUCCAGAUACAAUUCAUCAUCUUUUCAUCGACAUAUCUUUUAAUUAAGAAAAGCUGUUUAUAGAGUUUUAAUCUAAGCAAUAGGUUUUCAUCGUUAAAGGAUACCUAUGUGGUGCUAAGUUCUUCUAAAGUUGGAGAACUUAUGAAAAUUAAUGCAAGGCUUCAACACUCCGAAGCCUGCAAGAGAAAUAUCAAAGCAAAAUAAGUAGCGUUAAACAGCAGCCAUUUCUUCAUUUUUAAUUUUAGUAUAACACAAUAAUAUGAACCAACCUUGAUUCUCAAAGGCACCCAACUAAUUCAUUAGCCUUCAAAUCAAGACUUUGCAAUUCCUUAAAAGGCAGAAACAAAGAUGCGUUGAGAACCCAAUCGCCCAAGCGGAAAUCCCCAGUACCCCUAAGAGAGAGCCGGAUCACUCGUCUUUCGGUGGUAUCACACACGAUCCUAGACCACACACAACAAUUACUGCCCAGGUAUUUCGACAGUUAUGGCUUGUGUGGGUUUUGGUUCACGAUGGAGAUGAUGGAUACAAUGAUGUAUUUCGACAACAAAAUUUUCAGUUCUUGUGAAUGGCUCUCCAACUAAAGAGUUCUUUAUGGAAAAGCGAUUGCGACAAGGGGACUCUUUAUCAACAUCUCUAUUCAACAUAGCAACUGAGGGUCUUGGUAGAAUGCUAAAAUUAAAAGGAGAUGUGAUUUGGGACUUAUAAAAGGUAUUUGUUUUGAUCACUUUCAAGUUUGUAGAUGAUACACUCAUCUUCAGUUCAUAUGAUUAUCCAUCUCUUCAAAAGAUCAAAAGAACUAUGUGAUGUUUUGAGUUGAUUCCUAGGCUGAAGGUUAAUUUCCACAAGAGCUCAAUCACUAGAACUAGAACUAGAAUUGAUGAUGUUGUUAUUUCUUCAACUGCUAGCAAUCUAAUAUGUAGGAUGGAGGGGAUGCCAUUUAAGUAUUUGGGUCUGCCUAUUUAUGCAUCUUCAUCUCAUACAUCCGUUUGGAAAACUAUUGCUUGAUUAACUCAAUUAUAAAUAACCUUUCUUUAUUUCCUAUCCCAUCCACUGUUGCUACCAAAAUUGAGAAACAUAUCAUAUCUUUCUUUGGUUCUCAGGAGGAAGGAGGGAAAAAACUAUGCAAUGUUAAAUGGGCAUCAGUGGUUCCUCCAAAAAAACAAAAAAGGUGGGUAUAGACUGCAUUAUUGAUAAAAAUAAAGCCUUGUUUUUCAAAUGGCUAUGGAGGUUUGGGAGGUCUAAUACAAGACUAUGAAAAGAUGUUAUCUACAACAUCCACAACCAAAAAGCGUAUUUGAACAUGCCUUUAGUUUGUGUUAAUUUAAAGGGUAGUACAUGGUCCAGGAAUGUCGUUACUUUUUAUAAGAACGAGGGACUUCAAAAUAUUGCCAAGAAAGAAGUUUGUGGUUUGGUUGGCAAUGGUAGAGAUAUUAACUUAUGGAAUGAUGUCUGGCUGAUAGAUUCUUGUCUUGCAGUUCAAUUUCCUAGACUUUAUAGUCCACCUGAAGAUCAUGUCUCCCCUGUAGCUACUGCAGCAGUAAAAGCUUCUAUCCAACCAGCCAGUGUGAGGCCUUCCCCUGUUGCUAGCAAUGUAGCUUCUUCAAGUAGCUAAAGUUCUGCUUCAAUAAAUGCCACGACAUCAGCAAUAACUGGUGCUACAACAAUGAGCUUCAACUACCCAAACUUCCCUGGCAAAAUUGCAGAAUGGUGCGUACGAGAUUCUAAUCCCUGAACAUGUUGGGGGCCACGAUAGCCUACAGAGGAACCCAUCCUCAGGCUAUGCCUUUCUUCAAUGGAUCAAUUCUAUUCUUCUUGAAUGUUUCAUCCUUCAUAGCUUCAGCGACAGCAACAACCAUUCAUACAGACACAACAAAGCCAACAGGGUCAUCAAAAUCCAAGUAUUUCUAGUGGCUCCUCGUCAUCCCAGAAGCAUUUGCUGAAUUAGGUGGAAUCAGCAGCGGUCAUCAAGAUCCAACCAUUUACAGAAUCAUCAGCAGAAUCAUUCCCUGCCGAACUAGCAGCGGCAGCUGAUGCAAAAUCAGAAUGUUACUCACAAACACCUCCUCCUUUUGCAAUGUCAUUUGCUCCAUCAACGGAACCACAACUUCCCCAGGUCUUGAUGUUUCAUUGCUGGUACAGAAUCAUGCUCUUCUCCAAAGCCCUCCAGAGGCAGCAAGUCAUGGCUAUCACUUCAUCACUGCGGCCCAAGCAACACAGCAGACGAAUUACCGUGUGCCUGAAGAAGGGAAAAAUGGAGGAAAUGACACUUCAAAUAUGGAAGGAGAGAGAAAGGCCGAUAUGGUUGGAGGACAGACCCCAUUAACUGGUGGGCAGUCAAUUGUGUUCUCUCGGCUAGAUUUUGUGUUCUCUCGGCUAGAUUUAACAGACUCCUCUGUUUCAACAAUGCCUGUGAACAAUGUUGUUGAUAGCUCAGCCCGAACUCUUAACCUUGGGUCCACUCUUGCUCGGACCUCAAGCCCUGUUAUGUCAGCUACUAUUGGCAGUGUAAAUGCACCAAGUAUACAACAACAGAUGCAGUGGAAUCAGCAGCAGCAGCAACGAAGUCAGCAAAUCCUUCAACUUCAGAAGCGUCAACAAUUUGCAGCUGCAGCUUCCACUCGAAGUGAAACACCAACAACUAGUAAUGGAAGUGUUUAUUCGGACCACAUCUCAUCAUCAUCAUCUAUGGGCACCAAGUUACCUAAUGCACUUUUGCAUUUCCUCAAAAUCUUGUUCAAAGCGGCAGUAGCAGCAGCAGUUAACAAAGCAUGCACUGCAACAGGCUCAACUAAUCUACGCUAAUGCUUUUAUGCAAGCUCAAGCUCAAGCUCAAGCUCAACAUGUGGCAAAUUCAACAAGCUUUGCAUCAACAGCUAGUGGGUUUCAUCUGCAAAGACAUCGCAAUGAGCAGCAACCGCAAUGCAUCGGCAACCUCUUCUACAAGGAUGUUGUUGUUAUGUCAUCCGAUCAUGUAAAUUUUUGUGACUCCCAACCUCCUAGCAACCACGAGAGGAUGUUUCCAGUUUUUUUUUUCAACAGCUAAUGCUUAGAUAACAAAAAUAGAGGAAUAACUGAUAGAGCUCCAGCAUUCGAGCAGAGUUUAAUAAAAAAAUAUAAAGUAAGGUUAGAUGCGUGAGCCUUGUUUUGUAAAUUUUUAUUUGAAUUUUAAUAAUUGUUUUUAAUUGUUAUGUAUAUGAAUAAAAAUUUGUUCAUGAAAUUUCAAUUUAAAUCACUUUUUUAAUCUUAGAAUUUUAAAAUAUAUUUUGAGCAUGAUUUUAUUAUAUUUAUGAUUUAUUUUAACUUUCAAUCACACAUAAAAAUAUAAACAUACUAUUUUGAUUUUUUUUUAAUUUGUUCUGACAAUUAUAGAAUAUUCUUUUAAUAUAAAAAAUGAUUCUAGUUAAGAAAAAAACUUGUAUAUUCACCAAGAUAAAACAAGAAAUAUGCUAAUAAAAUUUUUUAUCUUGAUAGAGAAAAAUUCAAAACGACUGUAUUUUCAAGUUUAAUAACAAUGUCAAGGAGUCCCUUAGACUGGGAUAUUUUGUUUUACAUUUAAAGUUUUUUUGAUCUCCAUAGCAUAGCACUAGCAUACAAACUUGUAUAUUUUUAAGGCAGCGUUUAGUUACUAUCCGAGACAGUAGAGACAGAGACAAUGGAGACAGAGGAGACAAUACAUAAAAGAAGAUGGAGAUAGAAUUGUGUUCACUAAUAAUAUAUAAGACAAAGUGAUUGUUUUUGUAUCAUAUUUGAUUAUGAUAGACAAGAAAGAAUAAAAUAUAAAAAAAAUAUUUUACCUUUAAUAUGUAUUGUUGUCAAACUUACAUGUUUUAAAAAAUAAUUAGUUUUAUUUUUUUACUUUAGUUUUAUAUUGAGUAUUGAAAUUAUUAAUAUUAUAAUAACCCUAGUAUUAAAACCAGGAUUAACUUGACAGGUUGACCCGAGGCCUAUACUGGUCUAAGUUUCAGAAAAAUAGAAGAAUGAUUAACUCGACCUAACCUAGUAAAAAACAUGAGUCAACUUAAGAUAAAACACGGGUCAAAACCCAUUAAAUAUUUUGAAAAAGAAAAUUGUUCAAAACAAGGUUUCUUUGACUAUUUGUUUUUAAAAAAAAUUAGGUCGAUCGGGUUAACCUUCUCUUGGAUUAACUCCUGAGUUGAGUUUUAAAACUAUGAUAAUAAUCAUUUUUAUCCAUACAUUAACUCAGGUCAAUCUGUGUUGACCCUCUCGACCCAUGACCUAGGCCUUGCUUCUGUCGACUCCCGAGUCGGAUUUUAAAAUUAUAAUAAUAAUAAUUUUUAUCCUUACAUUAAUUUGGGUCAACUCUCUUAAUUCGUAACCCAAGCAUUGCCCCAAGUUGACUAUCGAAUUAAAUUUUAAAACUAUGAUAAUAACCAUCUUUAUUUUAUGUUGACUCGGGUCAAUCUAGAUUAACUCAUCUAACACAUGACCCAAGUUUUAUCCCGAGUCGAUCCCUGAUUUGGGUUUUAAAACUAUGAUACUAAUUAUUUUUAUCAUUACAUUAACCUAAGUCAAUGAUCAACCCCACUCGUUACCCAAGAAUUGCCCAGGUCGACCCCCAAAUCGAGUUUUAAAAUAUGAUAAUAACUAUUUUUAUUCUUCUACUGACACAGGUCAACUCGACUCAUGACUCAAGCCUCAACCAGUGACCCAGAAUUUGCCCCGGAUCGACCCCCAAGUUGAAUUUUAAAACCAUGAAAAUAAUCAUUUUUACAUUUAUAUGUCUUAGUUGGACAAUUUGAAAUUGAGAGUUUUUUUAUAAAAAUAUUUUAGGAAUAAAAAAUAAUAAAUAUUAUCUCUAGAGACAUGUCUCCUCUAUACCUUACGUUUUGGAAGCACAAAAAUUCACUCCAAAAUUAUUCUAGAAACAAAUUUAUUUUUAUGUAUUUGUCUUUGUCUCUUCAACCAAAUAUAUUUAUAUCUUUAUUGUUUUUAUCCUUUCUAUUAUAGGACAAUGACCAAACAUUACCUAAAGGAUAUACAACUGACAAGGAUGAACUUGGCUUUAUUUCAUCUUUGAUAAUUUCUUCUCGAUGAUAUCUCACCGAUUUGUGGAGGCAAUUGAUCAAAACCUAGUUGAUUCAAAGGUUGACUUUGAAAAAAUAUAUUCAUAGAGUAAUGUUUGAAUCUUGGUGUUUUUUAUUGGCUCAAAAAAAUUACCAACUCACCAAAACCUGUAUGAAACAUUUAGAUUUAAUAUUAUAUGUAUAAUUUAUUAUAAUAAUUGAUAUACUAUUCAACUCAGUAACUUAGUAGGAUGACCUAUAACCUGCUGAUCUAAGAUUUUAGCCGAAUCAAGCUUUAAGCUAGAUAUAAUGACUAUGAUUUUAUAAAAUUACUAUGAACUUCCCUUUUAUGUCUUCUUAUUUACUCAUUUGAUAUUUUUUUUUAUGAAGUUAAGAUGUUCACAUUUAUAUCAUGAUUAAACUCUAGGGUAACAUUUAGUUAUUAUCUUGGGAUAAAAAGAAUAAAGAUAGUAAAGACAAAAAUAUGUUUGGUUGAAAAGAUAUAGAUAUAAAAAUAAUUUUUUUCAUGGGAUAAUUUUAGAGUGAAUUUAUAUAUUUUCAUAACAGAAAAUACAAAUAAGACAUAUCUUCAUAAACAAUAUUAUUUUUUAUUCCUAAAAUAUCAUUGUAAAAAACUUUCAAUUCCAAAAUUGUCCAAUUAAGAUAUGUAAAAAUAAAAAUAGUUAUUAUCGUAGUCUUAAAACCCAACUUGGGGGUUGACUUGUAGAAAGAUAUGUGAUCUUUGUUGACCCAAGUCAAGGUAAAAAUAAAAAUAGCUAUUAUCAUAGUUGUAAAAUCUAACUUGAGGGUCGACCUGGGACAAGGCACGGGUCAUUGUUUGGGUUGACCAUUGACCCAAGUCAACAAAAAAAUAAAAGUGGUUAUUAUUGUAAUUUUAAAACUUAACUUGGAGGUCGACUCAAGGCAAGGCCCGGGUCAUGGGUCAGGAGGGUUAACUCUGGUGGAACCGGGUUAAUGUAAGGAUAAAAGUGGUUAUUACAAUAGUUUUAAAACUCGACUUAGAGAUCGACCUGAGGUAAGCUCAGGUCUUGGGCUAGGAGGGUUAAUGCAUGGAUAAAAAUAAUUAUUAUCAUAAUUUGAAAACUUGAUUCAAGAGUCGACCCGAGACAAAGCCUAGGUUAUGGGUUGGGAGGGUCAACCCGAGUUGACCCAAUUUUUUUUUAAAAAAAAAGAAUCAACACAACCUUGUUUUGACCAAUUUUUUUUAAAAAUAACAGGUUUUGCCCCGUGUUUUAUCCCGAGUCGACCCGUGUUUUAUCCCGAAUCAACUCGGUUUUUUAACUCACCUAUCUUUUCUUAAACUUAAAAUUAAUCCGGGCUUAGAGACAACUAGAUCCCGAAUAGAUUCACUAGGUCAGUCUAGGUUAUAUAACUAGGAUUAUUAUAAUAUUAUUAAUUUCAACACUUAAUAUAAACUAAAGUAAAAAAAAGUUCUAAUUAUUUGUAUAAAUAUGUAAGUUUACCAAUAAUACAUAUUAAAGGUAAAAUAAUUUUUUUAUAUAUUUUUUUUAUCAUUAUCAAAUAAGAUAUAGAGACAGUUACCGCCAAACAUAAUUUUAUUUUCAUCUCCUUUUCUAUCUUUUUUUUCUUUAUUUUCAUGGUCUUCUUUUUUAUUCAUAACAGUAACCAAAUAUUGGCUAGUUAUAACAUAUAGAAACAUACAAGUUGUCAUGUUCAAGCCGUUCUCUUAUCAUUUUAAAUAAAUUGAAACACAAUUGCGAGGAGAAGAGUGUGUUUUGUAUUGUGUUAGCUUUUGUGGUUGUGGUUUGAAAAUUGUUGUUUUAUAAAAAAUACUUUUAGUUGAGGUUGGUUUGAUAUUUAUAUAUGUUUAGUUAAAAUUGUGGUUGAAAUUGAGGUUGAACAAAAAGUAAUUUAAUGUGUUUGGUUAAGAAUGCUUUUCAAAUCGAGGUUAUAAAAUAAUUAAAAAAGAUAUAUAUUAAUAUUGAUAGUUUUUAAUUUAAAUAUUGUAGAUUUAACUACUGCUAUUACAUCAUGAAAUAAAUAAUACUUUAUAUAAAAUAUUUUUUUAUUGUUCCAUUAAACUAUCUACAAUUCCAUCACAUACGAAAUUCAUUCGACAAGGACUACAGUUUUCUUGGUUUCUUAAGCGCACAACAAUAUCAAGUAAAAUAUAAUCAGGAACAAAAUUAGGAUUGCGAUCAAAUUCUGCAAAUGCUAUGUCAUCAAGCAAUCUCCUUAUAAUUUAUGUAGUGUUAUUGAAUAAUGCUAAACACUAGUUUUUCAAAUAAAACAUAAUUAAAAAUAAAAAAAAAUUGAUUUUUUUUUAUUUUACUGGGUCAGACCCGGUUCAAUGCAUUUAGCUUUGAAUCGGACCCAGUCCGGCCAGAAUAGUAGAGACAUUCUAAGCAACUUCAAGUGAGUCUCGUAAACAGUAAAUAACGUACCAAACAAUUAUUUUUAGUAAAGCAGAAGCAACCGAAGAAGAAGAAGAAGACAUGUGAUUACGGUGCCAUGCAGCAUUUUGACAUUAUGAGUAUUUUGAUGUAUAUCCAUUAAUUUAUAAUAUACAAGUAUAUUUCCAUGUUUCUUUUAUUUUGAUAGAACAUUUUUCCAAUAGAAUUUGUUUUUAUUGGAAUUCCAUAUUGAAUGGAUGUCAAUUGAAACUAAAAAUGUGUUAGAUAAGAGCAUACUAAUAUAAAUACCAAAUAAUGUUUAAUUAGAUUGAAUUGAACUAGACACCAUAUGUUUUUAUUCUAUGUUUGGUGCACUAAAGAUAAGAUCAAAUAAUUUUGUUUUUAUCAUUGAGAUAUUUUCAAUCAUUUAUUUUAGUCUUUGCAUUUUAUUUUUAUGAUAUUUUAGUCCUUACUAGAAUUUCUUUGUCAUCUAGAACAAUCUAGUUCUUAAAUCAAAAAGUUUUUGCAAUUAAACUCUUACAUGUACAUAUUUAUUUUAAUAAAAUUGGUCAAAUUUUGGUUUUCCAAAUUAAAAAAUAAAUAAGUGAUAAAUAAAUAAUAGAUAAUAUAAAAAUUAAGAAAAAAUAAUUUUUGUACAAAUUUUUUGUCCAAUCCUUGUCAUGUCCAAAGUGUAUAUCAAACAUUUUAUAGCUUGCCAUGUGCAACAAAUAUAUCACAACUUGUUUUUAUUGUAUUCUAUUAUGAUCUGUUUUGUGCCUUAUAUUAUUUAAUAUAUUAAAAUAAAUUUAAUAAAUUAUACUGAAGCAAGAUCUAAUAUUAGAAAGUUAACGGAAAUAAAUGUACCUUUGCCCGUCCCUUCAACAAAAUGCUGAGCUGUAUACUAAUUCUCAGAGGCAGUGAUAACUAGUUGUUCUAACUAAUCCCUAUACUUUUAAAUAUGUUUACAAUUCAGUCCCUUCAUUAAUUUUUCGUUAGUAAAAUGUUGAGCUGUCAGCAAUAUUUCCUUAGUUUGUGCCGCUAACUUAACGGUAAAAUGUGAUUCAAGGAUCAAUUAAUUAUUUAAAUGAACUUGAGGGAUUAAUCUGUUUGUUUAACAAAAAUACAGACACUAGUUAAAUAGAAUUUAACUCCAAUUUUAAUCAUCAUAUGCGUGCGUGCGAGCGAGCGAGCGAGUGUUUACUCGUUAAUGUUUUUUUAGAAGGAAUCUGGAAAAGAAUAAAGUCAUCCAUUUCACUUUGGUCCAGCAUUCCUCACCUCUCCCCGCCAGAGCUCUCCCUCCCUCCCUCCCUCCCUCCCUCCUCCGCCUCUCGGAAACCGCCGCCGCCAAGAAGGCUUCAGAUUUCUGCCAGGUGCUUCUAUUUCUAUCAUGUUUUUGUUUUUAAAAUUUAUGGGUGUUUUCAUUUAUUCUAUUGGAAUUAUUAUUCAGAGACAGAAAUUCUAUUUUAAUGAGAAAAUUAAAAAAAAUAAUCGAUCCGAUGAAAUCUCUGCUAGUGAACGCAAUUCGAUUUUAAUAAGUAAAUUAAAAAAAUAUAUAAUCGGAUCCGUUGAAAUCGCUGCUCGUGAACGCAAUUCAAAGAAACGCACAAUCAGCCGAUUCUAAUAUUUUCUUUUUCAAUUUUUCCCCUUAAUUUACAUGAUAUUAUCCGAUUUUUCUCACAGUUAUUGUUGUAAUAAUCAAGCCCUGAAUUCUUGAACCCAAAUUUAUUUUAUUUUAUUUUAUUUUAUUUUUUAGUGGAGAAUAGAAAUCAAUUCAAAUCUUUUAGGCUCGAUCGAUAAUUUGUUAAUUAGUUUAUGCAGCAGCUGGAGUGGAAGAGAUUUUUCUGCCGGAAUGGCCGAAAAAUGAGCUGUUUGGUUGAUUCUUCUUUUUUGGAAUUUACUGAAUUCUUCAAAAUUAUUGUGUUCUUAACAACAAUACGAUAUCCUUGGGUUUUAUGCUCGCUCACACAUGGAAAAAAGAAAGAAAGAAAAGGACUUUACAUUUUAUAAUUUGGUCAUGUUAACGCAAAAAAAAUAAAAAUAAUAGUUUAUGAUGACUCAUUGUUUGGUUGAUAACCCUACAUGAUAUAUCUUUCUUUUUAGGACUUCCUAGCUGGUCUUGAGUAUGAGGUGAAAGCUUGAGGAGGGCAGUUGGUCCUAACCAAGGACUGUAUUGUGAUUGAUUGAGUUGAAAGUUAAGAGCAUGUGGAAGUGUAAAACAAAUGACUUUGUUCACUUCACCCCAAAGGCGCACCUGUGCAUCUAGUUAGGAAGAACAUUUUAUAACUUACCUCAAGGUCGAGCAUGGUCAGGGUUAUUGUGUUGUCUAUUCCGAGAAAGAUGUGCCUGCAAAUUUAAUCUUAUUUCAACAAGAGUUGUUAAGUUAAUUCUUAUCAGUCCUCUUUAGAGUUGAUGAUGACAUGAAAUAUUCAUGGUUAAUGCUUGUCGUUUUCUUCUUCAUUUUCCUAGCUUAAAACAUCCUAGAAAUCUAUCUAUUGAAGUAAAGCAUUUAAAUGCGUAUACAAUGUUUUUGGAACUUUAAAUAUCUAUUUGAUCAGAAUCUGUGAACCUAAAACCACAAUGAAUACAAAUGCAAGUUUGUCAUUGUAAACAUUGCAUCAAUGAUGUAUCACGAGUGUUGCUAGAAAACAUCAAGUUAAAAUUGAAGCACCAUGAGUUUCUCCAUGGCUUGGUUUACCAACACUCACCAUCUGAUGGUGUGGCAAGUUAUGAACUAGCUGGCUAGUUUUUUGCUUCCUUGGUUUUAGAAGGACCAUGAAGAUUCAGGCCCAAAUCUUGCUUAUAAUACCUAAAUACCCAAGAUCCUAGCACCUUGCCCUGAAUGGUCGUGUAUAUUUGUUAUGGCUGUUCAGAUUUUAUGCAUCCAUAUUUGGUAGAAUUCUUUAAUAAAGUACAUGCUAUUGGAUGGAAGUUCUUUUUAAAUCUAUUCAAGUCUGAAUAAACUGACAUUCCAAUUUUCAUGACUUUGAUAUGCUCUUACUCUUCUGUUGUUCCUGACUUUCUUUUUAGGGUCUAUUCUAACAUGCAAUAUAAUUAUUAUUUUUUUUUUUGGUGAUUGAAGUGAUUUUUUUGGUUGGCCAAAACCCCAUGGAUGCCAAUAAUUGGAGGCCCACUGCCCCAGGCGGAGAACCUGUUAUGGACACAGGUGAUUGGAGAACUCAAUUGCAGCCUGACUCACGGCAAAGAAUAGUCAACAAAAUGUAAGUCUCUGUUUCCUAAUAUGUGCAAGUGCUGCAAAAUAGUAAAUCUUGUAUUUAAAUGAAAGAAAAAGAGAAGGGAAAAAGGUUAAUUAAAAUCAGCAGGACUGCCAUGAGGCAACCUCAAGUAUCAUACACCUCUGUUUUUGUCUUUUUCAUUUUUCACGUGUUUCUCACAAGAAGUGAACUUGAGGGAAUAAAAAGUGCUGGGAAGUAAUUUUUGUUGGAACUUCUUGUGUAACAUCUUUCGAUGAUGACCUCUAGGAUGGCUGCAUGAAGCUUCUUCCGCUUUAAAUUUCAAGGUUAAUCUAUUGCUAUGAGCAUUGGUGUUUCAAUUUCAACCUUGAGUUGCAACUGAACUUAAAUGAACAGUGUUGGAUUUGAGCCUUCCAUUUGCUUUAACUUCUACAGGGUUGAAAUGAUAGUUAUCUUAAAGUACAAAAGCAGCAGACAAAAAUCAAUUAGUCACAAUAGUGCAUGGUUUCCUAGUUUCUCAGUAUAAAGUGGAAUGUUUUGGUGAUAUCUCUACAUCCAAAUUCAUAUAGACAGCUACUGUUGGCAUUUGCAGUAGCCAAUGAGCACUGUAGAGUAUAUAUUGCAGCGUGAGAUAAGGUUAACUCAUUGCAUUUUCAUAAAUUAAAAGGAUUUCUCUUCUUUUCUUUGUUAAUUGCAGUGCAUGUAUAAAGGUUUUCUUAUUUAGAGUAAAUGCUGUUGUAAUGUUUUCACAGAGUUCCCUUGGUUUGCAGCUAAUUCAUUUAUAUAUCUUGGAGCAUAGCCAUAGCCAUAAAUGGAAGGUUCUUCCAGUUCAAGAAAAUUAACCAUGAAGCUCAUAGCUAGAAUUUUAAACAUAAGGGUGGCCAAGUGAACUCCUAUACCCUGUACCUGUGGAAUAAUACGGGGAAAGGAAGUAAAAAUAGAUGUGUAUUUUGAUGCCAUAUAUUACUUGACCGACACUUGGCUAUAUCAUUAUUUGUUUUUACUUUUUCCUAAUGAUUCCGUUGUAUACAUUUCUGAUAUUGGUGUGGUGUAUGAGUUCACGGUUCUUUCUCACUGCUGCUAACUUCUCUAUACCUGCCUUGUCAUUAAAAAUUAAAUGUAAUGUUUUACAUGUGCAGAAUGGAGACAUUAAAGAGGCAUCUUCCGUUUUCUGGUCAAGAGGGAUUACAAGAACUCAAGAAAAUUGCCGUACGGUUUGAGGAAAAGAUUUAUACUGCCGCCACCAAUCAGGUAUUCGGCUAAUGCUAGGUUCAAUGAUUUCGAUAUUCUCUAGACAUGAAUAUACACAUGCAUAAGUUUGUGGAUUAAUGCAUGUACACGUGUGUGUAGUGUGUCCACACUUCCUUACUGGUCAUUCUGUAGAAGUUCUCAUCUUUUCGUUAUUUCUCUUGACAAGUGUUUUAUUUAGAGUGACCAAGGUCCUUUUCAAGUACAAGGGAAGUGUGCAAAAUGCAAAUAACGAAUCAAUACAUAAAUAAUUAAAUAAAAAGAAAGGACACAGAAGUAUAUCCUCACAGAAGAUGCAAAUACAGAAAGCCUAGCAUAUUAGAAAGAGCAUAUAUCCCUUUUCCCCCUUCUCUUGUAACAUGGACUGCGCAGAGAUCUAAUGUUUUGUUAUUGAUAUCUGAUUUCAGUCUGAUUAUCUGCGUAAAAUAUCUCUGAAGAUGCUUACAAUGGAGACCAAGUCUCAAAAUACCAUACCCACUGGCAAUGGUAACAAAACCCUGGAUCCAGGAGGUAAUAAUGCAGCCAAGCAUUGGAUUUCUAAACAUCCUUACCUUUUGUUUUGUAUUUUGCGUUGUUAUCAAACUCUUUUACAUUUUAUUGCUGCAUUUUGCUAUGUAUAUACCAUGCUUUAAUAAAAGAGUCGAGUAAUUGAUGAAUGUUCAAAAAAAAAUUACAGAUUAUUUUUGUUUUCUGCUCCCCACCCCCCCACAACAAAAAAAAAAAAAAAAGUCAAAUGACACUUAUGCUUUGAGGUAAAACCAUCUUAAUUAUUUCCCUCAUAACUUUACGUGUGAACUGUCAUUGUUUCAUUUGUUUUUCUUGUUCAAUGCCUUCUUUUUUUUUCCUUUGACAUGGUUUUCCUUUUUGCCUUUUAUCUUGAACAGCAUCUCAUAGUAUGCCGCCUCAAGUUCACAACCAAGGGCAGUCGCUCCCUAACUCAUUGUCCUCUAAUCAGUCUCAAGCACGUCAGCAGUUAUCACAGAACAUGCAGAAUAGUAUGUCAUCUAAUGGAGUUCAAAGUUCUGCUGGUUUACAAUCAGCAAUGCCUUCUGUCUCCGGUUUAACCCAGACUAUCCCAAACACUGUUGGACAGAAUGCUAACAUGCAGAGUAUCUCUGGUGUUUCACAGAACCCAGUGGGGAAUUCAAUGGGACAAGGGAUUCCCCCCAAUAUGUUUGUCAAUUCUCAGAGACAAAUGCCAGGCAGGCAACAGGUUGUUCCUCCACAGCAACAGCAGCAGUCCCAAAAUCCUCAGCAGUAUCUUUAUCAGCAGCAGAUGCAACAUCAGCUUUUAAAGCAGAAGCUUCAACAGGGAAAUCAUCCACACUCACUUGUGCAAUCUCACAUCCACCAGCAGCAGCAGCAAAAUUUGUUACAGCCAAAUCAGUUGCAAUCUUCUCAGCAAUCUGGUUUGCAAACAUCAACUGUUAUGCAGCCUUCAAUGAUGCAAACUGUCUCUGGCCUUCAACAGAACCAACCAUCUUCUGUUCAACAGUCAACACAACCAAUGCACCAGCAACAUCCACAAUCAGUCCUUAGGCAGCAGCAGCAACAACCUCAACAGUCUGCUGGUAUUCAUCAGCAGCAAACACCAAUGAUGCAGCAGCCACUAUUGCCUCCACAACAGCAGCUAAUGGGGCAACAAUCAUNNNNNNNNNNNNNNNNNNNNNNNNNNNNNNNNNNNNNNNNNNNNNNNNNNNNNNNNNNNNNNNNNNNNNNNNNNNNNNNNNNNNNNNNNNNNNNNNNNNNACAGCAGCUAAUGGAGCACAUCAAGUACACUAACAUGUCGCAAAAUCAGUUAAUUGGACAACAAAACAUUGUUGGGGACUUGCAGCAGCAGCAGCAGCAGAGAUUGCUAGGGCAGCAGAAUAACCUUCAAAAUCUGCAGCAGCAGCAGCAGUUAAUGGCUCAACAAAAUAACCUCUCAAGCAUGCAUCAGCAACAGUUGGCCCCUCAAAGUAAUGUCACUGGUUUACAGCAACAGCAGUUGCAUGGAGCUCAGCCUGGUAACUCAAGCAUGCAAUCUAAUCAGCACUCUCUACACAUGCUGCAACAGCCCAAGGUUACGCUGCAGCAGCAAGCACAACAAAGUGGAAGUGGUUUGUUGCCGAAUCAAGGGCAGCAGUCACACUCACAGCUGCCACAGCAGCAAUUGAUGGCACAGAUUCAAUCACAGCCUGGACAGCUGCAACAGCAAUCAAAUCCAUUACAACGUGAUCUGCAGCAAAGGCUUCAAGCAUCAGGCUCCUUGCUUCAACAGCCGAAUGUGAUUGAUCAGCAAAAGCAGUUAUAUCAACCUCAAAGAGCCCUUCCAGAAACGUCCUCAAGUAAGUUUUUCUCAUCCUUGCAGCUUUCUAGCCUUGCUCCAACUUUAAUUUUGCAGCUUUGUGCUUUCAUGUUAGAUUAUAACAUAUUUAUUUAAAUUUUUUGAAAAUACAAUAAUGGUUCAAGUCAGUAAUGCUCUUUUAGGUAGCUUUAUGAGCUAUGGCUGCCACUUAUUGCAUCAGAAAUGCCACUGCUAUUGGAACCAUUGCAAUCACACAUACAUUUAUUUGAAUGAUUACAUAUCGUUGAGAUGGAGUUCCUAGUACUCCAAGUCCAAAAAGGACUUGUAUUCCUAUGUAAGAAAAUACUAAUGGUGCUAUCUAGGAUAGGGAAAACCUAUUAAAGCUCCUUAUUCUUUAGGAACAAUAAAAUACUAAAUAGAAAUAAAACCAAGACCUACAAUAUUCCAUAAUUUUCAGCAAGUGUGAAAAUUACAGAAAUACCCUUGUGUGCGGAAAACAUUCAAAAAAUACAUGAAUUCUAAUCUUUUGUUGGCUGCAUCAAAAUUUUUGUAGCAUCCCUAGAUUCUACAGCAGAGACUGGACAUGCAAAUGGUGCUGAUUGGCAAGAGGAGAUCUACCAAAAGGUAAUUUCUAUGGUUUACUGUUCAUUAGAUGAAAUUCAUGUAUGUCAUAGUCUUGCAAGAUUUCAAUGGAAAAGGUCUCCUGGAAUAUGGUACAAGGGAGUUUUAUUCAGCUAUGGUUGUGAUUAGUUAGGAAGCAUUGUAAGUUCCAUGAUUGCAGCAACUAAGAAACGAUAAAUUACUGAUAAGAUGAUUAAAGGUAAAAUAUUCAGAUUUCUAGGUCAAGAGGGUUAUUUUCUUGGUAUUGACACGACAAUUUUUUCUAUUGCAAAUCUCUCCCUUUCAAUUUUUUCCCUGUAUUUCCAUACAUUUAGUGUGGUGAAUUAUUAUUUUAUUAUUUCCAACAAGUCCAAUUGACAAUACUUCUUACUGUAAUAGACCGACUUGAAAACAAGAGUGAACUGUUUCUGAAUAGUCAUCGUUAUAUUUGGUUAAGUGAACAGUUAUUUUCAGGAUUACAAUCAAAUUUGUUCUGAAACAUGUGACAAUGGAAGAAAGGAAAAUAAGUGGACCUAAUCCAUUGAAUCAUGACCAUGUCCAGUAUUGUUGAAUUUUAUAGAAAACGAGGUUGAAAUUCUGAAUCAUUUAAUGGCUGUAGUUGCAAUUCAUAACUGCAUAUUUGAUGAGGUCAAUUUUUUUGUGCCUGGGAGGGUACUAAAACGGGAAUAGGAGUGGUUGUUGAUAAUUAGGAUAUAAGGGUUGUAAAUCCAAAGUUAUAAAGCUAGGAAGUGUUUACCAAAGUCGUGACAUCCAUUGACUUGAGUUAGAACAAUAGAAAACAAUGGUGAGUAGUUUGCUGUGAGACAAAGUAACUGAACUUGACCAACCCCUGAAUCUUGUCUGAAGAGGUAACUACACAAUCCUUUGCAUCUUUGCAUGCAAUCAAUAACGAUAUUCUCUUUUGAGUUUUCGGCAUUGAUUCCACUGCUAUUUUUAUCUCAAACAAUAUAUGCUGUCGUCUGCCAUUUUAUUUAUUUAUUUAUCAGUUCUCUCAAGUUUGCUUAUGUUUCUUUCUGACUCUGGCACCUGAAAGAAUCAAGCAUAUGAUUGAUAAUGUGCUUGCUGGUUAUAUGUACUUCCUAGAUCAAAGUUAUGAAGGAAACGUAUUUGCCUGAAAUAAAUGAAAUGGACCAGAGAAUUGCUACCAAGUUACAGCAGGGAAAUUGUCUGUAAUUUUUUCCGAUUUAUUUUCCCACACAUGAUUCAUAAACCCCCACAGUUGAGCUUUUGUAUUAAUUUGUUUUCCCCAUCGGCAUUGCUUGUCACUGUAUCAUCUGCACUAAUUACCUCCCCCACCCCCAACCACCCCACAACCAUGCAUUGACACAGAAGAAUUGGAAUAGAAACAUUUUUUUCACUAAUGUUUUACUAGUUUUGCUACAAAGGGUCAAUGCAAUUUUUAAUUCUCGUGUAUGUUAACUUUGCUUUCCAGCAUGACCCUCUUCCGCAACAACCGAAGUCAGAACAGCUUGAAAAGCUGAAGUUAUUCAAGGUCAUGUUGGAGCGCUUGAUAGGAUUCUUACAGGUCCCUAAAAACAACAUCACACCUAAUUUCAAGGAGAAAUUGGGUUCCUAUGAGAAGCAGAUUCUAGGUUUUCUAAACCCAAGCAGAUACAGGAAGCCUAUUCCUAAUCUUCAGCAAGGACAACUUCCCCAACCUCAUAUUCAACCUAUGCAGCAACCCCAAUCUCAAGUUCCUCAAUUGCAGUCCCAUGAAAAUCAACUGAAUUCCCAGUUGCAAUCAAUAAAUAUGCAAGGUUCUGUACCAAAGAUGCAGCAGAACAAUAUGUCAAGCUUGCUGCAUAAUUCUCUUUCAACUUUAUCUGGGGAUUCGACGUCACAAUCAAACAUGAUGAAUCCAAUACAACCAGGCUCCAAUUUAGAUUCUGGAC
RNAcentral lists this long non-coding RNA (187961 nucleotides) under Populus trichocarpa (black cottonwood). RNAcentral describes it as "long non-coding RNA (PTRI_LNC000851)". The stretch from base 161918 to 162008 matches the Rfam family "MIR478 microRNA precursor family". Lineage: Eukaryota; Viridiplantae; Streptophyta; Magnoliopsida; Malpighiales; Salicaceae. The record is from RNAcentral.